AUGAAGCACCAGAAGACAGCGUUUUAUUUGGUGGGGGUGAAGUUUUAGUACAGGAAUUGCUCGGUUUGAAAUAUUUAGAGGUAUUGGAGUUGACCUUGGGAAGUUAUCAGGCUCUCCAAAUCUUUUUGAGCUCAAAUAAGUUAAAAAGUUGUAUUCGAUCUCUUUUCCUCCAGUUGGCCGGAGAUACAAAGUCGAUUAUUGAUGCUGCGGCUUUCGCAGAUCUAAACCACCUCAAUGAAUUAUAUAUUUAUGAAGGUAUUGAGUUGGAAGAAUUGAAGAUUGAUUAUACAGAGAUAGUACGAAAAAGGCGGGAACCUUUUGUUUUCCGCAGCCUUCACCGUGUUACCAUAUUUAGUUGCGGUAAAUUGAAAGAUGUGACAUUCCUCGUUUUUGCUCCAAACCUCAAGUCUCUUGAGCUAUUGCAAUGCGAUGCUAUGGAAGAAAUAAUCAGCGUCGGAGAAAUUGCUGAGACUCCUGAGAUGAUGGGACACAUAAGCCCUUUUGAAAAUCUCCAAAGUCUUCAUUUAUCGUAUUUACCAAUUUUGAGGAGCAUCUACUGGAAGCCAUUGCCUUUCACUCAUCUCAAAAAAAUGGAGGUACGUAGAUGCGAUCAGCUUAGAAGGCUUCCGCUCGAUUCCAACAGUGCAACAGAGCGUAAUGUUGUUAUUCGUGGAUACACACUCUGGUGGAACCGACUUCAAUGGGAGGAUGAAGCCACUCAAAUUGCUUUUCGUUCCUGUUUCCAACCUCGUUCCUGAGCAGUGGUCGCAAAAUUUGAUUUCUGGUGAGUGCGUUUGUCUUUUAAAAAGAAGAAUUUAAAAGAAAUUUAUUCUUGUCGUUUUCUUCACUGUUUUUAUUUGAUUUCUGGUUAGUUUCUUUCUCUCUCUCUCUCUCUUUGUCUUCUGCAAAUCACAAUUAAAUGUUGAAUUAAUGGAAUUGAUGCUCUGGUUUUUUACUUUUUGUUGUCAAAUUUUGCCCUGUUCUAUCUUCUUAGCGAUUUAAUUUCCUGUCAAAAGACGAGCGAGAAGAACAUAUAUAUGACUUAAACCAAUUGAUACUUUAUUUAUGUGCAUUGUAUGUAAUAAAUAUUAAGUAUACUUUAUUUUUGCCCUGUUCUCUGUUUUUAUUUCAGUCUCUCUCUCUCUUUCCUGUCUUCUGCAAAAUAUAAUCAAUUAUUUUCAAAAUAUCAUUGAUGAUUUUUCUGCUCUAAUGCUAUGUAAAUAGUAUGUUAAGUAAAACAUAAUCAAUUAUUUGUGUUUUAUCUCUAAUUAGAACAUCAAUCAGUUCAGUACCUCACAAAUAAUUCGCAAUAUCUACAAAAUACUAUAAUGGCUACAAAACAAAUCCUGCUUGCAAAUUGUCAAGGAUACCUAUCCGUUCGCUUGACAAGUCAUUUGAAUAAAUAUUGUUCACAUUCCUUACUCUAUCAAUUAUCCAAAGCACCAUCAAUGGUCCUCAACUUUAGUUUGAAUAGUAUACAUGCCAUCACCAUUACCAAGAAUCAAGCAUGGAAGAGUCAUUCUAUAGAGUUAAUCGAAGCAAGGAAUGAUGUAUCAGAAAAUAUUUGGUGGAGAAUUCAGCACAAACAUAUUUUGGAUGAUCAGAAUCAAUAAAACCUGGUGGUUGCGCCAUAUAAACAUCUUCGGAAAGCUGACCUUGAAGAAAGGCGUUAUUGAUAUCCAAUUGACGAAGAGGCCAGCCAUGACUAACAUCAAUACUAAGAACAAGCCGUACUGUGGUGGACUUAACAACUGGACUGAAAGUGUCAUAAUAGUCCACACCAGGCCAUUGAUUGAACCCUUUGGCAACAAGAUGAGCUUUAAACCUGUCAACAGAACCGUUGGAAUGUCUUUUAAUACAAAAAUCCAUUUGCAGCCAACAAUAUUGGAAGGGAUGGGAGGUGGAACAAGCUUCCAUGUCCCGUUACGAACAAGAGCAUCAUACUCUUCUGACAUAGCUGGACGCCAGUGAAGAUUUUUGAUAGCUUGCGUCACAGUUGUAGGUUCACAAUCAGAAGAAGGGCUAAAAUGAGCACGGAGGUUAAGUUUUUGUAACGGCUUGUGAAUCUUAUUUUUAGCUCGGGUAGUCAUAUCAUGAUGACUUGUGGGGCAAUGAUCUAGUGGAGUUUAGGAAGAUGAUUGAACAGGAAGUGAAGAAGUGCUUUGUGUAGAGGUAGAAGUAGGUUGGGAGGAUUGCUGCGGAGAUGUUACCGGUAGAGAAGAAGGAGCAGUACACGGUGGCAACUCCAGAGGGCCCACAAUAGAUGGAGUAGGUGCCGACAAUGGAGUACUAGGAAAUGAAACAGGAAGAAUUGGUGGAACACUUGCGUAAUUAGGAGUGGUAGAUGAGCUUGUAAUGAUUUGUAUGGAAAAACAAACUCUACAAAUUUAACGUGACGUGAAAUAAAAAUUCAACCCGAUUGCAUAUUUAAGAACAUCUCAAAUGAAUUGCUUACUGCUAUCAUCAUCAUUAUUGUCUAUAUAAUAAUGGAUCUUUAUUAUAUAUAUGUUUCCACUAAAAUAUAUUUAAUUAUUCUUUAUUUUUCUAUUGUUGCGUGUAAGAUUUAUUUGAGUUCUAAGUUAUAUCAAUACAAAUGUUAUCUUAUCCAUAAAAAGUUAGAUCCAACAAUUAUGAAAAUUACUAUAGAGUUGCUUUCAAUUAUUUUUUUAAAAUACCAGGAGUAAAUAAUAAUUAGUUCAAAUGGUGGAGACUAAAAUGCGUUCACCUUUAUUUUUUAUCUGUUAUUUACUUUUGUCAUUACAUUAAUGCACAUGCUAUACAUUUGAGACAUUCCAUUAAUUGCCAAUUAUGUAUGUGAGAUAGUAAUUUAAAUUAAAAAAUAAAAGUGAAAGUUAAUCCUAUGCAAUGUGAAUAAAUUUCUUUCCUUUUUCCUUUACUCUUUUUAUUUGACAAUAAAGUUUCCAUCUAUCAUCUAUCAUCUAUGUACACAAAAUUUCUGCAACAAGUACAAAACAUAAAAAUAUAUGAAUAUUAAGGGAAACACGCAGAAGUUCAUCAUUUCAAUGUUCAGUAUUACCAAUUUUGGCAUUAAGCUUGUACGAAUAUAUUCUACUUCGAAAGCAAAAUAUUAGACUCGUGAUUUUAAUUCAUUCAUUAUCUCUCAUUUUAAUCCCAAAAUAUUCAAGAGUAUCCAAGUUACCAUAAGACUUCAGAGGCUCGAGCCUUAGCCAGAGAUGGUUAAUUGAUAGACUAUGUGCCUGGGUCGAGCACUGGAAGCCUGCAAUGCAGACUGAUUGAUUUAUCAGUUUAACGUGUGCCAGGAAUGAAGAACUGGAAUAUCACCGUCAAGCAAGCACCCUGUGGAGCAAUACCAAAGAAUGCACAAUCUGGCUUUGCUAGGUGACCCUGGAGGCUUUUUGAAAAGUGCUUCAUGCUCACUUGCACAGAUUGAGCAUCCCCUCUGGAUAUUGCCCUCUCUGAUCGAGUCUGAGCACUCAAAUUUCGGUCCUCAGAUGGAGCUACAGCUUUCUCUCCAAUAACCAACAAUUUUCUAAACUCAGCACCUAGUGUGAUCAGAGUUGUUGAUAUUUGCAAAUGGAGAUCCCCAUAUUUGCAAAUGGAGACAUUUAACAAAUCACCAACAUGCUUCAUCCGGUCCACGAAAUUCUGCAACUGAUUCAAAUCUGGAACCUGAACCAGAGUCGGAGGUAUAUCUUGAGCCAUAUCUAAAGCAGUUUGAAGUUCAAGACCUUGAGCCCUUGACAAUGGUUUUGAAAUUGGAACAUCUUGGAUUACUGCAGACUUGUACCCCUUGGUUUCAAAGGUAAGGAAAGGCAUUGCUUGAGUACAAUUUGGAGGCAGCUUCUUCACCAAUUUUAUUUGGAGGCAAUUGGCAGCGGAUCCAGCUGCACCAAUUUCAGAGCAACUACUGACACUACUUCGAACAGCACACUGACGAAGUGAUAUGUCUACGGCAAAGGCAAUGCAGUCCUCAUUUUGGCUUGAGAUGCAGUAAUCAUCGAAGAGAGUUUCCUUGUGAAACUGGGCAACACAUUGAAUCCCUUCGCCACUGAGAAGGUUGUGGAGGAAGUAAGCUGUCUCUCUAGUGAGGAAGAGGUGGCAUACCUUCCCCAUUUUGUCUAGGGCAGGUAGGAAUCUUUUUUCUAAGAGAUUUACUUCAUUCUCUGUGAGAAAUGCUUUGAACUUCAUCCCUCUGUCUCUAUCCUCACUUAUCAGGAAAUAAGUUGAAAGCACUAUGAAGAGAGAGAGAGAGAGAGAGAGAAUUAAGAUAUAUAGACAAGAAAAUAAUUAGACGUUGAUCUUACAAACUAAUACUUCAAGCAGUAUCCUAGAAAGCUAAAAACUGCAAGAUGGCUUGAAAUUUGAAAAGAGCACAUGGUUUUCCUCCUUAACUUGAGAAAAUGUUUAAUAUAGUGCACCUUACAGAAGCAUUUAAGCAAUUAGAACUUUGCACAAAAACAUCAAGAAGACUAAACAAAUCAGAUGCAGUGUAUUUGUCCAAGCACAAAUUGCAUUUUGUCCUCAACUUUAAUAUUUAUUGAUGAGAAUCAAUACAGGUCCCUCAUUUGUUAUAGAAAGCUUUCUUGUAGUCUCACCAGUUAAUUCACAGGUCUAUAAUCAUCUUGCAAAGUUAAGGGCAUUUCUUUCGAUCUAAAGUCUUUGCAUCACCACCUCAUCACACGCCAAGCCAAUAUUCCAUUUACCUCUACAACAAAAAGUUUUUAAGUAAAUAAUCCUAAUGCACGCAGCCGAAUAAAAUGCAGUAAGAAUAUUCAACUUAAAAAUCUGAAAGCCAACUUGGUGAAUUGCCUCCUUAGGUGAAGUUCCAUGCUUUACUAUAGUUGACAGAACUCAGCAAAAGCUUCCAUACAACAGAUUUUGAAAAUGAUGAUGCCAAUAGAUACUCAUUCAAUCCAUUGAAACUCCAAAGGUUCAUUGUUCAUAGAAGUUUACAGAGUUUUGGUCAUCAAAUAGCUCAGACCUAAUCCCAAACAAAAAACGAGUGAAAAUUAGAUCACGAGCAGCUAAUUGUAAAUUCUAACUUAACUCUUCAUCUCCUUUGUAAACAAGAAACAAAAUGGAGACACGCAAAAUGAAUAUGGAGAAAAUUUGAACUCAAAUGAAAUGAGGGCACGAAAGCAAACAAAUGGCAUGCACAAAAAAACCAAGCCUCGAUAAAAAACUAAUUAACCAUUAAGAAAAAAAUUGGUCAGAGAAUGAACUCCAAAUUCAGGAGUCAAGCAAGAAGCUUUCAUUAUUUCAGAAGCUCCUGUACAAAUUAAUAAGUUAUGCUCUUUGGAAGCAAACCUAAAUUCCAAGAGAAACAGAACCCAAAAAAUUUGCAAUUAUACGCAAAGGAAGUGAAGCACAGGAUUCUAUCACACAUAGGAAUUGUAUAACAAGAGAUCGAUAUAUCGAAUUAGAAAACUCAAUUCGAAUUUGUGUCAAAAAUCAAAAUUAGAAGAUUUCACAUUUCGAGAGGAACAAGCAACAGAUGAAGUUCAAAAUUUCAGCCAUAACAUGCUAAAAAUGCUACACUUAACGGUUCAUUUUCAUGGAUUUUCUCGGGAAACAAACAGAAAAUUACGGUUUAGAGAGUUGACUGACCUUUUGGCUUUUGAAAUUGACCAGAUCGCGCGCCAAAUUGGAAGAGGGAAAGUGAAAGCGCGAGUUUUAAUAUGGGUAUUAGAUAAGGAAAUUUUAUUAGGUUGCGAGGGUAAAAAAGGAAAGAGAUAUCAUUAUUUUAUUAUCGAUAAUUAUUAAAUUUUUUUCCAAAAAAAAGAACAAGCAAGGAUUUUUUAUUGUCAUCACUAAGUUAAAAAAAAUUGUUUCAAAAUUACUUGAGUCAUAUCCAAUGGACCAACAAAGUAAUCGUUUUUAUUUUUAUUGAUUUUUGCAGGAAAUUAAUAACUUAAAAAUACUGAAAGCUACUGUAAAAAUUUUUAUUAUCAACCUCAUAAUUUUUUUUUUUUGGGGAAGAGAAUUCAAACUUUUUUUUUAUGAAUAUCGCUGUUUCGUUUGAGUUGGAUGUGAAUUCAAAUCCAAAUAUUCUUUGUUUUUCAAUUUUGAACUCAAUUUCUUUUUCUCAAGAAUGUUAUGCAGAAAUAAUUUUUACUAAAUCUUUUUUGAUGAAUUGUUUAAAUUAAACAAUUGGAAUAAGAAUUGUAACGAUUUAUCAUAAGCGUGCUAAUAUGAUAACUUGUUUUACGAAGGAUUAAUUAAUCAAUUAAUAUUAAAUUAUAUAUUAGUCAAUUAGAUAUGUGUUACAUUUAUCAUGUUUUGUAGGUGAUAGUACAUCAUUUCUAAAAGAAUAUAGUACGUUAAAAUAUUAUUUUAAUGAAGAAAAUUUUAUUAUUUUAUUAUUAGGUGACACAAUAAUAAAUGGAUUUCUGUAAGAAUUGAGAUUCUUGAUAUAAUUAUUACAUAAGGAGAAGUUUAGUUGGUUCAAUUUUGACGUGAUAAGAAGACAACACAGCACAGAAAACCCAAAUUGCCACUUCCACUAAUAAAAGAUACCUGUUUGAAAAGUAAUUAUAAACUAUCUUCUUUGUGUUAUUUCUCAAAACUUUUGUGGCACAAAUGUUAUUUCCAUUGACAACAGUACGAAAUACCACCCCUUUCACUUGAGCAGGAGCAAAGCAAAGGUAUGAUGAGCUAUCUCUGUAUAAUUGAAACGCCAUUACUAAACGAUUCUUGAUGAUGGGAGCCACCGUGCCAGCUUUGUCGCUGAUUUGCAUGAUUUAUUAGUUGUCCAGAUGGCGGAUUUUGUACUGUUACCUUCGUUUCAUUCUUCAGAGCCAUGUACUGUUCUAGGAUACCAGAGAAACCAAGGUGGCAUUGAAGUUGCCCUGGUGGUUAGUUUUCCGAUCAUUUUUUUAUUCAAUUAUUUAUGUUUUUAGAAAAAUGUAGGAAAUAUGUAGAAAUGUUGACAGCUAUGAUUUUGAAACUUUUGCCUAAAAUUGUUAUCAUUACUUGUUGUUUCUUAUUUAAAGAGAAAUUCUAGAAACAUGAAAUGAUUAUUCUACGCUUGUUUUAAUAUUGUGCUAUGAAGAUUACGAAGGUUUGAUUAUAUGUCACUAUCAAUUGCCUUAAUCGUUUGUCGUAAAUCAAUUAAGCAUUUUGAUGCGAAUGAUUCCCUAUUAAAAAAUUCAAGUCAGAGCUGAAUUGCAAAGUAGUUAGUCGUGCUUGCAAUUCAAAUUAAGUAUUGUAUUUUCUCCCUGAUUUGGUUGAUUCAACUAUGUGCAUUUGCUUAUGAACGUUGCAGUAUAGAAAUCGAAAUAUCUUGUCUUUUGCUAAGCCCAGAAGCAAAUUCUUUGUAUUCUACUCAUCAGUUUUCUUCAUUCUCUUUGUUGAAAUUUUAUCUAAACAGCGGUUUCUUCGAAUUUAUGCCUUCGCUUACUCUUUUAAAUUUUAUCCAAACAACGGUUUUGAAAUUGUUUUCACUACAAUACCUUAGUCUUUCAGAUGCUCCCGUCACUGAGUUGCCAGAAGAGCUAAAAGCCUUGGUAAAUCUUAAGUGUUUGAACCGGAGUACACAAAUUAUCUCUCUACAUUUCCAAAGCAAUUGAUUUGUUACUUUUCGAUGCUACAUGUUCCGCGAAUAUUCAGUUGUGGUUAUCUUGUUCAGAUACCAGAAAAUAGCGUUAUAUUUAGUGGUAAUGAAUUCUUGGUUUGGGAGUUGCUUAGUUUAAAACGUUUAAAUGUAUUAAGCAUCAUCUUGAAAAGUUUUUCUGCUGUCCAAAAACUUAUGAGCUUCCAAAAGUUUCAAAGCUGUACACAAUGCAUGGAGCUUGUAGACUGUGAUGAUCCAAAGUCAUUUGCCGUGGCAGAGUUGAAGCAUCUUGAAAAACUAGGUUUUUCAAGUUGUGGAAAUUUGGAAGAGUUAAAGUUCUGCUGUGUCGAAGUUGCAAAGGCUCGAGAAUGUUUUCGUUUGAACAGCCCUCACUGAGUUAAGAUGAAGGCUUGUCAUAAAUUGUGGGAAGCGACAGGUUAUUCAAAUAGAAAAAUUUAUGGAGAUGGAUGUUAAUCUUAAGGUUAUUCAAUUAGAAAAAUUUGAAUAAAAUUUAUGGUAAGUGCUUUUCCAUUUAUUGCAUAUUUAUAUCUAAUUUUUAUUUUCCUUUAUUGUUAAAUUUUGGUCUCUAUUUGUUGUUGUAUGGUGGCAUUCUUGUACAAUUAUUAGCUUUUCAUUUCUCUUCUCACAUUAACUGCCCUUCUGAUCAUGUAGGAUUUGCUGAUGCAAAGAGUCAUAAUUUGGGAUACAAAUGUAAGAAUUAGACAGAUGACAUGUUGUUUUGAAGCUCUCAAAGAAGGACUAAUUAUGUCAUUGAAAGCCUCCAAUUUUGUGAUUGGUUUCUUUUUAUUUUAUUUGUUGUUUUCUCUAUUUUCAGAUCACUUAAUUGUUAGUUGUUGUAAUGUAAUGUUUUAGUAUAGCAAAUUAUAUUCGGCCAAGACAGUGAUAGGAGGGCACAUUGUGCAUGCACACUAGUGGAUUUGGCAUGCCAAAUCCAAUUAGGAUGGAUAACACUUUAUAAGCAUUAGGCUUCUCUCAUACCUGAGUAAUAUAGAAUAUGUUUAUAAGUUGUGAAUCACCCUUUACAAGUGUUAGGCUUCUGCUAUACUCAGUGAUGUGAAAUAUAUUUAUAAGCACUAAACUUCUCCCAUACACUUUAUGUUAAUAAUAAUAAUAAUAAUAAUAAUAAUAAUAAUAAAAUAAUAAUAAAUAAACCCAUUUUAACAGACUCUUUUUUCUUUUUCUAUAUGAACAAAUGCAUUCUUCAAAGCAACUGUGGGGAGAAGAAGUGAGUAGAGAAGAACUGAGCCCCUGUCAUUCCCCUAAAACCUCACCAAAACCUCUCUUGUAAGCUUCUCGGAUUUUCUUUCUAUAUUUCUUAGGAACUCAUUUUUUAUUGAAUCACUUAUUUUGCAUGCUGCAUUUUUUGGUUGUCGUAUUUGUGUAUUAUCUUAUCUGGAAUGCUGUUAUGAUUGAUGGAACAAGUAAUCGAUUUUUGGUCUAAUGGAAGUUGAUUUAUUUAUUUAUUGUUGUUUUUAUUUGAAAUUAUGUACAAUUGUAUUUCAUUCAUUUCUCUCUCUUUUGCUUUUUUCCCCCCAUAUAUUUGUUAUGUAUAAUUGCGUUUCAUUUAAUAUUGAUCAUACUGUAGGUAACCAUGUGAUUGUAGAUGGGGAUUUCGAGUUUGUUGAAUAUUCAUGUAAGUGAAGUAACCGUCACAAUACUAGUGAAAUUGGGAGCUUUAUUCAUGAGUUUGUGGUUUUGAAAAGUACCACAGUUCAACUGGUGAAGGCUCCGUUUUGGGAUUCUUCUUUUUCUAGGCUGCAAUUAGGAUAUGUACAUGAUAGACAAUCUUUUGUUGGUUUAGCAUAUCUUCGCUGAUUUUGUCUUUUAUUCCCCAAUUUUAUAAUUACACACCAUGAAUGUUGGGUGAUUGUAUAGAAAAUUUGUGUUAUAACAAAAACAUUGUGAAGGAGUUUCCGUGCUAAUAGUUAGUGGCUUCUGUUUUAUUGGCAUUGAUUGGGUAGAUUACGUGUUACAGUGAUUCAAUUUGUGUUCCAAACUUUGCUUUAAUUUUCUGUUUUCCCCAACUAUUUAUGUCAAAUUUAAAUCCAGAAGCAUGUGCUGAUUUUUUCUUUUUGUAUUAAUCUGUGAAGUUUAUUUGGAAUGGAAGUAACUGGGUCGGGUCUAAUGGAUUAAAUUAUGACAUUGAGGGGAAGGCACUAAAAGGGUUUGCUUGACACAUUUGGUUCUGUGUUUACUCUGCAAGAAAUAACUUUUGCUUAUUGCAAUGCAGGGGGAAAUCCCGAUUUGGCUGGUGAAUUUCUCUGCAACAAACAGGCAAACACCUCAACAUCUUCUGUCCAUACUUCUGCUGGGGAGGCAAGGGGUAAAGAGUCUUCAAAAUCAUCAAAUAGUUACAUCUCUGAGAAUUCAUUUUAUGGAAAUGGAAAAUCUAGAGUUUCUAAUACAAAAUGGCAUCUGGUAUCAGGACGUACCGUUUCAAGUUUUCUUGGUAAAGAUUAUGUUAAACCUGCACAGCCAGCUAAUGGCACUUUUCUGGCAUCAAAGCCAUUGAAGUUGGAUCCAAGGGAGUUUCGCAUUUCUGCACUUUCAGAGAAGAAACUAAACCGACAAUCAAAGGAUGACCAUUUGCAGAAGGAUAUGGAAGAUUUUCUUUUUAAAUUGCUAGGAGAAGGGUUCCAGCUGUACAGGGAUGUGAUUCAGGAGGUUCAUGGUAACGUCUUAAAUAUAUUGAUGCCAAUUUAAUACAUAUUGUCCUUUUCAAUGUUCUUUCUUUCUUUCUCCUCUUUUUAUUAUUCUUCUUCUUCUUUUUUCUUUUCAUGUGCAUGUGAUCACUAAUUUGGUAUUAUUCUUGACUUGCAGAUAGUUGUGGAUAUGAAAUGCAAAAGGUAAGGGCUAUAUCUUCUUGAUGGAGGCCUCUGAUUUUUUAAAUCGCAUUUUCCUUUGUGAUUGAUAUAUCAUACCAAAGUCAAGUCUUAAAUACUGCUGUCAUAUGUUAAGGUUCAACUUCCAUUUUGAUUAACGUCGAUUUGCUACUGCUUCCAAAAGUGAGAAUGAGAUACUUUGGUUAAUUUCAGUAGUUGAACUCAAUGGAGUACUUUAUUUAGAUCUUCAUGGUUCAAAGGCCUGAAAAAACUUGCCGGUAUUUGCAAAAUGACAUCUGUGCUUUUAUUUAGACUUAUUAUUAAAGACAACAUUUUAUUUCAGCCAAAAAUGUUUGUUUCAAUUAAAGACUUGAACCAUUUUCAUUUAACCUGAUUGUGAUGCUUUACAUUAUGCAUGUUCCUCUCAAUCAAUAAAAGUUGAGGUCAUGAUUUUAUAUUUCUAUUUUGUAACUUGAAAUAAUUGGUCUGCCUGUUUCUGUUGCUUGAUAACAUGAAUUUUUCCUUCUGAAGUUAAUUUGAUCAAUAAAGUAAUUCUUCGGAGAGGAUAUGCCCAUUCUAUAGUCAUUUUCUUAGCUAACAUGUUUUUUCUUCACUCUUCAAAGCAUGUCUAAACUAAUUGAUCGCUCAGCGGAGACUUUGGGUGAGAAGACAAAAUUUCUUGGUAAAUCCUCUGAAAAGGUAUGCAUAAUUCCCGAGUAUUAAAUAAUCAUUGGUCAUAAUUUUUGUACACGACUCUUGUUUUGGAGAUCGUUAAAAGUGGUUGAUGAUCUAUUUUGUAAUAUCAUAGAGGGAUCAUGAAUUCCUUUUCUUUUCUGUGGCUAGGCAACACUUUCGAGCCAAGCUAAGGAAAUCUAUUUUAGGUAAUGUGAAAACUAGUUGUAGGAUGUAAUAGUUUAUUAUGCCCUGACAAUAACUUUUUGUAUAAUUGUCAGUUUAAUGAAUACAAGAGGAACUCUGUUGGCAAGUUCAUCCAUGAUAGAUGCUAAAAUUAUUUAUGCAUACCAGUUGCCUUAACUAAUUUUUCUCAACACUGGUAUUGAACAGGAAAAUGAAUAUGCAAUUUGUAUAUUGUGCCAUUGUGGAGAAUUUGGAUAUUCUUAUUUAAGUAACAAGGAGAGUAUUUGCCUCAUCUUUAAACAAUGAAUCUUUGAGAAAUGAGGAGUGGGUGAUUGACAGUGUCUUCAUGUAAAUGUUCAUUUAUUUGUAUUUUGAACUAUUAUGAGAAUCUUUGUAUGCCAAAUUAGUAAUACAAAUGUUCAGAUGAUUUUUCCUGUUGAUCAUGCGUGUGUAUCUGCACACAACCAUUGUGUACCACUUUAUUCUGAUGCACAAAUAUCUGUAGUUUAGAAGAAAAGAAAUAAUAAUCAUAUAUUAUUGCUUGGUUCAUGAUUAUUAAAUGAUUAUGGCUUUAGAAAAUCCACAAAUCCUUUGUGUUCAUAUAUGAAUGUGCGAAGUUCGCUAUAUCUUAGAUUACCUUCUUCCAAGAUAACAAGUUCAUAUAUUUUUUUUAAUCCUUUUUCAUCACAGUUGAAUUUCAAGUGUAAGUUUUGUUAUUAAUAGCUGGUUUCCUGUUAUUAUGAUUUCAUAAACAAUGAGAGGAUAUGUGCUCUACUUUUGGAUGGCCUCCACAUAAAAGAAAAUUGCAACAAUUGAAUUCUUCUGGAGGGUAUGGUAUUUAAUUUAUUUUCUCAGCUUGUUGUAAGACUAAUAUAUUUCCUUCAGUACGCACGGCAUGGUGGGAAGGGUUUUUAUUGAAAGAAUUAUGAUAUUUCUUAGACUUUGUUUUGGAAGGGGGUGGAGGGAUUUCUCAUCCAUGUAUGGUUACUUGAUUAGCUUUUGACUGUACUGUCUCCGUCGUGCAAAGGAAAAUCCAAAUACUAACGAAGGGGAAUUGCUUAGGCACCCAAAGGACAGAAAUGAAUUACGGAAGGAGGUUUUUGCUGCUUUAUUUAGUGCUGCUGAGAAAUCUGAUGAAUUUCCUGAAAUUACGGUGAAGACGGAGUGGAGGUCCAACGCAUUAGGAAAGGUGGUGAGUGAACCGCCAGAGGAAUUAGUACCAGAAUACAAGGCUAAUGUGGUGCACUGGCAGCAAGAUGACCAGACCUGUAUGUGCUCUUAUAUUAACUAUAUUGGCUGGAUUUGUGAGUGUGUUCAUUUUUGUGUGUAUACUCACUUUUGUAUUUAUGCAUAUUCACGUGUGUAGGAUUCUCGAUUUCUGCCACUUACUGGAGAACUAGUGGAAAGCUUUAUACUGAUAUAUGUGCUAUAUAACUAAUGGAAACUACAAUAUGAAUAUUUUCUCUCACCUGGAGAGCAGUGUAACUAAUAUAAUUUGUGGCUCUGGAAUACUGAAGAUUCUGCAAUAACUAAUGGAAAAUAUGAUAUGAAUAUUUUUUCUCACCUGGAGAACUUUGUAACAGAUACAUUUUGUGCUGGAAUGUCUAAAGAAUGCUUCAGUUUAUAUCAAAUAUCUUUUAGUUAGAAAAGAUAAAAUUCUCUGAAUCUGAAAGACUGAAACAUUUUGCAUAUUUCGUGAAAGGCAAGUAUCUGUAGAUACUAGCUCAUGCAUUGAGGUAAUAUCAAUGUUAAAGAAAAACAGCAAUAAUUUAUUAUACAGAAUUAGGUUCACUUGCUUUAAAUGCUGGUCUGAUCAACCAUAUCAACCUGUAAUGGUCCUGCAGAAAUAUAUAUACGGGGAGAAACUAGCUAAUUUUCCUUUCACUUAUGGGUUUGGUCUUUUUUUCCCCAAUUUUUCAGCUUUCCUUCUCCUGAAGUAUGUUAAUAAUUGCAGAUAAUGGCGAAGAGGACUGCUUCCAGGCUACCGGCAAAAACUUUGUGAAAGCUUUGGAGUUAAACAGGGAAUUCACUUACUGCUAAGGACAAUUGGUGGCGAGCUAUUUCAUUCAUUUUAUGUCCAUACAUCUAUUUAAUUAUUAAAGAUAAUGUACGCAUUUGUAAAUUUCAGAUUGUGUGUCUCUGAAAAUAACAAUAUUUAAAAUGUCUCUUAAAUUAUUAUAAAUUUUAAUUUACUCUCGAUUUAAAAUGGAACAUGUUGGUGAAAUAUUUUUUCUUCUUAAUAAAAUUGAAAUAAAUUAUGUUAGCAGUAGUUUGAAAUAUUUUAAAGAUGAUUAUUUUAUAAGGGAGUAAUAUGAAAUGAAAUUUACUUUUCAUGCGUGAAAUGUUGAAAAAGGACAAAGCAAGUGUCCCUGCUUUUAUUUUAUUUCAAAGUGGAGUCAUCUCACAUACUUUAGCUCUAUCAUUAGGAGCCGGCUAAGUUACGUUAAACGUAAUUUACGCCAGGCACAGCAAUAAUGACAAGUCCCAUGACUAGUAUUGUUGCUGUGUCUGACGUAAGUUACGUUUAACGUAACUUAGCCAAAGCCCUAUCAUUAAUAUAUAUUUAAAUUUAACACAUGCAUGUGGGUUACUUUUCCGUAAGUUCCUUAAUAUAUAUUUAACACAAAUCAUGGAAGAGAUGGGAGUAUAUCAAGAUGAUCAAAGCAUGAAACAAAAAUAUUUAAGAAGUAAAACACUGAAAAUGGAGAAGAGAUGCAAGCAAAAGAUAUUCUAAAGAAAAGCAAUCUAUCCCCUUUCGAGGGCAAACUUAUCAGGUUUAAGAAAAGUACAUGCUUUGGAUUGGUAGUUGCAGCCUUGCAGGAUAAUUGUUUUUGCCACUAUAUUAGUUGGAGGAGUUGAACCCAGUGAAGAAUGUUAUGGAAGAGCAAAUGAUAUUUCUGAUAGACUCUAUUUGAUUAUGUAGCCUGAAUAGAUGUCUUGUUGAAAGAUAUAUCAGUGCAUUAGUUCAUCCUUGUCUGUCAAUGUGUUUUUAAUGGUUUUUCCAAUUGUUUUUUUUUUUUUUGAAACUGAUUAAGCAUCAGGUUACUGCAUUACACAGAUAUAUAUACAACUGCUAUGACAGCAGGUCAUUACACUGAUAUUUACAAUCAGAUAUAUAUACAUGGGACUUAUAUUAUUACAUUUUUAUUCUAUGAAGUACAUGCCCAUCCCAAAUACCCCUCACGGAGGAGGGAUGUCUCUACUCCACUCGCAUUUCGCAAGGGAGAAAGACGUUUAUAGAAAUCUCCACACAAUUAUGUUUAAUUGGAGGAGGUUGAGUCCGUGGGGACUCGAACCAUUGCCCUCAAAGUCAUGCUUAACUUUGAGGGCAAUGGUCCACCACUGGGCUACAAGCCCAAGUGGCGGUUUUUCCAAUUGUUUAUUGCUAUAGAUUGAUUGUAAAUUGAUGUGAACUUAAUGUUGAAAUAUUUUCUCUUUAGUGGAAUGAAAGUUAAACAUUCAAGAUUAGAUUAUUCAAGGUCCACAUAGUAUGUGUUCCGUUGUGUUGUCUGUAAUUUUGCAUUUAAAUAAAUUUGAGUGCUGCCGUUUCGCUCCCACAAUCUCUCGCCUUUUUUUAAUUUUAAAAAUUAAAAUAUUAAUAAAAAACAAUAAAGAAAAUCGAAUCCUUUAUGUCAUUCCAUCUUUACAACUCUCUCUCACAAACUCCAUCUAACAGACUUCUCUCUUACUAUCUCGGUCGAACAAGACCAGUGACAAUGAUGACACGACCGCCGACGAUGAGAUGGUCAUCGCUAAAGAAUCGGGCCGUGUAUUUUACAAUUUCUUGGUUUGUGACAACAAUGGAAAACUCCUGAAAAUUUUGAAUUUGUAGUCGAGCAAAGGAAGAAGCAAGUUAUCUUCAAAGCAUUUUCCAGUAAUAGCUGAUGAAAUUUAAUACUUCAAGCUGGCCCUUUGCUGUCACAACUAGAUGCAUUUGCACUGUCAUUACAAUUUAUGGAAAUUAAAGUAAUUAAUGGUUCUAAUUAAUAGCUUCCCAAAAAACCAAUCUGCCCUUGUGAGAACCAAAGCAUUAAUUUCUUGUAAGAGCUGCAGAAGGCCAGAGAAUUUCAGAUCGUGAAAAGGAGUGUGUGAGUGAGAGAGAGAUCGUGAAAUAGUGAGAGACAAUGAGAGAGAGAGCCGCUCGACUGAGAUGGUGAGAGAGUUGCAAAAAUGGAGUAAGGAGCAGAUAAGAUUAUGUUUUCUUUAUUAUUUUUUAUUAAUAUUUUAAUUUUUUUAAUUAAAAAAGGGCGAGAGAUUUUGGGAGUGAAACGGCAGCAUGUUCCAAUAAAUUUUUACCAAAGUUUCUCUCGUGUUUCUCUCACCUUUCUAGAUACCAAGCAUUUUCCAAUAAAUUUUUACUAAAAACUUAGCAAGCCCUUGAAACUUUGGUCAAAAUUAUUGUUAUUAUUACUUUUAGAGGAAAAACUUUUAUUAAAACCUCAUUAACACAAUUCUUAAUUAAAAUUAUAAGUUUGUGUUGGUGUAAGGAUUUGCAGGAGCAAUUACUGCCUAGCCAAGUGUCAAAAGCACAAAAUAAAUCAAGAGAAAGUAGACAUGAAUUAGGAUCCAAUGAAAUUUAAAUCCCGGAGAAAAGAAAUAAUCAUGCAGAUUAUCAAGAUUUCAAUAAGGGAUAUUGAUAUCCUAUUUUGAUUAAUAAUAUCCUUUUACUGUGUUAACUCAAAAAAUAUGUAUAUUCUAAUAUUUUACAAUAAAUAGAAAUCUAAUAUUAAAAUAAAUGUGAUAUAUAUAUAUAUAUAUUAAAUAAUUUAAAUAUAAAAAAUAUUUUAAUGUUUUACAAUCUACUACACAUAUUUUAUUAAGUUAAUAUAAUUUUUCAAAUAAAUAGGGACAUAAUAUUAAAAUAAAUUUAUAAAAAUUUAAAUUAUUUUGAAUUUAAAAUAAUUUUAAUAUUAUUAAUAUGUUAGAUAUGUUUGAUUAAUUAUAAAAAUUAUUUACGCAAAUUUUUUUAAUAUUUUCAGUAGAUAUAAAUAUAUUACUUACAUUUUGAUUAUUUAACUAUUAUUAUUCUACAAUUAUUUAUAUAAUGUUUGCACUUAUUAGAAUAUAUUUAAAGUCAAAUCUUUUGCACUUCUACCUAGCUAGAAUUAUUGGACGCAGAGAAAUAAGCAUAUAUGCUUUAUAACUUUAGAAAUCGAAUUAUCUAUACAAAUUGAUUUUAGCUGGAAAAAAAGUGAGCUGAAUGAUAUAGGCGAUUAGUGUGGUAAUAUUUCAUAGAGUUAGACUAUUGAAUUUGGCACCCCUCCAAUCUUCUCAUGAUUACCUUUUUGAGUUAUUAAUACACUUCUAAUUUUUCGUUUAAUUUUUUUUAUUGUUAUACUCAAAGUAGUAUUGUGAUAUUUUAUAUUUCUUUUGCAAUCUUAUUAUUAUUUUACACAAAAUUAAAAAGUUUUCUAGGUGAUGAACUUUUGAGUUUUGAACAUUAAUCAUUGGCUUAAAUUUCAUAUAUUUUACAUUAUAAUUUGAAAUUAAGUACGAAAAUAUUUAAUAAAUUAUGAAAAGAUUAACAGAUUAUUCUAAAUUGAUACAACUUAUUUUAGUUAAAUAAAAAGUAACAGGUAAAAAAAAAAAGGAUUGGUUAUGAAAUUUGUUGGAAAAAAAUCUGUGUGUGUUUAAUUUUUAUUUGUCCUUAAUUGUAAUUUAUUUGAAGUGAGGUUUUAUAAGGAUAAUGAAGGGGUGCCAUAGUUUCACUCUAUUUCAUAUGGAGAGAGAAGUAAAAGGUACACCUGAGGUUAAUGGAAAGGACUUCGAAAGUUUCUUUUGAUUAUAAUACUGUUUGUUCUAAUUAACUUAAAAAAUUUUACUUUAAUAUUUUAUAAUAAAUUAAAUUUUAAUCUUAAAAUAAGUAUAAUCAUAUAUUUUAAAAUAAUCUUAAAAUAAAUACAAUCAUAUAUUUUAAAAUAAUCUUAAAAUAAAUACAAUCAUAUAUUUUAAAAUAAUCUUAAAAUAAAUACAAUCAUAUAUUUUAAAAUAAUCUUUAUAUUUAAAAUUUAUUUAUUUGUACAUAUUUUAUAAUAAAUAUAACACAUACUAUUAAAAUAAUAUAUAAAAAAUUAAAGUAUUUUGAAUAUUAUAUAAAAUAACUUUAAGAUUCUUAAUAUGUAAGAUAUAUUUUAUUAAUUUAAAAUUCUAUUUAAAAUUUUAUUAAUUUAAAAUUCUAUUUAACCCAAAGAUUUAUUUAAGAUAAAUUAAUAAUCAUAUUUUUUAAAUCAUUUCAAAUAUUAAAAAAUAUUUUGAUAUUACUAGUCUAUUAAAUAGAUUAAAUAUUUUUAUUAUUUUGUACUAAUCAAAAGUUACAGCUCGAAUGAUAUUAUGAGAACAGAAUUUUUAUGUCUUUAUUAAAAAUUUGGGUUUGUAUAAUUAUUUUUUCAAAUGUUAGGGGCAUAGCUGUCUUUUUACUUUUAUAUAUGUGAACCGCGGUGGUGAAAAAGUGUGAUUUAAUAUUAGUUAUUUAAAUAAUAUCUGAAUUAAAGAUGUACAGAGAAGAAAUUUCGGUGGGCAUUUUAGUCUUUUAACGAUUAUCAUGAUUAGGGAUUAGGUCCUGCUCUUGAAACGUUGGUCAGAAAAGUUCUAAAAUGCGUACAUUAUCUUUACUUUAAAAAAGUUAUUUUAUUUUAUUACAAAUUAAUGCCGACAAGAAAAAGCAAGAUCUUAAANNNNNNNNNNNNNNNNNNNNNNNNNNNNNNNNNNNNNNNNNNNNNNNNNNNNNNNNNNNNNNNNNNNNNNNNNNNNNNNNNNNNNNNNNNNNNNNNNNNNAUAAAGAUGAAGAAAAGGGCAAAAAAAUAUUAAUGAUUAACGAAAUCUCUAUCCAAAUUGAUUUUAGCAGGAAAAAAGUGAGCUAAAUGAUGUAGACGAUUAGUGGUAAUAUUUCAUAGAGUUAGACUAUUGGCACCCUUCCAAUCUUCUCACGAAUCCUCUUUUUGAGUUAUAUUUAUUUUAUUUUUAAAAUAUCUUUUUUCUCUUUUACUACACUUCUAAUUUUUCAUUUAAUUUUUUUAUUGUUAAACUCAAAGUAGUAUUGUGAUAUUUUUAAUUUCUUUUGCAAUCUUAUUAUUACUCUGCAUAUAAAUUAAAAAGUUUUUUAGGUGAUGAAUUUUUGAAUGUUAAUCAUUAGCUUAAAUUUCACAUAUUUUACAUUACAAUUUGAAAUUUAAUAUGAAAAUAUUUAAUCAAUAAGAAUUAUGAAAAGAUUAAUAAAUUAUUCUAAAUUUAUACAACUUAUUUUAGUUAGAUCAGAAGUAGCAGGUUAACAAAAGAAAGGAUUGGUUAUGAAAUUUGUUGGAAAAAAAUCUAUGUGUGUUUAAUUUUUAUUCGUUGUUAACUCUAAUUAAGUAGGUUAAAUAUUUUUGUUAUUUUUUACUUAUCAAAAAAUUUAAGAUCAAUAUUUUUAGUUACCAUUCGAAGGAUAUUAUGACAAAAACAGAAUUUUCACUUCUUUGUUAAAAAUUUGGGGGUUUGUGUAACUAUUUUUUCAAAUGUUAGGGGCAUAUCUGUCUUUUUACUCUAUAUAUAUGAACCAUGGUGGUGAAAAAGCGUGAUUUAAUGUUAUUUAUUUAAAUAAUAUCUCAAUUAAAAAUGUAAGGAGAAGAAAUUUCGGUGGGCAUUUUAGUCUUUUAACGAUUAUCAUGGUUAGGCCCUGGUCUUGAAACGUUGGUCAGAAAAGUUCUAAAAUGCGUUCAUUUGUCUUUACGCCAACAAUAAAAAGCAAGAUCUUAGUGUCCCACAAAAGCAAAUCGUAAUAUUCCGCAAUGGAGUUAGAUCCGCAAAAGCAAACAAAUUCUUUUAUUAAACUACAAAUUAAAGUGGAAUCAUUUACUAAACAACAAAUUAAAUUUGAAAUAUUUAAAUAGUCGUGCGUUAGACGAUUAGAGACUCUUAUUAAAGGCAAGUACAAAGUAGUGAAGAAUCGAAUAUUUCUAUUGUCUAGUCUUUUUUUAAAAAAAAUUUUCUUUUAUUAUUUUUCAGAAUAUGUUUUGGUGAUUACUAUUGGGUUAUUAUUCAGAGUUAUUGUUAUCUUCCGGGGCAGUUUCUGUUCAUCGAAUUCGUUAAUAAAAUUUUAAAACUCUUAUUGAAAGAAUGUUUUUCCGUUAUCUUUUUUAUAAUCUAAUUUUAAGUGUAAGAAGUAGUCAUUUUAGAAUUUGGGUCUUGAAUCGAAUUUCAAUGCAUGAAUUAAUAUUUAAAAAAAAUUUACUACAUGCAGUUUAGGUUACAAACUAUUUUUUGCAAAGUUGACUAUGAAAUUGGAGAAAUUAAGUAAUUUAUAAUGUUUGCAAAGAAAGAGACCAACAUACUUCCAAUUACACUAUAUCUCAAUUAUCAUAAUGUUAAGAUUAAACUAACUUAAAAUAAAAUUUAUUUAAAAAGUUUAUCAAACGCAGUCUAAUUUUAUUAACUUGAAGAGAUAAUAGUUAUAGAAAUUAUUAUUCUAACUUAAUUAGUAAAAGUGGUAUAAAGGUUAAGUGUGCACUAAAUCUAUUUAAAUUUUUUUCCAGUAUAACUAACAGAGGUCAUUACUAGAAUUAUAUUACUAGUCUAUUAGAUAGAAAAAAUUAUUUAUAUUGUUUUAUAUUUAUUAAAAAAAUUUAAAGUCAAUCUUUUUAAUUACUAUUUAAAGGAUAUUAUAAUUAAAAAAAUUUUAAUGUCUUCAUUAAAAAUUUAAAAUUUUAUAUGACCGUUAUCUAAAUAUUUAAAGUGUAACUGUCAUUUUCUCAUAUAUAUAUAUAAUUUCAUCAACCCCUUAUACUUUAUGUUAUUUAUAUUUUAUUCAUGAAUAUUAUAAAUUUUUUGAAAUAUAAAAUUUCGUUUAACCCUUUAUACUCAAUUUUAUUUUAUUAAAACCCUAGAGUAUGAAUUCGUCCCUAUAAUAUUAAAUUCUCAAAAUAACUUCCAUUUAAUUAAAAAAUAUAAUUAUUAUUAAAUGAAUUAUAAUUAUUAUUAUUAUGUUAUUAUAAUCAUAAAAAGCGAGAUCAUAUUCCACAAAAGCAUAAGUGACAAAACAACCAACUGGAUUCUUUUAUUAAUCAACAAAUUGUAUAGUCUUUUUCAAAUUGUUAUAAAUUGGUGGCCCCUACAAUCCUCAAUAAUUGUACCGAAAUUCACAAGUUGGUGGGCCCUACAAUUCUGUUCCGAUAAUUUAACUGUGCAAGUGCUCAUUCACAAUCUUCCAGGUCAUGCUCUUAACAAUUGUUUUUUCUUUUCUGCACGCCCUUUCAUGCUCUUAAUAAUUGAAGAGCAUACUUUUCAAAUGUGAAGCCGCAUCUAAUGUCGCUAAUUUAAUUUGGGAUUAAAUUACGGGACUAUUAUAUUGCAGUGUGCACUAAUUUUUAUGUUUAUCUAAACUCUUCAAAUUUAAAACAUAUUAUGGCAUAAAUAAGAAUGUAACAAUAACAAAAGAGUAAGAAAGUGUAGAGAAAAUCUUGCAGAAAUAUAAAUAAUAUUUAUUUUUAAAAUAAUAUUAAUAUUUAAAAUAAUUUUUAAUAUUUUAUGGUCCAUUAGAUAUAUUUUAUUAUAUUAAAAUAAAUUUUAUAAUAAAUAAAAACAUACUAUUAAAAUGAAUAUAUAUAGAAAAUUUAGAGUAUUUUAAGUAUUAUAUAAAAUAAUUUUAAUAAAAUAUGUGAGAUAUUCAUAUUUUAUUAAUUUAAGAUACCAUUUAACCUAAAGAUUUAUUUAUGAUAAAUUAAUAAUUAUAUUUUUGAAAUUACUUCAAAUAUUAAAAAAAUUAAUAUUACUAAUAUAUUAGAUAGAUUAAAUUAUAUAUAUUAUUUUUACUUAUUAAAAAAAUUUUAAAAUUAUUUUUAAUUACUAUUCAAAAAACGUAUUCAAAAAACAUAAUGAUAAAAAAAUCUUAACAUCUUUAUUAAAAAAUUAAAAACUUAUAUGAUAAAUUCUCUAAAUAUUUACGGUAUAUGUGAACCACGGUGGAUAAGCUUUAUUUAAUAUUAUUGAUUUAAAUAAUAUGUCAAUUAAAAAUGUACAGAGAAGAAAUUUCGGUGGGUAUUUUAGUCUUUUAAGCAAUUAUCAUGAUCAGAUCAGCCUUUAGCCUUCAAACGUCGGUCAGAAAAGUUUUAAAAUUAAUGCUAAAUUGUUUUUCACUUUUAACGUUGGUGGCCUUGAAAUUGCUUGUAUUUUAUUAAAAAUUAAUGCUAACAAGAAAAAGCUAGGUCAUAUUCCACAAAAUCAAAAGUGACAAAACAACCAGCUGGUUUCUUUUACUAAACUACAAAUUAAAAUAAAUUUUUUCGAUAAAUUACAAAUUAAAGUGGAUUCUUUUGAAUACAAAUGGGACAGACGAUUAGGCUCUUUUUAUUAGAGGCAAGUAAAAACUAGUCAAGAAUCGAACAGUCUUUUUCCAAUUCUUGUUUUAUUAUUUUUCAAAACUAGUUUUUGGUAAUUACAACCGGGUCAUUAAUCAUUAUUCAGAGUUAUCUUCCGGGGCAGUUUCUGUUCAUCGAAUUCGUUAAUAAAAUGUUAAAACUCUUAUUGAAAGAAUGUUUUUCCGUUAUCUUUUUUAUAAUCUAAUUUUAAGUGUAAGAAGUAGUCAUUUUAGAAUUUGGGUCUUGAAUCGAAUUUCAAUGCAUGAAUUAAUAUUUAAAAAAAAUUUACUACAUGCAGUUUAGGUUACAAACUAUUUUUUGCAAAGUUGACUAUGAAAUUGGAGAAAUUAAGUAAUUUAUAAUGUUUGCAAAGAAAGAGACCAACAUACUUCCAAUUACACUAUAUCUCAAUUAUCAUAAUGUUAAGAUUAAACUAACUUAAAAUAAAAUUUAUUUAAAAAGUUUAUCAAACGCAGUCUAAUUUUAUUAACUUGAAGAGAUAAUAGUUAUAGAAAUUAUUAUUCUAACUUAAUUAGUAAAAGUGGUAUAAAGGUUAAGUGUGCACUAAAUCUAUUUAAAUUUUUUUCCAGUAUAACUAACAGAGGUCAUUACUAGAAUUAUAUUACUAGUCUAUUAGAUAGAAAAAAUUAUUUAUAUUGUUUUAUAUUUAUUAAAAAAAUUUAAAGUCAAUCUUUUUAAUUACUAUUAAAGGAUAUUAUAAUUAAAAAAANNNNNNNNNNNNNNNNNNNNNNNNNNNNNNNNNNNNNNNNNNNNNNNNNNNNNNNNNNNNNNNNNNNNNNNNNNNNNNNNNNNNNNNNNNNNNNNNNNNNNNNNNNNNNNNNNNNNNNNNNNNNNNNNNNNNNNNNNNNNNNNNNNNNNNNNNNNNNNNNNNNNNNNNNNNNNNNNNNNNNNNNNNNNNNNNNNNNNNNNNNNNNNNNNNNNNNNNNNNNNNNNNNNNNNNNNNNNNNNNNNNNNNNNNNNNNNNNNNNNNNNNNNNNNNNNNNNNNNNNNNNNNNNNNNNNNNNNNNNNNNNNNNNNNNNNNNNNNNNNNNNNNNNNNNNNNNNNNNNNNNNNNNNNNNNNNNNNNNNNNNNNNNNNNNNNNNNNNNNNNNNNNNNNNNNNNNNNNNNNNNNNNNNNNNNNNNNNNNNNNNNNNNNNNNNNNNNNNNNNNNNNNNNNAUUGUGGGCACUCUUGUUCGUGCAUGUUUGCUAGAAGAGAUGGAAGAUGAUAAAGUAAAAAUGCAUGACGUUGUUCGUGAUAUGGCUUUAUGGAUAGCUUGUGAAAUUGAGAAGGAGAAGAGAAACUUUUUGGUUUGUGCAGGUGCUCGAUUAGAAGAGGCACCGGGUGUUAAAGAAUGGGAAAAUGUGAGAAGAUUGUCAUUGAUGCAAAACCAAAUUGAAACUGUGUCAGAGAUUCCCGCAUGCCCUCAUCUCCAUACUCUAUUUCUUGCCUCUAAUAGGAAUUUCAGGAUGAUCACGGAUGGCUUCUUUCAAUUUAUGCCUUCUCUCAAAGUUUUGAAGAUGUCACGCUGUGGGCAAUUCGAAGGUUUUCAAUUACCUGUUGGGAUGUCAGAGUUGGGUUCAUCACUAGAACUUCUUGAUAUUUCACAUACCACCAUAAGAGAGUUACCCGAAGAGUUAAAGUUGCUGGUAAAUCUGAAAUGUUUGAAUUUGAGGUGGACAGGUGCGUUAAUUAGAAUUCCACGGGGACUAAUAUCAAAAUUUUCAAGGUUACGUGUGUUGAGAAUGUUGGGUACUGGCGGGUUCAUUUUUUAUGAAGCACCAGAAGACAGCGUUUUAUUUGGUGGGGGUGAAGUUUUGAUACAGGAAUUGCUCGGUUUGAAAUAUUUAGAGGUAUUGGAGUUGACCUUGGGAAGUUAUCAUGCUCUCCAAAUUCUUUUGAGCUCAAAUAAGUUAAAAAGUUGUAUUCGAUCUCUUUACCUCUAUUUGACCGGAGAUAAAAAGUCGAUUAUUGAUGCUACGGCUUUCACAGACCUAAACCACCUCAAUGAAUUAUGGAUUGAUAAUGGAAUUGAGUUGGAAGAAUUGAAGAUUGAUUAUACGGAGAUAGUACGAAAAAGGCGGGAACCUUUUGUUUUCCACAGCCUUCACCUUGUUACGAUAUAUAGUUGCCAUAAAUUGAAAGAUUCGACAUUCCUCGCUUUUGCUCCAAACCUCAAGUCUCUUUCGCUAUUCAAAUGCCGUGCUAUGGAAGAAAUAAUCAGCGUCGGAAAAAUUGCUGAGAAUCCUGAGAUGAUGGGACAUAUAAGCCCUUUUGAAAAUCUCAAAAGUCUUGAUCUAUCAUAUUUGCCGGAGUUGAAGAGCAUUUUCUGGAAGCCAUUGCCUUUCACUCAUCUCAAAGAAAUGGGGGUAAGAGCAUGUGAUCAGCUUAGAAAGCUUCCACUCGAUUCCAACAGUGCAAAAGAGCGUAAAUUUGUAAUUCGUGGAGAAGAAGACUGGUGGAACCGACUUCAAUGGGAGGAUGAAGCCACUCAAAUUGCUUUUCGUUCCUGUUUCCAACCUGAUUCCUGAGCGGUGGUCGCAAAAUUUGAUUUCUGGUGAGUGCGUUUGUCUUUUAAAAGAAGAAUUUAAAAGAAAUUUAUUCUUGACGUUUUCUUCACUGUUUUUAUUUCAGUCUCUCUCUCUCUCUUUUUGUCUUCUGCUAAUCACAAUUAAAUGUUGAAUUAAUGGAAUUAAUGCUUCAUAAAUUUGCCGGCACUGCCAUUACUUUUUUUUUUUUUAAUACAAAUUGAUACUUUAUUUAUAUCUUCUUAGCGAUUUAAUUUCCUGUCAAUUGACGAACGAGAAGAACAUAUGACUUGAACCAAUGCUCGCAUAAACUUGCUGUAAAAAGAUAUAAUCUCACUGAAAUGCACACGCCUAGAAUGAAUAGAAUUAAAACAGGGAAAAUAUUAAGUAUAUUAGCCCUCUUUACCGAAAAUCAAAUGACAAUAAAUUUUUUGAAGUUUUGAUUUUCUAUGGUCAAUUCCACCUUUUGCAAUUUCUUCUGUUCUAACAAAAACCAAUUUCUUUGUUCAAGUAUUUUCGUUUGGGUAUUAAUAAUUCUCCACCGAAAGAGUGAACUCUUGCUCAAGGGAUCUCUAAUCAAUAGCCGGAAGGGCGCCGAGACCUGAUCGGACCUAGGCCCAAGUUUGGUCUUAAAGCCUGGGCUUGAGCCUGGCAAUUAAAUUAAAACAGUAAUUGAUUUCUUGAAUGAAUUGUCGUGUAAUUGAUUUAUGGGGGAUGACACAUCAACAUACUUGAAAAUACACUAAUCUCAGCAUCAUCCGUUAAUAACUUUUAGAUUUAUGGGCAAUCAAUAGUUAAAUUAGUUGUCAUUAAUACUAAAUAAUUUUUACUUUUUUUGUCUCUUCUAGAGGAUCUUCUAGAAAAAUGCAUCCACAAUUAAAUUUAAUACUUUACAUAAUAAAGAAAGCAUAAAUGUUAAAUUUAAGAAACUGCAUUGUAUUUCAGCUGAAGUUGACUUUAAUAUUUAGGGUAGAAAAAAAUUAAAUCCUUAAUGUGUUUAAUUUCUAUCACUUGUGUCAUUAAAAUUUUCUAGUCACCCUAACCAAUUACAUCUCAACCCACUUUUUUUUGGAUGAUUUUAUUUUUACACUAUUAUUUUCAACAUUUUUUUUUCCUUUUAACACCAACAUUAGUGUAUGUUACGUAACAUAAUCCAUAUUUGGAUAAUUUGAAAUUUGUUUGUGUUUUAUCUCAAAAUAGAGCUUCAAUCAAUUUGUACCUCAUAAAUUCACAAUAUCUGGCAUAUUGUCAAAUGUGCUUAUCCUUUUGCUUGACAUGUCAUUUUAAAAUUGUCAUUCAAUGUCAAAAAAUCACAUCAACUAAUGGCCGACUACUUUAAUUUGAAAGCAUGCGUGCGAUCGCCAAUAAUUAUAACUUAAUUGUUAUAUUGAAAUUUUUUUCUUUAUAAUUUAAGUUUAAUACUGCUACAUGUGUGGCACAUAAGUUGGAAAAUAUAACAUAAAAUUUGAAAAAUGUGUAGUUUUCGUUCCUUUUUUUUCUAAAAAAAUGGGAAAAAAGAAUGUAAUUUUGUUUAAAUUACUGUUGUCAUAACAAUUAUUAUUUUAUUGAUUAAUUGGCAGAGAAUCGUAAUGGUUUCGCAUGGUUGUUAAAACAUUGGAAAGUCCACUACAUCAUCGGUUAAUAACUUUCAGAUUUAUGGUUAAUUAAUAGCUGAGAUUUAUUAUCAUUAAUGCUAAAUAUUUUUUCUCUCUCCUGGAGGAUCAUCCACAGGCAGGUGCUUCCUGACGAUGACAAAAUUUUGGGCAGGCAGGUGCUUCCUGACUUUCACACGGUAAUUCUCAAAUUCUGAUUUCACCAUAUUUUAAUUACUGAUUAGCAUAUAUUCAAGUGCUCUCCAUUAUAAUGGAAGCCGCCGCCUCACUCGUAAUUCCAAACUUUAUCUUUUUUUCCUUUUUUAAAUUAAUGCAAGUAGCCGCUGUCCUUUCUAUUAAUUAAUUAAUUCGGCCGCCCACAUUUCUUUUCCUAAUGUCUUCUACUGUCGAGUUUAUUUUAUUUUCUCUUUAUUAUUAAAAUAUACUUAUAAUAAUAAAAAAAUAAAAAUUAACAUAUCAAAAUAUAAUUUAACAGAAAAUUAAGAUAAAAAAUUAAAAAUAAAUAAAUUAUGAGCAUAUCAAUCAAUAAAUGAAAAAUAAUAAUUUUUAUUUUUAUUAAAUAUAAAUUUUUCAGUAUUAAUCAAUUAUCUGAAUAAAUAAAAUCAUUUAAAAAUAAAUAAAUAAAUUAUUCUUAAAAAAAAAAAAAAAACUUUUUAUAACACUCACUAUGCUGGUUGUAGGGUUGACGCUUUGGGUACUGAAGCUAGUAACUUCUACAAGUAGUCUUAAGUUGACUGGCAACAACUAUAUUGGCAUUUAGAAAUAAUGUACUGCAACCAUAUUGGCAUGUUCAAAUGUUCUUAUUAUUGUAUUGGUGUGUCAAUAUUAUCUCUAACGGUUUUAUAAAUAAAAAAAUAAUCUAAAUUUAUAAUUUAACAUAAAAUAAAAUAAUUGGUAGAAAAACAAUUAUGGUUCAUUUACUUAUCAGUAAUCAGAAUAGACUGAAAUCGAAAUGAGUUGUAUUACUGUUGAUGUGUUUAUGUUGUACUCGAAUCGAAAUGAAUUAUUUUAAAUUACUAAAAUAUCCUUGGUCUGUUAUUCUAAUUAUUAUUAUUAUUUAAUAUUUAUUAUAAUAUUUUUCAUAUCAUUAAAAAAAAAUAAUAAUGAUGAUAAUAUUCUCAUUAUUGUUUGUUACAUUAUUAUUAUUCAAAAAAAUUAUUGUUAAUAACAAUAAUUACUUUAUUUCAAUAAUAAUAAUGAUAAAAUUAAUAAUAAUAAACAUGACAACAACAAUAAUUAUUUAUUAUGCCAAAAAAUAACAAUAAUAAUAAGAAUAAUAAUCAUCAUCAUUUUUUUGCCAAAGAAGCAUUAUCAUCAUCAUUUCAAAAAAAAAAUCAUCAUCAUCAUCAUCAUUUUUGUAGUGGCUACCUAUCGGCUGCUGCUUUCAUGUGAGAUUGACUUGCGACGCUUCAACGGCUAUUAUUUCUGACAAUGUCAGGUGUUGCUAUUUCAAUUUAGGAAGAAGUUGUUUCGGUGUGCUAGCGAUGGGAGAUGUUGUGGCUGCGAUUCGGGGAGCUACUAGUUUAUUGCACUAAUAACGGCAGGUGCUGUUGCUUGAUGCGAGGUCCAUGGCCAGUUGUCAGCAGUUCGACUUUGGUAUGGGUGCUGCUGGUUCGAUUUUAGGUGUUGUCCAAUUUCAUUUUCAGGAUUUUAAUUUUAUUUUUCUUUUAUAUUUUCAUUAAUUAAUCAGGGUAAAAUUGGAUUUUAGAAUUUAGAAUGAAGGUAAUUUUGUUAAUAAUGGAAAUGAGAUUCUGAUUGUCGAGAAUGAGCUUACACAAACAACUAUAAAUUAAGUGAAAACAAAACACUUUUUCUCUUUGUGUGAUUAAAACAUGAUAUGUACCAUAAAUAAAUAAGUAAAAAAUAAAUCAACACAAUCUAAAACAGUAAACAAAUUACAAGAGGCACAGAUUUUUAUGUGAAACACCGAAAAUGGAAAAAACCACAGCAUCUUAGUUUGAUAUAAUCUUCUACUAUAUUAAUGGGAUUAUAGCACAAAUUCUUUCCUAUAUAACACUAGAGAUUAACAACAUCAAGAAUCUCAAUAAUCUUGACUUACAAUACAGCCUAAUAUUUGUCUCUCUAAUAAGUAGAUAUCUAAAAUAACAGUCUCUAAUAAGUAUGUAUCUAAAAUAAUAGUCAACAAGAGGAUAAAACAAAAAUUAAGAUUAGUAGGAUGUGUAUAAGGUGAUGCUAUCAAUUUAUCUUCUAAAUUUGAGAAAAAUAGUUAAAUUCACUUUUUCGAUUGUCCGACCAAAAAUGGAAACCCUUGCCCCAAAACCAAAGGAAUCACCAUUAUGUUUUUCUCUCUCUCUCUCUCUAUCUCGUUCUUUUCUUCUUCUUUUCUUAAUGUUAGCCAUCACUUGCUUUUAUUCUUUAUAGCAUUCAAAAAGCUACUUUUAAUGGUAAAUUUCAUUUAAGUCUGCAACUUAGUGAUAAUUGCACACCAAACAAUCCUUACAUAGUGUUUUGGGCCCUCAAAUGAGAUGAAUACAACAAAUCUCCCCCUUUAAAUCAUGUGGGGGGCACCGCAAGCCCGCUAUUUGCAUAUAGCUUUUCAGCUUCUCCUUGAAUAAUGACUUUGUCAUCAUACAUAAUCCAUUCUUCGUUGUGUAAAUCUUCUCAAGCUGUAACUGUUCCUUCUCAAGCUGUAAUUAUUCCUUCUCAAGCACGUCUCGUAUCUAAUGAUACCUUACAUCAAUAUGCUUAGAUUUCGAAUAGUAUAACAGCACUCUGACUAUCGUAGUACAUAACAUAGCUGUCUUGUUUUACACCCAGCUCUUGUAGGAAAUUCUUCGUCCACAAUAUUUUUUUGCAACCUUCAAUAAUUGUAAUAUCAUUUGCUUUAGUGGUAGAAAAGGCAACUUAUUACUAAAGUUUAGAUUGCGAUGAGACUGUUCCCCCUGCAAAAGUGAGCAAACAUCCUAGUAGGAAUUUUUCGGAAUCAACAGCUCCUGCCAUAUCUACACACUUGUAACACAGGUUUGUCACCACCAAAAUAUAAACAUGCUCUGGAAAUGCAUCUAAGAUAUCUGAGAAUUUUUCACUGUUGUCCAGUGCUCUUUACCGAGGUUGAAGAGAAACCACUGACUACACUAACUGUAUAGGCAAUAUUUGGUCUUGUACAAAUUAUGGCGUACAAUAAACUGCCAACUGCUGAAGCAUAAGGAACUCCUCUCAUGGAGAAAUGGGUUUUACUCUUGAGAUUUUUGGGACCAUGAAGAAUAAAGAUGUAAUUUCUUAUACUGCCAUUGUUUCGGGAUAUAUAAAUAGAGAACAAGUCGAUAUAGCUCGACAGUGUUUUGAUCAGAUGCCAGAACGAGAUUAUGUCUUAUGGACUACCAUGAUUGAUGGGUACCUUCGAGUGAAUAGGUUCAGAGAGGCUUUGACACUUUUUCAGGAGAUACAAACUUCAAAUAUAAUGGGAGACGAGUUUACCAUUGUUAGCAUUCUUACAGCUCGUGCGAAUCUGGGGGCACUAGAACUGGGAGAAUGGAUAAAGACUUAUAUUGACAAAAACAAAGUCAAGAAUGAUAUAUUUGCGGGGAAUGCUUUGAUAGACAUGUACUGUAAAUGUACUGUAAAUGCGGAGAUGUUGAGAAAGCUCAAAAGGUAUUCAGGAAGAUGCUUUGAAAGGUCAAAUUCACAUGGACGACCAUGAUUGUUGGCCUUGCCAUCAGUGGAAAUGGUGAUAAAGCUCUUGAUAUGUUUUCCCAAAUGCUCAGGGCUUCGAUCAAACCAGAUGAGGUAGCUUAUGUUGGUGUUCUGUCUGCCCGUACUCACAAUGGUAACGAAACUUUUGUGAUAAAUAGUUGCAACUUAAGGUGAGAACUGGAGGAAGGGAAAUAGAUUGAAGUUGUUCAAUCAUCAGUAGUUGCUACUUGGUUUUAAGUUGUUCAAUCAUCGGUCGUCUCUAUUUGGUUUUCUCCAAUAUCUCAUCUUCAAUUUUGACUCAGAUUGUAUCUUACCACUAGUAAUUACAUAGACUUGCUGCCAAAGGUAAGAAUGGGAAUAAAUUAAAUAGAUUAUGUCGAAAACGAAAUAAAUUUACUAUUGUUCUGUUCAUUCUAUUUGUUUCCUACAAAAUAUUUCUCCUGCCUAAAAUUUUUUGAAUCAGUAAGUUUUUACCUUAUGGAUGAAUUGUGUUGAGAGUAAUUCCAUUUCUCAGUCUCUUUAUGUUUCAAUGAAGACGUAAAACUUGUGUUCUAGUGCACCAACGUUUAUGCUUCUUACAAUUUGACUUUAAUUUACUUUGUAAAAUUUUUGUCAAAAAGUACUAAAAAGUAGUGCACCAAACACCAACUUUAUUACAGAGAGGACUUUAGUUAAAUUUUAAGAAAACACUCAAAAGAAAGAGUUGUAAAUUAUUAUAAAAAUAUUUCACAUAAAUAAAAGCCAUCCCAUGCUGCAAAGAUCUUGCUAUAAUCACCAAAAACUAUCGGGAGCUUUUAGGGUUUCCAUAAAAAUGCCAUUUCGUUCCAUGUAUAUGAUUCUAUAGUCUCACUGGCAAGUAAACCACAGCCCAACAGCACUGACUGUCCAUGAUGAUUCACCCCAAUGAACGAAACCAGCGUUGCAUCAUAUCUUUCUGUCAAGCAUGUAAUAUCAAUUGAUUUGAGCUAUUAACAUCAUUUCCAAAUACUCCAUUGGCAUCUACAUUACCAUUUCCCUCGGCAUCAAUGAUAAGAGUUCGAAACAGUCUAAUCUUUUGAACUUCUUCAGCACCAUCUAAGAGCAAUGUUCUUUUGGUUCCAAUACCCAUGUGCUUAUGAUAUUUGUAAAAUAAUUAUUUGUAAAAUAAUUAGUUCAAUUUUGACAUAAUACGGAAUAAACACAACCUGCCAAUCUAAGUUACUAUCUUUUCCCGUCAUCAGGUACCUGUUUGAAAAAUAAUUAUAUACAAUUUUAUUUGCGUCGUCCCUCUAAAAAUUUGGGACUCAAAUGUUAUUUCUAAUUGCUAAAAGUACGAAAUUGCCCCCUUUCUCUUCAGCUAAAGGAGUGCAAAGUCAUCUGUAUAAUUGAAUCUGCAUCAUCAGUUUCUAUUGCUGGCUGGUGUUACUGCAUGCUUACAGUUGCUUGACAAAGUGAGCCAGUUUUUUGUUUAUUAAUUUUUUUUCUUGUCGAGACAGUCACAAAGUAUUACUUGUUCUAUUUGAGAAUGAUGUGAAUCAAUUUUUCAAUUAUGCAUUCUGUGGUAAUUAUUGUGAAUUUAGUUUCAUUUGUCUUGUCUCCUGCAAAUUUUGAAGAAAAUGCAGACAUACAAAUUUACAAUAUGUAUUUGCGUUAGUAUAAAAACAAUUGUUAGAUGAUUAAAGCGAUUUAUUUUUUUUUUUACAGCAUUUGAUUGUAUUAGUUAAAAUCAUUUUUUAAGGAUAAAAAUAAAUAGAAAAUUAUUCUCAUGUAGUGUGGAAAUCUUUUCUAAUUUCUUGUUGACUUGUACAUUUAUUUCAGAAUUUCCAUUCAUUAAUUCUACUGUUUUAAUCUUUGACUUAGCUACCGUAGUUGACUUUUUAUAUCAAAGGCUUAAACAGCAUGCAUUUUUGAAUUGACUGAGAAUAAUUUGGUGGACAAAUUACUAGUAAAGGACUUCAAAUGGUUGAAUUGACUGUGGGUUUUUCAUGCCCAAGUCACUCGUCACGUCGUUUCAUCGAAACAAAGUGCCCGGUGCAAAUGGUGUGAUGUAAAACACCUUUUUAAAUUGUCAUUUUUUUUCCUUUGCUUUUGCUUUAAUUUUCUAAAUGCUCAACGCCAUAAAUCCAUGUAUUCUUAAUUUUCGUUUGCUGUAUUGAUUCCCAACCCUCUAUGUCACAAGGUUUUGAAUGCCAGUAAUUAAGUUAAAUUAAACAUAUUUUAAGUCCUACUUUAAAUUAUUGAAAAAUGUAUUAUGGUUGAACUGAAUUUUAACUAAAAAAUAUAUACAAAAUAAAAGAUUAAUCAUAUCUUUUUAUGAGGAAGGUCAGUCAUCAUUCUGACCACAGACACUUAAAAUUAAUUGAGUGGAAUAUUGCAAAAUAUAUAUAAACCAUGCCAAAACUAGAUGUUUGAGUAAUGAAAACGAGAAUUCAUAUGACUCAGAAAUAUGGUCGCUUUCCUUUUUCUGAAAGGCAAAAAAAAAGGGGGAACCAAAAAGGACCAAAAUGAACAAAAAUGGAAGGCGAAGGUAAGCAGACAUGUUAUAUGUUUUACCUAAGAUGCCAAAUGCAACUCCCCAUUGAUGGUGAUCGAACAUUAUGGCCAUUUUCUUAGUAAACAAAAAAUGAAUUUUGAACACUCAACAACGAAACUUGAGCAGAAGAUCAAGCAAGGGCCUCGAUCUCAAAGAAGAUACUAUGAAACCCUACUUAAUGGUUAAAUAACUUUCAUUCAGCUUUGGACCCUAUUUCGUGAUACGGAAAGACAAACCUUUCUUGGCCGGCAGUGUCCCAGAUCUGGGCUUUGAUGAUCUAGAGGUUGAUGGUGACAGUUCUGGUUUGGAACUCGACGCCAAUGGUUUAUUUCGAUUCAAAGCAAAACUCAUUCUUGGUGAAUCUCGAAAGAAUCUGAGACUUGCCCACGGCCGAGUCACCGAUCACCACUACCUUGAAUACAUAGUCUAUUUUGUCAGGAAUCAUAUUCUCUCGUUGUUGAUGACGAUGAUCGGUGCCAUCACCACUCAUUUCUUCGUUCAUUCAUUCUAUGUCCAUUGAUCUUUUUGAAUUAUUGAAGACAAGUGGCUCACCGCUUUUAGUAUUGGUAAAAUUCAGAUAAUCUCUAUUCCGAAAUAAUAAUAUUAAAAAUAUCUCUUAAAUCAUUAUAAACUUCAAAUCUAUUUUAAUUUUAUUUAAAAGAUAAAAGAAAAAUAAGUUAUGUUGGUGAUUUUUUAUUAUCUUUUUAAUAAAAAUAGAAUAAAUUGAUGUUUAUAAUUAUUUAAAGUAUUUUAAAGAUUGCUAUUUUAUGAGAGAAUAAUAUUUCAUUUUUUUUUUCGUGUGAAAGACCGAAAAAGGACAAAGCAAGUUUCCCUAAUUUUUAUUUUAUGUGAAAUUGGUCAUCUCAUAUACUUUACCCUUCAACACUCUAAUUUUUUUGGUUAUAAUUUUAUUAUUUUUUCUCUUUUACACAUGCAUGUGAAUUACUUUUCUUUAAGCUCCUGAAUAUUUAAGACAAAUCAUGGAAGAGAUGAGAGUAUAACAAGAUGAUCAAAAUAUGUAACAAAAAAAUUUUAGAAGUGAAAAAUAUGUUAGAGUCGAAGUAAAACUCUGAGGUGAUGUUUGAUUUGAAGAAAAUGGAGGAGAGAAAAAGAGUGGAAUGGAGAGGAAAAGAGAGAAAAGGAGAGGAGAGGAGAGGAGAGUGAACUUUUUUUCUAAUGUUUGGUUUGUCACAUAAAUAUACAAAGAAAGGAAAUCUCCAAUUUUUUAUUUAGACAAUUUUAACCUUAAUAAGUAUUAAGCUUUCAAUAUUUAUCAUGUGUAUAAUUUAAAAAAAGUAAAUGGUAGAAAGCGGUUUCUGAUUCCGGCCACAUCGCCGGCAAUGGAAGGUACUUAUCAGAACAUCAAGAACCGGCCAUCAUUCCCUAGCCAUCACUGCUGUAGGAACACUGCUAAAAAGCUGCCGAUUGAACCGCGAAAAGUCGUGGAAAUCGUUGCCUCAAAUCGGUGAGUUUCGCCUUUUUCUGGUCAUGCCGUCGCCUUGGCUUUGUCCAUCAACGCUGCCACUUCCAUUUCAACCAUCCAUAGCCACUAUUAACCGCCAAAUCGCCGCCGAUCAGCGGGAUCUGUGGAAGUUAAAAAGUUUCUAAAAUUUUUUAAUUGGAUUUGAACAACAUACAACCAUUUUUUGAUCUCAAUAACGACAUAGUAAUGUUGAUCGUUGGUCGGCAAGUCGAAUGGUAGUGGCGGUGAGUAACACGCGCCAAUGACAUCGGCGGCGGCGGCGGCACUAUCCGGCUACUGUUAAAAUUAAUAUUUUAUAUUUGUAGAUUAAAUAAAUUUAUUUUAUUAAACUUUUUAAAUCAUUAUUUAAAUUUAAUUAAUUUAAAAUUAUCUAUGAUGUUGAAUUGAUAAAAUAAAUUUAUAAAUAAUAAUUAUGUGAUUACAUUAAAUAAGUUAAAAAGUUGAAGGGUUAUUUUUGGAAGAUUUAGUUUCCAACACAAAGGGAAUUUGAAUUCUUCACUUCUUAGUGUGGAAUUCAAAUUCUAUAUUGUAAUGGAUAUUAAAUUCCAAUAGAAAUUAAAUUCUUAUAAGUUAUGUCAAACCAAACAACGGAAAUAAAAAAAAAGAAUUUAAAUUACUUUCCUUUCCUCCACCCUCUCCUUCCAACCAAAUACAUCCUGAAAAUAGAGAUAUUGAUUAAUUUAGAAGAGAUGCAAGCAAAAGAUAUUCCACAAAAAAAAAAAAGCAAUAUGUCCCUUUGGAGGGCAAACUUGUCAGUUUUAAAAAAGUACAUGCUUUGGAUUGAUAGUUGUAGGAUAUUUGUUUUGUCACUAUGUGUUAGUUGGAGAAGUCAAGCCUUGUGAAGAAUGUUAUGAAAGAGCAAAGGAUAUUCCUGAUAGCUGAUAGAGCUCUAUUUGAUUAUGUAUCCAAUGAAUGGAUGUGUUGUUGGAAGAUAUUUGAGUGCAUUAGUUCAUAUGUGUCUAUCAAUGUGAUUUUAAUGAUUUUUCCACUUGUUUGUUGUAAAAGAUUAUUGUAAAUUGAAAUGAACUUGAUGUUGUAAUAUUUUCUCCUUAGUAGAAUUUCACCUAGUAUGUAUUUAGUUGUGUUGUCUAUAAUUUUGCAUUCGAAUAAGUUUCACCUAAAAUAUUAGCAUGAGUAGUGGCCCUUGAAACUUUGGUCAAAAUUAUUGUUAUUAUUUCCGACUAGAUGUAAAUUUUUUAUUAAAUCUCGCUAACACAAUUCUUAAUUAAAAGUAUAGGUUAGUGUUGGUGCAAGACUUGCCACACCAAAUUCUGCCUAACUGUCAAAAGUGCAAAAUAAAUGAAGAGAAAGCACAAAUACACGACUUGAAUAAGGAUACAACGAAACUUAAAUUCAAGAGAAAAUGAUAGCUAUAUCUCAAGAUUUGAAAAAACGGUCAUGUAGAUUUUUAAGAUUUCAAUAAGCGACUGAGAUUCAAAUAAUAUCCUUUAAUUCUAUUAACAAAAAACAAAGACUCAAAUAUUUUAUGAUAAAUAAAAAUAUAAUAUUAAAAUAUAUGUGAUAAUAUACACAUUUUAAAUACUUUCAAUCCAAAAAAAUAGUUAUGUUUUACAAUCUAUUAGACAUAUUUUAUUAAAUUAAUAUAAAUUUUCUAUAAAAUAAGAAUAUAAUAUUAAAAUAAAUUCACAAAAAUUUAAAGAAUUUUGAAUGUAAAAUAAUUUUAAUAUAUCAAUACGUGAGUUUUUUUAUUAAUAUAAAAUUUAUUUAACUUUAAGAUUUUUUAAAAUCUUUACAAUAAGUAUAACUAUAUUAUUUACAUUUAAAAAUAUUUAAAUAUUAUUAACCUACAAUUAUAUUUGCAUUUGUUAGAAAUUUUUUAAGUCAAAUAUUUUGCACUUCUAUAUUAUUAGAAUUAUUGCACAAAAAGAAAGAAACAUACACCUUUAGAAAUUGUUUUCUUUUAAAAUAGAGAUGAUGAUUAGUAUAAGGAUGAAAAAAAGGAUAAAGAAUAUUAAUGAUUAACGAAAUCUCUAUACAAAUUGAUUUUAGUAGGAAAAGAGUGAGAUGAAUGAUUUCUUUUACAGUUAGAAACAUAGAUGAUGAUUAUUAUAACGAAGAAAAAAAGAUAAAGAAUAUUAAUUAUUAAUGGAAUCUCUAUACAAAUUGAUUUUAGUAGGAAAAAAAUGAUUAAAUGAUUUAGAGUGCGUUUGGAAUUGAGAUUGGGCAGCCAUAGAUUUUAAGUUACAACACUGAAGUGUUUAGUAAAUACUAGUUGCUGCAGAUUGAAAGUUAUGUUGAUAUGAUUUUUCACAUGUAUCAUAGAAAAUAUAUUACAUCUUUAAUAUUUUUUAAAAAUUUAUAUUUGCUAUAUAUUAUUAAUUUUUUUUUAUAGUUAUAACUUUUUUUCCACAACAGUUGUAGCUUAAAAGUCACAGCACCUCAAUCUCAAACAAAUCCUUAGACAUUCAUAGUGUGUUUAUUUUUUGGAUUGGUGAAUCAAAAUUAUUGACAACGCUAACUUCAUCUUCACUGUUCGCAAUCCAACAGCAGCAAUUGUCGCCAAUAAUGAUAUCUCCAAUGAUGAUGACAAUUAUUAUUAUUAUUUUUAUUAUUAUUAUUAUUAUUAUUAUUAUUAUUAUUAAUUAAUUAAUUAAUUAAUUAAUUAAUUAAUUAAUAUAUUAAUGUUGAUAUUAUUAUUAUUAAGAUUAACAAUAAUUAUUAGUAAUACAAUUUUUUGAAUAAAAAUAAUCACAAUAAUUAAAAUACAAAUUAAUAAUUAUGACAAUAAUUAAUUAAUGUCUUUUUAGUAAUUUGUAAUAAUCUAACUCAUUUUGGUUCUGAUUAUUACAGCUUAAGUAAACAAAUUAUUAUGAUUCCUAUUCUCCUUUCCCAUUUUAACUCACUUUGAUUCCAGUCUAUUCCGAUUUCUAUUUAAUAAAUGCACCAUUAGUGCUAAAGUAAUAUUUCAUACAUAGAAAAAUAAAAACUACGCCUAAGGUUAAGGGAAAAGACUUCAAAAUUCUCUUUUGAUCAUAAUACAUUUUGUCCUAAUUAACUUAAAGAUUUUGAAUCUAAUAUUUUAUAAUAAAUAAAAAUAUAUUCCUAAAAUAAAUAUAAUAUCAAUAUUUAAAAUAUGUUUUAAUAUUUUACAAUCUAUCAUACACAUUUUAUUAUAUUAAAGUAGAUUUAUAAUAAAUAUAUAAAAAUUUAGAAUAUUUAGAAUAUUAUAUAAAAUAAUUUUAAUAUAAUGCGUGAUAUAUAUUUUAUUAAUUUAAAAUGUCAUUUUACCUAAAAAAUAUGAUAAAUUAAUAAUUACAUAUUUGAAGUUAUUUCAAAUAUUAAAAAAAUUUAAUAUUAUUAAUCUUUUAGAUAGAUUAAAUUAUUUUUUAUAAGAGAGAUUAAAUUAUUUUAAAAUGCCUUAAUUGUUUUUACUUUUAACGUUACGGGCCUUUCUUUUAUUUUAUUGCAAAUUAAUGCUAACUAGAAAAACAAAAACAAAAGUGACAAACACAACCAGCUGGAAUCUUUUAUAAAACUACAAAUUAAAAUGGAUUUUUUUUUUUUGUUGAUAAAUUACACAUGAAAGUGGAUUCUUUUGAAUAUAAGUGGGGUAGGCUCUUUUAUUUUUUUUUUAAUACCGUAUAACAGGACUGUAGACUCUUUUAUUAAGCACAAAUAUAGAGUUGUCGAGACAAUUAGGGUCUUUUAUUAAACUACAAAUUGUAUAGUCUUUUUUAAAUUGUUCAGAUAUUUAUAAAUUGGUGGCCCCUACAAUCCUCAAUAAUUGUACCGAUAUUCACAAGCUGGUGGCCCCUACAAUCCUUAAUAAUUGUUUUUUUUUUUUUCUGCAUUCCCUUUCAUGCUCUUAAUAAUUAAAGAGCAUACUUUUCAAAUGUGGAGCCGCGGCUAAUGUCGCUAAUUUAAUUUGGGAUUAAAUUAGGGGACUAUUAUAUUGCAGUGUGCACUAAUUUUUAUGUUUAUCUAAACUCCUUAAAUUUAAGAUAUAUUAUGGCAUAAAUAAGAAUAUAACAAUAGCAAAAGAGUUAGAAAGUGUAGAGAAGAUCUUGCAGAAAUAUAAAUAAUAUUUAUUUUAAAAUAAUAUCAAUAUUUAAAAUAAUUUUUAUUAUUUUAUGAUCCAUUAGAUAUAUUUUAUUAUAUUAAAGUAAAUUUUAUAAUAAAUAAAAACAUACUAUUAAAAUGAAUAUAUAGAAAAUUUAGAGUAUUUUAAGUAUUAUAUAAAAUAAUUUUAAUAAAAUAUGUGAGAUAUUCAUAUUUUAUUAAUUUAAAAUACCAUUUAACCUAAAGAUUUAUUUAUGAUAAAUUAAUAAUUAUAUUUUUGAAAUUACUUCAAAUAUUAAAAAAAUUAAUAUUACUAAUCUAUUAGAUAGAUUAAAUUAUAUAUAUUAUUUUCUAUUUAUUAAAAAAUUUCAAAUUAUUUUUAAUUACUAUUCAAAAAAUAUGAUGAUAAAAAAAUCUUAACAUCUUUAUUAAAAAAUUAAAAACUUACAUGAUCAAUUCUCUAAAUAUUUAGGGUAUAUGUGAACCACGGUGGACAGAGGUCAUUACUAAAAUUUCUCUUCCACAGGCAAUUACAGCAGCUCCAGUUUAUCAAACUCAACCAAUUUUCUUUCUUAACAAAAUUCCAAAGAUGUGUAGCUUUUUUCAGAUCACAUGCGAUGGUGCUUUUUUCAAUCGUUGCUUGGAUUGCUUUCUUGGAAAAGCAGCAUACAUACGUAACCUCCAAGAUAAUCUUGAUGCCUUGGACACUGAACUGGGAAGACUAAUCGCAGCAAAGAACGAUGUGAUGAUUAGGGUUGUCAAUGCUGAACGGCAAUAAAUGAGAAGGCUGGACGGAGUGCAAGUGUGGGUUUCGAGUGUGGAUGCUGUUAAAACUGGAGCCGAUGAACUUAUCACAGACGGCUCUGAAGAAAUUGGCAAAUUAUGUGUUGGAGGCUACUGUUCCAAGAACUGCAGGUCAAGCUACAAAUUCGGAAAACAAGUGGCUAGAAAGCUACGAGAUGUGGAGACUUUAAUCGCCGAAGGAGUUUUUGAGGCGGUGGCUACUGAGGUGGUGCCUGAGAGAGCUCCAGAGCCUGUAGCAGAUGAAAGACCUACCGAGCGAAAAGUAGUAGGCUUGCAAUCACAACUUGAACAAGUCUGGACGUGUCUUGUGGAAGAAUCAGCGGGAAUCAUUGGCCUAUACGGUAUGGGCGGUGUUGGUAAAACCACACUAUUGACCCAUAUCAACAAUAAAUUUCUCGAGAGUCCAACCAACUUUGAUUGUGUGAUUUGGGUAGUAGUUUCAAAAGACCUGCGACUUGAAAAACUUCAAGAAGAUAUUGGGAAAAAGAUAGGUUUGGUUGGUGAUUCAUGGAAGAGUAGAAGUGCAGAGGAGAAAGCUCUCGACAUCUUCCGGAGUCUAAGAGGGAAGAGAAUUGUAUUGUUGUUAGAUGAUAUAUGGGAGCGGGUUGAUUUAACAAAAGUGGGCGUUCCACUUCCUGGACCACAAAAUACUACCUCAAAAGUCGUAUUCACAACNNNNNNNNNNNNNNNNNNNNNNNNNNNNNNNNNNNNNNNNNNNNNNNNNNNNNNNNNNNNNNNNNNNNNNNNNNNNNNNNNNNNNNNNNNNNNNNNNNNNNNNNNNNNNNNNNNNNNNNNNNNNNNNNNNNNNNNNNNNNNNNNNNNNNNNNNNNNNNNNNNNNNNNNNNNNNNNNNNNNNNNNNNNNNNNNNNNNNNNNNNNNNNNNNNNNNNNNNNNNNNNNNNNNNNNNNNNNNNNNNNNNNNNNNNNNNNNNNNNNNNNNNNNNNNNNNNNNNNNNNNNNNNNNNNNNNNNNNNNNNNNNNNNNNNNNNNNNNNNNNNNNNNNNNNNNNNNNNNNNNNNNNNNNNNNNNNNNNNNNNNNNNNNNNNNNNNNNNNNNNNNNNNNNNNNNNNNNNNNNNNNNNNNNNNNNNNNNNNNNNNNNNNNNNNNNNNNNNNNNNNNNNNNNNNNNNNNNNNNNNNNNCAGGAAGUCCUAGUGCGUGCUAUCAGAAAAGAUGCUGGGAACUGUUUCGCGAAAAUGUUGGGGAAGAAACUCUUGAGAGUGAUCAUGAGAUCGUUGAGCUAGCCCAAACUGUGGCCAAAGAGUGUGGUGGUUUGCCACUCGCACUUAUUACUAUUGGUCGAGCUAUGGCCUACAGAAAGAAAGCGGAGCAGUGGAGACGUGCAAUUGAAGAGUUAAGAAGAUCAGCUUCAGAGUUUGCAGGUUUGGGAAAAGAGGUGUAUCCUCUUUUAAAGUUUAGCUAUGAUAGUUUGCAGAAUGAUACAAUUAGAUCUUGUUUCUUGUAUUGUUGUUUAUAUUCUGAAGAUUAUGGCAUUCUUAAAUGGGACUUGAUUGAUUGUUGGAUUGGUGAGGGAUUUUUGGGGGAAUCUGACAGGUUUGGUGCAGAAAACCAAGGAUAUGACAUUUUGGACACUCUUGUUCGUGCAUGUUUAUUAGAAGAGGUGGAAGAAGAUGAAGUAAAAAUGCAUGACGUUAUUCGUGAUAUGGCUAUAUGGAUAACCAGUGAAAUUGAGAAGGAGAAGAGAAACUUUUUGGUUUGUGCAGGUGCUGGAUUAGAAGAGGCACCGGAUGUUAAAGAAUGGGAAAAUGUGAGAAGAUUGUCAUUGAUGCAAAACCAAAUUGAAACUCUGUUUGGGGUUCCCACAUGCCCUCAUCUCAUCACUUUAUUUAUUGACUUUAAUAGGGAGUUGAAGACUAUCGCGGAUGGCUUCUUCCGAUGUGUGCCUUCUCUCAAAGUUUUGAAGAUGUCAAACUGUGGAAAGCCUUAGAAAGGUUUGGAAUUACCUUUGGGGAUGUCAAAGUUGGGUUCACUACAACUUCUUGAUAUUUCACACACCUGCAUACAAGAAUUACCACAAGAAUUAAAGUUGUUGGUAAAUCUGAAAUGUUUGAAUUUGAGGCGGACAAUUUGGUUAAAUAAAAUUUCAUGGCAACUAAUAUCAAAAUUUUCAAGGUUACGUGUGUUGAGAAUGUUCGCUACUGGCUGGUUCAGUUUUCAUGAAGCACCAGAAGACAGCGUUUUAUUUGGUGGGGGUGAAGUUUUGAUACAGGAAUUGCUCGGUUUGAAAUAUUUAGAGGUAUUGGAGUUGACCUUGGGAAGUUAUCAUGCUCUCCAAAUUCUUUUGAGCUCAAAUAAGUUAAAAAGUUGUAUUCGAUCUCUUUUCCUACAGUUGUUCAGAGAUACAACGUCGAUUAUUGAUGCUACGGCUUUCGCAGAUCUAAACCACCUCAAUCAAUUAUGUAUUAGUAACGGUUCUGAGUUGGAAGAAUUGAAGAUUGAUUAUACGGAGAUAGUACGAAAAAGGCGGGAACCUUUUGUUUUCCGCAGCCUUCAACGUGUUACCAUAGAGGAGUGCCAUAAAUUGAAAGAUUUGACAUUCCUCGUUUUUGCUCCAAACCUCAAGUCUCUUUCGCUAUACGAUUGCGGUGCUAUGGAAGAAAUAAUCAGCGUCGGAAAAUUUGCUGAGACUCCUGAGAUGAUGGGACAUAUAAGCCCUUUUGAAAAUCUCCAAAUGCUUUAUUUAAUGGCAUUGCCGGAGUUGAAGAGCGUCUACUGGAAGCCAUUGCCUUUCACUCAUCUGAAAGAAAUGGAGGUACUUGGGUGUGAUCAGCUUAAAAAGCUUCCACUCGAUUCCAACAGUGCAAAAGAGCGUAAAUUUGUAAUUCUUGGAGACACACAGUGGUGGAACCGUCUUCAAUGGGAGGAUGAAGCCACUCAAAUUGCUUUUCGUUCCUAUUUCCAAACCUGAUUCCUGAGCGGUGGUCGCAAAAUUUGAUUUCUGGUGAGUGCGUUUGUCUUUUAAAAGAAGAAUUUAAAAGAAAUUUAUUCUUGUCGUUUUCUUCUCUGUUUUUAUUUCAGUUUGUUUCUCUCUCUCUCUUUUUGUCUUCUGCAAAUCACAAUUAAAUGUUGAAUUAAUGGAAUUAAUGCUUCAUAAAUUUGCCGGCACUGCCAGUACUUUUUUUUUUUUUUAAUACGAAUUGAUGCUUUAUUUAUUUCUUCUUAGCGAUUUAAUUUCCUGUCAAAAGACGAGCGAGAAGAACAUAUGACUUAAACCAAUUGAUACUUUAUUUAUGUGCAUUGUAUGUAAUAAAAUUUUCUCUGUUUUUUUCAAAUUGAGGCUUUAUUUAUAUUUUCUUCGUGAAGAGUGAUUUAAUUUCCUGCCAAAAGACAAACGAGAAGAACAUUAGAGUCAAACUAAUGCUCACAUAAAUUUCCCGUAAGAAUAUAUAUAUAAUUAGACUGGAAUGCACACCUCUAGAUUGAACAGAAUUAAAGCUGAGAAAAUAUUGAGUAUAGUAGCCCUCUUUACAGAAAAUGACGCGAAAGUUAAUUUAGAAAGAUAUAUUCUUGAUUAAUCCAUUUUCUGAAGUUUUUUAUUUUGUAUGGUCAAUUAUACCUUCAUACUAAAAAAAAAAAAAAAAAAGAGAAAAUAUGUAAUCCAUGAAUGGUUAAUUUUGUUUGUUUGUUUUUUUUUCUUAAAUAUCAUUCUUUUUCGGCCACCCAAGGACAUUUUCACAAAUACCUUUUGUGUGCAGAAGUCUUCCAAACCAUCAAUGGAAAAAUAAAAAAUAAAAAAAACACGGUCCAGUAUACCUCAAAAUAUCAUUGAUGACUUUUCUGGUCUAAUGCUAUGUAAAUAGUAUGUUAAGUAAAACAUAAUCAGUUCAGUACCUCACAAAUAAUUCGCAAUAUCUACAAAAUACUAUAAUGGCUACAAAACAAAUCCUGCUUGCAAAUUGUCAAGGAUACCUAUCCGUUCGCUUGACAAGUCAUUUGAAUAAAUAUUGUUCACAUUCCUUACUCUGUCAAUUAUCCAAAGCACCAUCAACUUUAGUUUGAAUAGUAUACAUGCCAUCACCGUUACCAAGAAUCAAGCAUGGAAGGGUCAUUCUAUAGAGUGCAGAACAUGACUCUAUGCGGUAGUCAAUUUGACACACGACGAACACCAUAUGCUGCAUAACAUACAAAUUAAUUUCCCAUAUGUGAUGCAAUUUUCUCCUCAACAUAUGCGCAAUUCUUUCCAUUCCGGCAUUUACACUCAAAUUUUCCUUCCUUUCUCUUUGUGGUUGAAUCUUACACCACAACUCAUGUGAUGCAAUCUCCUCUCGCUGCCUAAAUUGCACUCUCAGCAAAGCAGCAUAUGUAAGCAAGCUUGAAGAUAAUCUUGCUGCUCUGCAGAAGAACGGCAAAAGUUAAUCGAAGCAAGGAAUGAUGUAUCAGAAAAUAUUUGGUGGAGAAUUCAGCACAAACAUAUUUCGGAUGAUCAGAAUCAAUAAAACCUGGUGGUUGUGCCAUAUAAACAUCUUUGGAAAGCUGACCUUGAAGAAAGGCGUUAUUGAUAUCCAAUUGAUGAAGAGGCCAGCCAUGACUAACAUCAAUACUAAGAACAAGCCGUACUGUGGUGGACUUAACAACUGGACUGAAAGUGUCAUAAUAGUCCACACCAGGCCAUUGAUUGAACCCUUUGGCAACAAGAUGAGCUUUAAACCUGUCAACAGAACCGUUGGAAUGUCUUUUAAUACAAAAAUCCAUUUGCAGCCAACAAUAUUGGAAGGGAUGGGAGGUGGAACAAGCUUCCAUGUCCCGUUACGAACAAGAGCAUCAUACUCUUCUGACAUAGCUGGACGCCAGUGAAGAUUUUUGAUAGCUUGCGUCACAGUUGUAGGUUCACAAUCAGAAGAAGGGCUAAAAUGAGCACGGAGGUUAAGUUUUUGUAACGGCUUGUGAAUCUUAUUUUUAGCUCGGGUAGUCAUAUCAUGAUGACUUGUGGGGCAAUGAUCUAGUGGAGUUUAGGAAGAUGAUUGAACAGGAAGUGAAGAAGUGCUUUGUGUAGAGGUAGAAGUAGGUUGGGAGGAUUGCUGCGGAGAUGUUACCGGUAGAGAAGAAGGAGCAGUACACGGUGGCAACUCCAGAGGGCCCACAAUAGAUGGAGUAGGUGCCGACAAUGGAGUACUAGGAAAUGAAACAGGAAGAAUUGGUGGAACACUUGCAUAAUUAGGAGUGGUAGAUGAGCUUGUAAUGAUUUGCAUGGAAAAACAAACUCUACAAAUUUAACGUGACGUGAAAUAAAAAUUUGAAAGGUGGAUGGGUCAAAACAUAAAUAAGCACUUUGAGAUAAAGGAAUAUCCUAGAAAAACACAAGGCUUAGAGGGUGGUUCGAGUUUAUGUGAUGAAACACAAACAUUCAAAAAAUUUUAAGUUUAUAUUAAUUAGGAGUGGUACCAAAAAUUAAUUAGCUAUGGGGUUGUUGGAUGUGUUUUGGAUAUUUACAGUUAAGUUUGAGUAUCUCAACUUAAAAUUUGUAGUUUUCACUUGAAAAAAUUCAGUUAAAUUUUGCAAUGCAGACUGAUUGAUUUAUCAGUUUAACGUGUGCCAGGAAUGAAGAACUGGAAUAUCACCGUCAAGCAAGCACCCUGUGGAGCAAUACCAAAGAAUGCACAAUCUGGCUUUGCUAGGUAACACUGGAGGCUUUUUGAAAAGUGCUUCACGCUCACUUGCACAGAUUGAGCAUCCCCUCUGGAUAUUGCCCUCUCUGAUCGAGUCUGAGCACUCAAAUUUUGGUCCUCAGAGGGAGCUACAGUUUUCUCUCCACUAACCAACAAUAUUCUAAACUCAGCACCUAGUGUGAUCAGAGUUGUUGAUAUUUGCAAAUGGAGAUCCCCAUAUUUGCAAAUGGAGACAUUUAACAAAUCACCAACAUGCUUCAUCCGGUCCACGAAAUUCUGCAACUGAUGCAAAUCUGGAACCUGAACCAGAGUCGGAGGUAUAUCUUGAGCCAUAUCUAAAGCAGUUUGAAGUUCAAGACCUUGAGCCCUUGACAAUGGUUUUGAAAUUGGAACAUCUUGGAUUACUGCAGACUUGUACCCCUUGGUUUCAAAGGUAAGGAAAGGCAUUGCUUGAGUACAAUUUGGAGGCAGCUUCUUCACCAAUUUUAUUUGGAGGCGAUUGGCAGCGGAUCCAGCUGCACCAAUUUCAGAGCAACUACUGACACUACUUCGAACAGCACACUGAAGAAGUGAUAUGUCUACGGCGAAGGCAAUGCAGUCCUCAUUUUGGCUUGAGACACAGUAAUCAUCGAAGAGAGUUUCCUUGUGAAACUGGGCAACACAUUGAAUCCCUUCGGCACUGAGAAGGUUGUGGAGGAAGUAAGCUUUCUCUCUAGUAAGGAAGAGGUGGCAUACAUUCCCCAUUUUGUCUAGGGCAGGUAGGAAUCUUUUUUCUAAGAGAUUUACUUCAUUCUCUGUGAGAAAUGCUUUGAACUUCAUCCCUCUGUCUCUAUCCUCACUUAUCAGUAAAAUAGUUGAAAGCGCUACAAGGAGAGAAAAGAAGAGUAUUAAGAUAUAUAUAUUAUAUAGACAAGAAAAACAUUAGAUGUCGAUCUUACAAGCUAAUACUUCAAACAAUAUCCUAGAAAGCUAAAAACUGCAAGAUGGCUUGAAAUUUGAAAAGAGCACGUGCUUUUCCUCCUUAACUUGAGAAAAUGUUUAAUAUAGUGCACCUUACAGAAGCAUUUAAGCAAUUAGAACUUUGCACAAAAACAUCAAGAAGACUAAACAAGUCAGAUGCAGUGUAUUUGUCCAAGCACAAAUUGCAUUUUGUCCUCAACUUUAAUAUUUAUUGAUGAGAAUCAAUACAGGUCCCUCAUUUGUUAUAGAAAGCUUUCUUGUAGUCUCACCAGUUAAUAUGGAUAUUAGAUAAGGAAACUUUAUUAGGUUGCGAGGGUAAAAAAGGAAAGAGAUAUCAUUAUUUUAUUAUCGAUAAUUAUUAAAUUUUUUUCCAAAAAAAAGAACAAGCAAGGAUAUUUUAUUGUCAAUUGCAACCUUUAAUUUUUUUAAAUGCUAUUAGAAACACAAGAUAACAAAAAUGUAGUGAGAUGGGAUCUCCUGCAUGCCACUCUGGUUUAGAACACAAAGAAUGUGUCUGCAUAAAUAUCCUCUGAAAUUGAACAACCCACAAACACAAAGCACCUCCAAGUCGGAGGCAUUGUACAAAACAUCAAAAGCCCUUGAAUCCUUCUCGUUGCCACCAACCUCGAAUUCUUCCUUCACUAUGUAUGUUAUAGGUCCAUCAGAACUAAUAUGUUUUGUGCUAUAGUAAGAGUACAUAGCCUCCACCUCCAUCUGAAACUUCCUUAACAUUUCAUUUGUGUACAGUUUUGAGAGUUGAAAUUCAUAGUAACAUCUUGGUUUCCGGAUACAACUUGAAUUUCUUGAAUCCAUAUCUGCCAAGGCUACCAGUUGAUAAUUCGCCUGCAGUGCUUGAUCAUACUUGUCUAAGAAUUCUUUCAAAGGAGUAUUCUUAUCAAGAUAUCCUUCAAAGUAUGAAGUAGAAACCUCAUUCUGCAGGAACGAAAACACUCCUGAUAAAAAAGCUUCCUUCAAAUAAAUAGGAGCCCACCUUUUAUGAUCUUCAUAUAAAGUUUGAAUCCAUCCGUGAUCCUUUAUUCCAUGACAUUGAAUCAUGUCUUCCCAAGCUGCUUCAAAUUUCUCAGGCCUGAGAGAGUGAUAAAUUGCUCUAUGUAAUGCAGCUUUAAUAGCUUCAUAUUCAAACAAUCCUUGGAGUUUCUCUGGAAUUUUUUUGCAUGAUGCAUGACAAUGAAAAGAAAUGAUAAGCUCUUGGGAAAACAUCACCAACAGCAAUUUGCAAGAUUCUACAUUGGUCAGUGAUGAUUGUUUGUGGAGAGCGCCCUAACAUACAUGUAAGCCACGCCGUAAACAACCAUGUAUAUGAUUCUAUGGUCUCACUGGCAAGUAAACCACAACCCAACAACACUGAUUGUCCAUGAUGAUUCACCCCAAUGAAUGAAACCAGUGGUACAUCAUAUCUUUCAGUCAGGCACGUAGUAUCAAUUAAGACCACAUCACCAAAGUACCUAUAUGCAACUCUUGACCUGGUAUCAGUCCAGAAUAGGUUUUUCAAGCAUCCCUUUUCAUUUAGAUCCACUACAUUAAAAAAGUUUGGAUCUGUCAACUGCAAAUGACAAAAGAAACUCUGGACAGCUUGUGCAUCUCCUGGUUUAAGCUUCAAUUGAUUUGAGCUAUUAACAUUAUUUCCAAAUACUCCAUUAACAUCUACCAUUUCCCUUGGUAUCAAUGAUAAGAGUUCGAAACAGUUUAAUUUUUUGAACUUCUUCAGCACUAUCUAAAUGCAAUGUUCUUUUGGUUCCAAUACCUAUGUGCUUAUGUGACUUGUAAAACUUUCCGCUUCUUGGGCUUAACAAGUGGUUAUGCUCAAGCUCGACUUCAAUGAUUCUCCACCUUUUGGUUUCCAUCAACCUAAACUUUAUCAUUGCUGGACAGCCAGUUCUUGUUUCUGGUCUUGGGCGGUUUGCCUCGCUUUUCUUCUUGAAGCCUGCACUACUACAGCUCAGCUUUCCUCUAUACUUUUCUCUACUCUUUCGGUACCAUGGAUUGCUAACUCUAACACCAAAACCCUGUUCCUUGGCAUAGCAAUUGUAAAAGUAAUAUACAUCAUCAUACAUCUCAAACUCCAUUCCAACAGUAGGAGGCAAGGGAUUUUGGAUUAUCCCAGUUUGUCCAACAUAUUCAGUCAUCGCACAAUCUCCUACAACCUCAAAAUCAUCAGUGUCAUCAUCACCUACUGGUUCGGUGUUGAGAGAAACUUCAUCCAUCUACAAUGGAUGUUCAAUGAAGUGAGCUUUAAGGAGAAAAAGCAAAAUCUGUUCAAGGAAUGAUAAUAUAAUCAUACAGUUACUUUCACAAAGCUUCAUAUUUCAUCACUGCUUUACCAACAUGCAACUGCCAGAGAACAAACAGACAUGUCAUAGACGCUUGAAUUAAGUAUUGGUACAAAUGAGCACACAUCAUGUGGGACAAAAUUUCAGUCACUAAACCCAAUACCACUUUUUACAUCAUACCAAGGAACAGAUUAAACCCGACACCUUCUUUUAAACCAUACCAAGGAACAGAUUAAAUCAUCAAUGAAAAAUUAAUCACAUAAUAACUUAACCAGACAAAUGAAGAGCCUGAAACAGCACAAAACUUGAAUCUGAUUAUGAUAAUUGUUGAGUCCUUGUAUCUACAGCUUUCCUUCAAUGAUAAGACAAUGAACAUAAACGAGACACAAAAAAAUUAUUUUAAACUGACAGCCCAUGAUAUAAAUCAAACAAAAUCAACUCCUUUUUUUACACAUUACAUCUCAUAUUCAUUUACAUUGAAACACAAAAAGGAAGCAGGAGUGGGAAAAAAACAACAGCAGAGGAACUUAUUUCCAUAAGGUUUACGAAAUAAGGAAUCUAUUAAAACCCAAAACUUGAGGUCACCACUAAGAAUUUGGUUCUCAUUAUUUUUUUCUUCAUUUUUCACCAAUUGAUGAACUUAAAAUACAAUCAUAAAUGAUAAAACCCCAUCUCCAUCUUUUUGAACUAGAGCUAAAGCAAAGCAUUUUAAGAUGUUUCAUCAUUUUUUUUUUUAAAAAAAACUCAAUAGUACAAUGUUUUUCAAUGCUAAAUGCACAAUUCAAUCUUCUCCUAAUUUACUCUAAUAAUCUCUUAAUUAAGGAAGAUUAAGCUUCAGUUGUAAGCUAAAACAAAUUUCUUAAAUCAAGCCCCAAUGCUUUAUGCUAUUCAACAAGGGCUCAUAAAUGAUAAAACUACUUCUAUAAAGAUACCCAUUUUCUAAAUUAAUUUCACAAACUGAAAUCAAACUCCUGAAACGUAACGAGCAUUAAUAUAAUCAAGCCCGAACAAGAAUUGAAAAAUGAUACAUAAACUCGUUUACACAUUUCGACAGACACUUUGCAAUCAAUGAGCAAAAAAUUAAUGGAGAAGAUAAAAUUCAAACGAAACAUGCCUUACAUUGAUAAAUUAGAAGGGCAAAAGAAAUUUUAGUACGAUAUGCGAUCAGGGUCUUGCCACGGUGAUGUUAUUUGUGAAGUUCGAGCGACUCAGCAGCCUUCGAGGUUGAAAAUUUGAUUGACCAAAAGCUUCCCGUUCGUUGAUUCUCUAAUAGUAGAAACGAGACUGGCAGUAUACACAAGAAGUUCGCCGAUUUUAAAUUCCGUUGUUUGAGAUGGAAAAUUUUUUGAAAAAAUUAAUGUGUUCGAUGAAAAUCAAAAUCUCAAAAACCUCUUGUUUUUCAUUUUUUUGGAAAAAACCAUUGAGAUCCUUACUAUUUUUUCUUAUAUCAUCUUCCUUAAUAAUUUGCAAAGUCUAUCGCAUAGCACCCAUGUAUGAUGUAUGCUGCGUUGUAAUUUACAAAAUUGCACAUGAAUAAAUCCAGCUAAAAUUUGUUAAAAGAAAAUAAUAAUAACAUGUUAAAACUUUAAAAUUUGAUUAUUCGAAGAAAUUUUAAUUUAGUUAAGUAGGUGACAUGAUAAUAAAUAGAUACGUAUAAUGUCCGAGAUUUUUUAUAAGAUUAAUAAAUAUGAUAAAUUUGGAUUAGUUCAAUUUUGACAUAAUUCAUAAUAAACACAGCUUGCUAAUCUAAAUUGCCACCGUUACUCAUCAUCAGGUACCUGUUUGAAAAAUAAUUACAAACAAUUUUAUUUGUGUUGUUUCUCUAAAAGUUUGAGACACAAAUGUUAUUUCAAAUUGAUAAAAGUACGAAAAUUCCCCCUUGCUCUUCAACUAAAAAUGAAACAUGCAAAUAUACACACUAAUUUAGAUGUGUGAAUAACAAAUAUGGAACGACACAUGCAAAGUCAUCUGUAUAAUUGAAACGCCAUGCACUAGUAGUAGGUAAGAGAAACCAAGGUUGAAGUUGCUCCAAUGGUUACUGUUAAUUUAUUUUUAUUUAUGAUUUUUUUUGUAAAAUGUAAGAAAUAUGUAGAAAUGUUGCCAGCAAUGAUUUUGGAACUUUGCAUAAAAUUUUUAUCAUUAUUGUUUUUGGUAUUAAGAAAUCCGAGGCGGUGAUUAGACGUAUGUUGCAACAAUUAAGAAAUUUCUUAUUGGAGAUAAUUUGGUAGGUUUGCAGCAAUUAGAGAAUAAUUUUCCUGCCAGUUAAUCAAUCAAUAAUAAAUUUCAAAUUGCAGAAAAUAAAAUAAUACAGCCUCACUUAGAAUCAUCUUUUCUAUCUCUUUCAAUUGUGGCAAUCAUUUGCAACAAAUAAAUCAAUUUGAUGCACAUCAUUUCCCCAAUUCAAAGUUCAAGUCACUGCUCAAUUACAGAGUAGUUAGUGGACAUGCAUGCAUGUUUAAUUAAGUACUGCAUUGUAGUAUCGAAAAUCAUAACAUCUCACCAAUAUCAGAUUAUUAACCAUGGAAAUCAUAUCACAAUAUCAUAUAGAAUUCACAAAUCUGAAAAUCAUCACCAAACAAGUACCCAGAGAAAUAAUCUCGUCAUAUCCAGACCUCAACGGACGGGCAAUGACGUACUAUUUGGGUAACGUCACACCCUGGAGCUACACGGAUAAAUAGGAAAAUACCAUCUCAUAUCUCAUCAUAUUUGUGCAUGCAUAAUCUAGUCCCCAAGGGACAAAAGCGCCCAAGCACACGGCCCAAAGCCUCUAUGUGUACUCAGACGGGCCCCAAAGGCCUGUAUCUCAUAUGUAUCAUAUGUAUCAUUUGUAUCUCAAUAUCUGUUUGUAUCUCAUUUCCGUAUAUCUAUAAUCAUCAUACCGCAUGCAUAUGCCCCCAAAAGACAAAAGCGCCCAAACACAUGGCCCAAAGCCUUUAUAUGUGUUUAGACGGGUCCCAAAAGCCUCUUAUCUCAUCUUAUCUGUAUCACUGUAUCUGGAGAGAAGGGUACUGUCUAAUGAUUUAAAAAACAAUCAUUAUACUCAUAUUUACAUACCUCUUAAUCAUAUUUGAAAUCAUAUCACAUUUGAAUCCACUUUUCUAAUCUUUAAAAUAUUAUCAUGCUUUAUUCAAAGUCGAUACGCAAAAUCAAUAACCAAACAUUUUAAAUCAAAUUAUUAACCAUGGAAAUCAUAUCACAAUAUCAUAUAGAAUUCACAAAUCUGAAAAUCAUCACCAAAUAAGUACCCAAAGAAAUAAUCUCGUCAUAUCCGGACCUCAACGGACGGGCAAUGACGUACUAUCUGGGUAACGUCACACCUUGGAGCUACACGGAUAAAUAGAGAAAUACCAUCUCAUAUCUCAUCAUAUCUGUGCAUGCAUAAUCUAGUCCCCAAGGGACAAAAGCGCCCAAGCACACAGCCCAAAGCCUCUAUGUGUACUCAGACGGGCUCCAAAGGCCUGUAUCUCAUAUGUAUCAUAUGUAUCAUUUGUAUCUCAAUAUCUGUCUGUAUCUCAUAUCCGUAUAUCUAUAAUCAUCAUACCGCAUGCAUAUGCCCCCAAAAGACAAAAGCGCCCAAACACAUGGCCCAAAGCCUUUAUAUGUGUUCAGACGGACCCCAAAAGCCUCUCAUCUCAUCUUAUCUGUAUCACUGUAUCUGGAGGGAAGGGUACUGUCUAAUGAUUUAAAAAAUAAUCAUUAUACUCAUAUUUACAUACCUCUUAUCAUAUUUGAAAUCAUAUCACAUUUGAAUCCACUUUUCUAAUCUUUAAAAUAUUAUCAUGCUUUAUUCAAAGUCGAUACGCAAAAUCAAUAACCAAACAUUUUAAUAAAAUACCAAUGCAUAAAUAAAAUUCAUUUCGAGAAAUCAUUAAAUCAGAACAUUUAAAAUACUUAUUUCGCAAACAUGCUUUACUAUCAUCGCUAACUAUGAAAAUAAGUUUUGUAUAUUCCACUUUCAGUGAUGGUGUUCACGGUCGGUUAUCGUCCAUAUCUGCAGACCGAUUCUCGCUCGCGAAUCCUCCUAAAUCAAGGAAACGACAUAAUUAUUUUUUGUAAAUCGGAAUUAUGACUAAAUUUUAUGCAAUAAACUCAAAACGAACAUCUAUUCAUAAUUGACAACUCCUAUAUCCAUAAAAUUACUAAAAUAUCCUUGAGUCCGUAGAUCAUUAACAUGCUCCGAAAUCGUAAAUCACUGAAUUACCCUCGGAAUCGUAAUUACACCCGAUCCUCAAUUAUAGGAAUUACUAACAGAUCCACAGGCUUAGAAAUUACAAAAUUGCCCUCGUAGUGUGAAAUUACCAAAAGCCGGAAGUUGGUCAACAAUGGCUAGGAAGCUCAAAUCGUAAAGUUCCAAUCACGCUGAGUUCAAUGGUACCGGCGGUGAGCUCCAACGCGCGACAACGAUGCCAGAAUCUAGCUCGGCAGCCGUGAAUUCCACCAAUCGACCGGCGGCACAACAGUGACUCUCGGUGCCUAUGGAUGGUCGAAAAUGGAAGAGGGAGCCGUGGGGAACAAAAUCCAACCGGUGGUGUCACCAAAACCGGUGAAAAUCCCGGCGGAGCAAAGUGAAACAGUCGCGGGUUUCAUGCUUCGAUCGCCGGUGUUCCGAUUGGUUUUUGGCGAGGAGGAUGGCAAGGGAACGACAGCCGGCUUCUAAGCUUCAGAUUGGUACCAAGCUCGGCCGAAACGAUGGCCGGAAAUGGGAGAUAUGACCGGGUCAAGGUCGCGGGUUCCGGGUCGGGUUUUUUGGUCUGUAGUUGGGUCGGUUUGGUAGCUUCUCUCUCACUCUCUGUUACACGUGCAUAUGUUUCCUCUGUUUCCAGCUUAUUCUUUUGCUUUUACUAACUUCUUAACCGCCUCAUACUUAUUCAUUUUUAAUUCACAUAUGUUACAAUAAUUCCCGAGUAUUAAAUAACCAGUGGUCAUAAUUUUUGUACAAGAUUCUUUUUUUUUUUUGGAGAUCGUUAAAAGUGGUUGACGAUCCAUUUCGUAAUAUCAUAGAGGGAUCAUCAAUUCCUUUUCUUUUCUGUGGCUAGGCAACACUUUUUGGCCAAAGUAAGGAAAUCUAUUUUAGGUAAUGUAAAAACCAGUUGUAGGAUGUAAUAGUUUAUUAUGCACUGACAAUAACUUUUUGUAUAAUUGUCAGUUUAAUGAAUGCAAGAGGAACUCUGUUGGCAAAUUCAUCCAAGAUAGAUGCUAAAAUUAUUUAUGCAUGCCAGUUGCCUUAACUAAGUUUUCUCAGCACUGGUUUUGAACAGGAAAAUGAAUAUGCAAUUUGUAUAUUGUGCCAUAGUGGAGAAUUUGGAUAUUCUUAUUUAAGUAACAAGGAGAUUAUUUGCCUCAUCUUUAAACAAUGAAUCUUUGAGAGAUGAGGAGUGGGUGAUUGGAUGUGUCUUCAUGUAAUUGUUCAUUUAUUUGUAUUUUGAACUGUUAUGAAAAUCUUUAUAUGCCAAAUUAGUAAUACAAGUAUUCAGAUGAUUUUUCCUAUUGAUCAUGCAUUUGUAUCUGCCCACAACCAUUGUAUAUCACUUUAUUCUGAUGCGCAAGCAUCUGUAAUUUAGAAGAAAAGAAAUAAUAAUCAUAUUUUAUUGCUUGGUUCAUGAUUAUUAACGAUUAUGGCUUUAAAAAUCUACAAAUUUCUUGUGUUCAUGUAUGAAUGUGCCAAGUUUGCUGUAUCUUAGAUUACCUUCUUCCAAGGUAACAAGUUCAUAUAUAUAUAUUUUUUAAAUCAUUUUCCAUUACAGUUGAAUUUCAAGUGUUAGUUUUGUUAUUAGUACCUGGUUUCCUGUUAUAAGGAUCUAAUAAACAGUGUACGGAUAUGUGCUCUACUUUUGGAGGGCUUCCACGUGAAAGAAAAUUACAACAAUUGAAUUCUUCCGGAGGAUAUGGUAAUUAAUUUAUUUUCUCAACUUCUUGUAAGACUAAUAUAUUUCCUUCAGUAGGCACAGCAUGGUGGGAAGGGUUUUUAUUGAAAGAAUUCUGAUAUUUCUUAGACUUUGUUUUGGAAGGGGGUGGAGGAAUUUCUCAUCCAUAUAUGGUUACUUGAUUAGCUUUUGACUGUAUUGUCUCUGUCGUGCAAAGGAAAAUCUAAAUACUAACGAUGGGGAAUUGCUUAGGCACCCAAAAGGCAGAAAUGAAUUACAGAAGGAAGUUUUUGCUGCUUUAUUUAGUGCUGCUGAGAAAUCUGAUGAAUUUCCUGAAAUUACGGUGAAGACCGAGUGGAGGUCCAAAGCAUUAGGAAAGGUGGUGAGUGAACUGCCGGAGGAAUUUGUACCAAAAUACAAGGCUAAUGUGGUGCACUUGCAGCAAGAUAACCAGACCGGUAUGUGCUCUUAUAUUAACUAUAUUGACUGGAUUUGUGAGUGUGUGCAUUUUUUUGUGUAUACUCACUUUUGUAUUUAUGCAUAUUAACAUGUGUAGGAUUCUUGAUUUCUGCCACUUACUGGAGAACUAGUGGAAAGCUUUAUAUUGAUAUAUCUGCAAUAACUAAUGGAAACUAUGAUAUGAAUAUUUUCUCUCACCUGGGGAGCUGUGUAACAGAUAUACUUUGUGGCUCUGGAAUGCUGAAGAUUCUGCAAUAACUAAUGGAAAAUAUGAUAUGAAUAUUUUGUCUCACCUGGAGAACUUUGUUACAGAUACCCUUUGUGGCUCUGGAAUGUCUAAAGAAUGCUUUAGUUAGAUCAAAUAUCUUUUAGUUAGAAAAGAUAAAAUUCUCUGAGUCUGAAAGACUGAAACAUUUUGCAUAUUUUGUGAAAGGGAAAUAUCUGUUGAUACUAGCUCAUGCAUUGAGGUAAUAUCGAUGUUAAAGAAAAACAGCAAUGAUUUAUGAUAUAGAAUUGGGUUCACUUGCUUCAAAUGCUGGUCUGAUCAACCAUAUCAACCUGUAAUGAUUCUGCAGAAAUAUAUAUACAUGGAGAAAGUAGCUAAAUUUUUCUUUCAUUUAUGGGUUCGGUCUUUUUUCCCCUUAUUUUUCAGCUUUCCUUCUCCUGAAGUAUGUUAACAAUUGCAGAUAAUGAUGAAGACGACAGCUUCCGGGCUCUCCUUAGAGCCGUGAUGGAAUAUAGGGGCACAAUGAAGGAAUAUUGUAAAGCUGUAGGUACUUUUUCUCCUUUCAUUUAUGUUUUCUCACACAUUUUGUAUAUGCCCUGAACAUGCACCUUUGUAUGUAUCAAUUGACUUUUAAAUUUUAAAAGCCAUAAAGUAAGAAUACGGUUCCUUGUCAGGCUACUGAUGACAUUCGCUCAGGGGGAUCAUGUUCGAGCAGGAAAAUUUCUAGAACAGGUAAGGUUUCCAUCUACAGCCAUCCAUUGACAGCAGAUACAUUUUCAUUCAGCAGACUCUGUUAGCAUUCAAGAUGCUGGCAGAUUCACUUGAUUCUUAUUAGCUUGUUUAGUGGCAAAGCCUAUAACCUGUAUUUCAAAGCCAAGUUGUGCUAUUGAUUAUGUUAACUUUUUUGUUAACAUAAAAUGAUAUGGAGGAAAUAAUCAGUGUUGGAAAAUUAGGUGAAAAGAUGAUGUCAAAUCUUGAACCUCUUACGAAACUCUAAGUUCUUUACUUGAAGAGGCUACGAAAUUUGAACAGCGUCUACUCGAAGGCCUUGCCAUUCCCUGAUGCAUGCAGAAUUUUUGUAUUUAAAUGCCCAGAGCUUAAGAAGCUGCCACUGGAUCUUGAAGGGGCAGACCAAGGUAAAAAUCUUAUCAAGGGAAAGGAAGAUUGGUGGAAACAACUUAAUGGGAGGAUCAAGUAACUCAGAAUGCAUUGCUUCCAUUUUUUAAAUUGACUGACAAGUGAUUGAACGGGGCAUCAUCAACAUCAUCAACAGGGAUGGAGAGAUACCGGAGCAGAUCAGCAGGGUUUGAAUAUGACCUUUGGCGGUUGCUUUUUUUUUGUGAUUUUUUUUUCAUUUUUUCCUUCCUGUCAUUUUAUCAUUUCUUUCUCUGUUUCUAUUGCGGGUGUUACUGCAUGCUUACUGUUGCUUGACAAAGUUUGCUAGCUUUUUGUUUGCAGUGUUGCUAUACACUCCGAGUCAAGCCUCGAAAAUUUAUUAAACGAAGCCGUUUCGACAGUAACAAUUCUUUUCUUUUCCCUUUGCAUGUCUCUUUCAUCUGCUGUUUCUCUAUCACUUUUCAUUUUUGAUUUCCUUGCUUCUCAGCUGCCCCUAAAUUGUUAUUCUAGCAAUAUACUUUCUCAUCUUUGAAUUUUCAUCCUUGAGUACUCCCACAGCCGUAAUUUCAUCAUCAUAGACUUCACUUGGAAUGCUGUAUUUUUUCGAUUCUUGAGCUACUUCAAUUACAUCUUAGUAUAGGAUCCUCAUCUUCCUUUAUUUCUUCAUCUUAUGAGGUAAUAAAUGGAUUUCACAACUCAUCUACUUUUAAGCAAUUACAUAUUAUACCUUGAAUGAUUCAACUGUUCUGACAGUUAAAGAUUUUAUGCUCAACCUGCAGUGCUACGAACAUUGUCCAUGAAAGAUGAGUUUCAGCAUAUAAAAUGAAAUAUAGAUGUUUAAUCUAAAAUAACCCUUCACUGCCAGAAACCUAGGUCACAAAAUUCACAGAUAAUGAUAAAGAGCUAAAAAAUUUGAAAAACUCUACAGAUCACACAUCAAGCAAGAUAUCAUGUUUUUUUCCCUCAUUCAGUGGUGAUUGAUUCGCUUUUUGAUGAUGGAUAUGGUAUAAAAGUGUUGACCCAAUUUCAAGCAAACACAAAUAGAAACACAAACACAAUCGGGACUAGAGUUGUGGGCGAUUAUCUUAGGUGUACAAGUGAAACGGUGGUGGCUGUCGAUGGUGGUAGUGGGGUGGUUGGGUAUGCGUGAUGGCUAGAUUUUAGGACAAUAAUGAUUGGAGUUGACCUCAAUCAACGAAGGAAAGUGACAACAAUUUUGACAUCAAACGGUGCAUUUUUUAGCUUAGUAAAAUGGAGCCGUUUCGAUUUUGGGGUUUAAUCCGGGGUUUGACUCGGUGCAAGUAUCAUUUUCCUUUUGUUUAUUAAAUUUUUUUAUGGUCACAAAGUAUCACUCGUUCUAUUUGAGAGUCAUGUGAAUCAAUUUUUCAAAUUUUCAAUUUUAAAUUUUGUGGUCAAUGUGAAUUCAAUUUCAUUUGUCUCCUGCAAUUAUGAAAAAAUUAAAUAGUCAUAAUAUGGAAAAAUACACCGGUAAAAACUUUGUAAAAGCUUCGGAGUGAUACGGGGAAUUCACUUACUACUAAGGACAAUUGGUGGCAAGCUAUUCCAUUCAUUUUAUGUCCAUCCAUCUAUUUAGUUAUUGAAGAUAAGUGGUCCAUUUGUAAAUUUCAGAUUGUCUCUCUCUCCCUCUUGAAAUAACAAUAUUUAAUAUAUCUCAUAAAUUAUUAUAAAUUUUAAUUUACUCUCGAUUUAAAAUGGAGCAUGUCGAUAAAUUUUUUUUCUUCUUAAUAAAAUUGACGUAAGUUGUGUUUACAGUAGUUUGAAGUUUGAAAUAUUUUAAAGAUUAUUAUUCUAUAAGGGAGUAAUAUGAAAUGAUAUUUACUUUUCAUGUGUGAAAUGAAAAAGGACGAAGCAAGUGUCCCUGCUUUUAUUUUAUUUCAAGGAGGAGUCAUCUCACAUACUUUAGCUCUUAACAUUACAUUUUUUCUGGUUACAUUUUUUAUUUAUUUAUUUUUUUUUUUUUACACAUGCGUGUGGGUUGCUUUUCUGUAAGCUCCUUAAUAUAUAUUUAAGACAAAUCAUGGAAGAGAUGGGAUUAUAUCAAGAUGAUCAAAGAAUGUUAAAAAAGAAAAAAGAAAAAAAAAAGAAGUAAGACACUGAAAAUGGAGAAGAGAUGGAAGCAAAAGAUAUUCCAAAACAAAGCAAUCUAUCCCCUUUCGAGGGCAGACUUAUCAGGUUUAAAAAAGUACACGCUUUGGAUUGGUAGUUGCAAUCAAGGGAAAAUAAAUAGGAUCCAAUGAAAUUUAAAUCUCGGAGAAAAUAAAUAAUCAUGCAGAUUUUCAAGAUUUUAAUAAGGGAUACUAAUAUCUUAUUUUGAUUAAUAAUAUCCUUUCAUUGUGUUAACUCAAAAAAUAUAUAUUUUAAUGUUUUGCAAUAAACAGAAACGUACUAUUAAAAUGAAUAUAUAAAGAAUUUAGAAAAUUUUGAAUGUUAUAUAAAAUAAUUUUAAGAUAAUGCGUGAGAUAUAUUUUAUUAAUUUAAAAUGUUAUUUUACCUAAAAAAUAUGAUAAAUUAAUAAUUACAUAUUUGAAGUUAUUUUAAAUAUUAAAAAAAUUUAAUAUUAUUAAUCUUUUAGAUAGAUUAAAUUAUUUUUUAUAAGAGAUAGAUUAAAUUAUUUUAAAAUACGUUAAUUGUUUUUACUUUUAACGUUACCGGCCUUUCUUUUAUUUUAUUGCAAAUUAAUGCUAACAAGAAAAAGCUAGAUCAUAUUCCACAAAAGCAAAAGUGACAAACACAACCAGCUGGAAUCUUUUAAUUACUAUUCAAUAAUUCGAGACGAUUAGGGUCUUUUAUUAAACUACAAAUUGUAUAGUCUUUUUAAAAUUGUUAUAAAUUGGUGGCACCUACAAUCCUCAAUAAUUGUACCGAUAUUCACAAGUUGGUGGCCCCUACAAUUCUGUUCGGAUAAUUUAACUGUGCAAGUGCUCAUUCACAAUAAUUGUUUUGUUUUUUUUUUCUGCAUUCCCUUUCAUGCUCUUAAUAAUUGAAGAGCAUACUUUUCAUUUUCAAAUGUGGAGCCGCAGCUAAUGUCGCUAAUUUAAUUUGGGAUUAAAUUAGGGGACCAUUAUAUUGCAGUGUGCACUAAUUUUUGUGUUUAUCUAAACUCCUUAAAUUUAAGACAUAUUAUGGCAUAAAUAAGAAUAUAACAAUAGCAAAAGAGUUAAAAAGUGUAGAGAAGAUCUUGCAGAAAUAUAAAUAAUAUCUAUUUUAAAAUAAUAUCAAUAUUUAAAAUAAUUUUUAAUAUUUUAUGAUUCAUUAGAUAUAUUUUAUUAUAUUAAAGUAAAUUUUAUAAUAAAUAAAAACAUACUAUUAAAAUGAAUAUAUAGAAAAUUUAGAGUAUUUUAAGUAUUAUAUAAAAUAAUUUUAAUAAAAUAUGUGAGAUAUUCAUAUUUUAUUAAUUUAAAAUACCAUUUAACCUAAAGAUUUAUUUAUGAUAAAUUAAUAAUUAUAUUUUUGAAGUUACUUCAAAUAUUAAAAAUAUUAAUAUUACUAAUCUAUUAGAUAGAUUAAAUUAUAUAUAUUAUUUUCUAUUUAUUAAAAAAUUUAAAAUUAUUUUUAAUUACUAUUCAAAAAAUAUAAUGAUAAAAAAGAAUCUUAACAUCUUUAUUAAAAAUUUAAAAAUUUACAUGAUCAAUUCUCUAAAUAUUUAGGGUUAUAUGUGAACAACGGUGGAGAAGCUUUAUUUAAUAUUAUUGAUUUAAAUAAUAUGUCAAUUAAAAAUGUACAGAGAAGGAAAUUUCGGUGGGUAUUUUAGUCUUUUCAGCAAUUAUCAUGAUCAGAUCAGCCUUUAGCCUUGAAUCGUCGGUCAGAAAAGUUUUAAAAUUAACGCUAACAAGAAAAAGCUAGGUCAUAUUCCACAAAAGCAAAACUGACAAAACAACCAGCUGGUUUCUUUUACUAAACUACAAAUUAAAAGUGGAUUCUUUUGAAUGCAAGUGGGACAGACGAUUAGGCUCUUUUUAUUAAAGGCAAGUAAAAACUAGUCGAAUAGUCUUUUUCAAAUUGUUGUUUUAUUAUUUUUCCUUCAAAAGUUAGUGUGGCUCAUGUUUGCAGGUGCGAAUGUGGGUCCCGAAUCAUUACUAAAAUUUCUAUUCCACAGCCCACCGCAGCUUCAGUUAAUCAAACUCAAAUCAAUUUUCUUUCUUAACAAAAUAUUCCAAAGAUGUGUAGCAUUUUUCAGAUCACAUGCGAUGGUGCUCUUUUCAAUCGUUGCUUGGAUUGCUUUCUUGGAAAAGCAGCAUACAUACGUAACCUCCAAGAUAAUGUUGAUACCUUGGGCACUGAAUUGGGAAAUCUGAUCGCUAGAAAGAACGAUCUGAUGAGGAGGGUUGUCGAUGCUGAACGGCAACAAAUGAGAAGGCUGGACGGAGUGCAAGUGUGGGUUUCGAGGGUGGAUUCUGUUAAAACUGAAGCUGAUCAAUUUAUAAGAGACGGCUCUCGAGAAAUUGAAAAAUUAUGUGUUGGAGGCUACUGUUCCAAGAAUUGCAUGUCAAGCUACAAGUUCGGGAAAAAAGUGGCUAAAAAGCUACGGGAUGUGCGGACUUUAAUCAGUGAAGGAGUUUUUGAGGUGGUGGCUGACAGAGCUCCAGAGUCUGUAGCAGAUGAAAGACCUACUGAGCGAACAGUAGUAGGCUUGCAAUCACAACUUGAACAAGUCUGGAGAUGUCUUGUAGAAGAAUCAGCGGGAAUCAUUGGCCUAUAUGGUAUGGGCGGUGUUGGUAAAACUACACUACUGACCCAUAUCAACAAUAAAUUUCUCGAGAGUCCAACCAACUUUGAUUGUGCGAUUUGGGUUGUAGUUUCAAAAGACCUGCGACUCGAAAAAAUUCAAGAAGAUAUUGGGAAAAAGAUAGGUUUGGUUGGUGAUUCAUGGAAGAGUAAAAGUGUAGAGGAGAAAGCUGUCGACAUCUUCCGGAGUUUAAGAGAGAAGAGAUUUGUAUUGUUGUUAGAUGAUAUAUGGGAGCGGGUUGAUUUAACAAAGGUGGGCAUUCCACUUCCCGGACCAAAAAAUACUACCUCAAAAGUCGUAUUCACAACCCGUUUCAUCGAUGUUUGUGGUAGCAUGGAAGUUGACAGGAAGUUUCAAGUAGCAUGCUUAUCAGAAAAGGAUGCUUGGGAACUGUUUCGAGAAAAAGUUGGGGAGGAAACUCUUCAGAGUCAUCAUGAUAUCGAUGAGCUAGCCCAAAUUGUGGUCAAAGAGUGUGGUGGUUUGCCACUCGCACUUAUUACUAUUGGUCGAGCUAUGGCCUACAGAAAGAAAGCGGAGCAGUGGAGACGUGCAAUUGAAGAGUUAAGGAGAUCAGCUUCAGAGUUUGCAGGUUUGGGAAAAGAGGUUUAUCCUCUUUUAAAAUUCAGCUAUGAUAGUUUGCAGAAUGAUACGGUUAGAUCUUGUUUCUUGUACUGUUGUUUAUAUCCUGAAGAUUAUGGCAUUCUUAAAUGGGACUUGAUUGAUUGUUGGUUUGGCGAGGGAUUUUUUGGGGAAUCUGACAGGUCUGGUGCAGAAAACCAAGGAUAUGACAUUUUGGACACUCUUGUUCGUGCGUGUUUAUUAGAAGAGGUGGAAGAUGAUGAAGUAAAAAUGCAUGACGUUAUUCGUGAUAUGGCUAUAUGGAUAACUUGUGAAAUUGAGAAGGAGAAGAGAAACUUUUUGGUUCGUGCAGGUGCUGGAUUAAAAGAUGCACCGGGUGUUAAAGGAUGGGAAAAUGUGAGAAGAUUGUCAUUGAUGCAAAACCAAAUUGAAACUCUGGCAGAGGUUCCCACAUGCCCUCAUCUCCAUACUCUAUUUCUUGACUUUAAUAGGGGGUUGGAUAUGAUCGCGGAUGGCUUCUUUCAAUUUAUGCCUUCUCUCAAAGUUUUGAAGAUGUCAAACUGUUCGAAUUUGAAAUUACCUGUUGGGAUGUCAGAGUUGGGUUCAUCACUAGAACUUCUUGAUAUUUCAGAAAACAGCACAAGAGAGUUACCGGAAGAGUUAAAGAAGUUGGUAAAUCUGAAAUGUUUGAAUUUGAGGUGGACAGAGCAUUUAAAUAAAAUUCCACGGCAACUAAUAUCAAAUUCUUCAAGGUUACGUGUGUUGAGAAUGUUCGCUACUGGCCGGUUCAAUUUUCAUGAAGCACCAGAAGACAGCGUUUUAUUUGGUGGGGGUGAAGUUUUGAUACAGGAAUUGCUCGGUUUGAAAUAUUUAGAGGUAUUGGAGUUGACCUUGGGAAGUUAUCAUGCUCUCCAAAUUCUUUUGAGCUCAAAUAAGUUAAAAAGUUGUAUUCGAUCUCUUUACCUCGAGUUGACCGGAGAUACAACGUCAAUUAUUGAUGCUACGGCUUUCGCAGAUCUAAACCACCUCAAUGAAUUACGGAUUGAUAAUGGUAUUGAGUUGGAAGAGUUGAAGAUUGAUUAUACGGAGAUAGUACGAAAAAGGCGGGAACCUUUUGUUUUCCGCAGCCUUCAACGUGUUACCAUAGCGGAGUGCCAUAAAUUGAAAGAUGUGACAUUCCUCGUUUUUGCUCCAAACCUCAAGUCUCUUCGGCUAUUCUAUUGCGGUGCUAUGGAAGAAAUAAUCAGCGUCGGAAAAUUUGCUGAGACUCCUGAGAUGAUGGGACAUAUAAGCCCUUUUGAAAAUCUCCAAAUGCUUGAUUUACAAGGUUUGCCACAUUUGAAGAGCAUCUUCUGGAAGCCAUUGCCUUUCACUCAUCUGAAAGAAAUGGAGGUACUUAGGUGCGAUCGGCUUGAAAAGCUUCCACUCGAUUCCAACAGUGCAAAGGAGCGCAAAUUUGUUAUUCGUGGAGAAGAAGACUGGUGGAACCGACUUCAAUGGGAGGAUGAAGCCACUCAAAUUGCUUUUCGUUCCUGUUUUAAAAGUGAUGCUUUAUUUAUAUCUUAUUCGUGAAAAGUGAUUUAAUUUCCUGCCAAAAGACGAACGAGAAGAACAAUAGAGUCAAACUAAUGCUCACAUAAAUUUCCCGUAAGAAUAUAUAAUUAGAUUGGAAUGCACACCUCUAGAUUGAACAGAAUUAAAGCUGAGAAAAUAUUGAGUAUAGUAGCCCUCUUUACAGAAAAUGACGUGAAAGUUAAUUUAGAAAGAUAUAUUCUUGAUUAAUCCAUUUUCUGAAGUUUUUAUUUUGUAUGGUCAAUUAUACCUUCAUACUAAAAAUUUCUGAAGUUAUAAAUUAGUGCAACUUGACAAUUUUUACUGAUGAUAUCUUCUAUUUUUCCCUUUUUUUUUUUUUCACUUUCAUAGACUGGCAGCGGAUCCUGCGGCACCAAUUUGAGAGAAUAUACUGACACUACUUCGAACAGCAAGCAGAAGAAGUAAUAUGUCUACGGCAAAGGCAAUGGAGUCCUCAUUUUGGCUCGAGAUGCAGUAAUCAUCGAAGAGAGUUUCCUUGUGAAACUGGGCAACACAUUGAAUCCCUUCACCACUGAGAAGGUUGUGGAGGAAGUAAGCUUUCUCUCCAGUGAGGAAGAGGUGGCAUAUACCUUCCCCAUUUUGUUGAGGGCAGGUAGGAAUCUUUUUUCUAAGAGAUUUACUUCGUUCUCUGUAAGAAAUGCUUUGAACUUCAUCCCUCUGUCUCUAUCCUCACUUAUCAGGAAAUAAGUUGAAAGCACUAUGAAGAGAGAGAGAGAGAGAGAGAGAGAGAGAGAGAGAGAGAAUUAAGAUAUAUAGACAAGAAAAAUAUUUGACGUUGAUCUUACAAACUAAUACUUCAAGCAGUAUCCUAGAAAGCUAAAAACUGCAAGAUGGCUUGAAAUUUGAAAAGAGCACAUGCUUUUCCUCCUUAACUUGAGAAAAUGUUUAAUAUAGUGCACCUUACAGAAGCAUUUAAGCAAUUAGAACUUUGCACAAAAACAUCAAGAAGACUAAACAAGUCAGAUGCAGUGUAUUUGUCCAAGCACAAAUUGCAUUUUUUCCUCAACUUUAAUAUUUAUUGAUGAGAAUCAAUACAGGUCCCUCAUUUGUUAUAGAAAGCUUUCUUUCUUGUAGUCUCACCAGUUAAUUCAGAGGUCUAUAAUCAUCUUGCAAAGUUAAGGGCAUUUCUUUUGAUCUAAAGUCUUUGCAUCACCACCUCAUCACACGCCAAGCCAAUAUUCCAUUUACCUCUACAACAAAAAGUUUUAAUUAAACAAUCCUAAUGCACGCAGCCAAAUAAAAUGCAGUAAGAAUAUUCAACUUAAAAAUCUGAAAGCCAACUUGGUGAAUUGCCUCCUUAGGUGAAGUUCCAUGCUUUACUAUAGUUGACAGAACUCAGCAAAAGCUUCCAUACAACAGAUUUUGAAAAUGAUGAUGCCAACAGAUACUCAUUCAAUGCAUUGAAACUCCAAAGGUUCAUUGUUCAUAGAAGUUUACAGAGUUUUGGUCAUCAAAUAGCUCAGACCUAAUCCCAAACAAAAAAUGAGUGAAAAUUAGAUCACGAGCAGCUAAUUGUAAAUUCUAACUUAACUCUUCAUCUCCUUUGUAAACAAGAAACAAAAUGGAGACACGCAAAAUGAAUAUGGAGAAAAUUUGAACUCAAAUGAAAUGAGGGCAUGAAAGCAAACAAAUGGCAUGCACCAAAAAACCAAGCCUCAAUCAAAAACUAAUUAACCAUUAAGAAAAAAAUUGGUCAGAGAAUGAACUCCAAAUUCAGGAGUCAAGCAAGAAGCUUUCAUUAUUAUCAAAGUCAAUUAUCUUUGUUAGUAUGCGAGUGUGACGACUAUAGGUUGUUCUUUUUCUAAUGUCAUAUGAUUCCAAUUUUAGGUACAGGGCAUCUCUCUCUCUCUCUCUCAUCGCUAAGUGGAUAUUUUUCUCUUUUGUCAUAUACUUUAGUUAUUCUUCAAUUUACUAACUAAAAUGAAGGCCGCUUUAUUAAGAAGUUAUAUCCAGUUAUAUAAUUUGUUGUAUUUAAUAUAUGUUUGGGCUCAUAAUUUUUUUUAAAAAUAUAUAUUUCAUUCUCCAUAAUUUUUUCCCAUCAUAGCUACGAAACGUCUUAGUUUCGACUAAAAUCCUAAAAUUGGUCCUUAAUUGAAUAUGCAUUGCAAUUUGCAAAUGUAAUAUUGUGAAUGGGACACUGGAGAUACCAAAAUGGUCAAAUGCGAAAUAAGUUAGGAUUGUACGAUGUAGUUUGUAUUCAUAUUCAAUGCCUUUUUUUUCAAAAAACAAAUUGAAAUGCCAUUACUAAACGAUUCUUGAUGAUGGGAGCCACCGUGCCAGCUUUGUCGCUGAUUUGGUAUUAUUCUUAACUUGCAGAUAGUUGUGGAUAUGAUAUGCAAAAAGGUAAGGACUAUAUCUUCUUGAUGGAGGCCUCUGAUUUUUUCCCUUCUAUGUAAUUUAGUAAAUCGCAUUUUCCCUUGUGAUUGAUAUAUCAUACCAAAGUCAAGUCUUAAAUACUGCUGUCAUAUGUUAAGGUUCAACUUCCAUUUUGAUUAACGUCCAUUUGCUGCUGCUUCCAAAAGUGAGAAUGAGAUACUUUGGUUAAUUUCAGUAGUUGAACCCAAUAGAGUACUUUAUUUAGAUCUUCAUGGUUCAAAGGCCUGAAAAAACUUGCCGGUAUUUGCAAAAUGACAUUCUGUGCUUUUAUUUAGGCUUAUUAUUUAAGUGAUAAAAACUCCCGUAACCUGCUGUCAAGAAAAUUUCAGAUUGUUAAAAGACAACAUUUUGUUUCAGCCAAAAAUGUUUGUUUCGAUUAAAGACUUGAACCAUUUUCAUUUAACCUUGAUUGUGAUGCUUUACAUUAUGCAUGUUCCUCUCAAUCAAUAAAAGUUGAGGUCAUGAUUUUAUAUUUCUAUUUUGUAACUUGAAAUAAUUGGUCUGCCUGUUUCUGUAGCUUGAUAACAUGAAUUUUUCCUUCUGAAGUUAAUUUGAUCAAUAAAGUAAUUCUUCGGAGAUGAUAUGCCCAUUCUAUAGUCAUUUUCUUAGGUAACAUGUUUUUUCUUCACUCUUCAGAGCAUGUCUAAACUAAUUGAUCGCUCAGCGGAGACUUUGGGUGAGAAGACAAAAUUUCUUGGUAAAUCCUCUAAAAAGGUAUGCAUAAUUCCCGAGUAUUAAAUAAUCAUUGGUCAUAAUUUUUGUACACAACUCUUUUUUUGGAGAUCGUUAAAAGUGGUUGAUGAUCUAUUUUGUAAUAUCAUAGAGGGAUCAUGAAUUCCUGUUCUUUUCUGUGGCUAGGCAACACUUUCGGGCCAAGCUAAGGAAAUCUAUUUUAGGUAAUGUGAAAACCAGUUGUAGGAUGUAAUAGUUUAUUAUGCCCUGACAAUAACUUUUUGUAUAAUUGUCAGUUUAAUGAAUACAAGAGGAACUCUGUUGGCAAAUUCAUCCAUGAUAGAUGCUAAAAGUAUUUAUGCAUACCAGUUGCCUUAACUAAUUUUUCUCAACACUGGUAUUGAACAGGAAAAUGAAUAUGCAAUUUGUAUAUUGUGCCAUUGUGGAGAAUUUGGAUAUUCUUAUUUAAGUAACAAGGAGAGUAUUUGCCUCAUCUUUAAACAAUGAAUCUUUGAGAAAUGAGGAGUGGGUGAUUGGCAGUGUCUUCAUGUAAAUGUUCAUUUAUUUGUAUUUUGAACUAUUAUGAGAAUCUUUGUAUGCCAAAUUAGUAAUACAAAUGUUCAGAUGAUUUUUCCUGUUGAUCAUGCGUGUGUAUCUGCACACAACCAUUGUGUCCCACUUUAUUCUGAUGCACAAAUAUCUGUAGUUUAGAAGAAAAGAAAUAAUAAUCAUAUAUUAUUGCUUGGUUCAUGAUUAUUAAACGAUUAUGGCUUUAGAAAAUCCACAAAUCCUUUGUGUUCAUAUAUGAAUGUGCGAAGUUUGCUAUCUCUUAGAUUACCUUCUUCCAAGAUAACAAGUUCAUAUAUUUUUUUUAAUCCUUUUUCAUCACAGUUGAAUUUCAAGUGUAAGUUUUGUUAUUAAUAGCUGGUUUCCUGUUAUUAUGAUUUCAUAAACAGUGAGAGGAUAUGUGCUCUACUUUUGGAGGGCCUCCACAUGAAAGAAAAUUGCAACAAUUGAAUUCUUCCGGAGGGUAUGGUAUUUAAUUUAUUUUCUCAGCUUGUUGUAAGACUAAUAUAUUUCCUUCAGUACCCAAAAGGACAGAAAUGAAUUACGGAAGGAAGUUUUUGCUGCUUUAUUUAGUGCUGCUGAGAAAUCUGAUGGAUUUCCUGAAAUUACGGUGAAGACGGAGUGGAGGUCCAACGCAUUAGGAAAGGUGGUGAGUGAACCGCCGGAGGAAUUAGUACCAGAAUACAAGGCUAAUGUGGUGCACUUGCAGCAAGAUGACCAGACCUGUAUGUGCUCUUAUAUUAACUAUAUUGGUUGGAUUUGUGAGUGUGUACAUUUUUGUGUGUAUACUCACAUUUGUAUUUAUGCAUAUUAACGUGUGUAGGAUUCUUGAUUUCUGCCACUUACUGGAGAACUAGUGGAAAGCUUUAUACUGAUAUAUGUGCUAUAACUAAUGGAAACUACAAUAUGAAUAUUUUCUCUCACCUGGAGAACUGUGUAACAGAUAUAAUUUGUGGCUCUGGAAUACUGAAGAUUCUGCAAUAACUAAUGGAAAAUAUGAUAUGAAUAUUUUUUCUCACCUGGAGAACUUUGUAACAGAUACAUUUUGUGGCUCUGGAAUGUCUAAAGAAUGCUUCAGUUUAGAUCAAAUAUCUUUUAGUUAGAAAAGAUAAAAUUCUCUGAAUCUGAAAGACUGAAACAUUUUGCAUAUUUUGUGAAAGGGAAGUAUCUGUAGAUACUAGCUCAUGCAUUGAGGUAAUAUCAAUGUUAAAGAAAAACAGCAAUAAUUUAUUAUACAGAAUUAGGUUCACUUGCUUUAAAUGCUGGUCUGAUCAACCAUAACAACCUGUAAUGGUCCUGCAGAAAUAUAUAUACGGGGAGAAACUAGCUAAAUUUUCCUUUCACUUAUGGGUUUGGUCUUUUUUUCCCCUAUUUUUCAGCUUUCCUUCUCCUGAAGUAUGUUAACAAUUGCAGAUAAUGACGAAGAGGACCGCUUCCAGGCUCUUUGUAGAGCUGUGAUGGAAUAUAGGGGCACAAUGAAAGAAUAUUGUAAGGUUGUAUGUACUUUCUCUCUUGUCAUUUAUGUUUUCUCACACAUUUUGUUUAUGCCCUGAACAUGCAGCUUUGUAUGUGUCAAUUGCCUUUUACGUUUUAAAAGCCAUAAAGUAAGAAUACAGUUCCUUGUCAGGCUAUUGAUGCGUUCGCUCAGAAGGGUCAUGUUCAAGCAGGAAAACUUCUAGAACAGGUAAGGUUUCCAUCUACAGCCAUCCAUUGACAGCAGAUAUAUUUUCAUUAAGCAGACACUGUUAGCAUUCAAGAUGCUGGCAGAUUCACUUGAUUCUUAUUAGUUUGUUUAGUGGCAAGGCAUAUAACCUGUAUUUCAAAGCCAAGUUGUGCUAUUGAUUAUGUUAACUUUAUUGUUAACAUAAAGUGAUAUGGAGGACAUAAUCAAUGUAGGAAAAUUAGGUGAAGAGAUGAUGUCAAAUCUUGAACCUCUUACAAAGCUCCAAGUUCUUUACUUGAAGAAGCUGCCAAAUUUGAAGAGCGUCUACUGGAAGGCAUUUCCAUUCCCAGAUGUAUGCAGAAUUUUUGUAUUAAUGCCCAGUUCUUAAGAACCUGCCACUGGAUUUUCAAGGGGUGGGCCAAGGUAAAAUUCUUAUCAAGGGAAAGGAAGAUUGGUGGAAAGAACUUCAAUGGGAGGAUCAAGCAACUCAGAAUGCAUUGCUUCCAUUUUUCAAAUCAACUGACAAGUGAUUGAAGGGGGCAUCAUCAACAUCAUCAACAGAGAUGGAGAGAUUCUGGAGCAGAUCAGCAGGGUUUGUAUAUGAUCUUUGGUGGUUGCUUUCUUUUGUGAUUUUUUUUUUCUUCCUGUCAUUUUAUCAUUUCUUUGUCUCUUUUUUUAUUGCUGAUGUUAGUGUAUGCUUACUGUUGCUUGACAAAGUUCGCUUGCUUCUUGUUUAUUAAAUUUUUUAUCGUCACAAAAUAUUACUUGUUCUAUUUGAGAGUGAUGUGAAUCAAUUUUCAAUUAUAUAUUUUGUGGUCAAUGUGAAUUCAAUUUCAUUUGUCUCCUGCAAUUAUGAGAAAACUGCAGAGUCAUAAUAUGGAAAAGUACACCAGCAAAAACUUUGUAAAAGCUUCGGAGUGAAACAGGGAAUUCACUUACUACUAAGAACAAUUGAUGGCGAGUUAUUCCAUUCAUUUUAUGUCCAUCUAUCUAUUUAAUUAUUAAAGAUAAAUGGUCCAUUUAUAAAUUUCAGAUUGUCUCUCUCUGAAAAUAACAAUAUUUAAAAUAUCUCUUAAAUUAUUAUAAAUUUUAAUACACUCUCGAUUUAAAAUGGAACAUGCUGAUGAAAUUGUUUUCUUCUUAAUAAAAUUGAAAUAAAUUGUGUUUGCAGUAGUUUGAAAUAUUUUAAAGAUUAUUAUUUUAUAAGGGAGUAAUAUGAAAUGAAAUUUACUUUUCAUGCGUGAAAUGUUGAAAAAGGACAAAGCAAGUGUCCCUGCUUUUAUUUUUAUUUUAAAGUGGAGUCAUCUCACAUACUUUAGCUCUAUCAUUACAAUUUUUCAGGUUACAUUUUUAUUAUUUAUUUAUUUUCUUUUUUACACAUGCAUGUGGGUUACUUUUCCGUAAGCUCCUCAAUAUAUAUUGAACCCAGCGAAGAAUGUUAUGGAAGAGCAAAUUAAUGAUAUUUCUGAUAGAGUCUAUUUGAUUAUGUAGCCUGAAUGGAUGUCUUGUUGAAAGAUAUCUCAGUGCAUUAGUUCAUCCUUGUCUGUCAAUGUGUUUUUAAUGGUUUUUCCAAUUGUUUAUUAUUAUAGAUUGAUUGUAAAUUGAUAUGAAAAUUUGAUAUGAAUUUAAUGUUGAAAUGUUUUCUCUUUAGUGGAAUGAAUUUAAAAGUGCAAAAGAUUAUUGCACACAGAGAAAUAAACAUAUAUGCUUUAUAACUUUAGCAAUCGAUUCUUUUACAGCUGGAAACAGAGAUGAUGAUUAUCAUAAGGAUGAAGAAAAGUAGUGCGUUAGACGAUUAGACUCUCUUAUUAAAGGCAAGUAUAAAGUAGUGAAGAAUCCAAUAUCUCUAUUGUCUAGUCUUUUGUUUAAUUCUUCUUUUAUUAUUUUUCAGAAUAAUUUUUGGUGAUUACAAUCGGGUUAUUAUUCAGAGUUAUUGUUAUCUUCUGGGGCAGUUUCUGUUCAUCGAAUUCAUUAAUUAAAAUUUUAGAACUCUUAUCAGAAGAAUAUUUUUCGGUUAUCUUUUUUAUGUUCUAAUUCCAAUUGUAAGAAGUAGCCAUUUUAGAAUUUGGGUCUUGAAUCGAAUUUCAAUGCAUGAAUUAAUAUUAAAAAAAAAAAAUUCACUACUCGCAGUUUAGGUUACAAAUUACUUUUUGGAAAGUUGACUUUGGAAUGUUUGCAAAGAAAGAGACUAACAUAUUUCCAAUUACACUAAAUCUCUAUUAUGAUAAUGUUAAGACUAAAUUAAUUUAAAUAAUUUUUAUUUGAAAAUUAUAUCAAACGCAGUCUAAUUUUAUUAAUUUUAAGAAAUAAUAAUUAUAAAAAUUAUUGUUCUGACUUAAUUAAUACAAGUGAUAUAAAAGUUAAGUGUGCACUAAAUCUGUUUUAAUUUUUUCCAGUAUAACUAACAGAGGUCAUUACUAGAAUUAUAUUACUAGUCUAUUAGAUAGAAAAAAUUACUUAUAUUGUUUUAUAUUUAUUAAAAAAUUUAAAGCCAAUUUUUUUAAUUACUAUUUAAAGAAUAUUAUAAUUUGAAAAAUUUUAAUAUCUUUAUUAAAAAUUUAGAAAUUUACAGUCCUCUAAAUAUUUAAGGCGUAACUGUCAUUUUCUCAAGAAGCUUUAUUUAAUAUUAUUGAUUUAAAUAAUAUCUUAUUAAAAAUGUACUGAGGAGAAAUUUUGGUGGGUAUUUUAGUCUUUUCAGCAAUCAUCAUGAUUAACCUUUGGUUGGCCUUGAAACGUCGGUCAGAAAAGUUUUAAAAUGCUUAAUUGUUUUUCACUGUUAACGUUAGUGGCCUUGAAAUUGCUUAUAUUUUAUUAAAAAUUAAUGCUAACAAGAAAAAACUAGAUCGUAUUCCACCCCCAAAGCAAAAGUGAUAAAACAACCGGCUGUAUUCUUUUAUUAAACUACAAAUUAAAAUGGAUUUCUUUAAUUAAAGUGGAUAUCAUUUAAUUAAUGUUUGAACAUUAAAGUUCUGAUAUAUAACCACUAUGCCGACCACCUAAUUGCUGCUAUUUAAUUUCGUUCCAGUUCUCUCUCUCUCUCUUUUUCUUUUUUUUUUGGGCCAAGCAAUAAAUAGUAAAAAUUCAAUAAAAGCAAUAUUAAUGCUGCAAGUGAGUCAUGUUAUUUAUUGUCAAUUAGGAAAUGUGAACCUAAUUUGAUUGCAUCCCUUUAAUCAUUUAAUAAUUAUGUAAGCACCAUCCCUUUAAUUAUUUAAUAACUAGAAAAUAGAACACUGCGUUUCACGCGGCUUUGAAAAAAGAAUUUAGUAUUAUCUUUUUUUCUUACUUUACACUUGAUGAAACUGAUAAAAAAUAUGAAUUGAUUUUUUUUAAAGAUGAGGCAGCCUUAUAAAAAAUAAAAAAAGCUAUUAGCCAGCAAUACAAAUAAAGAAGGAAUGCAAGAUAAAGAAUAAAAUGAGAGAAUAUAUUAUAGAGUGAUCUUAUUCAUUCUAAUUGUGUGUGUACAAAACAAAAAGAUGAGCUCUCCUUUUAUAACUACAUAAUUACUUCAUGAAAUUAAUGAAAAAUUAUGAAUCAUAAUUUCUUGUGAGAUAGUGGGAGUUAUUGGGAAGCUAAAAGUUGCUAAUGGGAGAUAGUGGGGAGACUAAGAGAUAUAUAUUAUGAACAUCUACAUUUAUUUUAAUAAAUUCAUAACACUCCCCCUUAAAUGUUCAUUACAAAGAAUAUGCCUCAUUAAAAUCUUUACAUAAUUGUUAUUGUGUAAUAACAAUCAAAUUAAUUAUAAGAAGAUGAAAAGCCAAAUCUAACAGAAAAUUUCUCUAUUUAUUAGAUAAUAGAGAAUAUAGCAAGAUGAGAAAUGGUAAUGCCACAUCAUCUCCUCACGUCCCAACUUUAUAUAUAUAUAUAUAGAUAAUAUAUAUUAUUCCUGUCCUACAUUCACAUAUUUAAUUGUCCUUUUGAAAAUAUUCAUGAGUUAGGCCAAGUAAAGUCAAAGAAAUUGGGAAAAAGGAACAAAAGGACAAACCUAAAUUAAUUGAACCUAAUUCAUGAAAAUGCACACUUUUGUGUUGCGGACGGCGGACCCUAAAGCUUCGUUGUUUGCAGCUGCAAUUAAUUCUUUUCCUUCAAAAGUUAGAGGCUCGUGUUUACAGUGGGUCCCGAAUCGGACGUACCUAAUAAAUCUUUUAAAAAAAUUUGCCGUAUAAAGGACAGAGGUCAUUACUGAAAUUUCUCUUCCACGGGCAAUUACAGCAGCUUCAGUUAAUCAAACUCAAAUCAAUUUUCUUUCUUAACAAAAUAUUCCAAAGAUGUGUAGCAUUUUUCAGAUCACAUGCGAUGGUGCUUUUUUCAAUCGUUGCUUGGAUUGCUUUCUUGGAAAAGCAGCAUACAUACGUAACCUCCAAGAUAAUCUUGUAGCCUUGGACACUGAAUUGGGAAAUCUGAUCGCUAAAAAGAACGAUGUGAUGAGGAGGGUUGUCGAUGCUGAACGGCAACAAAUGAGAAGGCUGGACGGAGUGCAAGUGUGGGUUUCGAGGCUCGAUGCUGUUAAAACUGAAGCCGAUGAACUUAUCACAGACGGCUCUCGAGAAAUUGAAAAAUUAUGUGUUGGAGGCUACUGUUCCAAGAACUGCAGGUCAAGCUACAAAUUCGGAAAACAAGUGGCAAGAAAGCUACGAGAUGUGGAGACUUUAAUCGCCGAGGGAGUUUUUGAGUCGGUGGCUGAGAGAGCUCCGGAACCUGUGGCAGAUAAAAGACCCACUGAGCCAACAAUAGUAGGCUUGCAAUCACAGCUUGAACAAGUUUGGAGAUGUCUUCUUGUAGAAGAAUCAGCGGGAAUCAUUGGCCUAUAUGGUAUGGGCGGUGUUGGUAAAACCACACUGUUGACCCAUAUCAACAAUAAAUUUCUUGAGAGUCCCACCAACUUUGAUUGUGUGAUUUGGGUCGUAGUUUCAAAAGACCUGCGACUUGAAAAAAUUCAAGAAGAUAUUGGGAAGAAGAUAGGUCUGUUUGAUGGUUCGUGGAAGAAUAAAAGUGUUGAGGAGAAAGCCGUAGACAUCUUGCGGAGAUUAGGAGAGAAGAGGUUUGUAUUGUUGUUAGAUGAUUUAUGGGAGCGGGUUGAUUUAACAGAAGUGGGCGUUCCACUUCCCAGCCCACAAAAAUACUACAUCAAAGUCGUAUUCACGACCCGUUUCAUUGAUGUGUGUGGUAGCAUGGAAAGUCACAGGAAGUUUAAAGUGGCAUGCUUAUCAGAAGAGGAUGCUUGGGAGCUGUUUCGAGGAAAAGUAAGGCAAGAAACUCUUGAGAGUCAUCAUGAUAUCGUUGAGCUAGCCCAAACUGUGGCCAGAGAGUGUGGCGGUUUGCCACUCGCGCUUAAAACUAUAGGUCGAUCUAUGGCCUACAGAAAGACAGCUAAGGAGUGGAGACAUGCAAUUGAAAUGUUAAGGAGAUCAGCUUCAGAGUUUGCAGGUUUGGGAGAAAAGGUGUAUCGUCUUUUAAAGUUUAGCUAUGAUAGUUUGCAGAAUGAUACGAUUAGAUCUUGUUUCUUAUAUUGUUGUUUGUAUCCUGAAGAUUAUGGCAUUCUUAAAUGGGAUUUGAUUGAUUGUUGGAUUGGUGAGGGAUUCUUAGAGGAAUCUGACAGGUUUAGUGCAGAAAACCAAGGAUACUACAUUGUGGGCACUCUUGUUCAUGCAUGUUUAUUAGAAGAGGUGGAAGAUGAUAAAGUAAAAAUGCAUGACGUUGUUCGUGAUAUGGCUAUAUGGAUAACCGGUGAAAUUGAGAAGGAGAAGCGAAACUUUUUGGUUUGUGCAGGUGCUGGAUUAAAAGAGGCACCGGAUGUUGAAGUAUGGGAAAAUGUGAGAAGAUUGUCAUUGAUGCAAAACCAAAUUGAAACUCUGUCAGAGGUUCCCACAUGCCCUCAUCUUCUCACUUUAUUUCUUGACUUUAAUAGGGAGUUGAAGACUAUUGCGGAUGGCUUCUUCCGAUGUAUGCCUUCUCUCAAAGUUUUGAAGAUGUCAAACUCUGGAAAGCCUUGGAAAGGUUUGGAAUUAAAUUUGGGGAUGCCAAAGUUGGGUUCACUACAGCUUCUUGAUAUUUCACACACCUGCAUACAAGAUUUACCGCAAGAAUUAAAGUUGUUGGUAAAUCUGAAAUGUUUGAAUUUGAGGCGGACAAUUUGGUUAAAUAAAAUUUCAUGGCAACUAAUAUCAAAUUUUUCAAGGUUACGUGUGUUGAGAAUGUUCGCUACUGGCUGGUUCAAUUUUCAUGAAGCACCAGAAGACAGCGUUUUAUUUGGUGGGGGUGAAGUUUUGAUACAGGAAUUGCUCGGUUUGAAAUAUUUAGAGGUAUUGGAGUUGACCUUGGGAAGUUAUCAUGCUCUCCAAAUUCUUUUCAGCUCAAAUAAGCUAAAAAGUUGUAUUCGAUCUCUUUACCUCCAGUUGACCGGAGAUACAGCGUUAAUUAUUGAUGCUACGGCUUUCGCAGAUCUAAAACACCUCAAUGAAUUACGCAUUGAGUCGGCUACAAAGCUGAAAGAAUUGACGGCUGAUUAUACAGAGAUAGUUCGAAAAAGGCGGGAACCUUUUGUUUUCCGCAGCCUUCACCAUGUUACUAUACAAAGCUGCCAGAAGUUGAAAGAUUCGACAUUCCUCGUUUUUGCUCCAAACCUCAAGUCUCUUUCGAUAGUCAAAUGCAAUGCUAUGGAAGAAAUAAUCAGCGUCGGAAAAUUUGCUGAGACUCCUGAGAUGAUGGGACAUAUAAGUCCUUUUGAAAAUCUCCAAAUGAUUGAUUUACUAGGUUUGCCACAUUUGAAGAGCAUCUUCUGGAAGCCAUUGCCUUUCACUCAUCUGAAAGAAAUAUCUGUGCGUUAUUGCCCUAAUCUUAAAAAGCUUCCACUCGAUUCCAACAGUGCAAAGGAGCGUAAAUUUGUUAUUCGUGGAGAAGAAGACUGGUGGAACCCACUUCAAUGGGAGGAUGAAGCCACUCAAAUUGCUUUUCGUUCCUGUUUCCAACCCUUGUUCCUGAACAGUGGUCGCAAAAUUUGAUUUCUGGUGAGUGCGUUUGUCUUUUAAAAAGAAUAAUUUAAAAGAAAUUUAUUCUUGUCGGUUUCUUCACUGUUUUUAUUUCAGUUUCUCUCUCUCUCUCUCUCUCUCUCUCUUUUUGUCUUCUGCAAAUCACAAUUACAUUUUUAUUCUUGUCGUUUUCUUCACUGUUUUUAUUUCAGUUUCUCUCUCUCUCUCUCUCUCUCUUUUUGUCUUCUGCAAAUCACAAUCAAAUGUUGAAUUAAUGGAAUUAAUGCUUCAUAAAUUUGCCGGCACUGCCAUUACUUUUUUUUGGGGGAUCGAAUUGAUACUUUAUUUAUAUCUUCUUAGCGAUUUAAUUUCCUGUCAAAAGACGAACGAGAAGAACAUAUGACUUAAACCAAUGCUCGCAUAAACUUGCUGUAAAAAGAUAUAAUCUCACUGAAAUGCACACGCCUAGAAUGAAUAGAAUUAAAACAGGGAAAAUAUUAAGUAUAUUAGCCCUCUUUACUGAAAAUCAAAUGACAGUAAAUUUUUUGAAGUUUUGAUUUUCUAUGGUCAAUUCCACCUUUUGCAAUUUCUUCUGUUCUAACAAAAACCAAUUUCUUUGUUCAAGUAUUUUCGUUUGGAUAUUAAUAAUUCUCCACCGAAAGAGUGAACUCUUGCUCAAAGGGAUCUCUAAUAAUACAUAACAUGAUUAUUUUCGUUUGAAUAAUUGAUUUCUUGAUUGAAUUGUCGUGUAAUUGAUUUAUGGGGGAUGACACAUCAACAUACUUGAAAAUACACUAAUCUCAGCAUCAUCGGUUAAUAACUUUUAGAUUUAUGGGUAAUCAAUAGUUAAGAUUAGUUGUCAUUAAUACUAAAUAAUUUUUACUUUUUUUGUCUCUUCUAGAGGAUCUUCUAGAAAAAUGCAUCCACAAUUAAAUUUAAUACUUUACAUAAUAAACAAAGCCUAAAUGUUAAAUUUAAGAAACUGCAUUGUAUUUCAGUUGAAGUUGACUUUAAUAUUUAGGGUAGAAAAACAAUUAAUUUUAUUUUUUGAAAUGUCCAUAUUCAGAGCACAUUUCAAAAAGACUCAAUAAUUUCUCAUAAAUUUCAAUUAAAAAUAUUCAAUUUGUUGUUUCAGUUCUUUUAUUUUUUAUUUUUUCCGACAUGAAAGCGACUUAAUGUUACUAAAUUGGGUGGUCUUUGGAUUUUCAUGACCCAAUAAUUGGAACAAAACAAUUUUCUCAAGCGCUCUCCCGCAACAUUUUAUAAUUGAAGCCGCUGCCCCGCCCGUGGUUUCAAACUUUUUUCUUUCUCCUUGUUUAAAUUAAUGGGAGCAGCCUCCGUCCUUGACUAGUUGACUGCUUGUCUUCUUUUUUUUAUUAAUUAAUUAAUUCAGCCGCCCCCCUUUCUUGUCCCAAUAUCUUCUACUUUCGGUUUCCUUUUAUUAUCUCUUUAUUUUUAAAAAAUGCUUAUAAUAAUAAUAAAAUAUAAAAUAUAAAAAUAAAAAUAUAAUUUAUCAGAAAAUUAAGAUAAAGAAAUAUUAUAAGCACAUCAAUCAACAAGUGAAAAAAAAACAAUUUUAAUUUACAUUAAAUAUAAACUUUCAGUGUUAAUCAACUUUUCUAAAUAACUAAAUUAAAAAAUUAAUUGAUUUAAUUGUGGUGUAAUUGAUUUGUAGGGGAUGAAUCAGCAGCAUCAUCGGUUAACGCUUUCAGAUUUAUAGUUAAUCAAUAGUUGAGAGUUGUUAUCACUAACGCCGUGUAUUUUUUAAUGUUUUUUCUCUCUCCUACAGCAUCUUCUAGGAAAGUGCAUCCGUUGCUAAAAUUUAGUAUCGUAAAUAAUAAACCAAGAAUAAAUAUUAAAUCUAAGAAACUGUAUUGCAUUUAAUAUUUAAGGGAGAAAAAUAAUUAUAGUGUCUUUAUUAAUCAGUAAAAAAAAAAAUUAGAAUCAUAAUAAAUUGUAUUGUUAUUGAUGUAUUUAUUUUAUUUUAUACUCAAAAUAAAUUAUUUUAAAUUAUUAAAAUAAUUUAAAAUUAGUAUUUUAUUUUAUACUCAAAAUAAAUAAUUUAAAAUUUUCAUUUCUUGUUUAUUUCGCAAGUUGUUAUUGCCUAAUGCUAUGUCAACUCGAACAUUAGCAUUUUUUUUUUUGGUCCUCUUUUAACGCAAAAUUAGUGUAGGUUAAGUAACAUAAUCAAUAUUAGGACAAUUUGAAAUCCCUAUGGGUGCGUUUGGUACACUGUAUUGUAUUAUACUGUAUUGCAUUAUUUUAAUGCUGAUGUAUUGUAUUAUGUUGUAUUGCAUUAGCACUGUAUUAUAACAAUGCUAUACAAUAUUUGGUGUUACAUUGUACUGUAUUAGAUUUUAAUUAUAUUAUAUUUAGUGUUACAAUUGUUGUAACAUAAACACGACCAAAAUAAAUUGUACUAAAUAAUCUAAGUAAGAGUUCUGUAGUAUAUGUAAUAAUACUAUUUAUAUUAUUAUUAUUAAUAAUUCUAAAUUAAUAUUAUUUAAUUUUAUUCAUAUUUAAAUAUGUAUUAUUAGUUUAUUAAAUUAUUUAAAAUAAUUAAUUUAUAUAUAUUAAUUAUUGUAACUUAAUUAAAUAAUGUAAUGCUAUAUUAUAUUUUUAUAUACUAUUUAAGUAUUUAUUAUUAAUUAUAUUUAAUUAUAAAUUUAUUAAUAAAUUAUAAUAUAAAAAUAAAAAAUAAAAAUUAAUAUUGUAUAAUAUUAUAUUAAAUUAAAGUUUUAUUUUUAUUACUAUUAUUAUAAAGUAAAAAAAAAAAAAAGGGAAGCUACUGACUUUUGAAACACAAAAGUCAGUAAUACAACCUAAUCACGAGGGGGGGCGCGGGUUUUGAUAAUGCGGCAAAAGCUGCAUUGUAAUGCUGCUCAAUGCAAUCCAUUUGAUCACCAAACACAGGUAUAUUUUAACUAAUGCUGGGCCCACAAAAUAAUACAAUGCAAUUCCGCAUGCCAAACAUACCCUAUGGGUGCGUUUGGUACACUGUAUUGUAUUAUACUGUAUUGUAUUAUUUUAAUGCUGGUGUAUUGUAUUAUGCUGUAUUGCGUUAGCAUUGUAUUAUAAUAAUGUUGUACAAUGUUUGGUGUUACACUGUACUGUAUUAAUUUUUAAUUAAACUAUAUUUGGUGUUAUAUUGUAUUGUAUUAAUUUUUAUAAUUAAUUAAAUUAAAUAAUUAAAAAAUAAUAUUUAUUAAUACUUAGAAAAAUAAUAAAUAUAGAAAUCUUAAUUGUAGAAAUUUAACAAAUUUUUUAGUAAAUAUUAAAAAUUAAUGAUUAAAUUUCUAAAAUUUGUAUUAUAAUUAUGAUAAAAUAAAUUUAUAAAAUUUAAUAUUAUAUGUAAAUAAUAAAUUUAGAUUAUAAUUAAUAUUAUAAUUGUUAAUAUAAAUUAAUAAAUUAUUAUUCAAUAAUAUUCAAUUAUAUUUUAAUUUACAAUAUAUUAUUAUUUUUACAUUUUAAUAUAUUAAUAAAUUUAUAAUUUAACAUAAAUAAUUAUAAAUUUAAAUAAUAUUAAUUUUAAAAUUAAUAUUAAUGUAAAUAAUAUUAUAAUAUUAAUAUAUUAUUUUUAUAUGAAUCAUUAAUAAAUAAAAUAAUAUUAUCAUAUAAUUUAUUUUUAUAUUUUAUUCAUUAUAUUAAUAUUUAAUAAUAAAAUAAUUUAUUUUUAUAAUAUUUUAAUAAAAUAAAUUUGCCUCAAUUGAGGCAUUAACUGUUGCCUCAAUUGAGGCAAAAAGCUUCCGCAUCCCUCGGGUUUGCGUAAUGCGGCCCCAUGCCUCAUUAUGCUGCAUUAUAAUGCAGCAUAAUGAGGUGUCAAAUUUUGCCAAACAUGUUCUUGGUAAUAAACUAAUGUGAAUAGUAGUAUAAUACCACAUAAUCUCAUGCACCAAACACGCCCUAUGUGUAUUAUUCACGGUAUCUAUGAGGGCUUAUCCUUUUGCUAGAACAAACUCUAGCAAAUUGUCAAAUGUGCUUAUCCUUUCCCUUGACGACUCAUUUUAAAAUUGUCACUCAUUUUAAAAUUGUCUUUCAAUGCACAAACACAGACAUAACCGCCGACAUCGAGCACCAAGUUUGGAAUUUAAUUGAUAAGCAUACAUUUGAUAAAUUAAUGAAAAGUUUGGAGAGUAGUUUUGAUCACCCUUGAUUAGGACGGUAUUACAAAAAAGAUCAAAAAGAAAACAUCGUCUCUCUUCACAAAAAUAAAUAUUUUCCGUUAGAAUUUAAUACAAUAAUAUUUUUUUUGAUUAAAAUUUAAUUAAAUACACAAAUAAAUUAUAUAUUUUUUAAAAAAAUUUACACCCAGUCACAAGGCUGGCUAUUAAACUUAAAGGGUGGAAGCUUCGGAGACUAAAGUUGGUAACUUCUCCAAGUGGUCUUAAGUUGACCGGAACUACCCAGACUUUAUGUUUGGUAGCCUAGACCUGAUCGGACCUAGGCCCAAGUUUGGUCUUAAAGUCCACAAUUAAAUUAAAAAAAAAUUAUUUGAUUUGUAAUUGAUUUAUGGGGAAUGAAUCCGCAGCCCUAAAAUUACACCAAUCUUGACAUAAUGACAUCAUCGGUUAAAAACGUUCAGAUUUAUGGUUAAUCAAUGGUUUGAGAUUUGUUAUCAUUAAUGCUAGAUAUUUUUUAACAUUUUUUUCUAUCUCUCUUCUCCUGAAGGAUUUUCUAGGAAAAUGCAUCCACAACAAAAAUUUUAAAUUGUAAACAAUAAACAGAGUAUAAACGUUAAAUCUAAGGAACAUCGCUGCAUUUCAGCUGAAGCGAACUUUAAUAUUUUACGGAGAAAAAUAAUUAAGUCUUUAAUGUGAUUUAUUGAUUAAUAUAUAUGACUAAUUUUUUAAAAGAAGAUGAAGGAUGAAGCUUAAAAAUAUAAAUUAUAGAAUUAAUUUAUCUCUUCAAUAAAUCUAAAGUUUAUUUUUUUUAUUACAUGCUUCUAUUUUAUUUUUAUUCCAUGUUAAUGAAUGGAGAUUUAAAUCCAUUUUGGAUUUAUAAAGAUGUUUAGAUAUUUAAAUCCACGUGUGAUUCCAAACUUGAACCUUUUUUUUUUUUUUUUCUAAUUAAUGCAAACAGCCGCCUCUUUGACUGCUUUUCUUCUUUGUUUAUUAAUUAAUUAAUUCAGCUGCCCACCUUUCUUUUCCUAAUGUUUUCUACUCCCAAAUUUUUUUAAGGACAAGGCUACGUUGCAGACGCUGUACCUAACAGCUGCACCUUCGCCAGCUUAAAAAAGGGUGCAUUUGGUAAGCAACUUUUCUUUCGUGUGCAUAUGUGUCCUGCCACCAUUGGGUGUGUACGUAACAGAUAAUGUACCGUAACAAGCUCCUAUUUUUAAAUUUGUUUAUAAUGAUAAAAUAUAAAAAUUAAGAUUAAAAUGUAAUGUAAUGUAAAAUUAAAGGUGGAAGAGUAUUAAAAUAAGGCUAAACCUAUGUUACGUUUAACGUAACAUACAUUUAAAUAUAUAAAAUAUCAAUGGAAACCCUCAAAUUUUAUGGAAACUAUAUUAAUAAAAUUAAAAGAAAUAUUUUUAAAUCUGAAAGAAGAAAUAAAAGAUAUAAAGCAAGAGAUAGGAAAACUAAAAAUAGAAAUAUCUGUAAAAGAAAAAGGAAAAGAAAAAUUAGAAAUAAAAGAAACAACUCCAACUGAAUCGAAUUCAGACUAAUGGAAGAUGUAUUAGAAACUUUAACUGAAAAAUUCAGUGACAUAAAUCUUAGUGAUUUAGAAGACUUUGAAAAAGAAUAUUAGAUAAAAAUGAAUACUGCUGGAGGACCAGAAAUGAAACCUAAUGUAGCAUAACCAAGUCAUAGAUAUGGUAUAAAUAAAAUGAAAAAUAAACCUUUUUACGAGUAUAUACCUCCUAUUAAAAAUACUCCUUGGAAAAAAGAAUACAAACCAAAUCAAGAUACAUUAACCCCAAUAAAUAAUGCUGGAACAUUUUUAAAUCUAGAUUGUAAGAUAGACAUUCGAAAGGCGUUAGCAGAAUGGGUGUUACAAAUGAAAUUAUUUUUUAUAUUUAACGGGUCAAAGGAUGACUAGAAUGUAGAGACUGAAGAAGAAAAAAUAGAUAUAUUUGUUGAAAUCUUAAUAGCCAGUUUUUCAGGAAAUGUGUUUAAUUGGUGGAGAGGAUUAAGCGAUGAUACACAAAACUUAAUAAAAGAUUCAACCAAAUAGCAUUUAGAAAAAAUAAAGCCUUAGGAAUGGAAAGGAUAACUGAAUACAUAGCUAGUGAAUUUUUAGGAGAAGAUUGGCUAGAAAAAUCGGGCAUAUAUGAAAAUUUAAAAAUUUAUGAUAAAAAGAUCUUAGUGUUUUUAUUAAAAAAUUAAAAUUUACAUGACUAUUUCUUUAAAUAUUUAGGGCAUAUAUGAACCACGGAGGAGAAAAGCUUUAUUUAAUAUUUUAGAAUAGUUUUUGAUCAGUACAAUUGGGUCCUUAUUCAGAAUUAUUGUUCUCUUCCGCAACAGUUUUUGUUUAUCAAAGUCGUCAAUUAAAAUUUUAGAAUUCUUAUCAGAAGAAGUAGUCGUUUUAGAAGUUGGGUCUUGGAUCAAAUUUCUACGAGUGCAUGAAUUAACAAUAAAAAAAUUUCAUUACACACGGUUUAAGCUACAAACUACUAUUUGCACAGUUGACUAUAAAACUUACCUCCAAUUACACUAAACCUCUCUAUUUGGUAACGUUGAGACUAAAUUAAUUUUAUUAGCAUGAAAAGAUGAUAGAAAUAUAAUUAUAAAUAUUAUUGUUGUUAAUCAAUUAGUACAUGUGAUAUAAAGGUUAAAUGUGCACUAUAUUUAAUAAUUAAUUAGUGGAGCAUGUUAAACAAAAUGUUAAUGUAUAUUUAUAUAGUGUUAGGAAUAUGCAAAGUCAAGUCCUCAAUUUGCAUUAUCCUGUAUAGAAUAUUACUCUAAAAAUGUUUUACUAUAAUUGGCUUAGAACAUUUGUAAAGAAAAAUAAUAAUAAAAUAAUAAAUAACAUACACCGUCACAUAGCACCUAGACAAUGAUAGAAAAUUAUUAAAGAGAGUGCAAACAAUUAAUUAGAGAUUUUUAUGAUGACUUUUAAUAUUCAUGAUAAUAACAAAUAAAUACAUGUAUCACUUUUUUAAAAUAUUAAAUUUGACUGCUCCAUUAAUAAAUUAUUAUUGUAAUUCAGACUCUAUCUAUAUAUCCUUGCACUAAGAAUAAUUAAGGUAACGUUUGUUUUUUAACUUAAUGACUUAAAGUGACUUAACUUAAUUAAUUAAGUUAAUUAGAGGUGUUUGUUUUAUAACUUAAUGAGACUUUUUAGAUAAUUUUGACUUAAUAAAAUAAGCUAAUUUUUUUUGGCUUUUUACUUAAUGGAGAAAUCUGAAUUAAGUCAAUUACUUGCUAAUGUCAAAAAUAUCCUUGUUUUAUAAUUUAUUUUUCAUGUCUAUCCCAAAACUCGCCCGUAGAUAUUUACCCCACAUAAAAAUAUCCCUGUUUUUUUCUUUCUUAUAUUAUAUACGAUAAAAUUUGAAAUUUAUAGUAUUUUAUAUAUUAAAAUUCUAAAAUAAUUAUGUAUUCACUUGAAUAUAGUUUUACUUAUAAAUGUUAAAAUAUGAUGGUAUUUAAUAUAUUAUUUAUUUGACAUUCAAAUUUAAUAAGGAUACAAAUGUAAAAGUACAUAUUUUCAGCUUUUUAAAUUGAAAAAAAAUAACUUAAUAUUUAUUUUCUGAGAUUCAGACGAAAAAAUAAACAUAUUAUUCAGAUUCAUACAUUCAGAUCUAUUCAGAAUUCAAACUAAUUCAAGUCUAUUCAAAUUUUAGACAAAAAAAUAAACGCCACCUAAGUCAUAAUAAAAAUUUUCGUAACUACAUCUCGUUUCUUCCUCAUAAUAAUAAUUAGAUUGGUUCGAAUAUUAUAACUAUAUAGAUUUAGUGUAUAGCCACAUCCAAUUUAAAUAUUGACCCAAUUGGGAUGGUCCCCAAAAAAAAAGAUUCGUUAAAGGAUAAUUCUAAUUAUUUUUACUUCUCAAACGUUAGUGGGACGUUUCUAUUAGCGCACUCGUAAGCCAAGUUGUCAAAUAUUUAUACUAAACUACAAUUGCUAACAAGAAAAAUCAAGAUCGUGUUAAGCAAGUGGGUCCCGAAUAGGACGUGCAAAUCUCUCGUAAGUCAAGUUGUCAAAUGUUUAUAUAAAACUAACAAUUACUGACAAGAAAAAUCAAGAUCGUAUUAAAAAUGGGUCCCGAAUAGGAUUAUCUUUUUAAGAAUAUUAUUAUUUUAUUAUUAAAAUUUUAUUAAUAUAACAGUAUUAAAAUUUAUUAAAAAAUAUAUUUUAUUAUUAAAAUUUUAUACCGUUAUCAAUUUAUUAUUAUUUUAUUAAAAAAAUUAAUAUUUAACAAAAAUUGAGAUAAAAAUUAAUUUUUGUUCUCUGUCUUUAUUUAUUUAUUUAUUUUUUUGGGUCUUCUGCAAAUCACAAUCAAAUGUUGAAUUAUAAAUUUGCCGGCAUUGCUUUUUUUUUUUUUUUUGGGCCGGGGGGUGGUGUUGAAUUGAUGCUCUGGGUUUUUGACUUUUGUUGUCAAAUUUUACUCUGUUUUUCCCAAAUUGAUGCUANNNNNNNNNNNNNNNNNNNNNNNNNNNNNNNNNNNNNNNNNNNNNNNNNNNNNNNNNNNNNNNNNNNNNNNNNNNNNNNNNNNNNNNNNNNNNNNNNNNNNNNNNNNNNNNNNNNNNNNNNNNNNNNNNNNNNNNNNNNNNNNNNNNNNNNNNNNNNNNNNNNNNNNNNNNNNNNNNNNNNNNNNNNNNNNNNNNNNNNNNNNNNNNNNNNNNNNNNNNNNNNNNNNNNNNNNNNNNNNNNNNNNNNNNNNNNNNNNNNNNNNNNNNNNNNNNNNNNNNNNNNNNNNNNNNNNNNNNNNNNNNNNNNNNNNNNNNNNNNNNNNNNNNNNNNNNNNNNNNNNNNNNNNNNNNNNNNNNNNNNNNNNNNNNNNNNNNNNNNNNNNNNNNNNNNNNNNNNNNNNNNNNNNNNNNNNNNNNNNNNNNNNNNNNNNNNNNNNNNNNNNNNNNNNNNNNNNNNNNNNNNNNNNNNNNNNNNNNNNNNNNNNNNNNNNNNNNNNNNNNNNNNNNNNNNNNNNNNNNNNNNNNNNNNNNNNNNNNNNNNNNNNNNNNNNNNNNNNNNNNNNNNNNNNNNNNNNNNNNNNNNNNNNNNNNNNNNNNNNNNNNNNNNNNNNNNNNNNNNNNNNNNNNNNNNNNNNNNNNNNNNNNNNNNNNNNNNNNNNNNNNNNNNNNNNNNNNNNNNNNNNNNNNNNNNNNNNNNNNNNNNNNNNNNNNNNNNNNNNNNNNNNNNNNNNNNNNNNNNNNNNNNNNNNNNNNNNNNNNNNNNNNNNNNNNNNNNNNNNNNNNNNNNNNNNNNNNNNNNNNNNNNNNNNNNNNNNNNNNNNNNNNNNNNNNNNNNNNNNNNNNNNNNNNNNNNNNNNNNNNNNNNNNNNNNNNNNNNNNNNNNNNNNNNNNNNNNNNNNNNNNNNNNNNNNNNNNNNNNNNNNNNNNNNNNNNNNNNNNNNNNNNNNNNNNNNNNNNNNNNNNNNNNNNNNNNNNNNNNNNNNNNNNNNNNNNNNNNNNNNNNNNNNNNNNNNNNNNNNNNNNNNNNNNNNNNNNNNNNNNNNNNNNNNNNNNNNNNNNNNNNNNNNNNNNNNNNNNNNNNNNNNNNNNNNNNNNNNNNNNNNNNNNNNNNNNNNNNNNNNNNNNNNNNNNNNNNNNNNNNNNNNNNNNNNNNNNNNNNNNNNNNNNNNNNNNNNNNNNNNNNNNNNNNNNNNNNNNNNNNNNNNNNNNNNNNNNNNNNNNNNNNNNNNNNNNNNNNNNNNNNNNNNNNNNNNNNNNNNNNNNNNNNNNNNNNNNNNNNNNNNNNNNNNNGAAGGGUCUCUAAUCAAUAGCUGGAAGCAAUUGAGAAGGCGGUUGCUACAGUGAAUUCAAAUGUAAAAUGUUUGCUAUUCUUCGAUUUGGUUAAUGAUUUCGUAUGAAUAUUGUUGUUCCGUUGAGUUGCAUGCGAAUUCAAAUGCAAAAUAUUCUUCGAUUUUCAAUUUUGAAAUCAAAUUUUUUUUUCCUUCUCAAGCAUGUUAUGCAGAAACGAUUGUCAUGUUAUGCAGAAACGAUUUUUACUAAAUCAUUUUUAACAAACUAUUGAAAUUAAACCACUGGAAUAAGAAUUGUAAGGAUUUAUCGUAAGCUUACUAAUACGAUAAUUCUGAAACUAUCACCUUUUUUUUUUUAUUUGUUGCAGGGAAACCCAAAUUUUGUAUUUUGUCAAUUUCAUCUGAUAUGGAAUUUAUUUCCUCCCUAAAGAUUUAUCAAACUGCUUCUCUUCCCUGCUUCAAUAUCUUUAUGCAAUUACGAUCUCAUAGGAAAAGAGAGUUUGGGUUGUAUAUCUUAUAGUAUUUAUUUAUUUUUUGUUAAAAGAAAUUUAUUUUAAAAUAGUUUAUAGCAACAGUUUUUAUUUAACAAUAAUGAGGAAGGAUUAUUAUAGGUUCAAAUAGUUGUUAGAACAUUAUAAAAAAGUCCAUUUACUAUCAAAUGUUUUAAAUUGGUGCAACGUGAUAAUUGUCUCAUAUAAUUUUUUAAGGGUAAAAACUCGUUUCAUUCCCAUAUUUUAAGAUUAUUACUCAUUUAGUCUUUAUAUUUUUAAAAAUGUUUCAAAACAUUCAUACCCUUAAAUUAUUAACAUCUCUGCUGUUACUUUUUAUUUUUUUUUGACUUGUUUUUACAAUAUUGCCCUCUUACAAUAAUGUUUCUUUUUAUAAAAUUAAUAAAAAGAAAAAAAAUUAAAUUAUCAAUUUAACCCCAAAAAUAAAAUAAAAAUAAAAAGAAUAAAUAUUAAUUUUUGUGAAAGUUUACAUGUGUCCAAAAUAAAUUUUAUUGUAAAAAUAAUUAAAUUGCCUUUUUUUUGGACAUUAGUAAUAAAAAAAUUAAUAUAUUAAUUCCUCAGCAGUGUGUUACAAAAAAGUAAAAUAUAUUAAUUUUGUUUUUAUUUUAGACAAUGAGAUAGAGAAAAGUACAAGAUAAAGGAAAGGACUUCAAAACUCACUGUUCAUCAUAAUGCCCUUUGCCUUUAAAAAAAAAUCAUUCUAAUAUUUUAUAACACAUAAAAUAUAAUCCUAAGAUAAAUAUAAUAAUACAUAUUUUAAACUAAUCUCGAUAUUUAAAAUAUGUUUUAAUAUUUUAUAAUCUAUCAGACAUAUUUUAUUAUAUUAAUGUAAAAUUUAUAAUAAAUACAAACAUAUUAUUAAAAUAAAUAUAUAAAAAAUAUUUAUUUUUUAUAUGUUUACACUGAGGACUCUCUUUAAUUCAUUUAUUUUCUCUCUCUCCAAACAGGUACUGUCUUCAGUUAGCAAUGCUAUGAUAGUAAUCCAAUUCUCUUCUCCCCCACCUGAGCGAGAUUUGAAUUUGAAUCCCUUGUUUUUCACCCACUCUGUUUUUUUUCACGCAAGAUUUGACAAUUUGAGUUAAAAAAUAUGGUCCAAAACUUGAACACGUAUCUUUUAAUUGUAAUAAAAGUUCUUUAAGCUUUGGAGAUGGCAUAUAUAUGGCUGGAAGUGUCCUUUUCUUUGACCUAGAGGCAGCACCAAGCUAUCCAGCAUCAUCAUUUUUCAAGUGGGUCUUAAAUGCCUAGAAACGUUGGUGUUUCUUGAUUUAAAGAUGACACAUGCUAUAAGUGUGAAUGGUUUGGCUAAGCCUAAAUUUAAAGUCUACUCAAGUCGCAUUCAGGAUCAUGGAAAUUGGAAAGGGAGAGAUGAUAGCAAGAUUUAUAAUAAACAAUUAACUUGGGUCCUCAGUGUACAAAGCAAAUGCCACGCAAGCGAUAGCCGGCCCAGCCCAGAAAACCCAGUGGCGAUCCCAGAGAUGGCCUCCUCUAACGAGUGCUGGGCCCAAAAAUCUUUGCGGGUUGAGCCCAGCUCCGGCAUAGCCCUUUUGAGCAGUAACAGUUGUCGAGACAAAAACCAGAAGACCCAACACUGUUCCAAUGACAAUGCAUACGGUAAACUCUGCCAAGAGCCUUGGCUUGUCUGGAGUCAAAAGCCAUCCACACAGAAGCAAAAAGGAACACAAACGAGCAAAUUAUCUCAAGCCAAAGGGCCUGCCUAGUCCCCAAGCCGAUCUCAACAGGCCCAUCUGGCCCAGGUACGACAACAUUCAGGGUGCAGCCUCCAAGUUGUCAAAUAUUUAUAUUAAACUACAAUUGCUGACUAGAAAAAUCAAGAUCGUAUUACAAGUGGGUCCCGAAUUGGACGUGCCUAAAUCUUUUUAUAAUUUUCCCAGUGUAGCGGACAGAGGUCAUUACUAAAUUUCUCUUCCACACGCCACAGCAGCUUCGGUUAAUCAAACUCAAUCAAUUUUCUUGGCUUCUCCGCUUAUCAAUAUUACAAGGUAUGGGUAGCAUUUUUCAAAUCACAUGCGAUGGUACUAUUUUCAAUCGUUGCUUAGAUUGCUUUCUUGGAAAAGCAGCAUACAUAAGUAACCUCCAAGAUAAUCUUGUUGCCUUGGAGACUGAACUAAGGAAACUAAUCGCAGCAAAGAACGAUGUGAUGACGGCGGUUGUCAAUGCUGAACGGCAACAAAUGAGAAGGCUGGACCAAGUGCAAGUGUGGGUUUCGAGGGCGGAUGCUGUUAAAAAUGAAGCUGAUGAACUUAUCAGAGGCGGCUCUCAAGAAAUUGAAAAAUUAUGUCUUAGAGGGUUCUGUUCCAGGAACUGCACGUCAAGCUACAAGUUCGGAAAACAAGUGGCUAAAAAGCUACGAGCUGUGGAGACUUUAAUCGCCGAAGGAGUUUUUGAGGCGGUGGCUGCCGAGGUGGUGCCUGAGAGAGCUCCAGAGCCUGUAGCAGAUGAAAGACCUACCGAGCGAACAGUAGUAGGCUUGCAAUCACAACUUGAACAAGUCUGGAGAUGUCUUGCAGAAGAAUCAGCGGGAAUCAUUGGCCUAUAUGGUAUGGGCGGUGUUGGUAAAACUACACUAUUGACCUAUAUCAACAAUAAAUUUCUCGAGAGUCCAACCAACUUUGAUUGUGUGAUUUGGGUAGUAGUUUCAAAAGACCUGCGACUUGAAAAACUUCAAGAAAAUAUUGGGAAAAAGAUAGGUUUGGUUGAUGAUUCAUGGAAGAGUAAAAGUGUAGAGGAGAAAGCUCUCGACAUCUUCCGGAGUUUAAGAGAGAAGAGAAUUGUAUUGCUGUUAGAUGAUAUAUGGGAGCGGGUUGAUUUAACAAAAGUGGGCGUUCCACUUCCAGGACCACAAAAUACUACCUCAAAAGUCGUAUUCACAACCCGUUUGAUCGAUGUUUGUGGUAGCAUGGAAGCUGACAGGAAGUUCAAAGUAGCAUGCUUAUCAGAAAAGGAUGCUUGGGAACUGUUUCGAAAAAAAGUUGGGGAAGAAACUCUUGGAAGUCAUCAUGAUAUCGUUGAGCUAGCCCAAACUGUGGCCAAAGAGUGUGGUGGUUUGCCACUCGCACUUAUUACUAUCGGUCGAGCUAUGGCCUACAAAAAGACAGCCGAAGAGUGGAGACACGCAGUUGAAGUUCUAAGAAGAUCAGCUUCGGAAUUUGCAGGUUUGGGAAAAGAGGUGUAUCCUCUUUUAAAGUUUAGCUAUGAUAGUUUGCAGAAUAAGACGAUUAGAUCUUGUUUCUUAUAUUGUUGUUUAUAUCCUGAAGAUUAUGGCAUUCUUAAAUGGGACUUGAUUGACUGUUGGAUUGGUGAGGGAUUCUUAGAGGAAUCUGACAGGUUUGGUGCAGAAAACCAAGGAUACUACAUUGUGGGCACUCUUGUUCAUGCGUGUUUACUAGAAGAGAUAGAAGAUGAUAAAGUAAAAAUGCAUGACGUUGUUCGUGAUAUGGCUCUAUGGAUAGCUUGUGAAAUUGAGAAGGAGAAGAGAAACUUUUUGGUUUGUGCAGGUGCGGGACUAAAGGAGGCACCUGAUGUUAAAAGAUGGGAAAAUGUGAGAAGAUUGUCAUUGAUGCAAAACCAAAUUGAAACUUUGUCAGAGGUUCCUGCAUGCCCUCAUCUCCAUACUCUAUUUCUUGCCUCUAAUAAUAGUUUGCAGAGGAUCACCGAUGGCUUCUUCCAAUUUAUGCCUUCUCUCAAAGUUUUCAAGAUGUCAAACUGCGGGAAUUUAAUUUUGGAAUUACCUUUUGGGAUGUCAAAGUUGGGUUCAUUGGAACUUCUCGAUAUUUCACAUACCUACAUACAAGAGUUACCACAAGAGUUAAAGUUGUUGGUAAAUCUGAAAUGUUUGAAUUUGAGGUGGACAAGCGAGUUAAAUAAAAUUCCACGGCAGCUAAUAUCAAAUUCUUCAAGGUUACGUGUGUUGAGAAUGUUGGGUACUGGCUGGUUCAAUUUUCAUGAAGCAUCAGAAGACAGCGUUUUAUUUGGCGGGGGUGAAGUUUUAGUACGGGAAUUGCUCGGUUUGAAAUAUUUAGAGGUAUUGGAGUUGACCUUGCGAAGUUAUCAUGCUCUCCAAAUUGUUUUGAGCUCAAAUAAGUUAAAAAGUUGUAUUCGAUCUCUUUACCUCCAGUUGACCGGAGAUAGAAAGUCGAUUAUUGAUGCUACGGCUUUCGCAGAUCUAAACCACCUCAAUGAAUGAUUGAUUUUUAAAGGUUUUGAGUUGGAAGAAUUGAAGAUUGAUUAUACAGAGAUAGUACGAAAAAGGCGGGAACCUUUUGUUUUCCGCAGCCUUCACCGUGUUACCAUAGAUUCGUGCCUUAAAUUGAAAGAUUUGACAUUCCUCGUUUUUGCUCCAAACCUCAAGUCUCUUUCGCUAUUCAAUUGCCGUGCUAUGGAAGAAAUAAUCAGCGUUGGAAAAUUUGCUGAGGUUCCUGAGAUGAUGGGACAUAUAAGCCCUUUUGAAAAUCUCCGAAGUCUUCGUUUGUCACAUUUGCCAAAUUUGAAGAGCAUCUACUGGAAGCCAUUGCCUUUCACUCAUCUGAAAGAAAUGGUGGUACAUGGGUGUGAUCAGCUUAAAAAGCUUCCACUCGAUUCCAACAGUGCAAAAGAGCGUAAAUUUGUUAUUCGUGGACAAGCAGACUGGUGGGACCGACUUCAAUGGGAGGAUGAAGCCACUCAAAUUGCUUUUAGUUCCUGUUUCCAACCUUAACUUGAUUUCUGGUUAGUGCUGUUUCCUUAACUUUUACAUAUAUUCUCGUCGUUUGCUUCGUGCAAAAUACUAGGUCUUUUGUUCUCUGUUUUUAUUUCGCCCAUUUUUUUUUUUUUUUUUUGUCUUCUGCAAAUGACAGACAAAUGUUGAACUAAAAGGAAUUAAUGCUUUAUAACUUUGCCGGCAUUGCUUUUUUCUUUUUCUUUUUUGAUUUUUUGGGGCGAGGGGGGAUCGAAUAGAUGCUCUGGUUUUUGACUUUUUGUUGUCAAAUUUUACUCUGUUUUUUUCAAAUUGAUGCUUGAAUAUUUGAAUCAAAUUAAUGCUCACGUAAAUUUGUUCAGUUGCCGUAAAAGGAUAUAAUUACACUGAAAUACACAAACUCUAGAAUGAAUAGAAUUAAACAGAGAAAAUCUUGAGUAUAUUAGCCGUCUUCACAUAAAAUCAUAUGAAAAUUAAAUUUUGAAGUUUUUAUUUUCUAUUUUUAAUCAUACCCUUUAUAAUUUCUUCUGUUCUAACUACAAUAAAAUUUUUGGUUCAAGGAUUUUUAUGAGGGGUAUUAAUAAUAGUCCACCAAAAGAGUGAACAGUUGGAUGCUGCCCUAAGGGUCUCUAAUCAAUAGCUGGAAGCAAUUGAGAAGGCGGUCGUUACUGUGUACAAAGCCAUGCAGUAUUUGCUAUUCAUCUUAGUAAUUAUGAAGCUUUGGUAAAAUUUUCAAACAAAGUUGACAUGUUAUUUUGAGAUUUGGUUCAUGAUUUUGUAUGAAUAUCGUUGUUCCAUUGAGUUGUAUAUGAAUUCAAAUGUAAAAUAUUCUUUGGUUUUCAAUUUUGAAUUCAAUUUCUUUUCUUAAGCAUGUUGUGCAGAAAUGAUUUCUACUAAAUCAUUUUUGAUAAACUACUUAAAUUAAACAACUGCAAUAAGAACUGUUAAGGAUUUAUCGUAAGCAGACUAAUAUGAUAAUUCUGAAACUAUCAUUUUUUUUUUCAAUUUGUUGCAGGGAAAGCCAAAUUUUGUAUUUUUCAGUUUUAUCUGAUAUGGAAUUUAUUUCCUCUACACUAGCUACCUAAAGAUUUAUCAAAUUGCUUCUCUUCCCUGCUUCAAAUUAAUAUCUUUAUGCAACUACAAUCUCAUAGGAAAAGACAGUUUGGGUUGUAUUUAUUAUAGUUUUUUUUUUCGUUAAGAGCAAUUUAUUUUAAAAUCGUUUAGUAGUAACAGUUUUUAUUGAAUAAUAAUGGGGUAGGAUUAUUAUAGGUUCAACUAGUUGUUAGAACAUUAUAAAAAGUCCAUUUACUAUCAAAUGCUUUAAAUUGGUGCAACAUGAUAAUUGUCCCACAUAAUUUUUAAUAAUAUAUAUGGCCCAUAAAUUUAAUAUGAAUAAAUGAGUUUCGAUAGUUAAAUUUGAUACGAUUAUUAAAUAAGUUAUAUCCAUGUCAAUUCGACUUAAAAUCUGGUAAAUUUAGAUUUAGAGUUUAUAACAUGAUAACUUGUUUUAUGACAUGAUUUACUAAUCAAUUAAUAUUAAAUUAUAUUUUAGCCAAUCAGAUAUGUGGUACAUUUGUCAAAUUUUAAAAAUUAUUUAUUUAUAUAUGAAAUAAAUUUGACUAGACUGUGUGUAGGUAAUAGUGCAUAAUUUCUAAAAAAAUGUAAUAAUAACACGUUAAAAUGUUAUUUUUAUGAAGAAAAAUUGAAAUUUUAUUAAAUAGGCGACACAAUAAUAAAUGGGUUGAGAUUAUUUACAUUUUAAGAAUUACUCUGAACAUUAUUUUAUUUUAUAAAUUUUAUAUUACAAAAACACCCAUAGUUUAAUUUACCAUUAAGAACAAUUUUGUGCGAUUAAAUAAAAUACAUUACUCUUUACCCUUUCACUACAUCGACAUAAAUCCUAAUUGUUAUGUUUCUAAUUUCUUUGAUAUGCUUAUUGAAGUCCACAUUAUAAUCAAUUUUAAACUAUUAUACCACUUAAAUACAUUUUAGAAUGAGAAGUUUGGUUUUCUUCAUGGGCUGCCUUGCUGAUGCUGUUAUUGAAACUAUCGAACUUAAUAAUUUUAUGGCCAAAAUGAUAUAUGUUGAACCAGCUUUUACAUCGAAUUCUACCACCAUAAAAAAUCGUACUUGUAACAUCUCAAGGUUCCAAUUUAUCAAAAGUUAAUCAUUCAUAUUUGUUAGUUCCUAACAGUCACAAGAGCGUACAAGCCAAUUUUUGUAGCUCCUUUUUCUGCAGUAGAUUCAAGUAUAUUAUUAUCAAGCAUUUUUGUUACACCCUUAAUUCCUUAUCAUCAUCCCUUCAUUCAGAGCAACUAAACAGAGGUCAAUGUCAUUAUGUUAGAGUUACGAGGAAGAGUACUGCCAAAAAAGUUCUUUGUAUGGGAUUUAAUUUUCUGGGUUUGUAGUGAUGAACAAAUUGAGGGUUGUUUUGGUAUUUUCAAGAGUGUAUUGAGUGAAAAUUAUUUUUAAAAAAUUUAACAAAUGAGUGUAAUGAGUAAAAAAGUGUUUAAAGUAUUUUUUAGAGUACAAAUAGCUCCACCUUAAUAAAUGAGUUCUUGUAAAAAUUGAGAUUAUUGAUAUAAUUAUUAAAUAGGUUGGAUUGAAGUUAGUUUAAUUUUGACAAGAUAAUAAGACGACGCGACACAAAUACAACCAACCAGUCAACCCAAAUUGCAACCUUUUACUAAUAAAAGAUACCUGUUUGAAAAGUAAUUAUAAGCUAUCUUCUUUGUGUUAUUUCUCUAAAAAUUUGCGGCACAAAUAUUAUUUCCAUGGAGAAAAGUACGAAAUACCCGCUUUCACUUCAGCAGAAGCAAAGCAAAGCUAUGAGCCAUCUCUGUAUAAUUGAAACGCCAUUGCUAAACGGUUCUUGAUGAUGGGUGCCACCGUGCCAGCGUUGUCGCUGAUUUGCAUGAUUUAUUAGUUGUUCAGAUGGCGGAUUUUGUACUGUCACUUUCAUUUCAUUCUUGAGAGCCACGUACAAUACUAGGUGGCAUUGAAGUUGCCCCAGUGGUUAGUUUUCUGAUUUUUUUUAAUUCAAAUUUUUAUGUUUUAGAAAAAUGUAAGAAAUAUGUAGAAAUGUUGACAGCUACAAUUUUGAAACUUUGCCUAAAAUUAUUAUCGUUGCUUAUUGUUUCUUAGCUAAAGAGAAAUCCUAGAAACAUGAAAUUAUUAUUCUAUGCUUGUUUUAAUAUUAUACAUUAGCAGGUUAAUUAAAAAUUAGACGUGAAUACAACAAGAGAUAAGUGGAGAGAAUUUGGUAGUCGACCGCAUUUAGAAUUUAAUUUUUCUUUUAGCUGCCGAUCAUUAAAUUUUAUAUUUCAGAAAAUUAUACCUAGAAUAUUUCAAGGAUAUACUACGAAGAUUAUGAAGGUUUGAUUACAUGUCACUAUCAAUUGCCUCAAUCAUUUGUAGUAAAUUAAUUAAUCAUUUUGCUGCAAAUGAUUUCCUAUUAAAAAAUUCAAGUCAGAGCUGAAUUGCACAGUAGUUAGUCGUGCUUGCAAUUCAAAUCAAGUAUUGUAUUUUCUGCCUGAUUUGGUUGAUUCAACUAUGUGCAUUUGCAUAAUGGAGAUGCUUAUGAACGUUGUAGUAUAGAAAUCGAAACGUCUUGUCUUUUGCUAAGCCCAGAAGCAAAGUUCUUUGUAUUAUACUCAUCAGUUUUCUUCGUUCUCUUCGUUGAAAUUUUAUCCAAACAGCGGUUUCUUCGAAUUUUUGCCCUCUCUUACAUUUUUAAAUCUAUCAAAGAACGGUUACCUGAGAAGAUUGCCAUCAGGUAUUUCGAAAUUGAUUUCACUACAAUACCUUAAUCUAUCAGAUUUUAAUCUAUCAGAUGCUCCCGUCACUCAGUUGCCAAAAGUGACAAAAGCCUUAGUAAAUUUUUAGAGUAAAAACUCAUUUAUUCCUUAUAUUUUAAGAUUAGUAUCUAUUUAGUCCUUAUAUUUUGAAAAAUACCUUGAAACAUCACUGCCAUUAAAGUAUUGAUACCCUUACCGUUACUUUUUAUUUAUUUUGGCUUAUUUUUACAAUAUUACCCUUUAAUAAUAAUUUUUUUGUUUAGACAUUAAUAAAAAUAAAAUAAUUAAAUUACCAAUUUAAUCCUAAAAAAUAAAAAUAAAAAUUUAUAUUAAUUUUUAAUUGUAAAAAAUUGUAUGCAAACUACCAAAUGUGCAAACGGUGCUUGCAAAAAAAUUAAUAUAAAUUUUUUAUUUUUAGGGUUAAAUUAGUAAUUUAAUUAUUUUAUUUUUAUUAAUGUCCAAAAAAUUAGUAAUUUAAUUAUUUUCUUUUUAUUAAUGUCCAAAAAUUAUUAUAAAAGGGUAAUAUUAUAAAAGUAAGCUAAAAGAAAUGAAAAGUAACGGUAGGGGUAUCAAUACUUUAACGGUAGGGAUGUUUCGAGGUAUUUUUAAAAAUAUAAAGAGUAAAUGGACACUAAUAUUAAAAUACAGGGACUAAAUAAGUUUUUAUCCUAAAUCUUUAAGUGUUUGAAUUGGAGUACAUAAAUUAUCUCUCUACAAUUCAAAAACAACAGAUUUGUUACUUUUCAACGCUACAGGUUCCGCGAAUAUUCAGUUGUGGUUAUCUUGUUGAAACACCAGAAAAUAGCGUUCUAUUUGGUGGUAAUGAAUUCUUGGUUGGGGAGUUACUUAGUUUAAAACAUUUAAAUGUAUUAAGCAUCGCCUUAAAAGGUUUUUCUACCGUCCAAAAAUUUAUGAGCUCCCAAAAGUUUCAAAGUUGUACAAAAUGUUUGGAGCUUAUAGACAGUGAUGAUUCAAAGUCGUUUGCCAUGGCAGAGUUGAAGCAUCUUGAAAAACUAGGUAUUUCAAAUUGUGGAAAUUUGGAAGAGUUUAAGUUCUGCUGUGUCGAAGUUGGAAAAACUUGAGAAGAUUUUUGUUUGAACAGCCUUCACCAAGUUAAGAGAAAGGCUUGUCAUAAAUUGAGGGAAGUGACAUGGCUUGUGUUUGUACCAAAUCUUAAGGUUAUUCAGAUAGAAAAAUGUAUGGAGAUGGAGGUUGUUGGGAAAGAGACUACCACAAGCAGCUAAAAAUUAAGCGAAUACAAAAUUCUUUCUCUCUUUGUGUGAUUAAAAUAGGAUGUGCACCACAAACAAAUAAGCAGAAAAAUAAACCAAUAAAUGCAAAGCAAAAACCAACCACAAGAGACACCGAUUUUUAAGUAGAAAAUUUAAAUUGGGAAAAAUCACAGGAUAGUAGUCUGAUAUAAACUUCUACUAUAUUAAUGAGAUUACAACACAAAUUCUUCUCCAGAUAAUACUAGAUGCUAACAAUAUUAAAAUUCUCAACAAUCUUAGUUUAUAAUAAUAGAUCUAAAAUCUAUUUCUUCAAUAAGUGAGUAUCUCAAAUAAUAGCUACUGAGAGAAUAAAAUACAGAUCAACACCAGUAGAAAUAUAGAGGGCAAUGUCAGGAACUUACCCUCCAAAUUUAGGACUAAUCAGAGCUAAAAUAACCUUUUGAUUGUUGAAUCAAAGAUUGAAAACCAAAAAAAAAAAAAAUAUCUCUUUCUCUCGCAGUGUCUUCUCACUUUCGCAAAAUGUCUACAGCUCUCGCGAUUCUUUACUUAUUUCCUUAGUUAAUUUCAUCCAAGUCCAAAAUUUUACAAUAAUUACACAUCAAGCAAAUUAUUUUGGACUUUGAACUUUUUGGUCCACUGAAGUGAAAUGGACCUUACAAAUCUCCCCCUCCAUCUCAUCUAAGGGGCACCACCAAGCCCGCUCUCUACUUACAGCUUUCCAGCUUCUCCUUGGGUAAUGACUUUAUCAUCAUAUCUGAUGCAUUCUUCGUUGUGUGAAUUUCUCCAAGCUGCAACUGUUUCUACUCAAGCACGUCUUGUAUCCAAUGAUACUUCAUAUCAAUAUGCUUCGAUUUCAAAUGAUAUGUUGAAUUCUUUGCCAAGUGGAUGACACUUUAACUGUCACAGUACACAACAUAACUAUCUUGAUUAACACCUAGUUCUUGUAGAAAAUUCUUCAUCCACAAGGUUUCUUUGUAACUUUCAGUGAUUGUAAUAUACUCUACUUCUGUAGUAGACAAAGCAACACACUACUAAAGUCUAGACUGCCAUGAAACUGCUCCUCCUACAUAGGUGAGCAAAUAUCUUGAUAGAGACUUUCUAGAAUCAACAUCUCCUGCCAUAUAUGCAUCCGUAUCUACUUGUAAUAUAGGUUUGUCACCACCAAAACAUAAACAUGCCUUGGAAGUGCCUCUGAGAUAUAUGACAAUCUACUUUACUGCUGUCCAGUGUUUUUUACCCAGAUUAGAGGAAAACCAGUUGACUACCAACUGUUGAAGCGUACCUCAAACUACCAACUGUUGAAGCAUAAAAAACUCUUUUUAUCUCUUGCUUCUCUUUCUCACUUAUGGGACAAUGCUUGAAACUAAGCUUGAAAUGACCUGCAAGUGGAAAAUAAACAUAUUUUGCUUUGUCCAUAUUAUAUCUUUUAAGAACUUUUUCAACAUAUGCUUCCUGAGAUAACCAUAAAUUCCCAGUUUUUCUGUCACGAGAAAUCUUCAUGCCAAGAAUUUGUUUCGCCGAUCCCAAGUCCUUCAUUACAAAAGACUUGCUAAGCUCUCUCUUCAAAUUGUCAAUCUUACUAGUAUCCUUGCCAACAAUCAACAUGUCAUCCACAAAAAGUAAAAGAAUAAUAAAAUCAUUAUCACUAAACUUUUUCACAAACAUACAAUGAUCACACAUUGUCUUGCAAAAGCCAUGAUUCUCCAUAAAAGAAUCAAACUUCUUAUACCACUGUCUUGGUGCAUGUUUCAGCCCAUAUAAAGUUUUUUUCAAUUUGUACACAAGUUCUUCUUUACCUUUGACACUGAACUCUUCAGGUUGUUAUAUGUAUAUUUCCUCCUUUAAGUCAUCGUGUAAGAAAGCAGUCUUUACAUUGAAUUGUUCAAUUUCCAAAUCCAAGCUAGCUACUAAUCCCAGAGGUGCUUGCUCAAUUGGUUCUGCUGGACCAUUAUUAUUAUCCUCUCCAGCUCCCCUAUGAUCAUCAUGAACAACAUGUGGAGAAACCGAAGUUGGAAUAAUAAGAAUCUCUGGAGAUGGCUGAGACUUAUCAUUUUUUUUUCAUCACCAACUAUCUAAUUUUUAAGAAACACAACAUCUCUAAUUCUGAUUACUUUUCUUGUCACUGGAUCCCAUAAUCUGUACCCAAAUUCUUCAUGUCCAUAGCUUAAGAAAAUACAUUUCUUGGCUUUAUCAUCAAGUUUUGAUCUCUCAUCUUUAGGGAUAUGAACAUACACUCUGCACUUAAACACCCUCAAGUGUUUAUAAGAAACAUCUUUCCCAAUCCAAACUCUUUUAGGUACAUCGUCAUCUAAUGGAGCUUAAGGAGAAAGAUUAAUCAAAUCAACUACAGUACGCAUAGCCUCCGCUCAGAAGGAUUUAUAAAGCUUGGCAUCAGAAAACAUACAUCUGACUAUCUUUUCAAUUGUUCUGUUCAUUAUUUCUGCAACACCACUCUGCUGAGGGGAUUUUGGUACAGUUUUCUUAAGUUUGAUUCCAUGAGAUCUGCAAUACUGCUCAAAUGGUCCUCUGUACCCACCAUCAUUUUCUGCCCUGACACAUUUCAAUUUUUUUCUUGUCCCUCUCUCAACAUAAGCACGAAAGAAUUUAAACAUAGUAAGCACGAAAGAAUUUAAACAUAUCAAGCACUUAAUCUUUAGAUUUUAAAGCAAAAGUCCAUACUUUUCUAGAACAAUCAUUAAUAAAAGUCAUAAAAUAAAGUGCACCUCCUAUUGAUCUAUUUUGCAUCAUGCAAAUAUCAAUGUGAAUCAAAUCAAGGAUUUGUGACUUUCUAGAUGGAGAAAAGCUUUUAAAAGUUACUUUAUGUGCCUUUCCAGCUAAACACUAAACACAAGUCUUGAGGGACGUACCUACAAAGCUUGGUAGAAAUCCUUUUUUGGCAAGAGUUCCUAACCCUUUCUCACCAAUGUGACCAAGCCUUUUAUGCCAUGUCUCAAUGUCAGAAUUGUUUACAGCCAUAUUCAUAUAUUCUUUCUUGAUUUUGGCUUCUAUUACGUAGAGGGUGUUCAUUUUCUUUCCUUUAGCCAACACUAGAGAGCCUUUGGUGAGCUUUCAUUUUCCUUCACCAAAUUAGUUAGUAUAACUAUCAUCAUCAAUUUUUCUUGUGGAGAUCAAAUUAAGACGAAUAUCUAGUACAUGCAAGCUUUUUUGUGGAGAUCAAAUUAAGGCGAAUAUCUAGUACAUGUCUGACAUCUUUAAGGAGUAGCUUAUAGCCAACACUGGUUUGAAGCAAAUAUCUCCUAUGCCCACAAUCUUGGAUGCCCCCUCAUUUCCCAUCCGAACAUGGUCAUAAUUACCAUUAACAUAGGAUGUGAAGUAAUCAUGAUGUGCAGUUGUUGUGCAAAUUUUAAUGUACUCGCAAGCGCACGAAUCUAUUGUAGUAUAGAUCAAUGGUGACGAGUGUCGAUCCCACGAGGAGGUGGAUUUUAAUUGUGUAUAGAAUUAAUUUUGCAAAUGGUUGAUUGGAUUUGUGGUGGAAAUGAUUUGGAAUAUGCUAAAACUUAAAUUAAAAUGGCGAGAAUAAAUUCUAAAAUUGGAAUUGAAAUUGCGAGAAUAAAGUUGAAGAGAAUUCUAUUGAAAUGACGUACUUGGGUAUCUGGAUCCGUAUCAACAUGCAUCAUGGGCUAAAUAAUGCGUAUUAAUGCCAAUUAAAUCAUGAGGGGGGAAUCCACACCUCAUGAACCACGCUCUAAUCAAUAUGGUGCUAAGGGCUUAUCGUGCCAAAUAAUAAUAACCUUGUACUAGAGAGCCGGUGUAACCAAGGCGGUACUAGACAAGAUUAGUAUUAUUUGUCGACGAGAAGUCAAAACAUCCACAAAAACUAGAGGGGAAGAGAAAAUAAAUUUACCAAAUAAAGCCCAUGACACAUGUUGAGACUUCACCUUCAACCCAAGCUUAAAAGAAAAUUAGCUACUCAUAAUUGAACUAAGGGCAAAAUGGGAAUUUAUUAAAAUACGAAGAAAAUACAAGAUAGAGAGGGAAUUACAGAAAAUGGAUCCCAAAAAUGGAUUCAGAGAUAUCAAAUUAGGGGGGGAGGCCCCCUUUUUAUAGAUACAUGGAGUAAAUCAUGGCAAUCGGAUUAAAAACAGUUUGGACGCUCAGGAUUGCGCCACGUCAUCAGUCAACAGUCCACGGUUUGACCACGCGGAUGAACAGUAAUACGGUUUGACCCAUAUGAACAGUACGCGGUUUGACCCGGAUGAACAGUAACGCGGUUUGGUUGAAAAUAAUCCUGUGUGAUGCAUGCACCGUACGCGAGAUUUUUUGUCCACUGAUAUGCUGCCACGUCACCAUCAACAGUACAUAAGAAUUUUAGUCCAACAGGAUCGUGACACCUCAUCAGUCAAUGCCACAUCAUCGAUCCGUCUAUGUGAGCAGUGCCGUGAACAGUAACAUAUACAGUACCGUAUACGUGAAUAGUACCGUACAUGUGAAUAGUGCUAUUUUUCCUUUUAUGCUCCUCCUAAGGUUUUCGACCGUCCUGAGUUCAAAAGUGAUGUCCGUUUUACCGUCUGAUCUCUCCUUUAUUGUGAAAUCACUAUAAUACCACUAAAAUACAUAAAAUACUUAAUUAAAAUAAAACACAUGUAAUUAAAUCACAAGAAGGUUAAAUACAUAAAAGUAAGGGUUGUUAGUAAGACUUGAAAUGUAAAAUGAUGGUUUUCUCCUUUAUAAAUAUGCAUUUUCUAACACUCAACAGCAGUAACCACGAUGUGCAGUAACAUCAAACGAAGCACCCGAAUCAAUCACCCAAUUACUGGUAUGGCAAGUAAGAUUUAUAGAGCUAUCAUUAUAAGCAAUGCCCAUAUCACCAUUAAUUACGGCUGUAACAUUCUCUUUGUCAUUUUUCUGACCAUCGCCUUUUUCUUUCGCAUGUUCUCUUUUCCACAAUUUACACUACCUUUUUACAUGGCCCAUUUUCUGACAAUGAAAGCACUUAGCUUCUCCUAUGGGACUUAGAUCUUCCUCCAGGGUUAUCAUUAUUCUGAUGACGGAAAUUUCUGCUUCGACUUCUCCCCCGUCUUUUUUGGUUUUCUGAAACAAGUGUAGCUGACUCAGAGGGAACUACUUCAGCAUUCUUUCUUCGAGAUUCUUCAUUCCGCAGUCUAUCUGUAACCAUAUCCAAGUUUAAUUUACCAUUCGGUGCCGAAUUAUUCACUGACACCACUAAUGUCUCCCAACUAUCAGGUAAAGAACUAAGCAACAACAAUGCUUGUAACUCGUCAUCUAGAAUAAUCUUCAUAGUAGUCAACUGAUCAACCAAACCCUGAAACUCACUAGUGUGUUCAGUAAUACUGUGGCCUUUUUUAUAUUUCAAGUUAACAAGCCUUUUCAUUAGAUUGACUUUAUUUUGUGCUGUUGGCUGCUCAUAAAUUAUUUCUAAUUUUCUCCAAAGAACAUCAGCCUUGGAUUCCUUCGCGACAUGAUGGUACACACUCUGAUCAAUCCAUGACCUAAUAGUGCCCACGGCUUUCUGGUUCAAUUGAGCCCAUUUCUUAUCAUCUAUAUCAACAAGUUUAACUUCAUCACCUUCAAUAGGUUCAUGUAAGUCUUUCAUGUAGAGCAAAUCUUUCAUUCUAGACUUCCAAAUAUCAUAAUUCCACGACUCAAUUUAAUCAUGAACGCCAAAGACUCCUCUAUUUCAACCACAUAAGUAAUAAAAACACACAACCUGGCUCUGAUACCACUCUAUUGGGAAAACGACUACCACAAACAGCUACAAAUUAAGCGAAAAUAAAAUUCUUUUCCUCUUUGUGUGAUUAAAAUAGGAUGUGCACCAUAAACAAAUAAGCAGAAAAAUUAAUCAAUAAAUUCAAAGCAAAAAUCAACCACAAGAGACACCGAUUUUAACGUGGAAAAUUCAAAUCGGGAAAAACCAUGGGACAAUAGUCCGAUAUAAAUUUCCACUAUAUUAAUGGGAUUACAGUACAAAUUCUUCUCCAGAUAACACUAGAGGUUAACAACAUCAAGAUUUUCAACAAUCUUGGCUUACAAUAAUAGAUCUAAAAUCUAUUUCUUCAAUAAGUGAGUAUCUCCAAUAACAGCUAAUGAGAGAAUAAAAUAUAGAUCAACACGAGUAGAAAUGUAAAGGGCGAUGUCAGGAACUUAUCCUCCAAAUUUGGGAGAAAUCAAAGCUAAAAUUAUUUUUCGAUCGUUGAAUCAAAGAUUGAAAACCCAAAGAAAAAAAAUAUCUUUUUCUCUCGCAACGUCUUCUCACUUGCGCGAAAUGGCUACAUCUCUCGCGAUUAUUCACUUAUUUCCUUUAUAUUUUUUUUGGUUAAUUUCAUCCAAGUCUAAAAUUUUACAAUAAUUACACAUCAAGCAAAUUAUUUUGGACUUUGGGCUUUUGGUCCACUGAAGUGAGAUGGACCCUACAGAAGCAAUAAUCAGUGCAAGAAAAUUAAGUGAAGUUCCAGAGAUGAUGGCAGAUCUAAACCCUUUUGUAAAACUCCAAUAUCUUGGCCUCCGAAUUCUACCAAAAUUAAAAAAGCGUCUAUUGGAAUGUGUUGCCCUCUCCACAUGUCAGGGAAAUUUUUGUAUCUGAAUGCCCAAUUCUCAUUAGAGGAGAGGAACACUGGUGGAAUAAGUUGCAAUGGGAGGAUGAAGCAACCUAUAAUGCUUUUCUUCCUUGUUUUGGAUCCAUUUGAUGGGCAUCAACAUGGAUUAAUAUUUUGCAGCGAACCAAUUUGAAUAAAACUUACGGUAAGUGCUUUUCCAUUUAUUGCAUAUUUAUAUCUAAUUUUUGUUUUCCUUUAUGGUUAAAUUUUGCCCUGUAUAUGUUGUUGUACGGUGACAUUCUUGAAUCAAUUAUUAAUUUUUUUAAUUCUCGUCUCACAACCACCCUUUUGAUCAUGAGGAUAUGCCGAUAUCAAAGAGUCAUAAUUUGGGAUACAAAUGUAAGAAUUAGGCAGAUGACAUGUUGUUUCAAAGCUUUCGAAGAAGGACUAAAUAUGUCAUUGAAAGCCUCCAAUUUUGCGACUGAUUUUUUUUUAAUUUGUUAUUUUUAUAGGUGGCAAAAAUACCCGUCUGAUUUGGACUCGGCUGAUUUGGGCCGGGUACGGAGUAUGAAGCCGGGUUGGUCCUGGGCAUCACUUGAAACUCGGAACCUGGAUUUUAUUAAAAAAUAUUAUAAAUAUAUAUUAUUUUAAAUAUCUAUAUUUAUUAGACUCAUCUAUUACAUAUAUCUAAUUUCAUUGAAAUAAAUUUAAAAAUUAUAAAAUUACCAAUAUAUAUAUAUAUAUAUAAUAUUAAAAAAGUAUAAAAUCUGAGUCCUCAGAUUAAAACCCAGUUCAAGUGUCUAAAAAAUACAUGUGGACCGAGUUUGAACAUUGCGAUACCCAGACCCAAACUUGGGUUUUGCCAACCCUAGUCUUUUAAAUUGCUUGAUUGUAAUGUUUUAGUAUAGAAAAAUGAUAGCCAAGACAACAAUAAGAGGGCACAUUGUGCAUGCACAAUAGUGGAUAAUUUCGGCAUUCCAAAUCCAAUUAGGGUGGAUAACCUUUUAUUAGUAUUAACCUUCUCUCGUAUUCAAGUAAUGUAAAAUAUGCUUAGAAGCUGUGGAUCCCCCUUUAUAAGUGUUGGGCUUAUGCCAAACUCGAUUGAUGUGGGAUGCCUUUAUAGGCAUCAAGUUUUCUCCCAUACACUUUAUGUUAAAAAUAAUAAUGAUAAAAUAAAUCCAUUUUAAAAUAGACUUCUUUUUCUUUUCUAUAUAAACAAACUCAUUCUUCAAAUCAGUUGUGGGUGGAAGGAGUGAGUAGAGAAGAACUGGGCCCCUUUCGUUCCUCUAAAAACCUCACCAAACCUCUCUUGUAAGCUUCUCAGUGUCCCUCUCAAUAUUUCUUAUGAUCUCGUUUUUUAUUGAAUCACUUCUUUUGUGUGCUGCAUUUUUGUGUGUCGUAUUUGGGUUUAUCUUAUCUGGAAUCCUGUUAUGAUUGAUGGAACAAGUAAUCGAUUUUUGGUUUAUUUGGAAUGGAAUUAUGGUUUAUUUGGAAUGGAAUUAUCUGGGUGUAACGGAUUAAAUUAUGACAUUGGGGAGAAGGCACUAAGGGGUUUGCUUGACACAUUUGGUUCUGUGUUUACUCUGAAAGAAAUAGCUUUUGCUUAUCGUAAUGCAAGGCGAAAUCCCGAUUUGGGUGGUGAAUUUCUCUAUCCCAAUUGGGCUGGUGAAUUUCUCUGUGACAAAUAGGCAAACAGCUCAACCUCUUUUAUCUAUCUUCUACUAGUGAGGCAAGGGAUAAAAAGUCUUCAAAAUCAUCAAAUAGUAACAUCUUCGAGAAUUCAUUUUAUGCAAAUGGAAAAUCUAGACCUUCUAAGACAAAAUGGCGUCCAGUAUCAAGAGGUACCGUUUCAAGUUUUCUUGGUAAAAAUUAUGUAAACUUGCACAGCCAGCUAAUGGCACUUUUCUAGUUUUCUGGCAUCAAAGCCAUUGAAGUCGUAUCCAAAGGAGUUUCCCAUGUCUGCACUUUGUGGAGAAGGAACUAAACAAAAACAAUCAAAGGAUGACCAUUUGCAGAAGGAUGUGGAAGAUUUUCUGUUUAAAUUGCUAGGAGAAGUGUUCCAGCUGAAUAGGGAUGUGAUUCGGGAAGUUCCAGUAAUGUCUUAAAUAUGUUGAUGCCAAUUUAAUAUAUAUUGUCAUUUUCAAUGUUCUUUCUUUCUUUCUUUAUCUUCUUUUCUUCUACUUCUUCUUCUUUUUCUUUUCGUGUGCAUGUGAUCACUAAUUUGUUAUUAUACUUAACUUGCAGGUAGUUGUGGAUAUGAUAUGCAAAAGGUAAGGACUAUAUCUUCCUGAUAGAGGCCUCUGCUUUUUCCCUUUUAUGUAAUUUAGUAAAUCUCAUCUCCCUUUGUGAUUGUUAUAUCAUAUCAAAGUCAAGUCUUAAAUACUGCUGUCAUAUGUUAAGGUUCAACUUGCAUUUUGACUAACAUCCAUUUGUUGUCGCUUCCAAAAGUGAGAAUGAGAUACUUCGGUUAAUUUCAGUAGUUGAACCCAAUCGAGUACUUUAUCUAGAUCUUCAUGGUUCAAAGGCCUGAAACUUGCCCGUGAUUGUAAAAUGAUAUUAUGUGCUUUUAAUGCAAUAGGGGGAACAAGGUGUCAAAGGAAUUAGCAGAUUCUAUGGCAGAUUCUAUGCCUGUACAACUGUAACAAUUAUCCUUAUGAUUGUAAAUCUUAUAUGUUUUCCUUAUUUAGGAUAUACUAGCUGUAGGCUAUUUUAGAUAGUUAUGUAUAUGAUAGUUUAGCUAUGUUUAGGGCUAAACAUAAGCUUGUAUUCAUAGUAUAUAAAGGGAAUUCUCUUCUAAGAGAAAGCAUAACUUUUGCUCAAAAUUCUCUGAGUUUAUCAUGGUAUCAGAGCCUCAGUUCUGAAUUCUCUUCUUCCUAGUUCAUUCCCUUGUUCUUAGUUAUUCUUUUUUUUAUCAAGUUAUCUCAGCCUCAUGUCUUCAGACAAGUAUGAUGCUUUUUUGAUCCGUUUUAAUGGCACAAACUACUCAGCCUGGGCAUUUCAUUUCGAGAUAUUUGUCAAAGGCAAAGAUCUAUGGGGACAAGUUGAUGGCAGGAAACCUGCCCCUGAUAAAGAGAUAGACCAGGAUGGGUACGCCAAGUGGGAAGUCAAGGAUGCUCAAAUCAUGGCAUGGAUUCUAGGAUCUGUGGAAUCCAACUUCAUCUUGAAUCUUCGACCCUUCAAGACUGCAGCAGGAAUGUGGAAUCAUCUAAAGAAACUCUACAGUCACACCAACACUGCUCGUUGAUUUCAGCUUGAACAUGAGCUAGCCAAUCUCCAACAAGGCAGUCUCUCUAUUUCUGAUUUUUAUUCUAUCUUUAUGAUUAUUUGGGCUGAAUAUACUGAUAUAAUCUAUGCUACCUUACCUCCGAAGGUCUUAGUUUUGUUCAAUCUGUACAUGAAACUACUAAGAGAGAUCAAUUUAUGAUAAAACUGAUAUAUGAAUUUGAAAGCACUAGGUCCAAUCUUAUGAAUUGAGAAUCUGUCCCUUCCUUGGAUACAUGCCUCAAUGACUUAUUUCAUGAGGAGCAACGACUUCUUACUCAAAAUACCAUGAAACAAAAAAAAUCUACUUCUGUUCCUAUGGCUUAUGCAGCUCAAGGCAAGCCAAAAGGUAAGGACAUCAGUAUAGUUCAAUGUUUUUGUUGCAAAGGAUUUGGACAUUACGCUUCAAAUUGUUCAAAAAAAUUAUGCAACUAUUGCAAAAAAGAUGGACAUAUCAUUAAGGAAUGCCUUACUCGACCCCCCAAGAAAUCUGAAACAACAUAUGCUACCUCAGUUGGUUCUUCUAGUGAUGGUAGUUCUGUGGAUACAGCACAUUUGACCCAAAGUGCUCCUGUUCCUGUUCAAUCUGUGACCCCAUAAAUGAUUCAACAAAUGAUCAUUAUUGUAUUCUCCUCAUUAGGACUCUCAGGUAAAUCACCCACUAGAUCUCCUUGGUACUUUGAUUCUGGGGCUUCCCAUCACAUGACAAACAAUGCUAAAUUCUUCACCAAUGUAAGUAAAUACCUUAGAAAUCUAAAAAUUCAUACAGCUGAUGGCAACUCUUUACCUAUCACAGCCACUAGUGAUGUUUCUUUUUCUAUAACCAAUGUCUUUGUCUCUCCUGGUCUUCCUACUAAUCUUGUUUCAAUCGGUCAGUUAGUUGACAAUAAUUGUAAAGUAGAAUUCUCUAAAUCUAGUUGUGUUGUGCAGGAUCAGCAGUCAGGGAAGAUGAUUGCCAGGGGGCCUAAAAUAUGACGUCUUUUCCCUCUCCAAUUUGCUAAGUCUCCAUGUUUCUCUUUGCCUAUCAUCACUUGCAAUUUUACUAAGGUUAAUUAUCGAGCAUGGCAUAAACGUCUAGGACACCUAAACUCUAAUGUAUUUUAUGCUUUGCUAAAUUCUGGUUUACUUGGGAAUAAAAGAUCACCAUCCCUUAGUGUUGUUCAAUUUGAUUGCAAUUCUUGCAAGCUUGGAAAAAGUAAAAUUCUGCCAUUUCCCACUCACACACCGAAUGUUGUCCAGCCUUUUGAUUUGAUACAUAGUGAUGUGUGGGGUAUGGCGCCUGUUACAUCUCAUGCUAAUUACAAGUACUUUGUCACUUUUAUUGAUGACUAUAGUCGCUUCACAUGGAUUUAUUUUCUACAUUCUAAAGAUGAAGUGUUCUCUGUUUUCAAGCUUUUUCAUGCAUAUAUUCAGACCCAAUUUUCUACUAAUAUCAAAAUUCUUUGCUUUGAUAAUGGGGGUGAGUAUAUGUCUCAUUUAUUUUAAGAAUUUUUGCACACCAAUGGUAUAAUUUCUCAAAGAUCUUGUCCUUCAACCCCUCAACAAAAUGGGGUGGCUGAAAGAAAGAACUAUCACCUUCUCGAUGUUGUCUUCAUUUGUACCCUCUCGUUUUUGGUGUGAAGCUUUCUCCACUGUUGUCUAUCUCAUCAACAGAUUGUCCUCUCAUUCCUUGAACCAUGUCUCCCAUUUCUUUCAGUUAUUUGGCCAUACACUAAGUUACUCUCAUCUCCAUACCUUCAGUUGUGUGUGCUAUGUUCAUCUUCCUCCAUAUGAGCGUACAAAACUCACAGCCCAAGCUGUGAAAUGUGCUUUUCUAGGAUAUUUUAUGCACUAAAAAUGUUUUCUUUGUUAUGAUCCAAAUUUGCAUCAUAUAAGGGUUUCUCGAAAUGUGAUUUUCUUUGAAAAUCAGUAUUUCUUUUCCGCAUACCACGACGAUUCUUCGCCUUCAUUUUCUGUUUUGCCAAAGUUUACUAACCCUUCUGCAGAUUCUGCACCUUCUAAACCUAUCAUAGUCUAUCAGCGACGCAAGAAUUUAGUACCUCUCGGGCCCCCUCCAGCAACUUCCCUGAAUGUUGAUCCAGUUCCAGCAACUGCACCUGAACCUUUCAGACAUAGUACUCGGGUUCGUAGACCACCAGAUAGGUAUGGUUUCACCUCUCCAUUAUUUUUGACAGCCACUUUGUCUUCUAUUCUUAUUCCUUCAUCAUAUAAACAGGCAAUAGAGCAUGAAUUUUGGUGAAAAUCUAUUGAAUCAGAACUUCUUGCACUUGAAGAAAACCAAACUUGGGAUAUUGUUUCAUGUCCUCCAUCCGUGAAACCCCUUAGUAGUAAGCUAGUGUUUUCUAUCAAGCUGCGUUUUAAUGAAUCCAUAGAUCGUUACAAGGCUCGGUUGGUGGUUCUUGGCAACAAGCAAGAAUAUGGCCUAGACUACGAUGAGACCUUCGCGCCGGUAGCCAAAAUGACCACUGUUCGAACAAUAUUAGCCCUUGCUGCAUCACAAUCAUGUUCUUUACAUUAAAUGGAUGUAAAGAACGCUUUCCUACAUAGUGAUCUCAAGGAGGAAAUUUACAUGAAACUUCCCCACGGUAUGACUACUUCCUCUCCUAAUGAUGUUUGCAAACUAAAAUGUUCGUUGUAUGGGUUGAAGCAAGCACCGCGAGUAUGGUUUGAGAAGUUUCGAUCAACUCUUUUCAGUUUUUCAUUCACUCAAAGUCAGUAUGACUCCUCCUUUUUUUUUUCCAACAGACAUCUAAGGGCAUCAUUGUUCUCCUUAUUUAUGUGGAUGACAUCGUUAUCACUGGUUCUGAUAUGGAGGCAAUUUCUAAACUUCAGAAUUUGUUGCACUCUAUUUUUCACAUGAAAGACCUCGGUCAACUCACCUAUUUUUUGGGGUUAGAGGUGCAUUAUCUGCCUCAAGGUAUCUUCUUGAAUCAACACAAGUAUAUUCAGGAUUUAAUUUAAUUAGCUGGACUUAUGGACAAAAAUUCUGUUGACACCCCAGUGGAACUUAAUGUGAAAUAUCGACAAGACGAAAGGGAACUACUUCAAGAUCCUACUUAUCUAUCUAACUAUCACCCGCCCAGACAUCUCUUAUGCUGUCCACACCGUUAGCAAGUUCAUGCAAGCCCUUCGACAUCUCCACGUAUCCACAGUCCGCCGCAUCAUUAGAUAUAUUCUUGGCACUCUUAACUGCAGUUUAUUCUUCCCUACUGGUUCUUCACUCCAACUACAAGCCUACAAUGACGCAGAUUGGGCUAGCUGCCCGGACACGAGAAAAUCUACUUUGGGAUGGUGCAUGUUUCUUGGUGAUGCCCUUAGCUCUUGGAAAUGCAAAAAGCAAGACUCAGUCUCCAAAUAAUCCACUGAGGCAGAAUACCGCGCCAUGUCUGUAGCCUGCUCCAAGAUCAUUUGGUCGCGUGGUCUCUUAACAGAGCUUGGUUUCUCACAACAUCAACCUACUCCCCUACAUGCUGACAACACAAGUGCCAUCCAAAUUGUAGCCAACCCUGUCUACCAUGAGCGCAUGAAACACAUAGAGGUUGACUGCCACUCUAUUCGAGAGGCCUAUGACCACCAAGUUAUCACCCUCCUGCAUAUCUCCACUACUCUACUGAUUACGAAUAUCUUCACCAAAUCCAUGACAUGUCAGCGACAUAACGUUCUUGUUAGCAAAUUGAUGCUUGUAGAUUUACCAGCAUCAAUUUGAGGGGGGAUGUCAAAGGAAUUAGUAGAUCUUAUGGCAAAUUCUAUGCCUGUACAGCUGUAACAAUUAUCUUUAUGGUUGUAAAUCUUAUAUUUUUUCCUUAUUUAAGAUAUACUAGCUGUAGGCUAUUUUAGAUAGUUAUGUAUAUGGUAGUUUAGCCAUGUUUAUGGCUAAACAUAAGCUCGUAUUCAUAGUAUAUAAAGGGAAUUCUCCUCCAAGAGAAAGCAUAUGAAAGAAACUUAGUUCUAUAUUGUUUGGUAGGCUAGAAAAUGAAAGAAAAUAAAAGAAAAGCUUUGCAAAGAAAACUGUUAGAUCCUUUUAUUAUACCAAACUUACAGUUUAAUGACUAAAAAUUGAUAUUUAUAUUGAGCUACAAACUCUUCACACACACACACGAGAUUGUUGCAACACAUAACCAAUUGCUGUAUAACUAACUUGACACAUCAGCUCAACCAGCUAACUAACUUUGACAGGUCAGCUUAAUGAUUUGAUCUGAUACAACCAGCUACACAGCAACAUCAUGCUCUGCUCCAGCUUCAUCUAAUUCACUAACAACUUUUGCUCAAAAUUCUCUUAGUUUAUCACAGGGAAGUAUAGCUUUGGAAAAGGCCGGAUCAAUAACUAUGGAGAGAUUUAUAAGUGAUAAAAAUUCCCGUAACCCGCUGUCAAGAAAAUUUCACAUAGUUAAAGACGCCAUUUUGUUUCAGCCAAAAAUGUUUGUUUAAUCUGCCAAAAAUGUUUGUUUCGAUUAAAGACUUGAACCGUUUUCAUUUAACCUGAUUGUGAUGCUUUAUGUUAUGUAUGUUCCUCUCAAUCAAGAAAAGUUGAGGUUCAUGAUUUUAUAUUUCUAUCUUGUAACUUGCAAUAAUAACUGGUCUUCUUGUUUUUGUAGCUUGAUAACAUGAAUUUUCCUUCUCAAGUUAAUUUGAUCAAUAAAGUAAUUCUUCAAAGAAAAUAUGCCCAUUCUAUAAUCAUUUUCUUAGCUAAUAUGUUUUUUUUUUGUUUACUCUUCAGAGUGUGUCGAAACUAAUUGAUUGCUCGGCAGAGACUUUGGGUGACAAGUCAAAAUUUCAUGGUAAAUCCUCUGAAAAGGUAUGCAUAAUUCCUGAAUAUUAAAUAACCAAUGGUCAUAGUUUUUGUACACGACUCUUUUUGUGGAGAUCGUUAAAAGUGGUUGAUGAUCCAUUUGUAAUUUCAUAGAGGGAUCAUCAAUUCCUUUUCUUUUCUGUGGCUAGGCAUCACUUUCGUGCCAAAGUAAGGAAAUCUAUUUUAGGUAAUGUAAAAAACAAUGGUAGGAUGUAAUAGCUUAUUAUGCACUGACAAUAACUUUUUGUAUAAUUGUCAGUUUAAGGAAUACAAGAGGAACUCUGUUGACAAAUUCAUCCAAGAUAGAUGCUAAAAUUAUUUAUGCAUGCCAGUUGCCUUAACUAAUUUUUCUUAACACUUGUAUUGAACAGGAAAUGAGUAUGCAAUUUGUGUACGUGCCAUUGUGGAGAAUUUGGAUAUUCUUAUUUAAGUAAGAAGAAGAGUAUUUGCCUCAUCUUUAAACAAUGAAUCUUUGAGAAAUGAGGAGUGGGUGAUUGGAAGUGUCUUCAUGUAAAUGUUCAUUUACUUGUAUUUUGAACUAUUAUGAGAAUCUUUUAUAUGCCAAAUUAGUAAUACAAAUGUUCAGAUGAUUUUUCCUGUUGAUCACGCGUUUGUGUCUGCAGACAACCAUUGUAUAUCACUUUAUUCUGAUGUGCAAUUAUGUAUAGAUUAGAAGAAAAGAAAUAAUAGUCUUAUAUUAUUGUUUGGUUCAUGAUUAUUAAACGAUUAUGGCUUCAAAAAAUCUACAAAUUCCUUCUGUUCAUAUAUGAAUGUGCCAAGUUUGCUAUAUCUUAGAUUGCCUUCUUCCAAGAUAACAAGUUCAUAUGUUUUUUAAUCCUCUUCAAUCACAGUUGAAUUUUAAGUGUUAAGAUUUGUUAUUAAUACCUGGUUCCCUGUUAUUAUGAUUUUUAUUAUGAUUUCAUAAACAGUGUACGGACAUGUGCUCUACUUUUAAAGGGCCUCCACGUGAAAGAAAAUUGCAACAAUUGAAUUCUUCCGGAGGGUAUGGCAUUUAAUUUAUUUUCUCAACUUCUUGUAAGACUAAUAUAUUUCCUUCAGUAGGCAGGGCAUGUUGGGAAGGGCUUUUAUUGAAAGAAUUCUGAUAUUUCUUAGACUUUGUUUUGGAAGGGAGGUGGAGGGAUUUCUCAUCCAUAUAUGGUUACUUGAUUAGCUUUUGACUGUAUUGCCUCAGUCGUGCAAAGGAAGAUCCAAAUACUAAUGAAUGAGAAUUGGUUAGAGACCCAAAAGACAGAAAUGAACUACAGAAGGAAGUUUUUGCUGCUUUAUUUAGUGUUCCUGAGAACUCUGAUGAAGAUGGAGUGGAGGUCCAAAGCAUUAAGAAAGGUGGUGAGUGAACCGCCAGAGGAAUUGGUACCAGAAUACAAAGCUAAUGUGGUGCAUUUGCAGCAAGAUAACCAGACUAGUAUGUGCUCUUGUAUUAACUAUAUUGACUGGAUUUGUGAGCAUGUUCAUUUUUGUGUGUAUAAUCACUUUUGUAUUUAUGCAUAUUAAUGUUAGUAGGAUUCUUGAUUUCCUCCACUUACUGGAGAACUAGUGGAAAGCUUUAUAGUGAAAUAUCUGCAAUAACUAAUGGAAACCAUGAUUUGAAUAUUUUCUCUCACCUGGAGAGCUUUGUAACAGAUGUACUUUGUGGCUAUGGAAUACUAGAGAUUCUGCAAUAACUAAUGGAAACUCUGAUAUGAAUAUUUUCUCUCACCUGCAGAACUUUGUAACAGAUACACUUUGUGGCUCUGGAAUGUCUAAAGAUUUUGUCUGCUUCAGUUAGAUCAAAUAUCUUUUAGUUACCUACAUUAUGGAAAAGAUAGAGUUCUCUGAAUCUGAAAGACUGAAACAUUUUGCAUAUUUCGUGAAAGGAAAAUAUCUGUAGAUACUAGUUCAUGCAUUGAGGUAACAUCAAUGUUAAAGAAAAACAGCAAUAACUUAUUAUAUAGAAUUAGGUUCACUUGCUUUAAAUGCUGGUCUGGUCAACCAUAUGAACCUGUAAGUGUAUCUGCAGAAAUAUAUAUGGGGGGACAAACUAGCUAAAUUUUCCUCUCAUUUCUGGCUUUGGUCAUUUUUUCCCCUUAUUUUUCAGCUUUCCUUCUCCUGAAGUAUGUUAACAAUUGCAGAUAAUGACGAAGAGGACAGCUUGCAGGCUCUUCGUGGAGCUGUGAUGGAAUAUAGGGGCACAAUGAAAGAACAUUUUAAAGCUGUAGGUUCUUUUUCUCCUGUCAUUUAUAUUUGCUCACACAUUUUUCAUAUGCUCCAAGCAUGCAAGUUUGUAUGUGUCUUUGCCUUUUAAGUUUUAAAAACCAUAAGGUAAGAAUACAGUUCCUCGUCAGGUUAUUGAUGCAUUCACUCCGGAGGAUCAUGUUCGAGCAGGAAAACUUCUAGAACAGGCAAGGUUUUCCAUCUACAGCCAUCUAUUGACAACAGAUACAUUUUCAUUCAGCAGACACUGUUAGCAUUCAAGAUGCUGGCAGAUUCACUUGAUUCUUAUUAGUUUGUUUAGUGGUAAAGCAUAUAACCUGUUUUUCAAAGCCAAGUUGUGCUAUUGAUUAUGUUAACUUUAUUGUUCACAUAAAGUGAUAUGGAGGAAAUAAUCAUUGUAGGAAAAUUAGGUGAAGAGGUGAUGUCAAAUCUUGAACCUGUUACAAAACUCCAAGUUCUUUACUUGAAGAAGCUACCAAAUUUGAACAGGGUCCACUGGAAGGCCUUGCCAUUCCCUGAUGCCUGCAGAAUUUUUGUAUUUAAAUGCCCAGAGCUUAAGAAGCUGCCACCGGAUCUUGAAAGGGCAGGCCAAGGUAAAAUUCUUAUCAAGGGAAAGGAAGAUUGGUGGAAACAACUUCAAUCGGAGGAUCAAGUAACUCAGAAUGCAUUGCUUCUAUUUUUAAAAUCAACUGACAAGUGAUUGAAGGGGGCAUCAUCAACAUCAUCAACAUGGAUGGAGAGAUUCAGGAGCAGAUCCGCAGGGUUUAUUACGACCUGUGGUGGUUGCUUUUUUGUGACUUGUUCCCUUUCAUUUUUUCACUUCCUGUCAUAUUAUCAUUUCUUUGUCUCUGUUUCUAUUGCUGAUGUUGCUGCAUGCUUGCAGCCCUUGACAAAGUUAGCAAUGCAAUAUAGAUUUUGAAAUUAAAUUUUGUAUGUUCGGGACAGUCACAAAGUACUACUUGUUCUAUAUGGGGGUGAUGUGAAUCAACUUUUCAAUUAUAUAUUCUGUGGUAAUUGUGAAUUCAAUUUCAUUUGUCUCCUGCAAAUUAUGAAGAAAGUGCAGAGUUAGAAUAUCGAAAAGUUCACUGGCAAAUACUUUGUAAAAGCUUCGGAGUGAAACAGGGAAUGCACUUGCAACUAAGGACAAAUUGGUGGCCAGCUAAUGCAUUCAUUUUAUGUACAUUCAUCUUUUUAAUUAUUGAAGAUAAGUGGUUCGUUGCUUUUGUUGUAGAAAAAAUUCAGACGACCUCAAUUGUGAGAUGAAAAUAUUUAAAAUAUCUCUUAAAUUAUUAUAAACUUUAAUUUAUCUUAAUUUUAUUUAAAAGAUAAAAGAAAAAUGUGGUAUAUGGGUAAAAAUUUUUUUAUCUUGUUAAUAAAAUGAAAUAAAUUAAAAUUUACAAUAAUUUAAAGUAUUUUAAAAUUAUUAUUUCAUAAGAGAUUAAUAUGAAAUUAAUCCUUUUUACUUUUUGAAUGUGAAAGGACAAGAAAAGAGAAAGCUAGUGUCACUGCUUUUUAUUUUAUUUGAAAUCGGAGUUAUCCCAUAUACUUUACUACUUUAGCUCUAACAUUACAAUGUUUUUAGGCUACACUUUUAUUUUUCUUUUUCCCCCUUUUUUUAUACAUGCAUGUGGAUUACUUUUCUCUAAGCUCCUUAAUAUUUAAGACAAAUCAUAAAAGCAAUUGAAGCAUAACAAGAUGAUCAAAACAUUUAACCGAAAAAAAAAGAAAUAAAACAUUGAAAAUGGAGAUGUUGAUUAAUUUAGAAGAGAUGCAAGCAAAAAAUAUUCCCAAAAAAAAAAAAAAAAAAAGCAACGUUAGUUCAUCCAUGUCUGUCAAUGCGUUUUUUAUGGUUUUUUUUUUCCAGUUGUUUGUUGUAAUAGAUUAAUUGUAAAUUGAUAUAAACUUGAUGUUGUAAUAUGUUCGCUUUUGUGGAAAUAAAUUUCAAUAUUCAAGAUUAUUCAAGUCUUAUCUAGUAUGUGUUCGGUUGUGUUGUCGAUAAUUUUACAUUCUAAUAAGUUUUCACCUAAAAUAUUAGCAUGAGUAGUAGUCCUUAAACCUUUGGUCAAAAUUAUUGUUAUUGUUUCUUUUAGAGGAAAUUUUUUUAUUAAAGCCUCGUUAACACUAUUCCUUAUUAAGAUUAUAAGUUAGUGUCGGUGCAGGAUUUGCAGCGACAAAUCUUGUCUAGCCACGUGUCAAAAUACAAAUAAAUCAAGGGAAAGCACAUGACAUGGAUUAGGAUCCAAUAAAAUUUAAAUCCCAAGGAAAAGGACAACUGUAUCCUAAAGUUUCAAUAAGAGAUACUGGGAUAUCUUUUGACUAAUGUUAUUUUUUGGCUUUAUUAAUAAAAAGAUCCAAUAGUUUAUAACAAAUAAAAAUAUAGUAUUAAGCUAAAUGUGAUAAUUUACACAUUUUACAUAAUUUCAAUAAAAAUUUUUUUAAUGUUUUACAAUCUAUCAGACAUAUUUUAUUAAAUUAAUAAGAAUUUUCUUAUAAAUAGCAACAUAAUAUUAAAAUAAAUUUAUAAAAAUUUAAAUGUAAAAUAAUUUUAGUAUAAUUAAUACGCGGGAUAUAUUUUGUAAAUUAUAAAAUUACUUAACCCAAUGAUUUUUAAAAAUCUUUAAAAUAAAUAAAAAUAAAUUAUUCACAUUUUGAUGUAAAUAUUUAAAACAUUUUUAUACAUUAGUCCACAAUUAUUUAUGUUAUAUUUGUAUUUAUUAGAAAUUUUGAAAGUCAAAUGUUUUUUACCUCUAUGUUAUUAGAAUUAUUGCACACAGAGAAAGAGCCAUAUAUGCUUUAUAACUUUAAAAUCGAUUUGUUUUAUAGCUGGGAAUAGAGAUGAUCAUUAUUAUAAGGAUUUUUUAAAAAAAGAUAAAGAAUAUUAAUGAUUAGCGAAAUCUCUAUGGAAAUUGAAUUUAGUAAGAAAAAAUUGAGCUGAUUUUAGUGGUAUAGUAAUAUUUUAUAUAGAGAAAAGUAAAAGCUGCACCCAAGGUUAAGGGAAAUGGUCAAAAUUCUUUUUUAAUCAUAAUACCCUUUUUCCUAGAUAAUUUAAAAAUUUUACUCUAAUAGUUUAUAAUAAAUAAAAACAUAUAAUCCUAAAAUAAAUAAAAUGAUAUAUAUUUUAAAAUAAUCUCAAUAUUUAAAAUAUAUUUUAACAUUUUAUAAUCUAUUAGAUAUAUUUUAUUAUAUUAAAGUAAAUUUUAUAAUAAAUACAAAACAUACUAUUAAAAUAGAUAUAAAAAUUUUAAAGUAUUUUGAAUAUUAUAUAAAAUAACUUUAAUAUUGUUAAUGCAUGAGAUGCAUUUUAUUAAUUAAAAAUUCUAUGUAACCCAAAGAUUUAUUUAUAAUAAAUUAAUAAUCAUAUUUUUGAAAUUAUUUUAAAUAUUAAAAAAUAUUUUAAUAUUACUAACUAUUAGAUAGACUAAACUAUUUAUUUUAUUUUCUAUUUAUUAUAAAAUUUCAAAGUUAAUCUUUUUAACUACUAUUCAAAAGAUGUUAUGAUAAAAACAGAAUUUUUGUGUUUUUAUUGAAAAUUUGGAGUUUACAUCUAUUUUUUCAAAUAUUCAGGGUGUAACUGUUUUUUCCCUUUUAUAUAUACGAACGGUGGUGAGAAAGUUUGAUUUAACGUUAUUUAUUUAAAUAAAAUCUCAGUUAAAAAUGUACAGAGAAGAAAUUUCGGUUGGUAUUUUAGUCUUGGUAAUCUCUAUAUUAUAUGCAUAUAAGAUACAUCAUUCUCACAUGAAUAGUAUAUGUGUGAGAUCCAUAUAUUAUUCAUGUGAGGGAGAUGUAUCUUAAUAAGAUAGAGGGAUCCGUUAGUCUUUUACCAAUCAUCACGAUUAGGCCUUGGCCUUGAAACAUUAAUUGUUUCACUUUUAGCGCUAGUGGCGUUGAAAGUUGUCAAGAAAAAGCAAGACCAUAUUCCACAAAAGCAAAAGUAACGUAGGCUCUUUUAUUAAAGGCAAAGUAUAAAGUAGUCAAGAAUCGAAUAUCCUGUCGUCUACUCUUUUUUAAAUUCUUCUUUUAUUAUCGUUUAGAAUAGUUUUUGGUAAUUACAAUCAUUAUUCAGAGUUAUUGUUAUCUUCCGGGGCAGUCUCUGUUCAUCGAAGUCGUUACCUUUUUUUUAAUGGAUCAGUUCCAGUGGUAAGCAGUAAUUUUCUUAGAACUCGGAUCUUUAAUUCGAGUUUCUGUGUGAAUUAAUAAUAAAAAAUUUUCAUUACACGCAAUUUAAGCUACGAAUUACUUUUUGCAAAGUUGAAUAUGGAAUUGGAGAAAUUAAGUAAUUUAGAAUGUUGGUAAAAAUUGACGAACAUAUCUCCAAUUACAGUAAAACCUCUCUACAGUCAUAACAUUAUAACAAAAUUAAUUUUAUUACUAUGUUGAGGUAAUAUAGGUUUAGUUACAAAAUUAUUGUUUUAAUAUGGUUAGUGUCAAGUGAUAUAAAGGUUAAGUAUGCAGUACAUUAAUAAUUAAAUAAUGAAGUGUCAAAUCUAAUGUAUAUAUAUUAAUGAUAUAGAUAGACAUAGUUUUAAAAAACUAAUUAAUGUAUAUUUAUGUAGUGUUAUGAAUAUGGAAAGUCAAGCCUACACUUUACAUUAUCCUUAAUUUUUUCUCUCAGUUAAAUUCUACAAAUAUUGUACAAUGGUUGGGCAAGAACUCUAAAUUAAGAAUAAAUUAUUGUCACAAAUAAUUUUAGAAAAUAUUUUAUUUCGUCUUAAACCUUUAAUAUAAAUAAACAUAUAUAUAUAUAUAUAUAUAUAUAUAUAUAUAUAUAUGUGUGUGUGUGUGUGUGUGUGUGUGUGUGUGUGUGUGUGUGUGUGUGUGUGUGUGCAUAUUUUGCAACGUAUAGAUAAUUGUUAGUAUAUGGAGACAAGUCUUUUAAGGUAGGACCUAGGAAAAUUUAUAACUUACUACACUGUGGAGUUUUUAUUCCUUUUUAUAAUUGGCUCAUAUUGAUACAUUCUUACACAAAAUAUUACCAUUGACAUAUUUUACUACAAUUAGUUUAGAACAUUUGUUAGGAAAAAAAAGAAAAGAAAAGAAAACAUCCCUUGGAUGUAGCUCUCCUGACUAUUUAAAUCUUUUAAGGAAAAAAAGAAAAAAGAAAAACUGGCACAUUCAAAUCUUGAAGCAAUUACAUUAAAAUCUCUCCAUAAUGAUAGGAAUAAUCUCCAUUUAGUAAUAAAAAAUUUUGUUCGCAAUUUAGGCAGAGUUAUAAAUAAGAAUAAAAUCCUCAUUGUAAUAAGUUAUAUUUAUUAUGGAUCCCAUCCUAAGGAAUUCGUCUCUAUAUAGUAAUAAUUAUUUGCAUAUUAUAAAUAUAUAUGUUGCAUUAGAUUAAAUGAACUUGUCUCCACAUACUACUUAGACAACGAGAGAAAAUUAUUAAAGAGAACACAAAUAUUUAGAUAUUUUUAAGAUUACUUUGCAUAUUUAUAACAAUAAUACAUUGAUAUAUGUAUUAGUUUUUUGAUAUAUUAGAUUUAACAUGCUCUAUUAAUAAAUUAUUAAUACGAUGCAUAUUCAUCUCUAUAUCCUUGCAAUAAAAGUAACUAAGUUAUAACAAUAAUUAUUAAUAAAUUAUUAAUACGUUGCGUACUUCAUCUCUAUAUCCUUACAAUAAAAAUAACUAAGUUAUAAUGAUAAUUUUUGUAACUACAUACUUAUUAGGUUUUAACUACUUCAUAAUAAUAAAUUAGUUUCGUCCUAAUAUUAUAAUUAUGUAGAGUUGUAGUGUAUAGACACACCCAAUUUAAAUAGUAUAUCAAAUAAAAUUGUCCCCACGAAAAAGAAAAAAGGGGUAAAGGAUUCUCAUUUCUUCAAACAUUAGGAUCACGUUUGUACAAGUGCGAUGCCUUUCUUUUGAAGGCAACGUCAGUGGGUACCCAAUAGGACGUGUGUAAAUCUUUCCAAAAUUUCUCUGGUAUAACGGACAGAGAUCAUUACUUUUCUCUUCCAUAUACCACAGCAGCUUCAGUUAAUCAGACUCAAUCAAUUUUCUUGGUUUCUUCGCUUAUCAAAAUUCCAAAAUAUGGGUAGCAUAUUUCAAAUCACAUGCGAUGGUGCUUUUUUCAAUCGUUGCUUGGAUUGCUUUCUUGGAAAAGUAGCAAACACAAGUAAGCUCCAAGAUAACCUUGUUGCCUUGGAGACUGAAUUGGGAAAACUAAUCGCAGCAAAGAACGAUGUGAUGAUGAGGGUUGUCAAUGCUGAACGGCAACACCUGAGAACGCUGGACCAAGUGCAAGUGUGGCUUUCGAGGGUGGAAGCUGUUGAAACUGAAGCUGAUGAAUUGAAAAGACACGGCUCUCAAGAAAUUGACAAAUUAUGUGUUGGAGGCUACUGUUCCAAGAACUGCGCGUCAAGCUACAAGUUCGGGAAACAAGUGGCUAAAAAGCUACGGGAUGUGCAGACUUUAAUCGACGAAGGAGUUUUUGCGGCGGUGGCUACCGAGGUGGUGCCUGAGAGAGCUCCAGAACCUGUAGCAGAUGAAAGACCCACUGAGCCAACAAUAGUAGGCUUGCAAUCACAACUUGAACAAGUUUGGAGAUGUCUUGUAGAAGAAUCAGUGGGAAUCAUUGGCCUAUAUGGUAUGGGCGGUGUUGGUAAAACUACACUAUUGACCCAUAUCAACAAUAAAUUUCUUGAGAGUCCAACCAGUUUUGAUUGUGUGAUUUGGGCCGUAGUUUCAAAGGACUUGCGACUCGAAAAAAUUCAAGAAGAUAUUGGGAAAAAGAUCGGUUUGGUUGAUGAUUCAUGGAAGAGUAAAAGUGUAGAGGAGAAAGCUCUCGACAUCUUCCGGAGUUUAAGAGAGAAGAGAAUUGUAUUGCUGUUAGAUGAUAUAUGGGAGCGGGUUGAUUUAACAAAAGUGGGCAUUCCACUUUCCGGACCAAAAAAUACUACAUCAAAAGUCGUAUUCACAACCCGUUUCGUCGAUGUUUGUGGUAGCAUGGAAGCUGACAAGAAGUUCCAGGUGGCAUGCUUAUCAGAAGAGCAUGCUUGGGAACUGUUUCGAAAAAAAGUUGGGGAAGAAACUCUUGAGAGUGAUCAUGAUAUCGUUGAGCUAGCCCAAACUGUGGCCAAAGAGUGUGGUGGUUUGCCACUCGCACUUAUUACUAUUGGUCGAGCUAUGGCCUUCAAAAAGACAGCCGAGGAGUGGAGUCAUGCAAUUGAUGUGCUAAGAACAUCAGCUUCUGAGUUUGCAGGUUUGGGAGAAAAGGUUUAUCGUCUUUUAAAGUUUAGCUAUGAUAGUUUGCAGAAUGAGACGAUUAGAUCUUGUUUCUUAUAUUGUUGUUUAUAUCCCGAGGAUUAUAGCAUUCUUAAAUGGGACUUGAUUGAUUGUUGGAUUGGUGAGGGAUUCUUAGAGGAAUCUGACAGGUUCAGUGCAGAAAACCAAGGAUACUACAUUGUGGGCACUCUUGUUCAUGCAUGUUUAUUGGAAGAGUUAGAAGAUGAUAAAGUAAAAAUGCAUGACGUUGUUCGUGAUAUGGCUCGAUGGAUAGCUUGUGAAAUUGAGAAGGAGAAGAGAAAAUUUUUGGUUUGUGCAGGUGCUGGAGUAGGAGCGGUGUCAGAUGUUGAAGGAUGGGAAAAUGUGGGAAGAUUGUCAUUGAUGCAAAACCAAAUUGAAAUUCUGUCAGAGGUUCCCACAUGCCCUCAUCUCCUCACUUUAUUUCUUGACUUUAAUUAUAAAUUGGAGAUGAUCACCGAUGGCUUCUUCCAAUGUAUGCCUUCUCUCAAAGUUUUGAAGAUGUCAAACUGUGGGCAUGUCAAAGUUUUGAAAUUACCUUUUGGGAUGUCAAAGCUGGGUUCACUACAACUUCUUGAUAUUUCACAUACCGGCAUAAGAGAGUUACCAGAAGAGUUAAAGUUGUUGGUAAAUCUGAAAUGUUUGAAUUUGAGGUGGACACAUAUGUUAAAUAAAAUUCCACGGCAGCUAAUAUCAAAUUCUUCAUGGUUACGUGUGUUGAGAAUGUUCGCUAUUGGCUUUGAAAAUUCUAAAGAACCAUCAGAAGACAGCGUUUUAAUUGGUGGGGGUGAAGUUUUAGUACAUGAAUUGCUCGGUUUGAAAUAUUUAGAGGUAUUGGAGUUGACCUUGCGAAGUUAUGAUGCUCUCCAAUUUUUUUUGAGCUCAAAUAAGUUAAAAAGUUGUAUUCGAUCUCUUUUCCUCAAUAAGCUGGGAGAUACAAAGUCGAUUCAUGCUACGGCUUUCGCAGAUCUAAAGCAUCUCAAUGAACUAUGCAUUCGUUCGGCAGUGGAGUUGGAAGAAUUGAAGGUUGAUUAUACAGAGAUUGCGCCAAAAAGGUCGGAACCUUUUGUUUUCCGCAGCCUUCACCGUGUUACUAUGGAGCGGUGCCAUAAAUUGAAAGAUUUGACAUUCCUCGUUUUUGCUCCAAGCCUCAAGUCUCUUUCGCUAUACGGUUGCAAUGCUAUAGAAGAAAUAAUCAGCGUUGGAAAAUUUGCUGAGACUCCUGAGGUGAUGGGACAUAUAAGCCCUUUUGGAAAUCUCCAAACGCUUUAUUUAACUGAUUUGCCAGAGUUGAAAAGCAUCUACUGGAAGCCAUUGCCUUUCACUCAUCUCAAAGAAAUGACGGUACAUGGGUGUAAUCAGCUUAAAAAGCUUCCAUUCGAUUCCAACAGUGCAACAGAGCGUAAAUUUGUUAUUCGUGGAUACACACUCUGGUGGAACCGUCUUCAAUGGGAGGAUGAAGCCACUCAAAUUGCUUUUCGUUCCUGUUUCCAAUCUCAUGAAAUAUAAAUUCCUGAGCGGUGGUUGCAAAAUUUGAUUUCUAGUGAGUGCUUUUUUCUUAAACUCUUACAUAUAUUCUCGUCGUUUGCUUCGUGCAACGGACUAGGUUUUUAUUUCAGAUUCGUUUUUUGUCUCCUGCAAAUCACAAUUAAAUGUUGAAUUAUAUGGAGUCAAUGCUUUAUAAAAUUUUCAAGGCACUGCCAUUUCCUUUUUCUUUUUCUUUUUUUUUUUGGGUCGAAUUGAUGCUCUGGCUUUUUACUUUUUGUUGUCACAUUUUGCUCUGUUUUUUCAAGUUGAUGCUUGAAUAGUUGAAUUCAAUUGAUGCUCACAUAAAUUUGUUUAGUUGCCGCAAAAGGAUAUAAUUAGACUGAAGUACACACUUCUAGAAUGAAUACAAAAUGUUAAGUAUACUAGCCCUCUUUACAGAAAAUCAAAUGAAAAUCAAUUUUUUGGGGCUUUGAUUUUCUAUGGUCUAUUAUAUACUCUUUUUAAUAUCUUCUGUUCUAACUAUAACCAAAUCCUUUGUUCAAGGAUUUUUAUUUGGGGUAUUGAUAACUGUCCACCAAAAGAGUGAACACUUGGAUGCUGCUCAAGGAUCUCUAAUCAAUAGCUGGAAGCAACUGAGAAGGCGGUCGCUACUGUUUACAAAGCGAUGCAGUAUUUGCCAUUCAUCUUAAUAAUUAUGAAGCUUUGGUAAAAUUUUCAAACAAAGUUGAACACAUGUUGUUUUGAGAUUUGGUUCAUGAUUUUGGAUGAAUAUCGUUGUUCCGUUUGAGUUGGAUGUGAAUUCAAAAUCUAUAUAUUCUUUGGUUUUCAAUUCUGAACUCAAUUUCUUUUUCUCAAGCAUGUUAUGCAGAAAUGAUUUUUUACUAAAUCAUUUUUGAUGAAUUGUUUAAAUUAAACAAUUGGAAUAAGAAUUGAAAAGGUUUAUCAUAAGCAUGCUAAUAUGAUAAGUUGUUUUAUGAACGAUUAAUUAAUUAAUCAAUUAAUAUUAAAUUAUCUAUUAGUCAAUUAGAUAUGCGUUACAUGUCAUGUUUAAAAAUUAUUUAUUUAUAUUUCAAACAAAUUUGACUGGAUGUUGUGUAGGUAAUACUACAUAAUUUCAAAACAAAAAAAGUAAUAAAAACACGUUAAAUUUUGUUUUUAUGAAGAAAAAUUUAAAAUUUUAUUAAAUAGGUGAAAAUAAUAAAUGGAUUCGUGUAUGGUUUGAGAUUCUUGACAUAAUUAUGAAAUAAGCCGGAUUCGACUUAGUUCAAUUUUGACGCGAUAAGAAGACGACACCACACAAACACACGAUAAGAACCGUUACCUGAGAAGAUUGCCAUCAGGAAUUUUGAAAUUGAUUUCACUACAAUACCUUAAUCUUUCAGAUACUACCAUCACUGAGCUGCCAGAAGAGCUAAAAGCCUUGGUAAAUCUUAAGUGUUUGAACUGUACACAAAUUAUCUCUCUACAAUUCAAAAACAACUAAUUUGUUACUUUUUCAAUGCUACAUGUUCUGCGAAUAUUGAGUUGUGGUUAUCUUGUUGAAAUAUCAGACAAUAGAGUUCUAUUUGGUGGUAGUGAAUUGUUGGUUGGGGAGUUGCCUAGUUUAAAACGUUUAAAUGUAUUAAGCAUCACCUUACAAGGUUUUUCUGCUGUCCAAAAACUUAUGAGCUCUCAAAAGUUUCAAAGCUGUACAAAAUGUUUGGAGCUUAUAGACUGUGAUGAUUCAAAGUCUUUUGCCUUGGCAGAGUUGAAGCAUCUCGAAAAACUAGUUUUUUGAAUUGUGGAAGAGUUUAAGUUCUGCUUUGUUGAAGUUGGAAAAGCUCAAGAAUGUUUUCGUUUGAACAGUUUUCACCGAGUUAAUAUAAAGGCUUGUCAUAAAUUGAGGGACGUGACAUGGCUUGUAUUUGCUCCAAAUCUUACAGUUAUUCAAAUAGAAAAAUGUAUGCAGAUGGAAGUAAUAGUCAGUGCAAGGAAAUUGGGUGAAGUUCCAGAGAUGAUGGCAGAUCUAAACCCUUUUGCAAAUAUCUUUGCCAGCGAGUUCUACCAAAAUUAAAAAGCGUCUAUUGGAAUGAGUCACCCUUUCCACAUGUCAGGGAAAUUAUUGUAUCUGAAUGCCCAAUUCUCAAGAAGCUUUCACUCGGUUUUAACAAUGCAAAGGAAUCUAAAAUUGUCAUUAGGGGAGAGGAACACUGGUGGAGUGAGCUGCAAAGGGAGGAUGAAGCGACCGUUAAUGCUUUUCUUCCUUGUUUCGGUUCCAUUUGAUAGGCAUCAACAUGGAUUUAUAUUUUGCGGUGGACAACUUGUGGUAAGUGCUUUUCCAUUUAUUACAUGUUUAUAUCUAACUUUUGUUUUCCUUUAUGGUUAAAUUUUACUGUAUAUAUGUUGUUAUACGGUGACAUUCUCGCAUCAAUUAUUAGCUUUUUAAUUCUCUUCUGGCAUUAAUUGCCCUUCUGAUCAUGUAGGAUAUGCCGAUGUCAAAGAGUAGUAAAUUGGGAUACAAAUGUAAGAAUUAGCCAGAUGACAUGUUGUUUUGAAGCUCUCUCGAAGGACUAGUUAUGUCAUUCAAAGCAUCCAAUUUCGCUACUUUUUUUUUCAUUUGUUGCUUUUUAUAUUUCUAGAUAGCUUGAUAUUCGGCCAAGACAUCGAUAGGAGGGCACAUUGUGCAUGCACACUAGUGGAUGAUUUGGGCAUGCCGAAUCCAAUUAGCGUGGAUGACCCUUUAUAAGCAUCAGGCUUCUCUCAUACCAGAGCAAUGUAGAAUAUGUUUAUAAACUGUGGAUUACCCUUUAUAAGUUUAGACUUCUUCUAUACUCGAGCGAUGUGGAAUACCUGUAUAAGCAUUAAGCUUCUCUCAUACACUUUAUGUUAAAAAUAAUAAUAAUAAUAAUAAAAUAAAUCCAUUUUAAAAUAGGCUCUUUUUUUCUUUUUUUAUAUAAACAAAAUGCAUUCUUCAAAUCAAUAGUGGGUGGAAGAAGUGAGUAGAGAAGGACUAGGCCCCUUCAUUCCGCCUAAAACCUCACCGAAACCUCUCUUGUGAACUUCUCAGAUUCUCUCUCAAUAUUUCUUAUGAUCUCGUUUUUGAUAGAAUCACUUCUAUUGCAUGCUGCAUUUUGUGCGUCGUUUUUGGGUAAUAUCUUAUCUGGAAUGCUGUUAUGAUCAAUAGAACAAGUAAUCAAUUUUUGGUUUGACGGAAGUCGAUUUAUUUAUUUACUAUUGUUUUUUAUUUGAAAUUUUGACAGUUGUGUUUCAUUCAUUUCUUUCCUUCUUUUUUUAUUUUAUAUUUAUUAUGUAUAAUUGUGUUUCAUUUGAUAUUGAUCAUACUGUAGAUAACUAUGUGAUUGUAGCUGGGGAUUUUAAGUUUUGUGAAUUCAAGAAACUGUCAAAAUGCUAGUGAAAUUGGGACCUUUAUUCAUAAGCUUGUGGUUUUCAAAAGUAGCCGGGUUCAACUGAUGAAGUUCCUUUUUGGGAUUCUUUUUUUUCUAGGCUGCAAUUCGGAUAUGUACCUGAUAGACAAUCUUUUGUGAGUUUAGCAUAUCUUCUCCGAUUUUGUCUUUUAUUCCCCAACUUUACAGCUACACACCAUGAAUGCUGGGUGAUUGUACAGAAAAUUUGUGUUAGAACAAAAGCAUUGUGAAGGAGUUUCUGUGCUAUAAGUUAUUGGCUUCAGCUUUAUUGGCAUUAAUUGGGUAGAUUAUGUGUUACAGUGAUUCAAUUUGUGAUCCACACUUUAAUUUUCUCUUUUCCCCAAUUAUUUAUGUCAAAUUCAAAUCCAGAAGCAUGCGCUGAUUUUUUUUUUUUUUUGUGAUAAUCUGUGAAGUUUAUUUGGAAAGGACGUAUCUGGGUUUAAUGGAUUAAAUUAUGACAUUGAGGGAAAGGCACUAAAGGUUUUGCUUGACACAUUUGGUCUGUGUUUACUCUGCAAUAAAUAGCUUCGCUUAUCAGAAAUCCCUAUUUGGCUGGUGAAUUUCUCUGUGACAGACAGGCAAACACCUAAACCGCUUCUAUCCAUUUUUCUGCUGGUGAGGUAAGGGGUAAAAAGUCUUCAAAAUCAUCAAAUAGUAACAUCUCUGAGAAUUGGUUUUAGAAAAAUGGAAAAUCUAGACCUACUAGGACAAAAUGGCGUCCGGUAUCAGGAGGUACCGUUUCAAGUUUUCUUGGUAAAGAAUAUAUUAAACCUGCGCAACCAGCUAAUGGCACUUUUCUGGCAUCAAAGCCAUUGAAGUUGGAUCUAAAGGAGUUUUCCCAUGCCUGCAUUGUGCAGAGAAGAAACUAAACAAAAACAAUCAAAGAAUGACCAUUUGCAGAAGGAUACGGAAGAUUUUCUAUUUAAAUUGUUAGGAGAAGGGUCCCAGCUGAACAGGGAUGUGAUUCAGGAGGUUCUCGGUAAUGUCUUAAAUAUACUGAUGCCAAUUUAAUACAUAUUGUCCUUUUCAAUGUUCUUUCUUUCUUUCUUUUUUUUUUCCUUCUUCUUCUUUUUCUUUUCGUGUGCAUGUGAUCACUGAUUUGGUAUUAUGCUUAAGUUGCAGAUAGCUGUGGAUUUGAUAUGCAAAAGGUAAGGACUAUAUCUUCCUGAUGUAGGCCUCUGCUUUUUCCCCUUCUAUGUAAUUUAGUAAUUCACAUCUUCCUUUGUGAUUGUUAUAUCAUAUCGAAGUCAAGUCUUAAAUACUGCUGUCAUAUGUGAAGGUUCAACUUGCAUUUUGAUUAAGAUCCAUUUGCUGCUGCUUCCAAAAGUGAGAAUGAGAUACUUUGGUUAAUUUCAGUGGUUGAACCCAAUAGAGAACUUUAUUUAGAUCUUCAUGGUUCAAAGGCCUGAAAAAACUUGCCCGUAAUUGUAAAAUGACAUUCUGUGCUUUUUAUGCAAUAGGGAACAGGGAAGUAGAGCUUUGGAAAAGCCUGGAUUGAUAACUAUGGAGAGACUUAUUAUUUAAGUGAUGAAAAAUUCCCAUCGCCCGCAGUCAAGAAAAUUUCAGAUAGUUAAAGACUCCAUUUUGCUUCAGCCAAAAAUGUUUGUUUCAAUUAAAGACUUGAACCAUUUUCAUUGAACCUGAUUGUGAUCCUUUACGUUAUGCAUGUUCCUCUCAAUCAAGAAAAGUUGAGGUCAUGAUUCUAUAUUUCUAUAUUGUAACUUGAAAUAAUAAUUGGUCUACUUGUUUCUGUAUCUUGAUAAUAUGAAUUUUCCUUCUCAAGUUAAUUUGUUCAAUAAAGUAAUUCUUCAAAGAAAAUAUGCCCAUUCUAUAAUCAUUUUCUUAGCUCAGAUGUUUUUUCUUCACUCUUCAGAGCAUGUCAAAACUAAUUGAUCGCUUGGCAGAUACUUUGGGUAAGAAGACAAAAUUUCUUGGUAAAUCCUCGGAAAAGGUAUGCAUAAUUCCCGAGUAUUAAAUAACCAAUAGUCAUAAUUUUUGUACAUGACUCUUUUUUCUCUUUUUUGUGGAGAUCAUUAAAAUUGGUUGAUGAUCCAUUUUGUAACAUCAUAGAGGGAUCAUCAAUUCCUUCUCUUUUCUGUGGCUAGGCAACACUUUCAGGCCAAAGUAAGAAAAUCUAUUUUAGGUAAUGUGAAAACCAACGGUAGGAUGUAAUAGUUUAUUAUGCACUGACAAUAACUUUUUGUAUGGUUGGCAGUUUAAUGAAUACAAGAGGAACUUUGUUGACAAAUUCAUCCAAGAUAGAUGCUAAAAUUAUUUAUGCAUGCCAGUUGCCUUAACUAAUUUUUCUUAACACUUGUAUUGAACAGGAAAAUGAAUAAGCAAUCUGUAUAUUGUGCCAUUGUGGAGUAUUUGGAUAUUCUGAUUUAAAUAACAAGGAGAAUACUUGCCUCAUCUUUAAAUGAGGAGUGGGGGAUUGGAAGUGUCUUCAUGUAAAUGUUCAUUUAUUUGUAUUUUGAACUAUUAUGAGAAUCUUAUAUGCCAAAUCAGUAAUACAAAUCUUCAGAUGAUUUUUGCUGUUGAUCAUGGGUUUGUGUCUGCACACAACCAUUGUAUAUCACUUUAUUCUGAUGUGCAGGUAUGUGUAGCUUAGAAGAAAUGGAAUAAUAAUCAUCUAUUAUUGCUUGGUUCAUGAUUAUUAAACGAUUAUGGCUUUAAAAAGUCUACAAAUUCCUUCUGUUCAUAUAUGAAUGUGCCAAGUUUGCUAUAUCUUAGAUUAUCUUCUUCCAAGAUAACAAGUUCAUAUUCUUUUUAAUCUUUUUCCCUCACAGUUGACUUUUAGGUGUUAAGAUUUGUUAUUAGUCCCCUGUUAUUAUGAUUUCAUAAACAGUGUACGGAUAUGUGCUCUAACUUUGGAGGACCUCCACAUGAAAGAAAAUUGCAACAAUUGAAUUCUUCCGGAGGGUAUGGUCUUUAAUUUAUUUUCUCAACUUCUCGUAAGAUUAAUAUAUUUCAUUCAGUAGGCACAGCAUGGGGGGAAGGGUUUUUAUUGAAAGAAUUCUGAUAUUUCUUAGACUUUGUUUUGGAAGGGGGGUGGAGGGAUUUCUCAUCCAUGUAUGGUUACUUGAUUAGCUUUUGACUGUAUUUCCUCAGUCAUGUAAAGGAAGAUCCAAAUACCAACGAAGGAAUAUUGCCUAGACACCCGAAAGACAGAAAUGAGCUACAGAAGCAAGUUUUACUACUUUAUUUAGUGCUCCUGAGAAAUCUGAUGGAGACCGAAUGGAGGUCCAAAGCAUUGGAAAAGGUAGUGAGUGAACCGCCGGAGGAGUUGGCACCAGAAUGCAAGGCUAAUGUGGUGCACUUGCAGCAAGAUAACCAAACCGGUAUGUGCUCUUAUAUUAACUAGACUGACUGGAUUUGUGAGUGUGUGCAUUUUUUUGUGUAUACUCUUGUAUUUAUGCAUAUUAAUGUGUGUAGGAAUUUCUGCCACUUACUGGAGAACUAGUGGAAAGCUUUAUAUCGAUAUAUCUGCAAUAACUAAUUGGAAACUAUGAUAUUAAUAUUUUCUCUCACCUGAGGAACUGUGUAACAGAUAUACUUUGUGGCUCUGGAGUACUAGAAAUUCUGCAAUAACUAAUGGAAACUAUGAUAUGAAUAUUUUAUCUCAACUGGAGAACUUUGUAACUUGUAGCUCUGGAAUGUCUAAGGAAUUUUGUCUGCUUCAGUUAGAUCAAAUAUCUUUUAGUUGCAUACAUUAUAGAAAAAGAUAAAGUUCUCUGAAUCUGAAAGACUGAAACAUUUUGUAUAUUUUGUGAAAGGGAAAUAUCUGUAGAUACUAGUUCAUGCAUUGAGGUAACAUCAAUGUUAAAGAAAAACAGCAAUAAGUUAUUAUGUGGAACUAGGUUCACUUGCUUUAAAUGCUGGUCUGGUCAACCAUAUGAACCUGUAAGUUCUGCAGAAAUAUAUAUACGGGGAGAAACUAGCUAAAUUUUCCGUUCAUUGAUGGCUUUGGUCAUUUUUUUCCCCUUAUUUUUCAGCUGUCCUUCUCCUGAAGUAUGUUAACAACUGCAGAUAAUGAUGAAGAGGACAGCUUGCAGGCUCUUCUUAGAGCCAUGAUGGAAUAUAGGGGCACAAUGAAGGAACAUUGCAAAGCUGUAGGUUCUUUUUCUCCUGUCAUUUAUGUUUUCUCACACAUUUUUUAUAUGCUCCAAGCAUGCAAUUUUGUAUGUGUCAACUGCUUUCUAAGUUUUAAAAACCAUAAUGUAAGAAUACAGUUUCUUGUCAGGCUAUUGAUGCAUUUGCUCAGGGGGAUCAUGUUCGAGCAGGAAAACUUCUAGAACAGACAAGGUUUUCCAUCUACAGCCAUCUAUUGACAACAGAUAUAUUUUCAUUCAGCAAACACUGUUAGCAUUCAAGAUACUGGCAGAUUCACUUGAUUCUUAUUAGUAAUGUUUAGUAGCAAAGGAUAUAACCUGUAUUUCAAAGCCAAGUUGUGCUAUUGAUUAUGUUAGCUUUAUUGUUCACAUAAAGUGAUAUGGAGGAAAUAAUGUGAAGUGAUAUGGAGGAAAUAAUCAAUGUAGGAAAAUUAGGUGAAGAAAUGAUGUCAAAUCUUGAACCUCUUACAAAACUCCAAGCUCUUUACUUGAAUAAGCUACUAAAUUUGAACAGGGUCCACUGGAAGGCCUUGCCAUUCUCUGAUGCAUGCAGAAUUUUUGCAUUUAAAUGCCCAGAGCUUAAGAAGCUGCCACUGGAUCUUGAAAGGGCAGGCCAAGGUAAAAUUCUUAUCAAGGGAAAGGAAGAUUGGUGGAAACAACUUCAAUGGGAGGAUCAAGUAACUCAGAAUGCAUUGCUUCCAUUUUUAAAACAACCAGCAAGUGAUUGAAGGGGGCAUCAUCAACGUCAUCAACAUGGAUGGAGAGAUUCAGGAGCAGAUCAGCAGGAUUUAGUACGACCUGUGGUGGUUUCUUUUUUGUGACUUUUUUCCCUUUCAUUUUUUCACUUCCUGUCAUAUUAUCAUUUCUUUGUCUCUGUUUCUAUUGCUGGUGUUGCUGCAUGCUUGCUGUCCUUGACAAAGUUAGCUAGUUUUUUUUUUUUUAAUUAAAUUUUGUAUGUUCGGUCGGGACAGUCACAAAGUACUACUUGUUCUAUAUGGGGGUGAUGUGAAUCAACUUUUCAAUUAUAUAUUCUGUGGUAAUUGCGAAUUCAAUUUCAUUUGUCUCCAGCAAAUUAUGAAGAAAGUGCAGAGUUACAAUAUGGAGAAGUUCACUGGCAAAUACUUUGUAAAAGCUUCGGAGUGAAACAGGAAAUGCACUUGCAGCUAAGGACAAAUUGGUGGCCAGCUAAUGCCUUCAUUUUAUGUACAUUCAUCUUUUUAAUUAUUGAAGAUAAGUGGUUCGUUGCUUUUGUUAAGAUUAUAAGUUAGCGUCGGUGCAGGAUUUGCAGCAACAAAUCUUGACUAGCCACGUGUCAAAAGCACAAAUAAAUCAAGGGAAAGCACAUGACAUGGAUUAGGAUCUAAUAAAAUUUAAAUCCCAAGGAAAAUGACAACUGCAUUAUGAAGUUUCAAUAAGGGAUACUGACUAAUGAUAUUUUUUGGCUUUAUUAAUAAAAAAAGAAUAUUUUAUAACAAAUUAAAACAUAAUAUUAAGCUAAAUGUGAUAAUUAUAUACAUUUUAAAUAAUUUCAAUAAAAAAACAUUUUAAUGUUUUACGAUCUAUCAUACAUAUUUUAUUAAAUUAAUAUGAAUUUUUUUUUAUAAAUAGCAACAUAAUAUUACAACAAAUUUAUAAGGAUUUAAAUGUAAAAUAAUUUUAGUAUAAAUAAUACGUGGGAUAUAUUUUGUAAAUUAUAAAAUUAUUUAACACAAAGUUUUUUAAAAAAUAUUUAAAAUAAAUAAAAAUAAAUUAUUCACAUCUUGAUUUAAAUAUUUAAAAUAUUUUUAUAUAUUAGUCUACAAUUAUUUAUGUUAUAUUUUUAUUUAUUAGAAAUUUUGAAAGUCAAAUGUUUUCACCUCUAAGAGAAAGACACAUAUGCUUUAUAGCUUUAAAAUCGGUCUGUUUUAUAUCUGGAAACAAAUAUAUCAUUAUUGGUAAGGAUUAAAAAAAGGGAUAAAGAAUAUUAAUGAUUAAUGAAAUCUCUAUGGAAAUUGAAUUUAGUAGGAAAAAAUUGAGCUAAAUGAUUUAGACAUUUAGUGGUAUAGUAAUAUUUUAUAUAUAGAAAUGUAAAAGCUGCACCCGAGGUUAAGGGAAAUGUUCAAAACUCUUUUUUACUCAUAAUACCCUUUGUCCUAACUAACUUACAAAUUCGACUCUAAUAUUUUAUAAUAAAUAAAAAUGUAAUCCUAAAAUAAAUAAAAUAAGAUAUAUUUUAAAAUAAUCUCAAUAUUUAAAAUAUACUUUAAUAUUUUAUAGUCUAUCAGACAUAUUUAAUUAUAUUAAAGUAAAUUUUGUAAUAAAUACAAACAUACUAUUAAAAUAGAUAUAUAAAAAAUUUAAAGUAUUUUGGAUAUUAUAUAAAAGAACUUUAAUAUUGUUAAUACGUGAGAUAUAUUUUAUUAAUUAAAAAUUCUAUUUAACCCAAAGAUUUAUUUAAGAUAAAUUAACAAUCAUAUUUGUGAAAUUAUUUCAAAUAUUAAAAAAUAUUUUAAUAUUACUAACUAUUAGAUAGACUAAACUAUUUAUAUUAUUUUCUAUUUAUUAUAAAAUUUCAAAAUUAAUCUUUUUAACUACUAUUCAAAAGAUAUUAUGAUAAAAAUAAUUUUUUUGUGUUUUUAUUAAAAAUUUGGAAUUUGCAUAACUCUUUUUUUAAAUAUUGGGGUAUAGCUGUCUUUUCCCUUUUAUAUAUACAAACCACAGUGGUGAAAAAGCUUGAUUUAAUGUUAUUUAUUUAAACAACACCGAUAUUCACACCACAUUGAGCACCAUAGUUUUUUUUUUUUUUUUGAAAAGAAAGUACACCUUUCAUUGAAUUAAGAGAAAAGAAACAAAACAUCCUCUGGAAAUUCAUCCAGCCAAAUACAAGGGUCUGACUUUUUGAAAGCCAACUUUGCCAAAUCAUGCGCUAAAAAGUUACACAUCCUAAGGACGUGCUGAGCUUUAAAAUUCUGAAAGAUUUUCUUAGCUUCUAUAAUAUCAAAAAUCACCCAAAAGGUGUCUGUCAAAGUGCUUCUCUUGUUAUUGAUUAGCUCUAUCACCCCUUUAGAAUCAGACUCUAAGAUAACUGAAGUUGCCCCUGCCUUGGCAGCUGCCUGCAUUCCCCACAAAACAGCUUUUGCCUCACUCAACUCCACAUCUCCUGAGCUCUUAAAAGUGCUAACAGCUGCAGCAACUGUUUCUCCCUUAUGGUUUUUAACUACUGCUCCCAGCCCAGCAAGAUAAUUCACCCUAUCCAUAGCAUCAUCAACAUUUACCUUAAGCCAUCCUUCUUCGGGUGGACUCCAUUGGCUUUGCUGAACAUUGUUUUGUUCUGCUAAGAAAUCCUCUUCUGACAUUGAGCACCAUAGUUAAGUACAAAACGGUGCGUUUUGUUCACGCAUGUUAGUAAACACCCACGCAACUUACACACAUACGCGCGGCUCACAACACGCGCUCUCCUCGCCCUAAAUCUCACCUGAUUGAAGCCACAAAUUUGGCCACGUUCUCCCACAGCUCUCUCCGUUCUGACCGUUUACUCUUCCUCUAGCCCCAUCGAUUACAUCUCUCAUAGCACCUCAUUCAACCGACGUAAUUGCCAGAAAACAACCUACCUGGUAAUAAAAGUCGAUUCUCUUACAAUUUUGGCCCAAAAAAAAAAAUUGCACAACUGAAAAAUCAAAAUGCCACUCUUUAAAACCAAAAAUCAAUUUUGGGCCCCCUUCAUCACCGCCUUCACUCUAGAUUUUUUCAAUCCACUUUGUCGUCAAAACCGUGGUGUUCUUAAACCAUUAUUAUAUUCACCAUCCCCUUAAUCACAUCCAACCAUCCCCAUUAUUCGUUUGUCAAACACGCUGUUCUCUUCCCAAAUUAAUUAAUUAAUUAAUGACAGACAGGAACAAAAGUACUUUAAAUCUCUGCCAAAUCGUAUUGUUAUUACUUCUUCCGAGUCGAGGCCACGUCGUUCUCGAUGGAAACCAUUGCUUUUUAUUACCACUCUUGAGGAGUUCGAAGCAUUCUCGACGGAGACCCGCGCAAGCUGUGGAAAGAGAGAGAGUCAACGGUGAAAAGAGAGCAUGGUGAGAUGUGUGAGCGACGGGGGGAGAGAGAGAGAGAAAGAAAGCCGACGGAGAGAGCACAUAGAGCUGAGAUGCGUGAGUUGGGUGAAGAUUUGGUGAGCGUUGUGUCAGUUGCCCGUGUGUUGUGUGAGCUCUGUGCCAUGUGAUAUGCGUGCUACUUUGAGAAUUUAUAGAUAGCACAAAACUCAAUCUAUAUCCAAUUCAUACCUAGAUAGAUGCGGAUUUGACUCAAUUUAUAUCCAAUUCGUCAUUUGCGAACUAAAAAUUUUUAAUUCUCUCAAAUUCACAAACUAACUAAAUAAAUAAAAAUUUAAUAUAAAAAUAACUGUACUACCGAUCAAAUUUAAAAUUAAAUAAUAUUUAAAUAAAUUAAUUGUUUAAAUAAAGUUAGAAAAUACAUUCAAAAUUUUAAAAUAUAACACAGUAAAAAGAAAAAAUCUCAUUUGUUUAGACCUAUGUAUGAAAAUUAAUUGUUUAGGAAUCUAUAUUUAUUUAUUUUUAUAUUAUUAUCGGAUAAGAUAUAAUAUGGUGUUAAUGUAACUAUAUUUUAACUUAUUUAUUUAUAAGACCAAUGCUAUAUGUACAAGUUUAAUUUUUUAAUUAAAUAAAUAUUUUUUUUUGCGGAAUUGUGGAUUUUUGCGGAUUUACAAAAGUAAAUCUAUAUCCAAUCCACCGACUAUGGAUUUUCAAAUUUUCAAAAUUUCAAAUUUUCAAAUUUUCAAAAUUUCAAAUUUUCAAAUUUUCAAUCCAAUCCAAUCCACCAAUUCACAAAUUCGGAUUUUUACGGAUUAGAUUUCUACAGAUUAAACGAAUUGAGCAGACCAUAUUUGAUUUUGAACAUUGCUAAUUUGUAUGUUAAGUAUAACAUAAUCAAUUAUUUGGAUAAUCCCUUGUGUUUUAUCUCUAAUUAGAGCAUCAAUCUUCACAAUAUCUACAAAGCUACAAUGGCUACAAAACAAACCUGCUUGCAAAUUGUCAAGGAUACUUAUCCUUUCUCUUGACAAGUCAUUUGGAAAAAUACUGUCCCUUGGCGGCUCCAUGACUUCUCUGCUCCUCCUUUUGGUCUUAAUGUACGGUUGCAUAAUGAUAGUUUAGGCCCUUUAGGGACUACUUUCCCUGGGGUUGUUAAGUCUUAGCUUGUGCUAGGCUCGUUUUUCUUACCAAAAAAAAAGGGAAUACUUCUCCUAUAAGAAAUAAUCUCUAUAUAUAGGGUGGUUGGAUUCACUUGUUUACAUAACAGAUCAAUUAGUUCUCUGUAAAUAGAGAGUUUCUAGUAUAAGAGAAACGGUAGAUCUAUUGAGAGAUUAUGUGUUAUUAAAAUUUUAGUUGCGAAGAAAAGUACUAGAGUGAUUGUAUUAAUUUUUUACAUAGUAGAUUUUUCUAUCGUCAUCUUUAUGGCUGUGAUUUUUCUUCCAUAUAGAAGUUUCUCACGUAAAUUUUUAUGUUGUGUGAUUAGUUUUAUUCUCUAUCUAUUUUUUGUUUAAUAUUUUAUUUGUAAGAUGCUGGAUGGGAUUAAAAUUUCUUAACAAAUAACGGAUUAAAAAUCAUGAAGAAAAAGCUCAAGAGAUCUUCAAGAUUUGAAGUGUGCAAAAGUUCAUAUUACUGCUAGAUGAUAUAUGGGAGCGGGUUGAUUUAGUAAAAAUGGGUGUCCCUCUUCCUAGAUCAGAAAACAGCACAUCCAAAGUGAUAUUUACAAACCCGUUCUGAGGAAGUUUGCGGCUUAAUGGAAGUUCGUAGGAGUUUUAAAGUGGCGUGCUUAUCAAAUAAAAAUGCUUGGGAAUUGUUUCUAUACAAAGUUGGGGAAGUGAAAGAAAACAGAGAUGUACUGUUUGGUUGAAUAGAAAAUUACAGAGAAAAUUCUCAAUACUUGUAUUUGAUAAGAUUCAAUUCUUAAGAGCUUUUACAAAUCAGUACAAGUAUUUAUAUUAUUCCUUACACGUGAGAAUUGCUAGUAACUCACUAACUAACUAACUUUCUUUGAGCUGGAUCACUAACACUUGACUAAUCACACUGAGCUGUUAUUCUUCACUAACAACCUUCUGCUGACGUGGCUUCACCAAGCUACUUGAAUAAUGAGCAGCCUUGACAGCCCCCCUCAAACUCAAGGGACAAGACAUGACGUUGAGUUUGGCCCUAAGAUAGUUAAAAUGGAUGAAUGAGAGUGGCUUGGUCAUGAUGUCAGCUACCUGCUCCUCACUUGGUAUAUAUUGAAUGUUUAGUUCUCCAGCAAGAACUUUGUUUCUAACAUAAUGAAUAUCAAUCUCAAUAUGCUUUGUUCUUGAGUGGAAAACUGGAUUGUGAGCUAACUCUGUUGCACUGAGAUUGUCACACCAAAUAACAGGUUUCUCUAUGCAUUGUAAUUUCAACUCAGAAAACAGUGAUUGCAGCCAGCUUAUCUCGGCACUUGCUGAGGCUAGGGACCUAUACUCACUCUCUGCACUGGACCUAGCAAUAACAGGCUGCUUCUUAGACGACCAAGAUAUCAGAUUAUGACCAAGAUAGAUGCAAUAGGCUCCAAUCGAUUUUCUGUCAUCCAGAUCCCCUGCCCAGUCUGCAUCUGUGAAUCCUGUUAGUUUCAGAUCACCAUCCUUAAUAAUUUUGAGUCCAUAGUUCUGUGUAGCCUUUAGAUAUCUGAGCACUCUUUUGCAAGCCAUAAGGUGCUGCAGUGUUGGUGCAGAAACGUAUUGACUCAGCUUGUGAACACUAAAGGCAAUUUCUGGUCUUGUUAAUACCAAAUAUUGCAUCCCACCAACAAUGCUUCUGUAAUGUGUUACAUCUUCAACAUAACAACCAAGAUUACCUUGAGCUUCCUUCUGUAGCUUCAUUCCUGUACUCAUAGGAGUAUCAAUAUCUUUGCAAUUUAUCAUCUCAACUCUUGACAGCAGAUCCCUUAUGUAUUUCCUUUGAGAUAAGAAAAUACAAUCUUUAUCAUACAGUACUUCAAUGCCUAAGAAAUAAGAGAGAACUCCAAGAUCCUUCAAAGCAAACUUUGUACUGAAUUCUGUAAUGAAUUUUUCCAGCUCAAAGCUAUUUGGUCCUGUUAUUAAAAUGUCAUCAACAUAUAUAAGAACUAGAAUCAUAGAUGACUUAUUUAUUUUCAAGAAUAAGGAGGUAUCUGAGCUGGAAUUUGUGAAUCCCCACUGCAACAAACAGCCUUUCAACUUAUCAUACCAAGCUCUUGGAGCUUGUUUAAGUCCAUAAAGAGACUUGUGAAGCUUGCAUACAAAGUCUGGUUUCUCAAAGCUGAUAAAUCCCUCUGGUUGAUCCAUGAACACUUCCUCUGUUAAGUCUCCAUUAAGAAAGGCAUUAUUCACAUCAACUUGCCUUAUCUUCCACUGAUUCAUCACAGCUAAACUCAAGACUACUCUUACAGUUGCUGGUUUUAUGACAGGACUGAAAGUUUCAAAAUAAUUCACUCCUAUAAUUUGUUGAAAUCCCUUUGCAACUAACCUAGCUUUGUAUUUAGCUACACUUCCAUCAGUGUUGUAUUUAACCCUAUACACUCAUUUGUUUCCAACAACUCUUUGAUCAUUUGUUUUUGGCACUAAGGACCAUGUACCACUCUGCAUCAAAGCUGCAUAUUCUUCUUUCAUGGCUGUAAACCAUUUUGGGUUUUGCAUAGCCUCAUAUACAGAAUCAGGUUAUUUGUGAACAAGGGUUGCUGUAUAAAGCUUUGGUUUGAAGAUACCAGUUUUGCUUCUGGUAGUCAUUGGAUGUGUAUUAGGUUGGACUGGAAAAGAUAUAUCAGGUGUAGGUUGAGCUAAUAAGGAUAUGUCAGGUGCAGGUUGUGGUGAAUUUUGAGGCUCUGUAGAUGGUUCAAUAAAUGUGGUAUGUGUUUGUGAAUAGGAAUGUUGAUUGUCAGUAUGAAAUGGAUUAUCUGAAUGUUGUGAACUGCUGCUGGUAGAAAUUGCAGAUAGAGGAUUGCAUGAGCUAUUUCCAUCUGAUACUGGUGUUGUAGAUAAUAUGGUCAGAUGAAACACUGGUUGGGGUGUAAGGGAUUGACUCGAAUAAGAUGAUGAUUCAUUAGAAUGAAAAACUGAGUCUGUAGAAUAAGGAAAUGUUGACUCAUAAAAAACAACAUGUCUGGCUAUGUACAUCUUGCCUGAUGAAUGCAAGCAUUUGUAACCUUUGUGAACUGGACUGUAGCCAAGGAAAAUGCAUUUGCUUGAGUGAUAAUCAAAUUUGUGUUUGUUGUAAUCCCUUAGAUAAGGAUAACAUGUGCAACCGAAACACUUGAGCAUGCUGUAAUCAGGUUUAAGUUUAAAAAUUGUCUCAUAUGGGGUAAGAAGUUUCAGAGCUGUUGAGGGUAAUCUGUUUAUAUGGUAAACAGCUGUAAGAAAAGCAUCCCACCAAAAUUUAAAUGGUAGCUUAGCUUGUGCUAAUAGGGUUAGUCCUAGCUCAACAAUGUGUCUAUGUUUUCUUUCUACCACCCCAUUUUGGUGAUGUGUAUAAGGACAAGAAUGUCUGAAAAUGAUUCCACAUUGGUUUAAGAAUUGAGUAAAUGAUCUGUAUUCUCCCCCCCAAUCAGAUUGCAGGUUUUUAAUGGGGCUGUCAAAUUGGUUUUCAACCUGCAAUUUGAAUAGUUUGAAUACAUCUAAUGCCUCAGAUUUCAACUUAAGAGGAUAAAUCCAAGUGUAUCGGCUAAAAUCAUCAACAAAACUUAUGUAAUAGACAUAGCUAUCUCUAGAAGGUGUAGGUGAGGGUCCCCAUAGGUCUGUAUGUAUAAGCUCAAGGGGUUUUGUUGUUUUGGUUUCUGUGCUGGGAAAAUGCAGCCUAUGGGAUUUGCCCAUUUGACAUGCUUCACAGAUAUGCUCAAGUGUUUGUUUUAUGUUAUUUCUUGAGAGAUUAACUGAAGUAAUUCCUUUUAGCAAAUGCAUUAGAAUUUGAGAAUUAGGAUGGCCAAAACGUUUGUGAAGAAGAAGAAUUUUAUUAUUCAAUGCAUCACAAGAUGAAAUGUAGCUGGAAAAUUUAUUUAUUGAUGCAUUACAAACUGUGACACAACUGGAAUCAUUAUUCUGAGUGUUUUUAAGAACACUUGAAUCAAAAGAACAUGCAGAUAACAUUGACAAAGGUUGAGUGGAUGAAGGUUGACCCAUGUAAGAACAAGGAAGAGACUCAGAUGGUCUUAGAAGUAGCUUAUACAAUCCUUUCUCAGCAAUUCCUGUCAGAAGCACUUGCCUCUUCAGAGAAUCCUUCACAUAGCAAACAUUAUCAACAAAUUCAAUAGAGAUAUUGUUAUCAGCAGUUAAUUUUGAUAUGCUGAGCAGGUUCUUUGUGAUAUCAGGUACUAAUAACAUGUCAUUCAGUAAGAUAUGUGUUGGUUUAUAUGCAGCAUUUGAUCCUUUAUAAGUAAAACAUGGAUUACCAACAUGAGUUAUAGGCAAACCUUGGCCAUUGCCGAUGACAAGUUGAUUAGAUCCUCUGAAUUCCUCUCUGACAUUCAUGUUGGCCAUACUGUUAGUCAAGUGAUGUGUGGCACCAUUGUCAAGGUGCCAUCCUUCAUCAGCAGGCCCUUCAUAGUUGGUAAGAUAGGCUUCAGGAAUUACUGUGUCUGUUGAUGGAUAAGAGGAGAAGGAUAAAGGAUUGUAGCUUGAGUAGGGUGCAGCAUACUGUUCUUCAGUUGAAGGAGCAGCAUAGGUUAGAGAUGGAUCAAAGUUAGCUGUGUAUGCAGCCUUAGAUUCAAAAGAUCUGCCCCUUCCAAAAUGCCUAGGUAAUGGUUGAGGAUUGUCAUCAUAUCUAUGCCAGCAUUCAUCUGCUGCAUGUCCUGUUUUGUGGCAUAUCUGACAUAUGGUUGGUAAUUCAUCAGCAUGCAUGUUAGCUGAAGGAUGAAAGUUUGGCUUCAUAGGUGGCCUAAAAGGUUGCAUCAUCUGGCCCCUGCCAUAACCCCCAACAUUACCAACACCAGGUGAAAAACCUCUGGGAUGUGGAUUGUGAAACAUGCCUCUUCCAACAUUAAAUCCUCUAGUCAUAGGUCGACCAUAAUUUCCAUUUCCAACAACACCUCUUCUAAAAUUUCCUCUCAUAUAAGGAUGAUUCACAUUCAUUGUGCUAUAGUUUGCAUUAAACACAGUUUUGGCACUUUGAUUUUGUUCAAGUCUAGCUUCAUGAGUCAGUAAUAAUGCAUAAGCAUCAUCAUAGCUCAUCUUAUUAGCUGUGAUUAUGGAAGCUAGAUCUAGAUAACCUGAACCUAAGCCAUUCAAAACUCUCAUUAACAGAUCCUUUUCAGUGAUUACAUCACCAGCACAAGCAAGUUUGUUGGCGAGUAAUUUCAUUUUAGCACAAUAUUCCUCAACAUUCAUUGAAUCUUUUCUUAAGAUAUUCAUUUCAUAUCUGAGUUGCAUAAUCUUAGCCUCAGAUUGAACUCCAAACUGUUUUUCAAUAGAUCUCCACACAUCAAAUGAAGUGUCAUAGCUAAGAACAGAACUAAGAAUACCUUCACUUAUAGUUGAGAGCAGCCAGCCAAGGAGUAUUUGAUCUUGUGCUCUCCAGUUGCUGUAGGCUGGAUUUUCAAUGCUCUCACCAGAUCCUUCGAUCAUUGAAUCAACUAGAUACUGUUCUGGAAUAAUUUGCGGCUCUAGAAUGAAUCUUUCAAGGCGAUUUCCUCUGAUUGAAGUUACCACUUGUUUGCGCCAAAGCAAGAAAUUUGAUCGAUCAAGUUUCACAGUUGCAGCAAAAGUAAAUGAUGUUUGUGUAUGUUGAUUUGAGUUUAUGAUUGUUUGAUUUGAGAUUGUAUUGCUUGAGCUGGCCAUUUGUGGCUCUGAUACCAUGAAAGAAAACAGAGAUGUACUAUUUGGUUGAAUAGAAAAUUACAGAGAAAAUUCUCAAUACUUGUAUUUGAUAAGAUUCAAUUCUUAAGAGCUUUUACAAAUCAGUACAAGUAUUUAUAUUAUUCCUUACACGUGAGAAUUACUAGUAACUCACUAACUAACUAACUAACUUUCUUUGAGCUGGAUCACUAACACUUGACUAAUCACGCUGAGCUGUUAUUCUUCACUAACAACCUUCUGCUGACGUGGCUUCACCAAACUGCUUGAAUAAUGAGCAGCCUUGACAGGAAGAAACUUUGAACAAUCAUCCUGAUAUCCUUCAGAAAGCACAAUAGUUGUUAAGGAGUGUGGUGGUUUGCCACUUGCACAUUUUACCAUCGGUCGAUUUAUGGCAUGCAAGAAGACACAGCCGAAGAAUGGAGAUAUGCUAUUCAAGUGUUCAAUUCGUCCGCUUCCCGUUUCCAGGUCUGGAAGAAUGGAUAUAUACUCUUGUAAAAUUCAGUUAUGAUAGUUUACCCAAUGACACAAUUACACCUUGUCUGUUAUAUUGUAGUUUAUAUCCAGAAGAUUGUUGCAUUUCUAAAGAGAAUUUGGUAGAUUGUUAGAUCAGUGAAGGAUUUUUUAAUGAGAGUGAUUGGUUUGGAGAAAAAAUCAAGGAUACUUCAUUUUGGGCAUUCUUCUUCACGUUUUUUUUUGGAAAAGGGAGGAGAUUGUGAAAUGAAAAAUGCAUGCAUGACGUUAUUCGUGAUAUGGCUUUGUGGAUCGCAUGCGACUAUGAGAAGGAGAAGGAGAACUUUUUGGUUUACGCUGGUGUUGGUUUAACUAAGGUACCGGAUAUUAGAGAUUGGGAAAAGGUAAGGAGAUUGUCAUUGAUGAAAAAUAAAAUUGAGAAUCUAUCCGAGGCUCAUACAUGCCCUCAUCUCCUCACUUUCUUUCUUGACGAUAAUGAGUUUCGGAAGAUCCCCGGUGAUUUCUUCCAGUUUAUGCCUUCUCUCACUGUUUUAAACUUGUCAUGUAUUAAACUAAAGUCAGUUCCUUUAGGGACUUCAAGGUUGGUUCCACUACAACAACUCGAUCAUUCAUAUUCAAGCAUAAAAGAGUUGCAAGAAGAGUUAAAUGCCCUGAUUAAAGUUAAAUGCUUGAAUAUAGAUCAUGUAGAGGAGCUAAUUACAGUUCCACAACAACGGAUAUUUAAUUUUUAAGGUUAUAUGUGUUGAGAAUGUUCGAUACUAUUAGUUUAAAUUUUCAAGAAGCAUUAAAUAAAGACAGCAUUUUAUUUGGUGGGGAGGAAGUUUAAGCAGAGGAGUUGCUCGGUUUGGAAUAUUUGGAGGUAUUGAGCUUCACUUGAGAGGUGUUCGUGCUCUCCAAUUUAUUUUGAGCUCACAUAAGCUACGAAGUUGUACUCAAGCGCUGUUCCUCCAAUCCUUCAAUAAUUCGAUAUGGCUUGAUAUUUCACUUUUGGCAGAGUUAAAAGCACCACUGCAGAUUUAAGUAUUUUUGGCUGUAGAAAAUUGGAGGACUUGAAGAUGGAAUAUACAGGGGGAGCGAAAAACAAGCGGCAACCUUGUGUUUUCUAAGGCCUACAUACAGUUCACAUAGAGGUUUGUUCUAAAUUGAAGGACUUAACAUUCCUUGUUUCUGCUCCAAAUCUCAAGAACUUGGAAAUACAAAAUUGCCCUGCUGUGGAAGCAAUCAUCAGUGUGGGAGAAUUUGCGGAAGCUCUAGAGGUGGUGGAAAAUCUAAACCCAUUUGCAAAACUCCAGUAUCUUGGACUAGAAAAUCUGCCAAAUGUGGAGAGCAUCUAUUGCAAGCCUCUGCCCUUUCCAUGUUUGAAAAGAAAUGACUGUGGAUAGUUGCGGUUGUCUUAAAAAGCUUCCACUCUACUCCAACAGUGUAAAAGAGUGUACAAUUGUUAUUUCAUCAUUCGGAGAGUUAAUGGUGCAAUGAGAUUUGGCAGUUAACUCUCGUGGGAAGAGCUUGAAUGGGAAGACGAAGCCACUCGAAUUGCUUUUCAUUCAUGUUUCAAAUCUCUGAUUGGAUUGGAGAUUGCAUUUCGCCUCAGGUUCGUACUUUUCUUGAAUUUUUCUUGUUAACUUCAUUUGUUCAUUUAUCCAUUUUUUUUUAAAGGAAUCAGAAGGGUUAAUAAUUUUGGUUGUGUUAGGUCGACUUCUAAUCACGAGGCAGAAGGAGUUGAGAUGAAGUUUAAUUUUGGUGGAGAAAUUGUUUGAUUUAAAAAAUUUAAAUGAGUUGACCAUCAUUCUUUAGCAUAUUUGUAUGAACAGGAGUGUGUAAAUAUGCAAACUGUCCAGCUGUAUGUGUAUAGCGUAAUAAUUUUGAGGAGUUAAAACAUUGAAGAAUAUUGAUGUUUCCAUUGUCAAACCAAAUAUACUUAAUUACUUGAGGAUAAUGAUUACUGCUAAUACAUUUGCUAAUACAUUUGCAAAGAAAAAAACAUGCCUAUUGAAAAACUCAUCUUAUUAGCAACAGCAUUAUAAGUAGUAUCCAAUCAUAGUUUCAUGCAAGAUUUUGAGAUUUUUCAAAUGCUGAUUCCGGGAAUGGAGAUUAAUAGAUAAUGGAGACAGGUUGACUGCAAUGGCUAAUUGCAAGAGGGAAUUUUAGUCGUAAAAACAGACCAACUAGCAAAGCAAAUUCCAAAUCUUGGAAUGAAGUGGCAAAAAAACGAAACAAACAAAUGGCAAGAGGAAGUGACUAUACAAUAAUAACAUCGACUUGCAAUUCAACAUUUAUACAGUUUUACUCACCAAGAAAAGAGAAAAUUACAAUAGCAAUUUGGCUACUAGAAGAUGUUCAUUCAUGCUUAUGCCUGUCAUAUGGAUUUGAAACAAGGAGUAAAAGCAUUUAGAGUGGCUUCAUCCUUCCACUGCAGCUCAUUCCACCAGUGUUGCUCUCCCCUAAUAACAAGUUUGCGUUCCUUGGCGCUGUUGUAAUCGAGUGGAAGCUUCUUGAGGUUCGGGCAUCCAGAUACAAACAAUUCUAAGAGAUUUGGAAAGUGCACUUAAAUUCUUAUGAAUUGCUUAAGUAUGCAAGCAGCAGAGCAGAAAACAAACAACCUUUUCAUAUAUUAUAAUAACAUGAAUAAUCAGAUAUACACAUCCUUCACAUAUUUAUACUAAACGUGAAAAAUGGUAGCUUGCUCAAAGGGAAAACAGAAAUGAAUAAAACAAAAGAUUACAGCUGCACUAGCCAAUCAUUGGAAACAUUCUAGAAACUCCAGCUUGCAGUAUUCACGUGUAAAUAUUCUCCUGCAUAACAGUUUUGCCAGCUCAUUGAAUACACCUCAACUUCUUCAUCAGCUGGUUGCUGGAUAUGGCUGCUCAGGUGGCAUGCCAGCAUGGCCUUUGGGUCAAUUGUUGACUCAUCUUCAUAAUCUGAAUUCUCAACACCCUCUCUCAAACUUAAGGUCUUGUCGAAGACAUUAAGUUUGCUUCUAAAUUGACUGAACUUGUAAUAAGGCAAUGGCUUGGUUAAUAUGUCUGCAACUUGAUCUCUGCUGGCUACAAAACUGAUUUCCAGCUCUCCUUGAGUGACUUUGUCUCUAAUGAAAUGAAGGUCUAUCUCAAAAUGCUUUGUCUUUGAGUGAUACACUGGAUUUGUGGCUAUUGCUGCUGCACUUGUGCUAUCACUUAAGAUCAUUGGAACUCUUUGCAUCUUGAUUUCCAAUUCACCAAACAGAGAAUUUAUCCAAGUGAUUUCAGUAGUACACAAAGCUAUGGCCCUGUACUCGGACUCAGCUGUCGAUCUUGCUACCAUGCCUUGCUUUAUUGAGCUCCAAGCUACUAAAUUGUCUCCCAAAAACACACAAUAUCCACUUACUGAUCUUCUGUCAUCUGGAUCACUAGCCCAGUCAGCAUCAAUAUAGGCUAUCAAAUCUAGAUGUUCUGACUUCUGGAACUUUAAGCACAUGUUUGCAGUGCUCUUUAGGUACCUCAACACUCGUUUGCAAGCUGUCCAGUGAGAUUGUCUUGGGUCAGACAGGUAUUGGCUAAGCUUGUUCACAGAAUAUGCAAGCUCUGGUCUUGUUAGAACAGCAUAAUGUAGACUUCCUACAACACUCCUAUAAAAUGAAGGAUUGUCAAGUUUGGUGCCUUCACCCUUCUUUAGUUUCUCUGCUGUGCUGAAAGGUGACUCUAUUCCCUUGCAAUUCUCCAUCUCUGUUUUAGCUAAUAGGUCUUGAACAUAUUUAGCUUGAGAGAGCAAAAUGGAGUUCUGAUUUCUUAUAACAUGUAUCCCAAGGAAGUAGCUUAAAUUUCCAAGAUCUUUCCACUUAACUUUCCUAUCACUUCCUCAAUACCCUUGCUGUUAUUUCCAGUCACAAUUAUGUCAUCUACAUACACAAGCACAAUGAUUAUUUCAGCACUGCUUCUUUUGAAGAAUAGAGAAAUAUCACACUUGGAGUUGUUGAAUCCCCAAGAGCACAGAGCAUUCUUUAAUUUGUCAAACCAUGCUCUGGGUGCUUGUCUCAGUCCAUAAAGAGCUUUCUUGAGCUUGCAUAUGUGGUUUGGUCUUCUCCUAUCCUCAAAUCCCUCAGGUUGUGGCAUGUACACUGUCUCUGUCAAAUCUCCAUUCAGAAAUGCAUUAUUUAUGUCAACCUGCCUCAACAGCCAAUCAUUACUUACAGCCAAAGUUAAAAUGAUUCUGAUUGUUGCAGCUUUGACCACAGGGCUGAAAGUCUCAUUAAAGUCAAGUCCUGGUGUCUGCAGAAACCCCUUCAAGACAAGUCUAGCUUUGUAUCUAUUUAUGGUGCCAUCUGGAUUUUCCUUUACUUUGUACACCCAUUUGUUGCCAAUGAGUUUGUAGUUCUGGUCAUGUGGAAUUAAGGUCCAGGUUUGGUUUUUGACAAGAGCAUUAUAUUCAUCCUCCAUUGCUCUUCUCCAUUUAGGAUCUUUCAGUGCCACAGUGGAGUCAGGGGGUAAGGAAGUUUGAGAUUGAGUGGAUAUUUGAUAAACCUUUGGCUUGCAAAUCCCUGCUUUUGACCUUGUGAUCAUGGGAUGUAAGGAGGCUUGAGUGUUUGGUUAUGUUAUGAGAGGCAAGGUGCAAUUUUCUACUGAGGUGUUUGGUGAGAGUUCAACAGGUGAGUGGUUGUCUGAUAUAGAGUUGAAGCUCAAAUUCUAACAAGCUCCAUCUUAACUAAAACUUGGGAGCUGUUCUGAGUUUCCAGCAGUGGCCUGAGAUUAACUAUGAGCUGCAUUUUGCUGUGUUGACUCAGGGGGAACAGUAGUGGAGAAAGAUACAACUUGAAAUUUUUCUAGAACUGUGGGGGAAUCAUUUUGGUCAGUGAGCCUUUGCUUGCAGAAAUUUGAGUCAUUUUGAAAAGGGAAUGAAUGAUCAUUAAAUUGACACUGGCUGAAAUGUAGAUCCUCCCAGAAUGAUGCAUGCAAAUGUAACCUUUGUGACUGAUGCUAAUGCCUAGUAGUGUGCACUUGAAAGUGUGAAAAUCAAACUUAUGCUUGUUGUAGGGUCUUAAGUAUGGAUAGCAUUCACAACCGAAAACUUUAAUUUGGGAAUAAUCUGGUUUGGUGAGAUAUAACAGCUCAAAUGGAGUUUUAUUUUCAAGAAUAGGUGAGGUUAAUCUGUUUAUGAUGUAGGUGGCAUAGCUGAAAGCUUCUUGCCAAUAUCUCAAAGGCAUUUUUGCUUGGGCUAGUAAUGUUAGGCCAGUUUCCACAAUGUGUCUGUGCUUUCUCUCCACCUUUCCAUUUUGUUCAUGUAAAUAAGGGCAUGAGUGUCUUAAGGCUAUUCCUUCUUUCUUGAGAAAGGGUUCGAAAGUUUUAAACUCCCCACCCAUGUCUGUUUGUAAAGCCUUGAUUCUUAAAUUUAGCUGAUUUUCUACUUGGUUUUUAAACACAAUGAAUGUGUCAAGGGCCUGUGAUUUUGUUGUUAAGGGAAACAACCAUGUGUAUCUUGUCUUGUCAUCCACAAAUGAUAUGUAAUAUCUGUGUCCAUGGGUAGAUGGAAUAGGUGCUGGUCCCCAGAGAUCACUAUGUAUUUGUUCUAAGGCUGUGCUGGUCUUGGUUUCAAUGCUUUUAAAGUUUAGUUUUGAUUGCUUUCCAUACUGACAAGCAUUACAGAAUGAGGGAAAUAUAUUUUUAUUUAAGUUGAGCUGAUUACAAGAUAAUAGAGUAUUUUUCAGAACUGACUCAUUUGGAUGCCUCAGCCUAUGGUGCCAGAGAUCUAUUUCAUUUGUUCUAAGAUCCCUACUGCUUGUAUCAGCUCUACUGGACUCGACAACACUGGCACCAACACUGGCACCUAAAGACUCAUUACUACUGAAAUUGAAACAUGCCAUUGACAUUGGAUUGCUAAUGCAACUUAUUGACUUGGGUAUUGGAAAUGAAGAUAACUCAGCAGCAUAAGUAACCUUGUUGCCACUCAAAUGAGUUGGCAUGCAUAGCAGCUCAUAUAGUCCAUCUCUAGCCACUCCUUUCACCAGAAUUCUCCCUUGGCUCUUGUCCUUGAUGAAGCAAACAGAUUUUUGAAACUCAACAUCAAUAUCAUUAUCAUGAAGCAAUUUGGAAACACUAAUGAGAUUUUUGGUAAUAUCAGGUACAAACAAAAUAUGAUUUAAUUUGAUGUGUUUGUGUGGACUGUAAGUGGGCAAUAUAGAAUAACCAAUGUGAGAGAUAUGAAGUUUGUUACCAUUACCAACAGUGAGCUUGUCAUUACCUUGGUACUCUGAGUUCAGGUUCAUGUUUCCAAUAGCAUUGGUCACAUGAUUUGUGGCACCACUGUCAAGGUACCAGGCAUUGCUGUUUUGUCCUUCUGUUGUGGCCAUGUAGGCUCCUCUCCUCCUAUUUAGCUGUGGCACAUAAUUUUUCUUAAACCUAUGCCAGCAUUCAACAGCUGUGUGCCCCAUUUUGAAGCAGAUUUGGCAUGGACCCUUUGAUUCAGAACCUUCACCUUCUGCAGCAGCUUUGCCUUUGCCUUUGUCUUGAAUAUUUUGAUUUCCCUGACCAUGACCACCAUUGCCACCAUUUCCAGUGCCACCACCAGGAUUUCUGAAGACUAUCCCAGGUUGUUGCUGACUGCCAAAUCUUUCACCAUUGCCCCAGUUCCUCCUGCCAUUUCUCAUCUGUGUGAAGUUAGCCUCAAGAAUCCCUGGGCUGAGAUUUUGCUCAGUCCUGGUUUCUUGGCUGAGGAGCAUGCUGUAGACCUCUGACAAUGAAGGAGUUUCUGGCAUAGAGUUAAUGUUAGUGACAACAGAGUCAUAUUCAGAUCAUACUCCAGCUAAGACACACAUAAUAAAGUCCUCAUCACUCAUGUUAUUUCCAGCUGCUCUGAGUGUAUUUAGGAUAGUUUUCAUCAUGGAGUAAUAAUCAUGGAUUGUAAGAGAGCCCUUUUUAGUGGUUUGAAUCUGUGUCCUCAAAUAUAGGAUUCUAGCUCUUGUUCUUGCACCAUACUGAUUGGUAAGAGUUGUCCAAACUUCAUGUGAAGUAGAACAAUCCACCACAGUGCCGAGGACACCCUCACUGAGAGAUGAGAGCAACCAGCUCAAAAGAAUGUGGUCCUGUUUCUUCCAGAUUUGAUAUUCUGGAUUUUGGUGGGUAACGGUAGCUUGGUUAGGUCCAGGACUGGUGAAAUAUCUGGGGGGACAGGUAUAGCUUCCAUUUAUGAAGCCUUCAAGCUCAUUUGCUCGUAUGCUGGAGACCACUUGUGAUCUCCAGAGCAUGAAAUUGUUCUGUGUUAACUUGAUGGGAGUGGUGAACACAUAUGUGUUGCUGGUGAUAUGUUGGGUAGGAGAUGGGUUCAUUAUGGUCACAUUUCUUGUGUUAUUAUCUGGAUUCUGAUUGUCGAUAUUUUCAGGUUGGUUUUGAUUCAAAUCAUUUGGUUGAUCAUCUGGAUUUUCCAGAGUUUGAUUCAUGUUUGUUUGUGAAUUUCUGCUGCUUUCCAUAGCUCAAAAGUUGCUCUGAUACCAACUUAAAUUCUUAUGAAUUGCUUAAGUAUGCAAGCAGAAGAGCAGAAAAAAAAUAACCUUUUCAUAUAUUAUAAUAACAUGAAUAAUCAGAUAUACACAUCCUUCACAUAUUUAUACUAAACGUGAAAAAUGGUAGCUUGCUCAAAGGGAAAACAGAAAUGAAUAAAACAAAAGAUUACAGCUGCACUAGCCAAUCAUUGGAAACAUUCUAGAAACUCCAGCUUGCAGUAUUCACGUGUAAAUAUUCUCCUGCAUAACAGUUUUGCCAGCUCAUUGAAUACACCUCAACUUCUUCAUCAGCUGGCUGCUGGAUAUGGCUGCUCAGGUGGCAUGCCAACAUGGCCUUGGGGUCAAUUGUUGACUCAUCUUCAUAAUCUGAAUUCUCAACAAUGCAUUCAAACAGAUCUUCUUCAAAUUUCUUAGAACUUGCAACCGAAGAUAUUGGAGUUUCGCAAAAGGUUUUAGCCCUGUAACUUCUUCCACUUUCCAAACACUGAUUAUUUCUUCCAUCUCAUAACAACGUUCUACAUGGACCAUCUUCAGAUUUGGGGCAAAAACAAGCCAUGUCAUCUCCCUCAAUUUACUGCAAUAGUCUAUGGUAACACUUUGAAGGCUGUUGAAACCAUAAGUUCUCUUGUUGUUUGAACUUCUGCAUAGUCAACCUUUAGCUCUUCCAAACUUGUACAAUACACAAAAUCUAGUUUGUCAAGAUACUUGAGAUCUGCUAUGGACAAAAUAUUCCAUGACCUUGAAUCCUCACAGCGUCGAAGCUCUAAAGCAUAUUUACAACUCUUGUACUGUUGGCAGCUCAAAAGUCUUCGUAGAGCAUAAAAACUUCUUAACGUGACGCUUAAUACAUUUAAAUGUUCCAAAGUAAUCAACUCCUCUACCAAAAUUUCACUACCACCAAAUAGAACGCUAUCUUCUGGUACUGUAUUAGCAGAGCCACAAUCUAGCAUCCUCAACACCUUUAACCCAGAAAAAUUACAAAGCAGUUGCCGUGGAAUCGUAUGGAGAUAACGCAUGUACUCCAAGUUCAAACACUUUAGAUUUUUCAAGGCUUUUAAUUCAUGUGGUAACUCUUUGAUGAAAGUUUCUGAAAGAUUAAGAUAUUGUAGUGAAACCAAUUUUGAAAUUCCUGAAGGCAAUUGACUCAAGGAGCGAUUCUUUGAUAGGUUUAAAACUUUAAGAGAAGGCAUAAAAUCGAAGAAAUCACUAGGGAUAGUAUCUAACAUAUUAAUGCCGAGGAACAAAGUUAUAAGAUGAGGGCAUAUUGGAGUUAUUGGUAAAAUCACAAUUUUAUUUCUCAUCAACGAUAUCCUUCUCUUAUCUUCCCAUUGUUUAACCUCGGGUGGUUCAGUUAAUUCAAUACCGGCAGAAACCAAAAAGUUUUCAUUCUCCACUUCACAGGCUAUCCACAAGGUCAUAUCACGAAUCACAUCAUGCAAUUUUACAUAAUCUGAUCCUGCUUCUUCCAAUAGGCAUGCAUGAACAAGAACACCAAUAAUGUAGUAUCCUUGGUUAUGUACUCCAUUAAUUCCUUCAUAUUCCUUCAGAAAACCCUCACCAAUCCAACACCCUAUCAAUUCAAUUUUGCUAAUUUGAUAAUCCUCAGGAAAUAAACUACAGUAUAACAGACAAGAUCUAAGGACGUCACUAGACAAACUAUCAUAACUGAAUUUUAAAAGACGAAACACCUCUUUCUCCAUACCUGGAAAUUCAUAAGCUGAUCUCCUUAACAUCUGAAUUGCAUAGCUCCAUUCUUCGGGUGUCUUCUUGCUGCUCAUGGCACGACCGGUGGUAAUAAGUGCAAGUGGCAAACCACUACACUCCUUUGCCACAGUUUUGGCUAACUCCGGAAUAUCGGGAUGACUUUCAAGAGUCUCUUCUCCGACCUUCUUUAGGAACAAUUCCCAAGCAUCUUGAUCUGCCAAACACUCCACCUUGAACUUUUUUUGAGCUUCCAUGAGGCCACAGACGUCCACAAGACGAGUCGUAAAUGUUGAAAGUCAUGGCUGGCGCCGGCCAUCUAGAUGGCCGGUGCCAACCAUUCAACAUUCAACACGGCCCGCCAUUAUUGGUGGUGCCGUGUUGAAUGACUCCAUAAAAAAAAAAAAAAAAAAAAAGAGCCAAAAUUUUGGCUAUAUAAAGAGGGCUUCCCACCCUCAUUUAUAAUCCAAUCUUGAGAGAGCAAUUUAGGGAGUUGAGAGAGAGUUUAAGAGCUUGCAUUUAUAAGCUCUUAUUUUAGUGAUUUGAGAGUUUGGGUGUAUUGGGGUUUUGGGUAGUGAGCUAAAAUACUACAAUACUUGUAACUCCUUUUCACUAGUAAAAUAUUUCCUUCUGUCUUUGCCCAUGGACGUAGGCUAAAAGCCGAACCACGUAAUUUCUGGUGUCCUCUAUUGUGCUUGUUCUUUAUUUUAUUUCCAAUUUCAUUUUAGCUGCGGUCCUGCUUCACCCACCAAUUUCCUAACAGUGGUAUCAGAGCUAUUGGUUGUAUUUUUGGAGUCGGGAACUGUUCACGUAAGGGGUACUAUUCACGUAUACGACACUAUUCACGUAUACUGUACUGUUCACGUAUACGGGUUUGUUCACAUAUACGGUACUGUUCACGUAUACGAUACUAUUCACGUAUACGGUACUAUUCACGUGAAACGGGGAAGCGAUCCAAGAAUUUUCCGGUGCAAAGCAGGGAAUAGUAGUGUGAGAAAAGCAACUGUGGUUUUGUACAUGUCUAGGAAAGUUCUGUCACAAAGGCGAUAAGAGCUUAAGGAGUCUGGGUUUUAAGUGGGACCAUUGUGACCCCUCCAGUCUUUCCUGGGAACUUUCCUGGUGUGCAUUCUCACACAUACUCACAACUAUUCAAGGUGGUAUACUAGCUUGUGUGCAGUAUUUAUCAACAAAAUGGCGGCAAAGUAUGAAAUUGAGAAGUUGAACGGAAAUAAUUUUUCGUUGUGGAAAAUGAAGAUGAAAGCUGUAUUGAGGAAAAAUAAUUGUUUGGCAGCAAUUGGAGAAAGGCCCAUGGAGAUAACUGAUGACAAGUGGAACGAGGUAGACGGUAACGCCAUUUCUGAUCUACACUUGGCACUUGCGGAUGGUGUAUUAUCUAGUGUGGCAGAGAAAAAUACGGCGAAGGAAAUAUGGGAUACUCUCACAAAAUUGUACGAGGCCAAGUCACUACACAACAAAAUCUUCUUGAAGAGAAAACUAUAUACUCUUCGAAUGGCGGAAUCUACAAUGGUGACCGACCACAUCAACACUUUGAAGACUCUAUUUUCACAACUCACAACGUUGGGUCAUAAUAUAGAGGAGAAUGAACGUGCAGAGCUUCUACUUCAAAGUCUACCAGAUUCGUAUGAUCAACUCAUCAUCAACCUGAUGAACAACAAUCCAGUGGAAAGUCUAGUUUUCGACAAUGUUGCAGCCUCCGUAUUAAAUGAGGAGAGCAGACGGAAAAAUAAGGAAAACAGACAAGCAAGUUCGCAGCAAGCAGAGGCGCUAUCGGUGACGAGAGGGAGAUCAACGGAACGUGGCCCCAGUGGGAGUCAAAGUUAUGGUAGAUCAAAAUCCAGAAGUAAGAAAAAUGUUAAAUGCUACAACUGUGGCAAGAAAGGGCACGUCAAGAAAGAGUGUUGGAGUAACCAGAAGAGAAGAGAGGGUAAAGAACCUGAGUCAUCAAAUGCUCAGGGGUGUGUAGCAAGUACCUCGGAUGAUGGCGAAAUUCUCUACAGUGAGGCAACAACUGUUUCAGAAGGCAGAAAACGACUUUCUGAUGUCUGGCUUAUAGACUCAGGAGCUACCUGGCACAUGACCUCUAGGAGAGAAUGGUUCUACACAUAUGAACCUAUCUCAGGAGGAUCUGUAUAUAUGGGUAACGAUCAUGCCUUGGAGAUCGCUGGUAUUGGUACUAUCAAAAUAAAAAUGUUUGAUGGUACAAUUCGCACAAUUGGGGAGGUACGACAUGUCAACGGCCUAAAGAAAAAUCUAUUGUCUUUAGGACAAAUGGAUAGUCAUGGGUACAAAACUCAUGUGGAGAAUGGAAUUAUGAAGAUCGUUAAAGGCGCGCUUGUAUUAAUGAAGGCAGAAAAGAUCAGUGCUAAUCUAUUCAUGCUUAAAGGAGAAACACUACAGGAGGCUGAUGCGUGUGUCGCGUCAAAUGGAGAAGAAUCAACGAUGAUGUGGCAUCUCAAACUCGGCCACAUGUCAGAACAAGGCUUGAAGAUUCUCUCUGAGCGAAAAUUGCUUCCGGGGCUCAAAUCAGUAAGUUUACCAUUUUGCGAGCAUUGUGUUAUAAGUAAGCAGUAUAGAUUAAAAUUCAGUAGAUCUAUUGCUAGAAGUAAAUGCAUUCUAGACUUGAUUCAUUCUGAUGUUUGGGAAUCACCGGAUAUAUCCAUGGGAGGUGCAAAGUACAUGGUGACUUUCAUUGAUGAUUAUUCCAGAAGAUGUUGGGUGUAUCCAAUUAAGAAAAAGUCAGAUGUAUUUCCUGUGUUUAAAGAAUACAAAGCGCGGGUGGAACUUGAAUCUGGUAAAAAGAUCAAGUGCUUAAGGACAGAUAAUGGUGGAGAAUAUACAUACGACGAGUUUCUUGCUUUCUGUAAGCAAGAAGGUAUUCAGAGGCAAUUCACGGUGGCAUACACUCCUCAACAAAACGGAGUAGCAGAGCGGAUGAACAGAACUCUUACAGAAAGAAUAAGAGCUAUGUUGAGGACUGCUGGUUUACCCAAUUCAUUCUGGGCAGAAGCAGCCAAAACCGCCUGUUAUAUAGUAAAUCGGUCGCCAUCUACAGCUAUUGGGUUGAAGACAGCGAUGGAGAUGUGGACUGGAAAGCCAGCUGAUUAUUCCUACCUACAUGCAUUUGGAUGUCCUGUGUACGUGAUGUACAAUGCCCAAGAAAGAACAAAGCUGGAUGCAAAAUCUAGAAGAUGUAUCUUCUUGGGGUAUGCUGAUGGAGUAAAGGGGUAUCGUCUGUGGGACCCCACUGCCCAUAAGAUCGUCAUCAGCAGAGAUGUUAUCUUUGUAGAAGAUCAACUACAAAGAAAAGAUGGAGAUGAUGGCACUGUAAAAGAAAAGUCAGAGACUGUACCAGUAUAUGUCGAAAAUAAUCUAGAAGAUUCAGAUUCUUCUGAAGCAGCACCAGAGCACGAGGAACAAGAACCAGUCGAGUCUGAGGCUCCAGAAGUUCGUCGGUCAACUCGUGAGAGACGACCACCGGCGUGGCACUCGGAGUAUGUCACAGAGAUCAACGUUGCAUACUGUCUUCUAACAGAGGAUGGAGAGCCUUCAACUUUCCAUGAAGCUUUAAACAACUUAGAUGUUGCUUUGUGGAUGACAGCAAUGCAGGAAGAAAUUGAAGCUCUACACAAGAACAAGACAUGGGAACUUGUACCACUACCACACGGAAGAAAAGCCAUUGGAAACAAAUGGGUCUACAAGAUCAAACGUGAUGGCAAUGACCAAGUGGACCGGUAUCGUGCAAGAUUGGUGGUGAAAGGAUAUGCUCAGAAAGAAGGUAUUGACUUCAACGAGAUAUUUUCUCCGGUGGUUCGACUCACAACAGUCAGAAUAGUCUUGGAGAUGUGUGCUACAUUUGAUCUACAUCUUGAGCAGUUAGAUGUUAAAACUGCAUUUCUUCAUGGAGAACUUGAAGAAGAAAUAUAUAUGCUCCAACCAGAAGGUUUUGCAGAAACAGGAAAGGAGAACUUGGUUUGCAGGUUGAACAAAUCUCUAUACGGUCUCAAACAGGCGCCGAGGUGUUGGUAUAAGAGAUUUGAUUCCUUCAUCAUGAGCCUUGGAUACAACAGACUCAGUUCAGACCAUUGUGCAUAUUACAAGAGGUUUGAAGAUAAUGAUUUCAUCAUUUUACUGUUGUACGUGGAUGACAUGUUGGUAGCAGGCCCCAACAAAGAUCAAGUCCAAGAAUUGAAGGCACAAUUGGCUAAGGAGUUUGAAAUGAAGGACUUGGGACCAGCAAACAAGAUUCUAGGGAUGCAAAUUCACCGAGACAAAAAUAACAGGAAGAUUUGGCUUUCACAGAAGAAUUACUUGAAGAAAAUCUUGCGGCGCUUCAACAUGUAAGAUUGUAAGUCAAUUUCUACCCCACUUCCUGUUAAUUUCAAAUUAUCCUCAAGUAUGUGUCCUAGCAAUGAAGUGGAGAGGAAGGAGAUGUCUCGAGUACCGUAUGCAUCAGCAGUGGGAAGUUUAAUGUUCGCUAUGAUAUGUACUAGACCAGACAUUGCACAAGCAGUGGGAGCAGUCAGUCGAUACAUGGCGAAUCCUGGUGGAGAGCAUUGGAUAGCUGUAAAGAGGAUUCUGAGAUACAUCAGAGGAACCUCAGAUGUUGCAUUAUGUUACGGAGGAUCAGAGUUUACUAUCAGGGGCUAUGUGGAUUCAGAUUUUGCAGGAGAUCUUGAUAAAAGAAAAUCCACUACUGGUUAUGUGUUUACACUUGCAGGAGCAGCUGUAAGCUGGGUUUCGAAACUGCAGAUCGUUGUGGCUUUANNNNNNNNNNNNNNNNNNNNNNNNNNNNNNNNNNNNNNNNNNNNNNNNNNNNNNNNNNNNNNNNNNNNNNNNNNNNNNNNNNNNNNNNNNNNNNNNNNNNAUAUUCUUGAUUAAUCCAUUUUCUGAAAUUUUUUAUUUUGUAUGGUCAAUUAUACCUUCAUACUAAAAAUUUCUGAUGUUAUGGGGUUGUUGGAUGUGUUUUGGAUAUUUGCAGCUAAGUUUGAGUUUAUAUCUCAACUUAAAAUUUGUAGUUUUCACUUGAAAAAAUUCAGUUAAAAAUUGAUUGGUAGAAUUGUGAAGAAGUUUAAAUUUUUAGUUCAACCCGAUUGCAUAUUUAAGAACAUCUCAAAUGAAUUGCUUACUGCUAUCAUCAUCAUAAUUGUCAGAGAUGGUUAAUUGAUAGACUAUGUGCCUGGGUCGAGCACUGGAAGCCUGCAAUGCAGACUGAUUGAUUUAUCAGUUUAACGUGUGCCAGGAAUGAAGAACUGGAAUAUCACCGUCAAGCAAGCACCCUGUGGAGCAAUACCAAAGAAUGCACAAUCCGGCUUUGCAAGGUGACACUGGAGGCUUUUUGAAAAGUGCUUCACGCUCACUUGCACAGAUUGAGCAUCCCCUCUGGAUAUUGCCCUCUCUGAUCGAGUCUGAGCACUCAAAUUUUGGUCCUCAGAGGGAGCUACAGUUUUCUCUCCAAUAACCAACAAUUUUCUAAACUCAGCACCUAGUGUGAUCAGAGUUGUUGAUAUUUAUAAAUGGAGAUCCCCAUAUUUGCAAGUGGAGACAUUUAACAAUUCACCAACAUGCUUCAUCCGGUGUACAAAAUUCUGCAGCUGAUUCAAAUCCGGAACCUGAACCAGAGUCGGAGGUAUAUCUUGAGCCAUAUCUAAAGUAGUUUGAAGUUCAAGACCUUGAGCCCUUGACAAUGGUUUUGAAAUUGGAACAUCUUGGAUUACUGCAGACUUGUACCCCUUGGUUUCAAAGGUAAGGAAAGGCAUUGCUUGAGUACAAUUUGGAGGCAGCUUCUUCACCAAUUUUAUUUGGAGGCGAUUGGCAGCGGAUCCAGCAGCACCAAUUUCAGAGCAAAUACUGACACUACUUCGAACAGCACACUGAAGAAGUGAUAUGUCUACGGCAAAGGCAAUGCAGUCCUCAUUUUGGCUUGAGAUGCAGUAAUCAUCGAAGAGAGUUUCCUUGUGAAACUGGGCAACACAUUGAAUCCCUUCGCCACUGAGAAGGUUGUGGAGGAAGUAAGCUUUCUCUCUAGUGAGGCAGAGGUGGCAUACCUUCCCCAUUUUGUCGAGGGCAGGUAGGAAUCUUUUUUCUAAGAGAUUUACUUCAUUCUCUGUGAGAAAUGCUUUGAACUUCAUCCCUCUGUCUCUAUCCUCACUUAUCAGGAAAUAAGUUGAAAGCACUACGAAGAGAGAGAGAGAGAGAGAGAGAGAAUUAAGAUAUAUAGACAAGAAAAAUAUUAGACGUUGAUCUUACAAACUAAUACUUCAAGCAGUAUCCUGGAAAGCUAAAAACUGCAAGAUGGCUUGAAAUUUGAAAAGAGCACGUGCUUUUCCUCCUUAACUUGAGAAAAUGUUUAAUAUAGUGCACCUUAUGGAAGCAUUUAAGCAAUUAGAACUUUGCACAAAAACAUCAAGAAGACUAAACAAGUCAGAUGCAGUGUAUUUGUCCAAGCACAAAUUGCAUUUUGUCCUCAACUUUAAUAUUUAUUGAUGAGAAUCAAUACAGGUCCCUCAUUUGUUAUAGAAAGCUUUCUUUCUUGUAGUCUCACCAGUUAAUUCACAGGUCUAUAAUCAUCUUGCAAAGUUAAGGGCAUUUCUUUUGAUCUAAAGUCUUUGCAUCACCACCUCAUCACACGCCAAGCCAAUAUUCCAUUUACCUCUACAACAAAAAGUUUUAAUUAAACAAUCCUAAUGCACGCAGCCAAAUAAAAUGCAGUAAGAAUAUUCAACUUAAAAAUCUGAAAGCCAACUUGGUGAAUUGCCUCCUUAGGUGAAGUUCCAUGCUUUACUAUAGUUGACAGAACUCAGCAAAAGCUUCCAUACAACAGAUUUUGAAAAUGAUGAUGCCAACAGAUACUCAUUCAAUCCAUUGAAACUCCAAAGGUUCAUUGUUCAUAGAAGUUUACAAAGUUUUGGUCAUCAAAUAGCUCAGACCUAAUCCCAAACAAAAAAAGAGUGAAAAUUAGAUCACGAGCAGCUAAUUGUAAAUUCUAACUUAACUCUUCAUCUCCUUUGUAAACAAGAAACAAAAUGGAGACACGCAAAAUGAAUAUGGAGAAAAUUUGAACUCAAAUGAAAUGAGGGCACGAAAGCAAACAAAUGGCAUGCACAAAAAAACCAAGCCUCAAUCAAAAACUAAUUAACCAUUAAGAAAAAAAUUGGUCAGACAAUGAACUCCAAAUUCAGGAGUCAAGCAAGAAGCUUUCAUUAUUUCAGAAGCUCCUGUACAAAUUAAUAAGUUAUGCUCUUUGGAAGCAAAACCAAAUUCCAAGAGAAACAGAACCCAAAAAAUUUGCAAUUAUUCGCAAAGGAAGUGAAGCACAGGAUUCUAUCACACAUAGGAAUUUUAUAACAAGAGAUCGAUAUAUCGAAUUAGAAAACUCAAUUCGAAUUUGUGUGAAAAAUCAAAAUUAGAAGAUUUCACAUUUCGAGAGGAACAAGCAACAGAUGAGUUUAAUUUCAGCCAUAACAUGCUAAAAAUGCUACACUUAACGGUUCCUUGUCAGCUAUUGAUGCGUUCGCUCANNNNNNNNNNNNNNNNNNNNNNNNNNNNNNNNNNNNNNNNNNNNNNNNNNNNNNNNNNNNNNNNNNNNNNNNNNNNNNNNNNNNNNNNNNNNNNNNNNNNAAGGGUCAUGUUCAAGCAGGAAAACUUCUAGAACAGGUAAGGAUUCCAUCUACAGACAUCCAUUGACAGCAGAUAUAUUUCAUUAAGCAGACACUGUUAGCAUUCAAGAUGCUGGCAGAUUCACUUGAUUCUUAUUAGUUUGUUUAGUGGCAAGGCAUAUAACCUGUAUUUCAAAGCCAAGUUGUGCUAUUGAUUAUGUUAACUUUAUUGUUAACAUUAAGUGAUUUGGAGGACAUAAUCAAUGUAGGAAAAUUAGGUGAAGAGAUGAUGUCAAAUCUUGAACCUCUUACAAAGCUCCAAGUUCUUUACUUGAAGAAGCUGCCAAAUUUGAAGAGCGUCUACUGGAAGGCAUUUCCAUUCCCAGAUGUAUGCAGAAUUUUUGUAUUAAUGCCCAGUUCUUAAGAAGCUGCCACUGGAUUUUCAUGGGGCGGGCCAAGGUAAAAUUCUUAUCAAGGGAAAGGAAGAUUGGUGGAAAGAACUUCAAUGGGAGGAUCAAGCAACUCAGAAUGCAUUGCUUCCAUUUUUCAAAUCAACUGACAAGUGAUUGAAGGGGGCAUCAUCAACAGAGAUGGAGAGAUUCUGGAGCAGAUCAGCAGGGUUUGUAUAUGAUCUUUGGUGGUUGCUUUCUUUUGUGAUUUUUUUUUUCUCAUUUUUUUACCUUCCUGUCAUUUUAUCAUUUCUUUGUCUCUUUUUCUAUUGCUGAUGUUAGUGUAUGCUUACUGUUGCUUGACAAAGUUUGCUUGCUUCUUGUUUAUUAAAUUUUUUAUGGUCACAAAAUAUUACUUGUUCUAUUUGAGAGUGAUGUGAAUCAAUUUUCAAUUAUAUAUUUUUUGGUCAAUGUGAAUUCAAUUUCAUUUGUCUCCUGCAAUUAUUAAAAAAAUGCAGUCUCAUAAUAUGGAAAAGUCGACCGGCAAAAAUUUUGUGAAAGCUUCGGAGUGAAACAGGGAAUUCACUUACUACUAAGGACAAUUGGUGGCGAGCUAUUCCAUUCAUUUUAUGUCCCUACAUCUAUUUAAUUAUUAAAGAUAAGUGGUCCAUUUGUAAAUUUCAGAUUGUGUCUCUCUGAAAAUAACAAUAUUUAAAAUGUCUCUUAAAUUAUUAUAAAUUUUAAUUCACUCUCGAUUUAAAAUGGAACAUGCUGAUGAAAAUUUUUUUCUUCUCAAUAUUCAAUAAAAUUGAAAUAAAUUGUGUUUGCAGUAUUUUGAAAUAUUUUAAAGAUUAUUAUUUUAUAAGAGAGUAAUAUGAAAUGAAAUUUACUCUUCAUGCGUGAAAUGUUGAAAAGGACAAAGGAAAGUGUCACUGCUUUUAUUUUAUUUCAAAGUGGAGUCAUCUCACAUACUUUACCUCUAUCAUUACAAUUUUUCACGUUACAUUUUGAUUUAUUUAUUUCUUUUAACACAUGCAUGUGGGUUACUUUUCCGUAAGCUCCUUAAUAUAUGUUUAACACAAAUCAUGGAAGAGAUGGGAGUAUAUCAAGAUGAUCAAAGCAUGAGACAAAAAUAUUUAAGAAGUAAAACACUGAAAAUAGAGGAGAGAUGCAAGCAAAAGAUAUUCCAAAGAAAAGCAAUCUAUCCCCUUUCGAGGGCAAACUUAAUCAGGUUUAAGAAAAGUACAUGUUUUGGAUUGGUAGUUGCAGCCUUGCAGGAUAAUUGUUUUUGCCAUUAUAUUAGUUGGAGGAGUUGAACCCAGCGAAGAAUGUUAUGGAAGAGCAAAUUAAUGAUAUUUCUGAUAGAGUCUAUUUGAUUAUGUAGCCUGAAUGGAUGUCUUGUUGAAAGAUAUCUCAGUGCAUUAGUUCAUCCUUGUCUGUCAAUGUGUUUUUAAUGGUUUUUCCAAUUGUUUAUUAUUAUAGAUUGAUUGUAAAUUUAUAUGAAAAUUUGAUAUGAAUUUAAUGUUGAAAUGUUUUCUCUUUAGUGGAAUGAAUUUAAAUUGAUUGAUUGUAAAUUGAUAUGAAUUUAAUGUUGCAAUGUUUUCUCUUUAGUGAAAUGAACUUAAAAGUGUAAAAGAUUAUUGCACACAUAGAAAUAAACAUAUAUGCUUUAUAGUAUAACUUUAGCAAUCGAUUCUUUUACGGCUGGAAACAGAGAUGAUGAUUAUCAUAGGGGUGAAGAAAAGGACAAAAAAUAUUAAUAAAUGAUCUUAAUGUUCCACAAAAGCAAAUCGUAAUAUUCCACAAGAAAAAGCAAGAUCUUAAUGUUCCACAAAAGCGUUAUUUAUUUUUUUUGGUGAGCCACGUGGAGCUCAAUUAUCAUUGUCUUUACUUUAAAAACGUUAUUUUAUUUUAUUUUCUUACAAAUUAAUGCUAACAAGAAAAAGCAAGAUAUAAUAUUCCACAAAAGCAAAUCGUAAUAUUCCACAGAGGAAUAAGAUCCACAAAAGCAAACAACUAGCUGGAUUCUUUUAUUAAACUACAAAUUAAAGUGGAAUCGUUUACUAAACAACAAAUUAAAGUUCAAAUAUUUAAAUAGUAGUGCGUUAGACGAUUAGGCUCUUUUAUUAAAGUCAAGUAUAAAGUAGUCCAGAAUCGAACAUCUCUAUUGUCUAGUCUUUUUUUUUUUUAAUUCUUCUUUUAUUAUUUUUCAGAAUAUGUUUUGGUGAUUACUAUUGGGUUAUUAUUCAGAGUUAUUGUUAUCUUCCGGGGCAGUUUCUGUUCAUCGAAAUCGUUAAUUAAAAUUUUAAAACUCUUAUCGGAAGAAUGUUUUUCCGUUAUUUUUUUAUAUUCUAAUUUCAAUUGUAAGAAGUAGUCAUUUUAGAAUUUGGGUCUUGAAUCGAAUUUCAAUGCAUGAAUUAAUAUUUUAAAAAAAUUUACUACAUGCAGUUUAGGUUACAAACUAUUUUUUGCAAAGUUGACUAUGAAAUUGGAGAAAUUAAGUAAUUUAUAAUGUUUGCAAAGAAAGAGACCAACAUACUUCCAAUUACACUAUAUCUCAAUUAUCAUAAUGUUAAGAUUAAACUAACUUAAAAUAAAAUUUAUUUAAAAAGUUUAUCAAACGCAGUCUAAUUUUAUUAACUUGAAGAGAUAAUAGUUAUAGAAAUUAUUAUUCUAACUUAAUUAGUAAAAGUGGUAUAAAGGUUAAGUGUGCACUAAAUCUAUUUAAAUUUUUUUCCAGUAUAACUAACAGAGGUCAUUACUAGAAUUAUAUUACUAGUCUAUUAGAUAGAAAAAAUUAUUUAUAUUGUUUUAUAUUUAUUAAAAAAAUUUAAAGUCAAUCUUUUUAAUUACUAUUUAAAGGAUAUUAUAAUUAAAAAAAUUUUAAUGUCUUCAUUAAAAAUUUAAAAUUUUAUAUGACCGUUAUCUAAAUAUUUAAAGUGUAACUGUCAUUUUCUCAUAUAUAUAUAUAAUUUCAUCAACCCCUUAUACUUUAUGUUAUUUAUAUUUUAUUCAUGAAUAUUAUAAAUUUUUUGAAAUAUAAAAUUUCGUUUAACCCUUUAUACUCAAUUUUAUUUUAUUAAAACCCUAGAGUAUGAAUUCGUCCCUAUAAUAUUAAAUUCUCAAAAUAACUUCCAUUUAAUUAAAAAAUAUAAUUAUUAUUAAAUGAAUUAUAAUUAUUAUUAUUAUGUUAUUAUAAUCAUAAAAAGCGAGAUCAUAUUCCACAAAAGCAUAAGUGACAAAACAACCAACUGGAUUCUUUUAUUAAUCAACAAAUUGUAUAGUCUUUUUCAAAUUGUUAUAAAUUGGUGGCCCCUACAAUCCUCAAUAAUUGUACCGAAAUUCACAAGUUGGUGGGCCCUACAAUUCUGUUCCGAUAAUUUAACUGUGCAAGUGCUCAUUCACAAUCUUCCAGGUCAUGCUCUUAACAAUUGUUUUUUCUUUUCUGCACGCCCUUUCAUGCUCUUAAUAAUUGAAGAGCAUACUUUUCAAAUGUGAAGCCGCAUCUAAUGUCGCUAAUUUAAUUUGGGAUUAAAUUACGGGACUAUUAUAUUGCAGUGUGCACUAAUUUUUAUGUUUAUCUAAACUCUUCAAAUUUAAAACAUAUUAUGGCAUAAAUAAGAAUGUAACAAUAACAAAAGAGUAAGAAAGUGUAGAGAAAAUCUUGCAGAAAUAUAAAUAAUAUUUAUUUUUAAAAUAAUAUUAAUAUUUAAAAUAAUUUUUAAUAUUUUAUGGUCCAUUAGAUAUAUUUUAUUAUAUUAAAAUAAAUUUUAUAAUAAAUAAAAACAUACUAUUAAAAUGAAUAUAUAUAGAAAAUUUAGAGUAUUUUAAGUAUUAUAUAAAAUAAUUUUAAUAAAAUAUGUGAGAUAUUCAUAUUUUAUUAAUUUAAGAUACCAUUUAACCUAAAGAUUUAUUUAUGAUAAAUUAAUAAUUAUAUUUUUGAAAUUACUUCAAAUAUUAAAAAAAUUAAUAUUACUAAUAUAUUAGAUAGAUUAAAUUAUAUAUAUUAUUUUUACUUAUUAAAAAAAUUUUAAAAUUAUUUUUAAUUACUAUUCAAAAAACGUAUUCAAAAAACAUAAUGAUAAAAAAAUCUUAACAUCUUUAUUAAAAAAUUAAAAACUUAUAUGAUAAAUUCUCUAAAUAUUUACGGUAUAUGUGAACCACGGUGGAUAAGCUUUAUUUAAUAUUAUUGAUUUAAAUAAUAUGUCAAUUAAAAAUGUACAGAGAAGAAAUUUCGGUGGGUAUUUUAGUCUUUUAAGCAAUUAUCAUGAUCAGAUCAGCCUUUAGCCUUCAAACGUCGGUCAGAAAAGUUUUAAAAUUAAUGCUAAAUUGUUUUUCACUUUUAACGUUGGUGGCCUUGAAAUUGCUUGUAUUUUAUUAAAAAUUAAUGCUAACAAGAAAAAGCUAGGUCAUAUUCCACAAAAUCAAAAGUGACAAAACAACCAGCUGGUUUCUUUUACUAAACUACAAAUUAAAAUAAAUUUUUUCGAUAAAUUACAAAUUAAAGUGGAUUCUUUUGAAUACAAAUGGGACAGACGAUUAGGCUCUUUUUAUUAGAGGCAAGUAAAAACUAGUCAAGAAUCGAACAGUCUUUUUCCAAUUCUUGUUUUAUUAUUUUUCAAAACUAGUUUUUGGUAAUUACAACCGGGUCAUUAAUCAUUAUUCAGAGUUACUGUUAUCUUCGGGGGCAGUGGGUAAAAGAUAAUUACUAACUGUUUUUCCUUCAAAAGUUAGCGGCUCAUGUUUGCAAGUGUGAAUGUGCGAUGCUCUUUUCUUAAAGGCCAUUACAGUGGGGCCCGAAUCAGACGUGCCUAAAUCUUUUUAAAAUUUUUGCCGUAUAACGAACAGAGGUCAUUACUAAAAUUUCUCUUCCACAGCCUACAGCAGCUUCAGUUUAUCAAACUCCAUCAAUUUUCUUUCUUAACAAAAUUCCAAAGAUGUGUAGCAUUUUUCAGAUCACAUGCGAUGGUGCUCUUUUCAAUCGUUGCUUGGAUUGCUUUCUUGGAAAAGCAGCAUACAUACGUAACCUCCAAGAUAAUCUUGAUGCCUUGGACACUGAACUGGGAAGACUAAUCGCUAAAAAGAACGAUGUGAUGAGGAGGGUUGUCGACGCUGAACGACAACAAAUGAGAAGGCUGGACGGAGUGCAAGUGUGGGUUUCGAGGGUGGAUGCUGUUAAAACUGGAGCCGAUGAACUUAUCACAGACGGCUCUGAAGAAAUUGGCAAAUUAUGUGUUGGAGGCUACUGUUCCAAGAACUGCAGGUCAAGCUACAAGUUCGGAAAACAAGUGGCUAAAAAGCUACAAGAUGUGAAGACUUUAAUCGCCGAGGGAGUUUUUGAGGCGGUGGCUACUGAGGUGGUGCCCGAGAGAGCUCCGGAACCUGUAGCAGAUAAAAGACCCAUUGAGCCAACAAUAGUAGGCUUGCAAUCACAGCUUGAACAAGUUUGGAGAUGUCUUGUAGAAGAAUCAGUGGGAAUCAUUGGCCUAUAUGGUAUGGGCGGUGUUGGUAAAACCACACUAUUGACCCGUAUCAACAAUAAAUUUCUUGAGAGUCAAAACAACUUUGAUUGUGUGAUUUGGGUCGUAGUUUCAAAAGACCUGCGGCUUGAAAAAAUUCAAGACGAUAUUGGGAAGAAGAUAGGUCUGUCUGAUGAUUCAUGGAAGAAUAAAAGUUUUGAAGAGAAAGCUGUGGACAUCCUGCGGAGAUUAGGAGAGAAGAGAUUUGUAUUGUUGUUAGAUGAUUUAUGGGAGCGGGUUGAUUUAACAAAAGUGGGCGUUCCACUUCCCAGCGCACAAAAUACUACCUCAAAAGUCGUAUUCACAACCCGUUCCAUUGGUGUUUGUGGCAGCAUGAGAGCUAGGCCGGUUAAAGUGGCAUGCCUAUCAGAAAAGCAAGCUUGGGAACUGUUCCGCGAAAAUGUUGGGGAAGAAACUCUUGAGAGUGAUCAUGAGAUCGUUGAGCUAGCCCAAACUGUGGCCAAAGAGUGUGGUGGUUUGCCACUCGCACUUAUUACUAUUGGUCGAGCUAUGGCCUUCAAAAAGACAGCCGAGGAGUGGAGUCAUGCAAUUGAUGUGCUAAGAACAUCAGCUUCUGAGUUUGCAGGUUUGGGAGAGAAGGUGUAUCGUCUUUUAAAGUUUAGCUAUGAUAGUUUGCAGAAUGAGACCAUUAGAUCUUGUUUCUUAUAUUGUUGUUUAUAUCCCGAGGAUUAUGGCAUUCUUAAAUGGGACUUGAUUGAUUGUUGGAUUGGUGAGGGAUUCUUGGAGGAAUCUGACAGGUUUAGUGCAGAAAACCAAGGAUACUACAUUGUGGGCACUCUUGUUCAUGCGUGUUUGCUAGAAGAGAUGGAAGAUGAUAAAGUAAAAAUGCAUGACGUUGUUCGUGAUAUGGCUCUAUGGAUAGCUUGUGAAAUUGAGAAGGAGAAGAGAAACUUUUUGGUUUGUGCAGGUGCUGGAUUAAAAGAGGCACCGGAUGUUAAAGGAUGGGAAAAUGUGAGAAGAUUGUCAUUGAUGCAAAACCAAAUUAAAACUCUGUCAGAGGUUCCCACAUGCCCUCAUCUCCAUACUUUAUUUCUUGCCUCUAAUAUGGAGUUGGAGAUGAUCGCGGAUGGCUUCUUCCAAUUUAUGCCUUCUCUCAAAGUUUUGAAGAUGUCACGCUGCUGGAAUUUUCAAUUACCUGUUGGGAUGUCAGAUUUGGGUUCAUCACUAGAACUUCUUGAUAUUUCACAUACCACCAUAAGAGAGUUACCCGAAGAGUUAAAGUUGCUGGUAAAUCUGAAAUGUUUGAAUUUGAGGUGGACAGGUGCGUUAAUUAGAAUUCCACGGGGACUAAUAUCAAAAUUUUCAAGGUUACGUGUGUUGAGAAUGUUGGGUACUGGCGGGUUCAUUUUUUAUGAAGCACCAGAAGACAGCGUUUUAUUUGGUGGGGGUGAAGUUUUGAUACAGGAAUUGCUCGGUUUGAAAUAUUUAGAGGUAUUGGAGUUGACCUUGGGAAGUUAUCAUGCUCUCCAAAUUCUUUUGAGCUCAAAUAAGUUAAAAAGUUGUAUUCGAUCUCUUUACCUCUAUUUGACCGGAGAUAAAAAGUCGAUUAUUGAUGCUACGGCUUUCACAGACCUAAACCACCUCAAUGAAUUAUGGAUUGAUAAUGGAAUUGAGUUGGAAGAAUUGAAGAUUGAUUAUACGGAGAUAGUACGAAAAAGGCGGGAACCUUUUGUUUUCCACAGCCUUCACCUUGUUACGAUAUAUAGUUGCCAUAAAUUGAAAGAUUCGACAUUCCUCGCUUUUGCUCCAAACCUCAAGUCUCUUUCGCUAUUCAAAUGCCGUGCUAUGGAAGAAAUAAUCAGCGUCGGAAAAAUUGCUGAGAAUCCUGAGAUGAUGGGACAUANNNNNNNNNNNNNNNNNNNNNNNNNNNNNNNNNNNNNNNNNNNNNNNNNNNNNNNNNNNNNNNNNNNNNNNNNNNNNNNNNNNNNNNNNNNNNNNNNNNNNNNNNNNNNNNNNNNNNNNNNNNNNNNNNNNNNNNNNNNNNNNNNNNNNNNNNNNNNNNNNNNNNNNNNNNNNNNNNNNNNNNNNNNNNNNNNNNNNNNNNNNNNNNNNNNNNNNNNNNNNNNNNNNNNNNNNNNNNNNNNNNNNNNNNNNNNNNNNNNNNNNNNNNNNNNNNNNNNNNNNNNNNNNNNNNNNNNNNNNNNNNNNNNNNNNNNNNNNNNNNNNNNNNNNNNNNNNNNNNNNNNNNNNNNNNNCACUGUUUUUAUUUCAGUCUCUCUCUCUCUCUUUGUCUCUGCUAAUCACAAUUAAAUGUGAAUUAAUGGAAUUAAUGCUUCAUAAAUUUGCCGGCACUGCCAUUACUUUUUUUUUUUUAAUACAAAUUGAUACUUUAUUUAUAUCUUCUUAGCGAUUUAAUUUCCUGUCAAUUGACGAACGAGAAGAACAUAUGACUUGAACCAAUGCUCGCAUAAACUUGCUGUAAAAAGAUAUAAUCUCACUGAAAUGCACACGCCUAGAAUGAAUAGAAUUAAAACAGGGAAAAUAUUAAGUAUAUUAGCCCUCUUUACCGAAAAUCAAAUGACAAUAAAUUUUUUGAAGUUUUGAUUUUCUAUGGUCAAUUCCACCUUUUGCAAUUUCUUCUGUUCUAACAAAAACCAAUUUCUUUGUUCAAGUAUUUUCGUUUGGGUAUUAAUAAUUCUCCACCGAAAGAGUGAACUCUUGCUCAAGGGAUCUCUAAUCAAUAGCCGGAAGGGCGCCGAGACCUGAUCGGACCUAGGCCCAAGUUUGGUCUUAAAGCCUGGGCUUGAGCCUGGCAAUUAAAUUAAAACAGUAAUUGAUUUCUUGAAUGAAUUGUCGUGUAAUUGAUUUAUGGGGGAUGACACAUCAACAUACUUGAAAAUACACUAAUCUCAGCAUCAUCCGUUAAUAACUUUUAGAUUUAUGGGCAAUCAAUAGUUAAAUUAGUUGUCAUUAAUACUAAAUAAUUUUUACUUUUUUUGUCUCUUCUAGAGGAUCUUCUAGAAAAAUGCAUCCACAAUUAAAUUUAAUACUUUACAUAAUAAAGAAAGCAUAAAUGUUAAAUUUAAGAAACUGCAUUGUAUUUCAGCUGAAGUUGACUUUAAUAUUUAGGGUAGAAAAAAAUUAAAUCCUUAAUGUGUUUAAUUUAUAUCACUUGUGUCAUUAAAAUUUUCUAGUCACCCUAACCAAUUACAUCUCAACCCACUUUUUUUUGGAUGAUUUUAUUUUUAUACUAUUAUUUUCAACAUUUUUUUUUCCUUUUAACACCAACAUUAGUGUAUGUUACGUAACAUAAUCCAUAUUUGGAUAAUUUGAAAUUUGUUUGUGUUUUAUCUCAAAAUAGAGCUUCAAUCAAUUUGUACCUCAUAAAUUCACAAUAUCUGGCAGGGCUAAUAAGACCAAACUCUGGCAUAUUAUCAAAUGUGCUUAUCCUUUUGCUUGACAUGUCAUUUUAAAAUUGUCAUUCAAUGCCAAAAAAAUCACAUCAACUGAUGGCCGACUACUUUAAUUUGAAAGCAUGCAUGCGAUCGCCACCAAUAAUUAUAACUUAAUUGUUAUAUUGAAAUUUUUUUCUUUAUAAUUUUUAAGUUUAAUACUGCUACAUGUGCGGCACAUAAGUUGGAAAAUAUAACAUAAAAUUUGAAAAAUGUGUAGUUUUCGUUCCUUUUUUUUCUUAAAAAUGGGGAAAAAGAAUGUAAUUUUGUUUAAAUUACUGUUGUGAUAACAAUUAUUAUUUUAUUGAUUAAUUGGCAGAGAAUCGUUAUGGUUUCGCAUGGUUGUUAAAACAUUGGAAAAUCCACUACAUCAUCCGAUAAUAACUUUCAGAUUUAUGGUUAAUCAAUAGUUGAGAUUUGUUAUCAUUAAUGUUAAAUAUUUUUUUAAUAUUUUUUCUCUCUCCUAGAGGAUCAUCCACAGUUAAAAUUUAAUAUUAUAAAUAGUAAACAAAGUAUAAACGUUAAAUCGAAGAAACUGCAUUGCAUUUCAGCUGAAGCUAACUUUAAUAUUUAACAGAGAAAAGUAAUUAAGUCCUUAAUGUGCUUUAUUUACCCAUAUAUAUGGCUAAUUUUUUAAGAUAAAGGGGAAGGAUGAUGCUCAAAAAUAUAAAUUAUAGAAUUAAUUGAGCUCUCAAGUAAGUUUAAAGUUCAUUAUUUUUAAUUACAUGUUUAUAAUUUAUUUUUAUUUCGUAUUAAUCUAUAGAUCUAAAUCCACUUUGGAUUCAUAUACAUAUAUAGACAUAAUGUGUAUGUUAAUCUAUAGGUCUAAAUUCACUUUAGGUCUAUAUAGGUAUUUUGACAAAUGUACUCCAAUCAUAUUGGCAAGUUCUAACUACUAUAUUGGUAUGUCAAUAUUAUCUCUAAUUGCCCUAUACAUUCAGAAAUAAUCUAGAUAUACAAAUUAACAUAAAAUAAAAAUAAUUGGUAGAAAAUAUAAAUUAUAAACAUGUAAUUGAAAACGAUAAACUUUAAAUUUACUUAAGAGAGUAAUUAAUUUCAUAGUUAAAAUCUUUAAAUUUUACCCCUCAUCUUAACUUAAGAAAAUUAAUCACUUAUUUUAUUUAACAAAGAAGAGAUUUUUUUCCCCUAUAUUUCCCAAUUAUUUCUCUCCCUCUCGCUCCCGUAAGUUAUACAACUUGAAGUGAAAUAUGAGUGGUCUGAUUCUAGCUUAAAUAAUUUAUUGUGACAUGCUAUCUAAGGACAAUACAUUACCUAGCUCUACAUAUUUUAUUUAACCUCCGGCUCACCCUGUGCAAACUUGCCUUCCCCUACAAGACAAGAUUAAUCAAUCUAUCAAGUCUCAAAUUCAAUUUGGAAUAUGACCAUCGUACGUUCUUGUUCUUCCCUCUUUACGAGUGCAUUCCCCCCAACCUCAAGCUCCCUCUCUCGUCUUCAAUGUCACUGCCUAUAUCCUUGUGUUGUUCUAGUUUGAAAUAGUGGCUUCCACAAUUUCAGGGCCCCCAAAAAUCCAGAAACAUAGUAUUCAUCACGAUGACAAAUUUUUUGGCAGGCAGGUGCUUCCUGACUUUCACACGGUAAUUCUCAAAUUCUGAUUUCACCAUAUUUUAAUUACUGAUUAGCAUAUAUUCAAGUGCUCUCCAUUAUAAUAGAAGCCGCCGCCUCACUCGUGAUUCCAAACUUUAUCUUUUUUCCUUUUUUAAAUUAAUGCAAGUAGCCGCUGUCCUUUUUAUUAAUUAAUUAAUUAAUUCGGCCGCCCACAUUUCUUUUCCUAAUGUCUUCUACUGUCGAUUUUCUUUUAUUUUCUUUUUAUUCUUAAAAUAUGCUUAUAAUAAUAAAAUAUAAAAAUUAAAAUUAACAUAUCAAAAUAUAAUUUAACAGAAAAUUAAGAUAAAAAUAAAAAAAAUAAAUUAUGAGCAUAUCAAUCAAUAAAUGAAAAAUAAUAAUUUUUAUUUUUAUUAAAUAUAUAUUUUUCAGUAUUAAUCAAUUAUUUGAAUAAAUAAAAUCAUUUAAAAAUAAAUAAAUAAAUUAUUCUUAAAAAAAAAGAAACUUUUUAUAACACUCACUAUGCUGGUUGUAGGGUAGACGCUUUGGGAACUGAAGCCGGUAACUUCUACAAGUAGUCUGAAGUUGACUGGCAACAACUAUAUUGACAUUUAGACAUAAUGUACUCCAACCGUAUUGGUAUGUUUAAAUGUUCUUACUAUUGUAUUGGUGUGUCAAUAUUAUCUCUAACUGCCCUAUAGAUAAAAAAAUAAUCUAAAUUUAUAAUUUAACAUAAAAUAAAAUAAUUGGUAGAAAAAUAAUUAUGGUUCAUUUACUUAUCAGUAAUCAGAAUAGACUAAAAUCGAAAUGAGUUGUAUUACCGUUGAUGUGUUUAUGUUGUCCUGGAAUCGGAAUGAAUUAUUUUAAGUUACUAAAAUAUCCUUGGUUUGUUAUUCUAAUUAUUAUUUAAUAUUUAUUAUAAUAUUUGUCAUAUCAUUAAAAAGAAAUAAUAAUGAUGAUAAUAUUAUCAUUAUUGUUUGUUACAUUAUUAUUAUUCAAAAAAAUUAUUGUUAAUAAUAAUAAUUUUUUUAUUUCAAUAAUAAUAAUGAUAAAAUUAAUAAUAAAAAACAUGACAACAACAAUAAUUAUUUAUUAUGCCAAAAAAUAACAAUAAUAAUAAGAAUAAUAAUCAUCAUCAUUUUUUUGCCAAAGAAAUCAUCAAACCAGACAAGAAAUCAUCAAAAAUUGCUAUUUCAAUUUAGGAAGAAGUUCUUUCGGUGUGCUAGCGAUGGGAGAUGUUGUGGCUGCGAUUCGGGGAGCUAAUAGUUUAUUGCACUAAUAACGGCAGGUGCUGCUGCUUGAUGCGAGGUCCAUGGCCAGUUGUCAGCAGUUCGACUUUGGCAUGGGCGCUGCUGGUUCGAUUUUAGGUGUUGUCUAAUUUCAUUUUCAGGAUUUUAAUUUUAUUUUUUUCUUUUAUAUUUUCAUUAAUUAAUCAGGGCAAAGUUUGAUUUUAGAAUUUGGAAUGAAGGUAAUUUUGUUAAUCAUGGAAAUGAGAUUUUGAUUGUCGAGAAUGAACUUACACAAGCAACUGCAAAUUAAGUGAAAACAAAACGCUUUUUCUCUUUGUGUGAUUAAAACAUGAAAUAUACCAUAAAUAAAUAGGUAAAAAUUAAAUCAACACAAUCCAAAACAGUAAACCAAUUAUAAGAGGCACAAAUUUUUAUGUGAAAUACCGAAAACGGAAAAAACCACAACAUGUUAGUAUGAUAUAAUCUUCUACUAUAUUAAUGGGAUUAUAACACAAAUUCUUCCCUAUAUUACACUAGAGAUUAACAACAUCAAGAAUCUCAAUAAUCUUAACUUACAAUACAACCUAAUAUAUGUCUCUCUAAUAAAUAGAUAUCUAAAAUAACAAUCUCUAAUAAGUAAGUAUCUCAAAUAACAGUCUCUAAUAAGUAGGUAUCUCAAAUAAUAGUUAAUAAGAGGAUAAAACAAAAAUUAAGAUUAGUAGGAUGUGUAUAAGGCGAUGCUAUCAACUUAUCUUCUAAAUUUGAGAAAAAUAGUUAAAUUCACUUUUUUGAUUGUCCGACCAAAGAUGGAAACCUUGCCCCAAAACCAAAGGAGUCACCAUUGUGUUUCUCUCUCUCUCUCUCUCUCUCGUUCUUUUCUUCUACUUUUCUUAAUGUUAGCCGCCACUUGCUUUUAUUCUUUAUAGCAUUUAAAAAGUUACUUUUAAUGGUAAAUUUCAUCUAAGUCCAAAACUUAGUGAUAAUUGCACACUAAACAAUCCUUUUUGGACUAUAGACUUUUGGACCUCCAAAUGAGACGAAUACAACAAAUCUCCCCUUUUAGAUCAUGUAGGAGGCACCACAAGCCCACUCUCUGCAUAUAGCUUUUUAACUUCUCCUUGAAUAAUGACUUUGUCAUCAUACAUAACUCAUUCUCCGUUGUGUAAAUCUUCUCAAGCUAUAACCGUUCUUUCUCAAACACGUCUCGUAUCUAAUAAUACUUCACAUCAAUUUGCUUAGAUUUCGAAUGAUAUAUCAAAUUCUUUGAACGACACUCUGAUUUUCGCAGUACAUAAUAUAGUUGUCUCAUUUUAUACCUAGCUCUUGUAGGAAAUUCUUCGUCCACAGUAUUUUUUUGCAACCUUCAAUAAUUGUAAUAUCAUUUGCUUUAGUAGUAGAAAAGACAACUUAUUACUAAAGUUUAGAUUACGAUGAGACUGCUCCUCCUGCAAAAGUGAGCAAACAUUCUAGUAGGAAUUUUUCGGAAUCAACAUCUCCUACCAUAUCUAUACACUUGUAACACAGGUUUGUCACCACCAAAAUAUAAACAUGCUCUGGAAAUGCCUCUAAGAUAUCUGAGAAUUUUUCACUAUUGUCCAGUGCUCUUUACCGGGAUUGAAGAGAAACCACUAACUACACUAGUUGUAUAAGUAAUAUCUGGUCUUGUACAAAUUAUGGCGCACACCAAACUGCCAACUGCUGAAGCAUAAGGAACUCCUCUCAUGGAGAAAUGGGUUUUGCUCUUGAGAUUUUUGGGAACAUGAAGAAUAAAUAUGUAAUUUCUUGGACUGCCAUUGUUUCGAGGUAUAUAAACAGAGGACAAGUCUAUAUAGGUCGACAGUGGUUUGCUCAGAUGCCAGAACGAGAUUAUGUCUUAUGGACUGCCAUGAUUGAUGGGUACCUUCGAGUGAAUAGGUUCAAAGAGGCUUUGACGCUUUUUCAGGAGAUGCAAACUUCAAAUAUAAUGGGAGACGAGUUUACCAUUGUUAGCAUUCUUACAGCUCGUGCGAAUCUGGAAGCACUAGAUCUGGGAGAAUGGAUAAAGACUUAUGUUGAGUGUUAGAAAAUGCAUAUUUAUAAAGGAGAAAACCAUCAUUUUACAUUUCAAGUCUUACUAACAACCCUUACUUUUAUGUAUUUAACCUUCUUGUGAUUUAAUUACAUGUGUUUUAUUUUAAUUAAGUAUUUUAUGUAUUUUAGGGACAUUAUAGUCAUUUCACAAUAAAGGAGAGAUCAGACGGCAAAACAGACAUCACUUUUGAACUCAGGACGGUCAAAAACCUUAGGAGGAGCAUAAAAGGAAAAAUGGCACUAUUCACAUGUACGGUACUAUUCACGUGUACGGUACUGUCCACGUUACUGUUCACGAUACUGUUCACAUAGACAGAUCGAUGACGUGGCAUUGACUGAUGAGGUGUCACGAUCCUGUUGGGCUAAAAUUCUUAUGUACUGUUGAUGGUGACGUGGCAGCAUAUCAAUGGACGAAAAAUCUCGCAUACAGUACAUGCAUCACACAGGAUUAUUGUCAACCAAAUCGCGUUACUGUUCAUCCGGGUCAAACCGUGUUACUGUUCAUCCACGUAGUCAAACCGCGUACUGUUGACUGAUGACGUGGCGCAAUCCUGAGCGUCCAAACUGUUUUUAAUCCGAUGGCCAUGAUUUACUCCAUGUAUCUAUAAAAAGGGGGCCUCCCCCCCUAAUUUGACAACUCUGAAUCUAUUUUGGGAUCCAUUUUCUAUAAUUCCCUCUCCAUCUUGUAUUUUCUACGUAUUUUAAUAAAUUUCCAUUUUACCCUUAGUUCAAUUAUGAGUGGCUAAUUUCCUUUCAAGCUUGGGUUGAAGGUGAAGUCUCAACAUGUGUCAUGGGCUUUAUUUGGUAAAUUUAUUUUCUUUUCCCCUCUAGUUUUUGUGGAUGAUUUGACUUUUCGUCGACAAAUAAUAUUGAUCUUGUCUAGAUACCACCUUGGUUACACCGGCUCUCUAGUACAAGGUUAUUAUUAUUUGGCACGAUAAGCCCUUAGCACCAUAUUGAUUAGAGCGUGGUUCAUGAGGUGUGGAUUCCCCCCUCAUGAUUUAAUUGGCAUUAAUAAGGAUUAUAUAGCCCAUGAUGCAUGUUGAUACGGAUCUGGAUACCCAAGUGCUUCAUUUCAAUAGAUCUAUCUUCAAUUUCUUCUCGCCAUUUUAAUUUAAGUUUUAGAAUAUUCCAAAUCAUUUCCACCACAAAUCCAAUCCCCGAUUCACAAAAUUAAUUCUAUACACAAUUAAAAUCCACAUCCUCGUGGGAUCGACACUCGUCACCAUUAGUCUAUACUACAAUAGAUUCGUGCGCUUGCGAGUACAUUAAAAUUUACACAACAACUUAUAUUGACAAAAACAAAGUCAAGAAUGAUGUAUUUGCGGGGAAUGCUUUGAUAGACAUGUACUGUAAAUGCCGAGAUGUUGAGAAAGCUCAAAAGGUAUUCAGGAAGAUGCUUUGAAAGGACAAAUUCUCAUGGACGACCAUGAUUGUUGGCCUUGCCAUCAGUGGCAAUGGUGAUAAAGCUCUUGAUAUGUUUUCCCAAAUGCUUAGGGCUUCGAUCAAACCGGAUGAGGUAGCUUAUGUUGGUGUUCUGUCUGCCUGUACUAACAAUGGUAACGAAACUUUUGUGAUAAAUAGUUGCAACUUAAGGUGAGAAUUGGAGGAAAGGAAAUAGACUGAAGUUGUUCAAUCAUCGGUCGUCUCUAUUUGGUUUUCUCCGAUAUCUCAUCUUCAGUUUUGACUCAGAUUCUAUCUUACCACUUAGGGGUGGGCAAAAUCGGGUUCGGGUCAACCCGAUCGGGUUUCGGGUUGUUCGGGUUAGACAAGGAACAAUCCGAACAUAACCCGAAUUAAUGACCCGACCCGAACUUAGUUCGGGUCGGGUCAUUAAUUCGGGUUAUGUUCGGGUUGGAUUUAAAAUGGGUAGGAUUGAGUUCGGGUCAAUUUGGGUUAGUUCGGGUCAAUUCGGGUCAGUUCGGGUCAAUUCGGGUCAAUUCGGGUCGGUUGAAAUCGGGUCAGUUCGGGUCAAUUCAGGUCAGUUCGGGUCGGUUGAAAUCAGGUCAAUUCAAGUCAGUACGUUUUUUUUUUUUAAGAACCCGAUCGGGUAUUCGGGUCGGGUCGGGUUUGACCCGAACCGAUCACAACCCGAUCGGGUUUGUAAAUUUCAAACCGAUCGGGUUUCGAUCCCGACCCGAUCCGACCCGAACCCGAAAUUUAUCGGGUCGGGUCGGGUCGGGUAAAAUGCCCACCCCUAUUAAUACCACUAGUAAUUACAUAGACUUGCUGCCAAAGGUAAGAAUGAGAAUAAAUUAAAUAGAUUAUGUCGAAAACGAAAUAAAUUUACCAUUGUUCUGUUCAUUCUAUUUGUUUCCUACAGAAUAUUUCUCCAGCCUAAAAUUUUUUGAAUUAGUAAGUUUUUAUCUUAUGCAAGAAUUGUGCUGAGAGUAAUUCCAUUUCUCAGUCUCUUUAUGUUUCAAUGAAGACGUAAAACUUGUGUUCUAGUGCACCAAUGUUUAUGCUUCUUACAAUUUGACUUUAAUUUAGUUUGUAAAACUUUUGUCAAAAAGUACUAAAAAGUAGUGCACCAAACACAAACUUUAUUACAGAGAGGACUUCAGUUAAAUUUUAAGAAAACACUCAAAAGAACGAGUUAUAAAUUAUUAUCGAAAUAUUUCACAUAAAUAAAAGCCAUCCCAUGCUGCAAAGAUCUUGCUAUAAUCACCAAAAACUAUCGGGAGCUUUUAGGGUUUCCAUAAAAAUGUCAUUUCGUUCCAAAAGUCAAUGGUGGGUAGAAAGUGGUGCAAAUGAGACUCAUUGUUAAUGGUAUAAGUUUUUGCUUAAUUAUGUCUUCCCCAAAAUGAUGAUUUAAUUUCCAUUCUCAAUUAAUUUUCAAGUUUCAACACUUUUCUAUGUAGCAUGACAUUGGAAAGAUCUUGUACAGUUGUACUACUAAAAGCUAGCACCACACGUUAGUUAUUGUUAAGUUCUUUUUCAACGUGAAAUAAAGGAAGUAGUCCUUCGUUAAAACCAUUAUAGCCAAAUUUCACGUAAUUGGACAUUUACAGACUUUUAUUUCAAGUUGGAUUUUGGUCCAACAUUUCAAAGUUGGCCCAAUUAUUUUUGUCUGGUCAAGUCCUUCGCAGCUAAGCCCCUCAAUGAAUGAGGGUGAGAUUGCUAAAAAUUACGACAGGUGAUAUUUUAUUAUUAUUAUUUGUUUGAGGGAAAAAAUAGGAAAAGCAAUAGAGCGCCACGUGUCAACCAAUGGAAUGAUUCCUGCACAAUCUAAGGUACCCCACACAAUCCGAGGUACCCCAUAUAAUAUGAGGUACCCCACACAAAUAGGGGUACCCCGCGUAAUAGGAGGUACCCCAUGUAACUCGAGGUACUCGGCAAAGCGGAUGCAAGAGAAUCCUCCGAAAAUAUCCGCCAUGAGAAACGUCUCCGCCUCCUAAAAGAUAUUAUUCAAUUUUGUCAGAAUUAUGAAUAAAAAACGACGCCCUAAAAGGAGGGACAGUCGCCUGCGACCUCUGCCAAAAGUGAAGGACACUGUCCCAAGGACAGUGGUCCCCAACGCCUACCCGACAGCUACUGCAAAGGUACCCUGGACCACUCUCCAGCGCGCGCCACGUUUCCAAAAGAUGAGAUACGCCGCGAACGUGCAGAUAACUGCCCAAAAAUUAUAAAGAGGUAAAAGGACGUUAGUAAAAAAGGGUAUGCCAUGUGGCAGCUGAGGUACUCCAUAUAUAAAGGCGCCUAGGUUUCAUUCUCCAUCAUGUUCUCACUCACCAUUAACACUCGCACUCCAAAAAAUAGGUUUUCUUCAACCUUAAACCCUAAUUUACAGAGGGUUAGUCAGCUCUCUUUACCAUAAAAGCUUGAGUUUGCUAACUUGAGCGUCGAAGUGUGAACGCCGGGGUACCCCGGCUUCACCUCUAACCUCUAUUUCACUGUUUUGCAGGCGUGAAGCUCAUUUGGAAGGACACAUCUCUUAGUUCUAAACCUUUCACCAUUGUUACCACUCUCUCUCCCUUUCUCACCUCCCCUGGAUUUCAGAUACACCACACCGCACACAAUAAACUAGUGAGGUACCCCGUCUCCCAUAAAAAUACAAAUUCAUUGUUCUAGAUAGAUUUGGCUUUUUUUACCCCAAAAUCUGUUGAAAACACUAUUUUUAAUUUUGGGGGAUAAAUCCUCACCAAAGUGAGGAGAUUUUAUCAAAAUCAAAAUAAAAAUAUAACAAGAACUGAAAGUCGGGCAGCCUAAAAGCUAGAUGAACUAAAAGUCAGGCGCCUAAAAACAACCUUAUGCAAAAGAGAAGCAACAUGAGACCGAUCAAGUAAAAGAAUCCACCGCAACACCUAAAUUGGCCAAAUUAUCUGUUGGUAUUACAAGUUUCUUGUUAUAAAAGUGUAGAAUGAAGUAGGUGACAGUAGUUUUAAGUUACAGCUGCAUGCCUAAUCGCAAUAUCAAAUAAUGAUUAAAUAUCAAAUAAUGCUUAAAGUAGUUGCCUAGGCCCGCCACAAUUUAUAUUAACUCUUAAAUUUAUAAAUAAUUAAAUUUUUAAAAGUUUGGAUUUAUAUUAAAAAAUCUUCAUAUAAAUAAAUAAUAUAUGCACUUUUACAACACAGUCUUUAAAUUUAAAUUUUUCUAGAAAAAUCUUCUGUAUAUCUUUUCUAUUAAAAAAUUUCCAUAUAAAUAAAUAAUAUACCUAAUUUAAUUGGACCCAGCACAUCGCAUAUGCAUAGAACACAUUCCACAAAGCCAUGCUAUUCGGAAAUUGACGAAUGAAAAGUGAGGAGGCAGCAGUCAAUGCUAUUUGGGCUUGGCCCAAAAUUGAUUUAUCAGGUUGACGUUUGCCAGGAAUGAAGAACUGGAAUAUCACCGUCAAGCAAGCAACCUGUGGAGCAAUACCAUAGAAUGCACAAUCCAGCUUUGCAAGGUGACACUGGAGGCUUUUUGAAAAGUGCUUCACGCUCACUUGCACAGAUUGAGCAUCCCCUCUGGAUAUUGCCCUCUCUGAUCGAGUCUGAGCACUCAAAUUUCGGUCCUCAGAUGGAGCUACAGCUUUCUCUCCAAUAACCAACAAUUUUCUAAACUCAGCACCUAGUGUGAUCAGAGUUGUUGAUAUUUGUAAAUGGAGAUCCCUGUAUUUGCAAAUGGAGACAUUUACCAAAUCACCAACAUGCUUCAUCCAGUCUACGAAAUUCUGCAGCUGAUUCAAAUCCGGAACCUGAACCAGAGUCGGAGGUAAAUCUUGAGCCAUGUCUAAAGCAGUCUGAAGUUCAAGUACUUGAGCCCUUGACAAAGGUUUUGAAAUUGGAACAUCUUGGAUUACUGCAGACUUGUACCCCUUGGUUUCAAAGGUAAGGAAAGGCAUUGCUUGAGUACAAUUUGGAGGCAGCUUCUUCACCAAUUUUAUUUGGAGGCAAUUGGCAGCGGAUCCAGCUGCACCAAUUUCAGAGCAAAUACUGACACUACUUCAAACAGCACGCUGAAGAAGAGAUAUGUCUAUGGCAAAGGCAAUGCAGUCCUCAAUUUGACUUGAGAUGCGGUAAUCACCAAAGAGAGUUUCCUUAUGAAACUGGGCAACACAUUGAAUCCCUUCACCACUGAGAAGGUUGGGGAGGAAGUAAGCUUUCUCUCUCGUAAGGAAGAGGUGGCAUACCUUCCCCAUUUUGUCUAGGACAGGUAGGAAUCUUUUUUCUAAGAGAUUUACUCCAUUCUCUGUGAGAAAUGCUUUGAACUUCAUCCCUCUGUCUCUAGCCUCACUUAUCAGUAAAAUAGUUGAAAGCGCUACAAGGAGAGAAAAGAAGAGUAUUAAGAUAUAUAUAGACAAGAAAAACAUUAGAUGUCGAUCUUACAAGCUAAUACUUCAAACAGUAUCCUAGAAAGCUAAAAACUGCAAAAUGGCUUGAAAUUUGAAAAGAACACAUGCUUUUCCUCCUUAACUUGAGAAAAUGUUUAAUAUAGUGCACCUUACAGAAACAUUUAAACAAUUAGAACUUUGCACAAAAACAUUCAAGAAGACUAAACAAAUCAGAUGCAGUGUAUUUCUCCAAGCACAAAUGGCAUUGCAUUUUUUCCUCAACUGUAAUAUUUAUUGAUGAAAAUCAGUACAGGUCCCUCAUUUGUUAUGGAAAGCUUUCUUGUAGUCUGACCGGUUAAUUCACGGGUCUAUAAUCAUCUUGCAAAGUUACAGGCAUUUCUUUCGAUUUAAAGUCUUUGCAUCACCACCUCAUCACACACCAAGCCAAUAUUCCGUCUACCUCUACAACAAAAAGUUUUAAGUAAACGAUCCUAAUGCAUGCAGCCAAAUAAAAUGCAGUAAGAAUAUUCAACUUAAAACUCUGAAAGCCAUCUUGGUGAAUUGCCUCCUUAGGGGAAGUUCCAUGCUUUACUAUACUUGACAGGACUGAGCAAAAGCUUACAUACAACAGAUUUUGAAAAUGAUGAUGCCAAUAGAUACUCAUACAAUCCAUUGAAACUCCUAAGGUCCAUUGUUCACAGAGGUUUACAGAGUUUUGGUCAUCAAAUAGCUCAGACCUUAAUCCCAAACAAAAAACGAGUGAAAAUUAGAUCACCAGCAGCUAAUUGUAAAUUCUAACUUAACUCUUCAUCUCCUUUGUAAACAGGAGACAAAAUGGAGACACGCAAAAUGAAUAAGGAGAACAUUUGAACUCAAAUGAAAUGAGGGCACGAAAGCAAACAAAUGGCAUGCGCAAACAAACCAAGCCUCAAUCAAAAACUAAUUAACCAUUAAAAAAAAAAAAGUGGUCAGAGAAUGAACUCCAAAUUCGGGAGUGAAGCAAGAAGCUUUCAUUAUUUCAGAAGCUCCUGUACAAAUUAAUAAGUUAUGCUCUUUGGAAACAAACCUAAAUUCCAAGAGAAAGAGAACUCAAAAAAUUUGCAAUUAUACGCAAAGGAAGUGAAGCACAGCAUUCUAUCACACGUACAAAUUGUAUAACAAGAGAUCGACACAUCGAAUCAGAAGAACUCAAUUCAAAUUUGUCUCAAAAAUCAAAAUUAGAAGAUUUCACAUUUCGAGAGGAACAAGCGACAGGUCAGAUGCAAAAUUUUCAGCCACAACAUGCCACAAUUAACAGUUUAUUUCCAUGGAUUUAGAGAGCUGACUGACCUUUUGGCUUUUGGAAUUGAGAAGAUCGCGGGCCAAAAUGGAAGAGGGAAAGCGAAAGUGCGGGUUUUAAUAGGGUAUUGGAUUAGCAAAUUUAAUUAGUUUGCGAGGGUAAAAUAGGAAAGAGAUAUCACUAUUAACUUUUUUUUUUAUAAGAAAAAAGAAUAAUAAAGAAUAUUUUAUUGUCAUUUGCAGCCUGCAAAUGACAAUAAAUCAAAUACGUCAUACAGAAGCUUAAAGCUGAAUCUAAAAAAUCUAGAGCUCUCAACUACAAAAAUUACACUUGAUGAUCCUCUACAAGAUGAAGCUUGUUCAAUAUCUUAUCCAAAGUUUAUAAAGUAACCUUGUAACGAUCUUGAGAUUGCCUGCCUUCCUCGACGACCUGCACGAUGCGUUUGUACAAAUCAUCAUACCUGUGCACCGGAUUUUUAAUAUCAACGCCACUGCAGCUGUGAUCAAGAACAUAAGAGCGUUUAACAUCUUUUCUCCAUCGAGAAAGAAUGUAGUGAGAUGGGAUCUCCUGCAUGCCACUCUGGUUUAGAACACAAAGAAUGUGUCUGGAUAAAUAUCCUCUGAAAUUGAACAACCCACAAACACAAAGCACCUCCAAGUCGGAGGCAUUGUACAAAACAUCGAAAGCCCUUGAAUCUUUCUCGUUGCUACCAACCUCAAAUUCUUCCUUCACUAUGUAUGUUAUAGGUCCAUCAGCACUGACAUGUUUUGUGCUAUAGCAAGAGUACAUAGCCUCCACCUCCGUCUGAAACUUCCUUCACAUUUCAUUUGUGUACAGUUUUGAGAGUUGAAAUUCAUAGUCACAUCUUGGUUUCUGGAUACAACUUGAAUUUCUUGAAUCCAUAUCUGCCAAGGCUUCCGGUUGAUAAUUCGCCUGCAGUGCUUGAUCAUACUUGUGUAAGAAUUCUUUCAAAGGAGUACGCUUAUCAAGAUAUCCUUCAAAGUAUGAAGUAGAAACCUCAUUCUGCAGGAAUGAAAACACUCCUGAUAAAAAUGCUUCCUUCAAAUAAACAGGAGCCCACCUUUUACGAUCUUCAUAUAAAGUUUGAAUCCAUCCGUGAUCCUUUAUUCCAUGACGUUGAAUCAUGUCUUCCCAAGCUGCUUCAAAUUCCUCAGGCCUGAGAGAGUGAUAAAUUGCUCUAUGUAAUGCACCUCUAAUAGCUUCAUAUUCAAACAAUCCUUGGAGUUUCUCUGGAAUUUUUUGCAAGAUGCAUGACAAUGAAAAGCAAUGAUAAGCUCUUGGGAAAACAUCGCCAACAGCAAUUUGCAAGAUUCUACAUUGGUCAGUGAUGAUUGUUUGUGGAGAGCGUCCUAACAUACAUGUAAGCCACACCCUAAACAACCAUGUAUAUGAUUCUAUGGUCUCCCUGGCAAGUAAACCACAACCCAACAACACUGAUUGUCCAUGAUGAUUCACCCCAAUGAAUGAAACCAGUGGUACAUCAUAUCUUUCAGUCAAGCACGUAGUAUCAAUUAAGACUACAUCACCAAAGUACCUAUAUGCAACUCUUGACCUGGUAUCAGUCCAGAACAGGUUUCUCAAGCAUCCCUUUUCAUUUAGAUCCACUACAUUAAAAAAGUUUGGAUCUGUCAACUGCAAACGACAAAAGAAACUCUGGACAGCUUGUGCAUCUCCUGGUUUAAGCUUCAAUUGAUUUGAGCUAUUAACAUUAUUUCCAAAUACUCCAUUAACAUCUACAUUACCAUUUCCCUCGGUAUCGAUGAUAAGAGUUCGAAACAGUCUAAUUUUUUGAACGUCUUCAGCACUAUCUAAUUGCAAUGUUCUUUUGGUUCCAAUACCUAUGUGCUUAUGUGACUUGUAAAACUUUCCGCUUCUUGGGCUUAACAAGUGGUUAUGCUCAAGCUCGACUUCAAUGAUUCUCCACCUUUUGGUUUCCAUCAACCUAAACUUUAUCAUUGCUGGACAGCCAGUUCUUGUUUCUGGUCUUGGGCGGUUUGCCUCGCUUUUCUUCUUGAAGCCUGCACUACUACAGCUCAGCUUUCCUCUAUACUUUUCUCUACUCUUUCGGUACCAUGUAUUGCUAACUCUAACACCAAAACCCUGUUCCUUGGCAUAGCAAUUGUAAAAGUAAUAAACAUCAUCAUACGUCUCAAACUCCAUUCCAACAGCAGGAGCCAAUGGAUUUUGGAUUAUCCCAGUUUGUCCAACAUAUUCAGUCAUUGCACAAUCUCCUACGACCUCAAAAUCAUCAGCAUCAUCAUCACCUACUGGUUCAGUAUUCAGAGAAACUUCAUCCAUCUACAAUAGAUGUUUAAUGAAGUGAACUUUAAGGAGAAAAAGCAAAAUCAGUUCAAGGAAUGAUAAUAUAACCAUACAGUUACUUUCACAAAGCUGCGUAUUUCAUCAAUACCUUAACAACAUACAACUGCCUGAGAACGUAUAGACAUGUCAUAGACGCUUGAAUUAAGUAUUGGUACAAAUUCAUGUGGGACACAAUUUCAGUCACUAAACCCAAUGCCUUUUUUUUUCACAUCAUACCAAGGAACGGAUUAAACCCAAUACCUUCUUUUACGCCAUACCAAAGAACAGAUUAAAUCAUCAAUGAAAAAUUAAUCACAUAAUAAUUUAACUAGACAAAUAAAGAGCUCGAAACAGCACAAAACUUGAAUAUGAUUAUGAUAAUUGUUGAGUCAUUGUAUCUACAGCUUUCCUUCAACAAGAAGAUUAUGAACAUAAACUACACACAAAAAAUUUAUUUUAAACUGACAUAAAUUUAUUCAGUUACAUUGAAACCCAAAAAAGGAAGCAGGAGCUGGAGAAAAACAACAGCAGAGAAACUUAUUUCCAGAAGGUUUACGAAAUAAGGAAUUUAUUAAGACACAAAAUUUGAGGUCAACAAUAAGAAUUUGGUUCUCAUUCUCUUUUUCUUCAUUUUUCACUUAUUGAUGGAGUUACCAUACAAUCCUAAAUGAUAAAACCCCAUCUCCAUCUUUUUGAAAUAGAGUUAAAGCAAAGCUUUUUAAGAUGUUUUUCCCUAAAAGACUCAAUAGUACAAUGUUUUUCAAUAUUAAAUACACAACUCAAUCUUCCCCUAAUUUACUCUAAUAAUCUCUUAACUAAGGAAGAUUAAGCUCCACUUGUAAGCUAAAACAAGUUUCUUAAAUCAAGCCCCAAUGCUCUAUGCUAUUCAACAAGGCCUCAUAAAUGAUAAAACUACCUCUACAAAGAUACCCAUUUUAAUUUCGCAAACUAAAAUCGAACUCCUGAAACGUAACGAGCAUUAAAACAAACAAGUCCGAACAAGAACUGAAAAAUGAUACGUAAACCCGUUUCGACAAACAGUUUCCAAUCAAUGAGCAAAAAAGUUAAUGGAAAACAUGAAAUUCAAACGAAACAUACCUUAGGUUGAUAAAUUAGUAGCGCAAAAGAAAUUUUAGCGAGAUAUGGGAUCAGGGAUUUUGCCACGGUGAUGUUAAUUGCGACAUUCGGGUGACUCAGCAGCCUUCGAGGCUGAAACUUUGAUUGACCAAAAGCUUCCCGUUCGUUGAUUCUCUAAUUGCAGAAACGAAACUGGCAGUGUACAGAAGACGUACGCUGAUUUGAUAAUUCUGUGAAAAUCAUUGUUUUUUUUCAGAUUUUUAAUGUGUUCGAUAAAAUAUCAAAAUCUCAAAAACUUUUGUCUUUCAUUUUGGGGGGGAAAAACCCAUUGAGAUCCUUAUGUUUUUUCUUAUAUAAUCUGGCUUAAUAAUUUGCAAAGUCUAUUACUUAGCACCCAUGCAUGCUGCGUUCCAAUUUACAAAAUUGUACGUGAGUGCAUCCAGCUAAAAUUUGUAAAAAGAAAAUAGCAAUAACAUGUUAAAAAUGUGAUUAUUAUGAAGAAAUUUUAAUUUAGUUAAAUAGGUGACGAUGGAUAGGUAUAAAAUCUGAGAUCUUUUAUAAGGUUAAUAAAUAUGUUGAGUUUGGAUUAGUUCAAUUUUGAAAUAAUAAUAUUCAAAAUAUCUCUUAAAUCAUUAUAAACCUCAAAUCUAUUUUAAUUUUAUUUAAAAGAUAAAAGAAAAAUAGGUUAUGUUGGUGAUUUUUUAUUAUCUUUUUAAUAAAAAUGAAAUAAAUUGAUGUUUAUAAUUAUUUAAAGUAUUUUAAAGACUGCCAUUUUAUGAGAGAAAAAUAUUUCACUUUUUUUUAGUGUGAAAGGCCGAAAAAGGACAAAGCAAGUUUCCCUAGUUUUUAUUUAUUUGAAAUUGGUCAUCUCAUAUACUUCACCCUUCAACACUAUAAUUUUUUUGGUUAUAAUUUUAUUAUUUUUUCUCUUUUACACAUGCAUGUGAAUUACUUUUCUUUAAGCUCCUGAAUAUUUAAGAUAAAUCAUGGAAGAGAUGAGAGUAUAACAAGAUGACCAAAAUAUGUAACAAAAAAAUUUUAUAAGUGAAAAAUAUGUUAGAGACUUACAGUGGAAGUAAAACUCUGAGGUGAUGUUUGAUUUGAAGAAAAUGGAGGAAAUGAAAAGACUGGAAUGUAGAGGAAAAGAGAGAAAAGGAGAGGAGAGGAGAGUGAAAUUUUUUUCUAAUGUUUGGUUUGUCACAUAAUUAUACAAAGAAAGGAAAUCUCUAAUUUUUUAUUUAGACAAUUUUAACCUUAAUAAGUAUUAAGUUUUCAAUAUUUAUCAUGUGUAUAAUUAAAAAAAAAAGAAGUAAAUGGUAGAAAGCGGUUUCUGAUUCCGGCCACAUCGCCCGCAAUGGAAGGUACUUAUCAGAACAUCAAGAGCCAGCCAUCAUUCCCUAGCCAUCACUGCUGUCGGAACACUGCCGGAAAGCUGCCGAUUGAACCGCGAAAAGUCGUGGAAAUCGCUGCCUCAAAUCGGUGAGUUUCGCCCUUUUCUGGUCACGCCGUCGCCAUGGCUUUGUCCAUCAAGCCUGCCACUUCCAUUUUCAACCAUCCAUAGCCACUAUUAAUUGCCAAAUCACCGCCGAUCAGCGGGAUCUGUGGAAGUUAAAAAGUUUCUAAAUUUUUUUAACUGGAUUUGAACAACAUACGACCAUUUUUUUAUCUCGAUAACGACGUAGUAAUGUUGAUCGUUGGUCGGCAAGUCGUAUGGUAGUGGCAGUGAGUAACACGCGCCAAUCACAUCGGCGGCGGCGGCGGCACUAUCCGGCGACUGUUAAAAUAAUAUUUUAUAUUUUCAGAUUAAAUAAAUUUAUUUUAUUAAAAUUUUUAAAUCAUUAUUUAAAUUUAAUUAAUUUAAAAUUAUCUAUAAUGUUGAAUUGAUAAAAUAAAUUUAUAAAUAAUAAUUAUGUGAUUACAUUAAAUAAGUUAAAAAGUUGAAGGGUUAGUUUUGGAAGAUUUAGUUUCCAACACAAAGGGAAUUUGAAUUCUUCACUUCUUAGUGUGGAAUUCAAAUUCUAUAUUGUAAUAGAUAUUAAAUUUCAAUAAAAAUUAAAUUCUUAUAAGUUAUGUCAAACCAAACAACGAAAAUAAAAAAGAAAUUUAAAUUAUUUUUCUUUCCUCCACCCUCUCCUUCCAACUAAAUACAUCCUGAAAAUAGAGAUAUUGAUUAAUUUAGAAGAGAUUCAAGCAAAAAAUAUUCCAAAAAAAAAAGCAAUAUGUCCCUUUGGAGGGCAAACUUGUCAGUUUCAAAAAAGUACAUGCUUUGUAUUGAUAGUUGUAGGAUAUUUGUUUUGUCACUAUGUAUUAGUUGGAGAAGUCCAGCCUUGUGGAGAAUGUUAUGAAAGAGCAAAGGAUAUUCCUGAUAGCUGAUAGAGCUCUAUCUGAUUAUGUAUCCAGUGAAUGGAUGUGUUGUUGGAAGAUAUCUGAGUGCAUUAGUUCAUAUGUGUCUGUCAAUGUGCUUUUAAUGAUUUUUCCACCUGUUUGUUGUAAAAGAUUAUUGUAAAUUGAAAUGAACUUGAUGUUUUAAUAUUUUCUUCCGUAAAUUGAAAUGAACUUGAAUUAAAUCUCGUUGAAUUUAAUAUUAUCUCCUUAGUGGAAUUUCACCUAGUAUGUAUUCAGUUGUGUUGUCUAUAAUUUUGCAUUCGAGUAAGUUUCACCUAAAACAUUAGCAUGAGUAGUGGCCCUUGAACCUUUGGUCAAAAUUAUUGUUAUUAUUUCUGACUAGAUGUAAAUUUUGUAUUAAAUCUCGUUAACACAAUUCUUAAUUAAAAGUAUAGGUUAGUGUUGGUGCAAGAUUUGCCACACCAAAUUCUGCCUAGCUGUCAAAAGUGCAAAAUAAAUGAAGAGAAAGCACAAAUACACGACUUGAAUAAGGAUACAACGAAACUUAAAUUCAAGAGAAAAUGAUAGCUAUAUCCCAAGAUUUGAAAAAGUAGUCAUGUAGGUUUUUAAGAUUUCAAUAAGCGACUGAGAUUCAAAUAAUAUCCUUUAAUUCUAUUAAUAAAAAACAAAGACUCAAAUAUUUUAUGAUAAAUAAAAAUAUAAUAUUAAAAUAUAUGUGAUAAUAUACACAUUUUAAAUACUUUCAAUCCAAAAAAAUAGUUAUGUUUUACAAUCUAUUAGACAUAUUUUAUUAAAUUAAUAUAAAUUUUCUAUAAAAUAAGAAUAUAAUAUUAAAACAAAUUCACAGAAAUUUAAAGAAUUUUGAAUGUAAAAUAAUUUUAAUAUAUUAAUACGUGAGUUUUUUUAUUAAUAUAAAAAUUAUUUAACUUUAAGAUUUUUUAAAAUCUUUACAAUAAGUAUAACUAUAUUAUUUACAUUUAAAAAUAUUUAAAUAUUAUUAACCUACAAUUAUAUUUGCAUUUGUUAGAAAUUUUUAAAGUCAAAUAUUUUGCACUUCUAUAUUAUUAGAAUUAUUGCACACAAAGAAAGAAACAUAUACGUUUAGAAAUUGUUUUCUUUUAAAAUAGAGAUGAUGAUUAGUAUAAGGAUCAAAAAAAGGAUAAAGAAUAUUAAUGAUUAACGAAAACUCUAUACAAAUUGAUUUUAGUAGGAAAAGAGUGAGAUGAAUGAUUUCUUUUACAGUUAGAAAAAUAGAUGAUGAUUAUUAUAACGAAGAAGAAAAGAUAAAGAAUAUUAAUUAUUAAUGGAAUCUCUAUGCAAAUUGAUUUCAGUAGGAAAAAAAAUGAGUUAAAUGAUUUAGAGUGCGUUUGGAAUUGAGAUUGGACAGCCAUAGAUUUUAAGUUACAACACUGAAGUGUUUGGUAAAUACUAGCUGCUGCAGAUUGAAAGUUAUGUUGAUAUGAUUUUUCACAUGUAUCAUAGAAAAUAUAUUACAUCUUUAAUAAUUUUUUUAAAAUUUGUAUUUGCUAUAUAUUGUUUUUUUUAUAUAGUUAUAACUUUUUUUUUUUCCACAGCAGCUGUAGCUUAAAAGCUACAGCACCUCAAUCUCAAACAAGUCCUUAGACAUUCAUAGUGUGUUUAUUUUUUGGAUUGGUGAAUCAAAAUUAUUGACAACGCUAACUUCAUCUUCACCGUUCGCAAUCCAACAGCAGCAAUUGUCGCCAAUAAUGAUAUCGCCGAUGAUGAUGACAAUAAUAAUAAUAAUAAUAAUAAUAAUAAUAAUAAUAAUAAUAAUAAUAAUUAUUAUUAUUAUUAUUAAUAAUUAAUAUAUUAAUAUAUUAAUGUUAAUAUUAUUAUUAUUAAGAUUAACAAUAAUUAUUAGUAAUACAAUUUUUUGAAUAAAAAUAAUCACAAUAAUUAAAAUACAAAUUAACAAUUAUGACAAUAGUUAAUUAAUGUCUUUUUAGUAAUUUGUAAUAAUCUAACUCAUUUUAAUUCUGAUUAUUACAGUUUAAGUAAAUAAAUUAUUAUGAUUCCUAUUCUCCUUUUCUAUUUUAACUCACUUCGAUUCCAGUCUAUUCUGAUUUUUGUUUAAUAAACGCACCAUUAGUGCUAAAGUAAUAUUUCAUACAUAGAAAAGUAAAAACUACACCUAAGGUUAAGGGAAAGGACUUCAAAACUCUCUUUUGAUCAUAAUACAUUUUGUACUAAUUAACUUAAAGAUUUUGAAUCUAAUAUUUUAUAAUAAAUAAAAAUAUAUUCCUAAAAUAAAUAUAAUAUCAAUAUUUAAAAUAUGUUUUAAUAUUUUACACAUUUUAUUAUAUUAAAGUAGAUUUUAUAAUAAAUACAAACGUCCUAUUAAAAUGAAUAUAUAAAAAAUUUAGAAAAUUUAGAAUAUUAUAUAAAAUAAUUUUAAUAUAAUGCGUGAGAUAUAUUUUAUUAAUUUAAAAUGUUAUUUUACCUAAAAAAUAUGAUAAAUUAAUAAUUACAUAUUUGAAGUUAUUUCAAAUAUUAAAAAAAUUUAAUAUUAUUAGUCUUUUAGAUAGAUUAAAUUAUUUUUUUUAUAAGAGAUAGAUUAAAUUAUUUUAAAAUGCCUUAAUUAUUUUUACUUUUAACGUUACCGGCCUUUCUUUUAUUUUAUUGCAAAUUAAUGCUAACAAGAAAAAGCUAGAUCAUAUUCCACAAAAGCAAAAGUGACAAACACAACCAGCUGGAAUCUUUUAUAAAACUACAAAUUAAAAUGGAUUUUUUUUUUGAUAAAUUACACAUGAAAGUGGAUUCUUUUGAAUAUAAGUGGAGUAGGCUCUUUUAUUUUAUUUUUGAAUAUUGUAUAACGGGACUGUAGACUCUUUUAUUAAACUACAAAUUGUAUAGUCUUUUUAAAAUUGUUAUAAAUUAAUGGCCCCCACAAUCCUCAACAAUUGUACCGAUAUUCACAAGUUGGUGGCCCCUACAAUUCUGUUCCGAUAAUUUAACUGUGCAAGUGCUCAUUCACAAUCUUCCAGGUCAUGCUCUCAAUAAUUGUUUUUUUUUCCUGCAUUCCCUUUGGGAAAUUUACGAAAAUAAUCAUUAAUAUUUUAUUAUUUUUACAAUUAACCGUCUUAAUUUUUUUCUAUCAACAUUAGCCAAAUACAAGUCUUUCUUCCCAAAUUACCCUUCUUUACAGAACAAAACCAACAUUGUUUCUCCCAUAUCGCCAAACCAAAAGCAGCUUUUUAUUCUUAAAUCAUCAGCCAACGGCGACCGCAAAAGACAACGGUAAAAGUGAUAUCCGAUCAUAAUCUAUCCGGAUCCAACACAAAUCUACAUCACUCAGUGGUAUGAAUUAUUUUUUGAACUUACUGAACUCAGUCGGGUGAAUCUGAGUCUGGCGACAGGCUGCCUGUCGCAGUAAAACUUGGUGCGACAGGCAACCUGUCGUACCAAACCUUGGUGCGACGGGCACCCUUGGAGAUUUAUUAAAAAUGUAUUAUUUUAAUAGGACUCAAAUAAUUUUUUUUUAUAAUUUCAGGCUUAAUGGAUUCAGUUGUACUUGAAUUGUGUUACGAUGGUUGGUGGGAGACAUUAGAGAAUGGCUGUAUGGAGUACGUGAAUGGUAAAAAUCGAGCUUUUUUGGUUGGAAAAAAUUACUUGUUUGAUCAGUUAUUGGCAAGAGUAUACGAGGUAUUAAAAAUAAACCCUAAUGACUAUAGUAUCACAAUGAAGACAACUUUGAGGUCUAGUAACACAUUAUAUCGUAUAUGUGCAAUGCCCAUGGAUAUAUGUGAUGAUGAAAUGGUGAGGGUUGUGUUGCAUAUGGCAUCUGACGUAGCUAAUUUUGGAUGCAUUCCUAUAUUCGUGACCACAUCACCUCGACUUCCGAGCGAAGGUAUUGAGCCACAUGUCGAUAUAGAAACUUCGUUUAGAGCAAAUAUGUCUGGCCCCGAUAAUGAUGAAGAGGUGUUGCCAAGGACAAUAUCGCUGCAGCAAUAUUACUCUCCAAUCCACGACAAUUAUGAUAACAUUGAUGAUAAUAGCGUUACGUUACAGGAUGUUGGAGCAACGGUAUUUCCAAUAACAACGUCGUUGGAGCAACGAUAUUCUCCGUAUCACAACAAUGAUUUUCGGGACAAUGAUGAUUUUCAUAAUGAGACAGAGGAGGAUAAUGUUUGUGCAGAACCUUCUAAUAAUACGAGGCGGGGCACUCGUUUCAAUAAUGAUGGUGAUGAUGGAGGAGUCGGUCAUUCGAAUGUUCCGUCGUUUCAGCAUGAGGAUGAGUGUGAAGACAAUACUCCUGUGAAUAACAGAGGCAAUAGACCUAUUCCUUCUAUGGUUCGAUCGAGAAGGAGAAUUGACCCCCUUACAAGUCUUGCUCCAACUUUACCUUCGAACAUGGUUGCUCCAAGCUUUGUUAGCAGUUGUGACUCAGAUGAUAUCAGCGUGGGUAAGCUAUUUGUUGAGAAGAAUGAGCUUAUAUUACAACUACGCAAGGUGGCCUUUAGAGAUAAGUUUGAUUUCAAGAUUGCACGGUCUACUACGACACGUUUCGAGGCUCACUGUUGUUCAGAAUCAUGUAAAUGGCAUAUUCGAGCAACUAGAAGUUCGAACGAGCAAAAUGUUCCUUGGGUGGUGAAGAGAAUUGAUAAUGUACACACUUGUCAUAAUGAGGUAUUGAUUGAUGGACGUCAUCAAGUAAGGAGCCGGGUUGUCGGUCAUAUUAUCGCAGAAAAAUAUAUUCAAGAUAAGAGGAUUUAUACUCCCAAUGACAUAAGAGCAGAUAUGCAACAGGAAUACGGUGUUCAGUUAACAUACCAGCAGGCAUAUAGGGCGAGAGAAGUUGGUCUUGAAAUAGUUCACGGCAACCCUGCAGAGUCAUACAACUUGCUCCCUAAAUACUCUCACGUACUAACUACAACGAAUGAGGGUACAGUCACUCACCUCGAGCAGGAUGGAGAUGGUAAUUUCUUGUACUAUUUUGUAGCACUCGGAUAUUCCAUCAAGGGGUUUAUGCAGUACAUUCGGCCUGUCAUUGCUGUAGAUGGUACUCAUCUAAAGAGAUUAUAUCGUGGAAGCAUGUUCGUGGCAACAUGUCUUGAUGGUAACAAUCAAUUGUAUCCGUUAGCCAUUGGGAUCAUGGAUUCAGAAAAUAAUGAUGCUUGGGAAUGGUUUAUGAUGAAGUUACACGGAGUGAUUGGUGAUAGACCUGAGUUGGUAAUUAUCUCUGAUCGAUGCACUGCCAUAAGGAGAGCCGUUCUUAAAGUAUUUCACAAUGCAACUCAUGGCGUUUGUUUUUACCACGUCAAAGGUAACAUUAAGUCACAAUUUAGAAUGUCCAAAGCUCUUUGGGAUGAAUUUGAGCAUGCCUUUAUUAAUGCAGCAAAAGCAUAUGGCCACGAGGAAUUUAAGAGACAACUUGAAGGGUUGUGGAUGAUCCACUCGGGUGCGGCUGAUUACUUAGAAAAUAAUGUCGGCACGUGUAAUUGGGCAAGGUCUCAGUUUCAAGGUAGGAGGUACAACAUUCUUACCACCAACAUCGCGGAGAGUGUUAAUGCUUUCAUGAGGGAACCUCGAAAAUUUCCUGUUACUCAUCUUGUUGAUCACUUCAGGAAAACAUUGCAGCAAUUGUUUUAUGAUAGAAAAAUUGUGGCUGAAUCAAUGACUACUCGGCUAACAACAUGGGCGGAUGAAAUAGUCACUGAGAGGAGAACUAUAGCUGAAAGAAUGAUAGUUCGGCCGGUGUCUCCGCAUCGCUUUCAAGUUAUAGGCGGUGGGCUUAAGGAAGGGUUGGUUGACUUGCAAAAGAGAACUUGCUCCUGCAGAGUGUUUCAGCUUGAUCAGCAUGUGUGUGCUCAUGCAAUUGCGGCGUGUCUAACACACCGGGUGGAUUUUAUUAACCUUUGCUCGGACUUUUACACUACAGAAUCGUUGGCGAUGGCUUAUGCACAACCAGUGGAGCCAGUUGGUGAUGUGGCUGAUUGGGAAGUUCCAGAUGAAAUUCAGGAGAUGCAGGUAUACCCACCAGUUGAGGCACCACUACCUGGCCGUCGUAAAGAGCUCAGAAUACCCUCGACUGGCGAGGACGUUGACCGGCGGACUGUAAGAUGCGGCCGGUGUCAUGAACUAGGCCAUAAUCGUAAGCGAUGUAAGAAUCCUAUUGCGUCGACUCGAAGUUAGUUGUAUUUUGUGUGUUAUUCGUUGGUUAAAACUAUUAUUGUUUUUGUGUUACAUUGGUUAAAACUGUUAUUGUUUUUUGUAUUUCGUUGGUUAAAACUGUUAUUGUUUUUUGUGUAUUGUACACUUAUAUUCAUAAAACUUUAUUUUAUUUUAAAGUUCAAAAUGUGAGGCAUUAAAAUUAUAUAAACUUAAGUGCGGAAAUUAAAAAAAAUGCAAAUUUCAACAUUGAAAUUACUACAUAGGUCUACAAUAUAAUAUCGUCAUUAAAUAUAUCAACCGCAAUCUUCUUUCUAAAGUACUCGACAUGACUAGCGUUAAACUCCAAUCUAAGCCCGAACAUUAAAUACAUCGUAACCAUCAAUACAAAAACACUGCAAUCGCUAGUUCCGGGCUCUUGUUGUGGUGCGCUCUUAACUGCGAUAACUUUCCACGGGUCUUCACUCCGCAACUCAGGUCGGAUAUUGUAGAAGCCAACAUAUUCCAACCAUCGAGGGAAUAUAACUUCAAGUGGCUUGAAUUUCAACUUGUACUUUUUGUCGUCGCGAAAUGUGAGUAAUGAGUCAUAAAUCCAGACUUUAUUUUUCCGAAAGUCAACUCGUGCUAGUACCCAAUGCGCGCCGUCCAAGUUAACAGGGAUGAGUAACUGCAUAUAAAAAUUAAAAAAACAUGUUCGUUAUAUAUGAAAUUGAAAUACAACAAAGAAAAAGCAACAACUCGAAUAUUUUCAUUAUAGAGCAUGUGAAAUGUAAUAAAAUACACACCAUAUCGACAUCCGUCAUUAAUUUUGACAUUGUGUGCUGUCGCCCACAAAGAUAACUAUUCAAGCGGUCGUCGAAUACCAUUGAAUCAACUGCACAAUUCCUGUUAUUCCAUAACUGAUUCAAGAACACCUAGUACAUAGAUAACCAAGAAAUGCAUAAAUUAAUAAAACUUAAAGGCAAUAAUUAAACAAAUUAAAUAGUAUUUAUAAGUUUUGUCGGCACGUUACCCAAAAAAAUGUGUCAGUAUGUGUGACACGUUGGAGUAAGGCAUUUGGAUACUGCCGUUGUUUCUCGCUAAUCAAGCGGAGAUACUCGUGAAUAUGCUGUAGAGAAACAAAAAUAUUACGAUUUAAAAAAAAAUUAUACACAAAUCCACAACAGUAUACACCACGAGGAAAAUAUAAAUACCUCAUCGCCUAGCCAUCCCAUCGAAGCUGUCCCCAAAAUUAUUUGAAAGAAUGACCGCAGGUGCUGGACUCUCCGGCGGACUCUGCUAUCACCAGUGAACCAUCGAUCAAACUCAGCAAACAAACUAGAGUCCUCCAAUCCUCUCAGUGGAUUUACAUCCACACUCGUACUCAUGUCAAUCGCAUGCUCCAUCAUUUGGGGUCGAGGUAACCUCCGGACGUUCUGUCCACGCCUGACCGGAGGAAUCAUGUAAGGACUGUUAUAAACAUACGACGGUAUGUACGCGCGGCCGAACUUACUAACGCCCGGAGGCACCUCUGUGAACACCUGCAUGCUCUCCCCACUAACAUCCCCGUAUAAACUAUAAAAUGACGUGGGCGUAGACAAAUUUUCAUUGCCCACGUCAGUAUACACUCCAUAGUCAUCCGGGGCCUGUACAUUCGCCAAAAAGAACAUAUUAAAUAAUUAUCAAAUUAAAAGUUAAACGAACAUAAUUAUUUAAUUUAAAUUAGCUUACCGCAUACGAGCGUGCAGUGGGAGAAUCCUUAUUUGGAUGUUUAGAAAAUGUGUCGAUGAAGCCAACAACGGUUUCUUUAAAAUCUUUUAAUUCUGACUUUAUUUCAUACACAUUACGAUCAAUCUUAUCCAGCCGUCGUCGUACGUAAUCAUUAAACUGCUUUGUCCUCGACUAUUACAAAAGAAAAAAAUAAAACUUUAGAAUAACAAUAAAAAAAUAAUAAUUUAUAAAGGAAAAAUAUCGUAUAUUAUUUAUAACCUCAGAAUCCCGUGCGUCAUCAGAGUUGUCUGUUUGCUGCUGGUGGUCAUCAACAGCCACCUCAUCCUCAAAAGUGUCAAGACGCUGCUCUGGUAUUGGGUUUAGUAUGUCGUCAUGAUCAUCAUGCUCGUCCGAUUGUCUUGUAACCGACGGCAUCGCGUUGAUUGAGGGUUGGUGCUGUAUAAAGUAUCAUUUAAAAUUACUAAAUGAAAAGUCAAAAAUUUCGAUAAAAAAAUUUUUAGUACUUACAGUAUACCGACCUUAUGAAUCCAAUCUGGAAUGCUUGGCAAGUAAUCCUUCACAGAGAGUCAAUAUUUUCUGCUACUCUCUUUUGAAUUUGGCUCAAGAGUUUGUAAAAUGUCCGUCUGCCAUAAAUUCAAUUGAAAAAUUUAAGUAAGUAUACCCAACUUAAAUUUAGUAAAGUUAAAAAAUAAGUAAUACAUAUUACUUACAAGACGAGAUUCGUCGUUGAAGAACGAAUAAACCUCCGCAAAGUUGAUUCUCGAAGACGUCAUGGGCUUCCAUUGCAGAAUGCGGGGAAUCUUACUCUUCGUUUUGACGACCCAUGUUGAUGGCAACCCUCCGAUUGCUUCGUAAAUCCAAGCCUACAACAAACCAAAGUGAAAAAUCAAAUAAAACAACUAUCAAAUAUUUAAUACUAUAAAACUUAUUAAUAAACAAAAAAAAGCACCUGCACCCCAGACGUAAAGCCGUAAAGAUUAUAUUUUUCAAUAUUAUGAUCUGAAUUUUUCAACCGAGUCUUCUUAAAUUUCUCGUCUUUCUCGAACAGUGCAUUGUCAAGACUCUCGUAAAUCAUUUCCCACGACAAUAGACCCCAUGGCGCUUUCGGAAGUACUGUAUAUCAUCAACUUGGUCAAGCCAAUCGAAAUUAAUUUGACAGUGAUUUUUUCUUGCAUUUAGUACUCUGUCCGCAAAAUAAAACAGCGCAAUCUUUAAUGCGUCCAUAUCGUCCAUUUCCUCGAAAUUCAACUCCUUAAAUACUGCAUCAAAUUGCUUCACAUUAAUCUUACGAUGCACACCACCAAAAUACGUAUUCCGUAGCCUCUGCUCCAUUUCAUCAUUUUUUUCAUUGGUAUCAACACCAAAUGAAAGUCCAGUAACCAAGCACCAUUCGAUAAUUGACAAGCGAAUCAAAUGCUUACCAAUUUGAAACCAUAACUGAUCCUCACAGCUAUCUUCUUCAUGGGCCACUUGCCGCAGUAAACGAUUGUGCAAAAUUACCCCACUAAAUGGAAAACUUCGGCACUCCAAGAAAUGCCCAAAUAUAUCCUUUUUGAACAUACUCAACUGCCGCUUUGUUAAUUUUUCCUCGAUGGCUUUUACGACCGAAGAUAACAUACACAUGCUCGAAAUUCGACCAGGAAAGUGAUCAGCAUAACGAAAAUACAUCUUGCCUACUUCAAUAUCCGGUGAUUCUGAUUUCGCCAUGUAUCUGUAAUAUUUAUAAAAUUAUUACAUUACAUUUACAAAAUUAUUACCAAACUCUAAUUUUUUGGUGCGACAGGCGCCUGUCGCUCCAAAAAACUGCCUGUCGCACCACAGCUGGUGCUCCAAAAUCGAAAACAAUACUCCCAAACACUACCAACUACCACAAACAUCAUCACCACCACUAUUAAUCUCAAGCUAUAACUAUUAUUAUUCUAAAAUCUCAUUUUAAAUUAAUGAAAAUAAGAAAAAUGACUAACCUAGGUUUUGUUGAAGGUUGUAGAUCGUAGAUCGGAUGCCGGUGAGAGAUGGAGCCGCCGCCGACGAGGGUUGAUGUCGCCGCCGAUGAUGGGAGUUGGAUCGGUUUGGGAGAGAUGAGUGAAAAAGGGAGUGUUGGGGAAGAGAUGAGGGAUGGGUAUUUUGGUCUCAAAUGUUGUUUUAUGGCUAAUGUUGAUAGAAAUAUUUUUGGGGGGUUAAGAUGAAAAAAAACAAAUUUGUUUUGGUUAUUACUGUAAAUUUCCCAUUCCCUUUCAUGCUCUUAAUAAUUGAAGAGCAUACUUUUCAUUUUCAAAUGUGGAGCCGCAUCUAAUGUCGCUAAUUUAAUUUGGGAUUAAAUUAGGGGACCAUUAUAUUGCAGUGUGUACUAAUUUUUGUGUUUAUCUAAACUCCUUAAGUUUAAGACAUAUUAUGGCAUAAAUAAGAAUAUAACAAUAACAAAAGAGAUGCCGGAGCAGAUCAGCAGGGUUUGAAUAUGACCUUUGGCGGUUGCUUUUUUUUUGUGAUUUUUUUCAUUUUUUCCUUCCUGUCAUUUUAUCAUUUAUUUGGCUCUGUUUCUAUUGCGGGUGUUACUGCAUGCUUACUGUUGCUUGACAAAGUUUGCUAGCUUUUUGUUUGCAGUGCUGCUAUUCACCCCGAGUCAAGCUCCGAAAAUUUAUUAAACAACGCCGUUUCGAUAGUAACAAUUUUUUUCUUUUCCCUUUGUCUGUCUCUUUCAUCUGCUGUUUCUCUAUCACUUUUCAUUUUUUAUUUCCUUACUUCCCAGCUGCCCCUAAAUUGUUAUUCUAGCAAUAUACUUUCUCAUCUUUGAAUUUUCAUCCUUGAGUACUCCCACAGCCGUAAUUUCAUCAUUAUAGACUUCACUUGGAAUGCUGUAUUUUUUCGAUUCUUAAGCUACUUCAAUUACAUCUCCCAGUAUAGGAUCCUCAUCUUCCUUUAUUUCUUCAUCUUAUGAGGUAACAAAUGGAUUUCACAACUCAUCUACUUUUAAGCAAUUACAUAUUAUACCUUGAAUGAUUCAACUGUUCCGACAGUUAAAGAUUUUAUGCUCAACCUGCAGUGCUACGAACAUUGUCCAUGAAAGAUGAGUUUCAGCAUAUAAAAUGAAAUAUAGAUGUUUAAUCUAAAAUAACCCUUCACUGCCAAGAAACCUAGGUCACAAAAUUCACAGAUAAUGAUAAAGAGCUAAAAAAUUUGAAAAACUCUACAGAUCACACAUCAAGCAAGAUAUCAUGUUUUUUUCCCUCAUUCGGUGGUGAUUGAUUCGCUUUUUGAUGAUGGAUAUGGUAUAAAAGUUUUGACCCAAUUUCAAGCAAACACAAAUAGAAACACAAAUAGAAACACAAACACAAUCAGGACUAGAGUUGUGGGCGAUUAUCUUAGGUGUACAAGUGAAACGGUGGUGGCUGUCGAUGGUGGUAGUGGGGUGGUUGGGUAUGCGUGAUGGCUAGAUUUUAGGACAAUAAUGGUUGGAGUUGACCUCGAUCAACGAAGGAAAGUGACAACAAUUUUGACAUCAAACGGUGCAUUUUUUAGCUUAGUAAAAUGGAGCCGUUUCGAAUUUGGGGUUUAAUCCGGGGUUUGACUCGGCGCAAGUAUCAUUUUCCUUUUGUUUAUUAAAUUUUUUAUGGUCACAAAGUAUUACUCGUUCUAUUUGAGAGUGAUGUGAAUCAAUUUUUCAAUUUUAUAUUUUGUGGUCAAUGUGAAUUUAAUUUCAUUUGUCUCCUGCAAUUAUGAAAAAAUUGCAGUCAUAAUAUGGAAAAGUACACCGGCAAAAACUUUGUAAAAGCUUCGGAGUGAUACGGGGAAUUUACUUACUACUGAGGACAAUUGGUGGCAAAGCUAUUCCAUUCAUUUUAUGUCCAUCCAUCUAUUUAGCUAUUGAAGAUUAGUGGUCCAUUUGUAAAUUUCAGAUUGUCUCUCUCUCUCUCUCCCACUUGAAAUAACAAUAUUUAAUAUAUCUCUUAAAUUAUUAUAAAUUUUAAUUUACUCUCGAUUUAAAAUGGAGCAUGUCGAUAAAAAAUUUUUCUUCUUAAUAAAAUUGACGUAAGUUGUGUGUUACAGUAGUUUGAAGUUUGAAAUAUUUUAAAGAUUAUUAUUCUAUAAGGGAGUAAUAUGAAAUGAUAUUUACUUUUCAUGUGUGAAAUGAAAAAGGACGAAGCAAGUGUCCCUGCUUUUAUUUUAUUUCAAGGAGGAGUCAUCUCACAUACUUUAGCUCUUAACAUUACAUUUUUUCUGGUUACAUUUUUUAUUUAUUUAUUUUUUUUUUUUUACACAUGCGUGUGGGUUGCUUUUCUGUAAGCUCCUUAAUAUAUAUUUAAGACAAAUCAUGGAAGAGAUGGGAUUAUAUCAAGAUGAUCAAAGCAUGUAAAAAAAGAAAAAAGAAAAAAAAAAAUUAAGAAGUAAGACACUGAAAAUGGAGAAGAGAUGGAAGCAAAAGAUAUUCCAAAACAAAGCAAUCUAUCCCCUUUCGAGGGCAGACUUAUCAGGUUUAAAAAAGUACAUGCUUUGGAUUGGUAGUUGCAAUCAAGGGAAAAUAAAUAGGAUCCAAUGAAAUUUAAAUCUCGGAGAAAAUAAAUAAUCAUGCAGAUUUUCAAGAUUUUAAUAAGGGAUACUAAUAUCUUAUUUUGAUUAAUAACAUUCUUUUAUUGUGUUAACUCAAAAAAAAUAUUAUAAUGCUUUACAAUAAAUACAAAUGUCCUAUUAAAUGAAUAUAUAAAAAAUUUAGAAAAUUUAGAAUAUUAUAUAAAAUAAUUUUAAUAUAAUGCGUGAGAUAUAUUUUAUUAAUUUAAAAUGUCAUUUUACCUAAAAAAUAUGAUAAAUUAAUAAUUACAUAUUUGAAGUUAUUUCAAAUAUUACUUAAUUGUUUUUACUUUAAACAUUACCGGCCUUUCUUUUAUUUUAUUGCAAAUUAAUGCUAACAAGAAAAAGCUAGAUCAUAUUCCACAAAAGCAAAAGUGACAAACACAACCAGCUGGAAUCUUUUAUAAAACUACAAAUUAAAAUGGAGUUUUUUUAAAAAAAUUGUUAUAAAUUGGUGGCCCCUACAAUCCUCAAUAAUUGCACCGAUAUUCACAAGUUGGUGGCCCCUACAAUUCUGUUCCGAUAAUAAUUGUUUUUAUUUUUCUGCAUUCCCUUUCAUGCUCUUAAUAAUUGAAGAGCAUACUUUUCAAAUGUGGAGCCACAGCUAAUGUCGCUAAUUUAAUUUGGGAUUAAAUUAGGGGACCAUUAUAUUACAGUGUGCACUAAUUUUUGUGUUUAUCUAAACUCCUUAAAUUUAAGAUAUAUUAUGGCAUAAAUAAGAAUAUAACAAUAACAAAAGAGUAAAAAAGUGUAGAGAAGAUCUUGCAGAAAUAUAAAUAAUAUCUAUUUUAAAAUAAUUUUUAAUAUUUUAUGAUCCAUUAGAUAUAUUUAUUAUAUUAAAGUAAAUUUUAUAAUAAAUAAAAACAUACUAUUAAAAUGAAUAUAUAGAAAAUUUAGAGUAUUUUAAAUAUUAUAUAAAAAAUUUUUAAUAAAAUAUGUGAGAUAUUCAUAUUUUAUUAAUUUAAAAUACCAUUUAACCUAAAGAUUUAUUUAUGAUAAAUUAAUAAUUAUAUUUUUGAAAUUACUUCAAAUAUUAAAAAAUUAAUAUUACUAAUCUGUUAGAUAGAUUAAAUUAUAUAUAUUAUUUUCUAUUUAUUAAAAAAUUAAAAUUAUUUUUAAUUACUAUUCAAAAAAUAUAAUGAAAAAACAUAAUGAUAAAAAAAUCUUAACAUCUUUAUUAAAAAAUUAAAAACUUAUAUGAUAAAUUCUCUAAAUAUUUACGGUAUAUGUGAACCACGGUGGAUAAGCUUUAUUUAAUAUUAUUGAUUUAAAUAAUAUGUCAAUUAAAAAUGUACAGAGAAGAAAUUUCGGUGGGUAUUUUAGUCUUUUAAGCAAUUAUCAUGAUCAGAUCAGCCUUUAGCCUUCAAACGUCGGUCAGAAAAGUUUUAAAAUUAAUGCUAAAUUGUUUUUCACUUUUAACGUUGGUGGCCUUGAAAUUGCUUGUAUUUUAUUAAAAAUUAAUGCUAACAAGAAAAAGCUAGGUCAUAUUCCACAAAAUCAAAAGUGACAAAACAACCAGCUGGUUUCUUUUACUAAACUACAAAUUAAAAUAAAUUUUUUCGAUAAAUUACAAAUUAAAGUGGAUUCUUUUGAAUACAAAUGGGACAGACGAUUAGGCUCUUUUUAUUAGAGGCAAGUAAAAACUAGUCAAGAAUCGAACAGUCUUUUUCCAAUUCUUGUUUUAUUAUUUUUCAAAACUAGUUUUUGGUAAUUACAACCGGGUCAUUAAUCAUUAUUCAGAGUUACUGUUAUCUUCGGGGGCAGUGGGUAAAAGAUAAUUACUAACUGUUUUUCCUUCAAAAGUUAGCGGCUCAUGUUUGCAAGUGUGAAUGUGCGAUGCUCUUUUCUUAAAGGCCAUUACAGUGGGGCCCGAAUCAGACGUGCCUAAAUCUUUUUAAAAUUUUUGCCGUAUAACGAACAGAGGUCAUUACUAAAAUUUCUCUUCCACAGCCUACAGCAGCUUCAGUUUAUCAAACUCCAUCAAUUUUCUUUCUUAACAAAAUUCCAAAGAUGUGUAGCAUUUUUCAGAUCACAUGCGAUGGUGCUCUUUUCAAUCGUUGCUUGGAUUGCUUUCUUGGAAAAGCAGCAUACAUACGUAACCUCCAAGAUAAUCUUGUAGCCUUGGAGACUGAACUGGGAAGACUAAUCGCAGCAAAGAACGAUGUGAUGAUGAGGGUUGUCAAUGCUGAACGGCAACAAAUGAGAAGGCUGGACGGAGUGCAAGUGUGGGUUUCGAGGGUGGAUUCUGUUAAAACUGGAGCCGACGAACUUAUCACAGACGGCUCUGAAGAAAUUGGCAAAUUAUGUGUUGGAGGCUACUGUUCCAAGAACUGCAGGUCAAGCUACAAAUCGAAAACAAGUGGCUAGAAAGCUACGACAUGUGAAGACUUUAAUCGCCGAGGGAGUUUUUGAGGCGGUGGCCACUGAGGUGGUGCCCGAGAGAGCUCCGGAACCUGUAGCAGAUAAAAGACCCACUGAGCCAACAAUAGUAGGCUUGCAAUCACAGCUUGAACAAGUUUGGAGAUGUCUUGUAGAAGAAUCAGUGGGAAUCAUUGGCCUAUAUGGUAUGGGCGGUGUUGGUAAAACCACACUAUUGACCCAUAUCAACAAUAAAUUUCUUGAGAGUCCCACAAACUUUGAUUGUGUGAUUUGGGUCGUAGUUUCAAAAGACCUGCGACUUGAAAAAAUUCAAGAAGAUAUUGGGAAGAAGAUAGGUCUGUCUGAUGAUUCAUGGAAGAAUAAAAGUUUUGAAGAGAAAGCUGUGGACAUCCUGCCGAGAUUAGGAGAGAAGAGAUUUGUAUUGUUGUUAGAUGAUUUAUGGGAGCGGGUUGAUUUAACAGAAGUGGGCGUUCCACUUCCCAGCGCACAAAAUACUACCUCAAAAGUCGUAUUCACAACCCGUUCCAUUGGUGUUUGUGGCAGCAUGAGAGCUAGGCCGGUUAAAGUGGCAUGCCUAUCAGAAAAGCAAGCUUGGGAACUGUUCCGCGAAAAUGUUGGGGAAGAAACUCUUGAGAGUGAUCAUGAGAUCGUUGAGCUAGCCCAAACUGUGGCCAAAGAGUGUGAUGGUUUGCCACUCGCACUUAUUACUAUUGGUCGAGCUAUGGCCUACAGAAAGACAGCCGAGGAGUGGAGUCAUGCAAUUGAUGUGCUAAGAACAUCAGCUUCUGAGUUUGCAGGUUUGGGAGAGAAGGUGUAUCGUCUUUUAAAGUUUAGCUAUGAUAGUUUGCAGAAUGAUACGGUUAGAUCUUGUUUCUUGUACUGUUGUUUAUAUCCUGAAGAUUAUGGCAUUCUUAAAUGGGACUUGAUUGAUUGUUGGUUUGGCGAGGGAUUUUUUGGGGAAUCUGACAGGUCUGGUGCAGAAAACCAAGGAUAUGACAUUUUGGACACUCUUGUUCGUGCAUGUUUAUUAGAAGCGGUGGAAGAUGGUGAAGUAAAAAUGCAUGACGUUAUUCGUGAUAUGGCUAUAUGGAUAACUUGUGAAAUUGAGAAGGAGAAGAGAAACUUUUUGGUUCGUGCAGGUGCUGGAUUAAAAGAGGCACCGGAUGUUAAAGGAUGGGAAAAUGUGAGAAGAUUGUCAUUGAUGCAAAACCAAAUUGAAACUGUGUCAGAGGUUCCCACAUGCCCUCAUCUCCUCACUUUAUUUCUUGACUUUAAUCAGGAGUUGGAGAUGAUCGCGGAUGGCUUCUUCCAACUUAUGCCUUCUCUCAAAGUUUUGAAGAUGUCAAACUGUGGACAGAGGAGGUUGAAAUUACCUGUUGGGAUGUCAGUGUUGGGUUCAUCACUAGAACUUCUCGAUAUUUCAUGUACUGGCAUAACAGAGUUACCAGAGGAGUUAAAGAAGUUGGUAAAUCUGAAAUGUUUGAAUUUGAGGUGGACAGGUGCGUUAAUUAGAAUUCCACGGCAACUAAUAUCAAAAUUUUCAAGGUUACGUGUGUUGAGAAUGUUCGCUAUUGGCUAUGAUCGUUUUCAUGAAGCACCAGAAGACAGCGUUUUAUUUGGUGGGGGUGAAGUUUUGAUACAGGAAUUGCUCGGUUUGAAAUAUUUAGAGGUAUUGGAGUUGAGCUUGGGAAGUUAUCAUGCUCUCCAAAUUCUUUUGAGCUCAAAUAAGUUAAAAAGUUGUAUUCGAUCUCUUUGCCUCGAGUUCGCCGGAGAUACAGCGUCAAUUAUUGAUGCUACGGCUUUCGCAGAUCUAAACUACCUCAAUGAAUUAAAUAUUUAUAGUGGUUUUGAGUUGGAAGAGUUGAAGAUUGAUUAUACAGAGAUAGUACGAAAAAGGCGGGAACCUUUUGUUUUCCGCAACCUUCACCGUGUUACUAUACAUAGCUGCCAGAAGUUGAAAGAUUUGACAUUCCUCGUUUUUGCUCCAAACCUCAAGUCUGUUCAGCUACUCGAUUGCUAUGCUAUGGAAGAAAUAAUCAGCGUCGGAAAAUUUGCUGAGACUCCUGAGAUGAUGGGACAUAUAAGCCCUUUUGAAAAUCUCCAAAUGCUUGAUUUAGAAGAUUUGCCACAUUUGAAGAGCAUCUUCUGGAAGCCAUUGCCUUUCACUCAUCUGAAAGAAAUGGCGGUAAGUGGGUGUGAUCAGCUUGAAAAGCUUCCACUCGAUUCCAACAGUGCAAAGGAGCGUAAAUUUGUAAUUCGUGGAGAAGAAGACUGGUGGAACCGACUUCAAUGGGAGGAUGAAGCCACUCAAAUUGCUUUUCGUUCCUGUUUCCAACCUUAUUCCUGAGCGGUGGUCGCAAAUUUUGAUUCUCUGUUUUUAUUUCUGGUUAGUUUCUCUCUCUCUCUUUCUCUCUCGCUCUCUCUCUUUUUGUCUUCUGCAAAUCACAAUUAAAUGUUGAAUUAAUGGAAUUAAUGCUUCAUAAAUUUGCCGGCACAGCCACUACUUUUUUUUGGGGGGGGGGGGGGGGGGGGUCGAAUUGGUGCUCUGGUUUUUGACUUUUUGUUAGCGAUUUAAUUUCCUGUCAAAAGACGAGCGAGAAGAACAUAUAUAUGACGUAAACCAAUUGAUACUUUAUUUAUGUGCAUUGUAUGUAAUAAAUAUUAAGUAUACUUUAUUUUUGCCCUGUUCUCUGUUUUUAUUUCAGUCUCUCUCUCUCUCUCUCUGCUGUCUCCUGUCUCCUGCAAAUCACAAUUAAAUGUUGAAUUAUAUGGAAUUAAUCCUUCAUAAAUCUGCCUGCGCUGGCUUUUUUUUUUUUUUUGUGGGGGUCGAAUUGAUGCUCUGGUUUUCGACUACUUUUUGUUGUCAAAAUUUUCUCUGUUUUUUCAAAUUGAUGCUUUAUUGAUAUCUUCUUCGUGAAAAGUGAUUUAAUUUCCUGCCAAAAGACGAACGAGAAGAACAUUAGAGUCAAACUAAUGCUCACAUAAAUUUCCCGUAAGAAUAUAUAAUUAUUAAGAUAGAUCUGCUCUUUCAUUAAAUAUAUAUUCCUUUUUCACAUAUUAAUUGACCUUUAUUUAAUUUGUUUAAAAAGUUUAAUUAAUUGUUGUUUGCAGAGAAUCAUCUACGCCGCUCGCCGAUAAAAGUUGAGGUGUUCGAGCAGGUGCUUGCCUUUUUUUUUUUCUUUUUCUUUUUUCCCUGUUUUAAUAUUUCUUUAAAUUUUGAAAUUGUUUAAUUAUUCUUCUGGUUUGGAAUGUUGAUAAUAGUGUUGUGAAAUUAAUUUUUACAGGAUAAAAGGUUGUGGGACAUUUAUUAUCCAUGUCCUAUGUAUCUCAAGCUUAAAGGUCUCAGUGGUCCUCUAUUGGAAAAAGCAAGUUUAAUAUAUAUUAAUUGGAUAUCGUCGCCUGUAUAUAUAUGUAUAUACAUACAUACACAGCCACUCAUCGAUUAUAGACUUAAUUAUUUAAUUGAUUAUGUAAUCUCUCGUAGUUUCUUUGUGCAUUUUUAGUUAAUUUAAUGAAUAAACUCAAAUACAUUGUAAAUAAAACCAAAUUAAAUGUUCCCUAAAAUAUACGUAUAUGCCUCUCGAUGGCACACAAGGUUAAAUGUCAGCCCAUCGCGGGUAAUAUUAUUUCUAGCCGCCUUCAUUACGAGUUAAGAGUCAAUUAUUACUAAACUAAACUAGUCAAAACUCGUAAGUGCUAGAAAGUAGAAACGUUUGAUUCUAUAUAAAUGACUUCAAUUCAAUAUGUACCAAAGAGUAUCGAUAAUUGAACCCCAAAAAACUUUAAAAAAGAUUGACAAAAUUAAUUAUAUUAUUGUGUGUUUUUAGAAGAAAAAAUAAAAUAAUUAAUUAAUGUUAUAACACUAUGUUAGGUGAAAAGUCAGCUGUCUGGAAGAGAACAAACUUACUAAGAUAAGAGCCUUCUUCAGUAAUCAACCGAACGAAAAAGUCAUCUCUUUUCUUAUUUAUUUAGUAAAAAUAAGUAAAGGCCGAAAAUUUCCUAAAAUAUCUAAAUCCCUCUCUUUAAAAGAACACCAUAUGCUGCAUAACAUGCAAAUUAAUUUCCCAUAUGUGAUGCAAUUUUCUCCUCAACAUAUGCGCAAUUCUUUCCAUUCCGGCAUUUACACUCAAAUUUUCCUUCCUUUCUCUUUGUGGUUGAAUCUUACACCACAACUCAUGUGAUGCAAUCUCCUCUCGCUGCCUAAAUUGCACUCUCAGCAAAGCAGCAUAUGUAAGCAAGCUUGAAGAUAAUCUUGCUGCUCUGCGGAAGAACGGCAAAAGUUAAUCGAAGCAAGGACUGAUGUAUCAGAAAAAUUUUGGUGGAGAAUUCAGCACAAACAUAUUUCGGAUGAUCAGAAUCAAUAAAACAUGGUGGUUGCGCCAUAUAAACAUCUUCGGAAAGCUGGCCUUGAAGAAAGGCGUUUAUUGAUAUCCAAUUGACGAAGAGGCCAGCCAUGACUAACAUCAAUACUAAGAACAAGCCGUACUGUGGUGGGCUUAACAACUGGACUGAAAGUGUCAUAAUAGUCCACACCAGGCCGUUGAUUGAACCCUUUGGCAAUAAGACGAGCUUUGAACCUGUCAACAGAACCGUUGGAAUGUCUUUUAAUACAAAAAUCCAUUUGCAGCCAACAAUAUUGGAAAGGAUGGGAGGUGGAACAAGCUUCCAUGUCCCGUUAAGAACAAGAGCAUCAUACUCUUCUGACAUAGAUUGACGCCAGUGAGGAUUUUUGAUAGCUUGCGUCACAGUUGUAGGUUCACAAUCAGAAGGAGGGCUAAAAUGAGCACAGAGGUUAAGUUUUUGUAACGGCUUGUGAAUGUUAUUUUUAGCUCCGGUAGUCAUAUCAUGAUGAUUUGUGGGGCAACGAUCUAGUGGAGUUUGGGAAGAUGAUUGAACAGGAAGUGAAGAAGUGCUUUGUGUAGAGGUAGAAAUAGGUUGGGAGGAUUGCUGCGGAGAUGUUACCGGUAGAGAAGAAGGAGCAGUACACGGUGGCAACUCCAAAGGGCCCACAAUAGAUGGAGUAGGUGCCGACGAUGGAGUACUAGGAAAUGAAACAGUAAGAAUUGGUGGAACACUUGCGUAAUUAGGAGUUGUAGAUGAGCUUGUAAUGAUUUGUAUGGAAAAACAAACUCUACAAAUUUAACGUGACGUGAAAUAAAAAUUUGAAAGGUGGAUGGGUCAAAACAUAAAUAAGCACUUUGAGAUAAAGGAAUAUCCUAGAAAAACACAAGGCUUAGAGGGUGGUUCGAGUUUAUGUGAUGAAACACAAACAUUCAAAAUUUUUUAAGUUUAUAUUAAUUAGGAGUGGUACCAAAAAUUAAUUGGCUAUCGGGUUGUUGGAUGUGUUUUGGAUAUUUACAGCUAAGUUUGAGUAUCUCAACUUAAAAUUUGUAGCUUUCACUUGAAAAAAUUCAGUUAAAAUUUGCAAUGCAGACUGAUUGAUUUAUCAGUUUAACGUGUGCCAGGAAUGAAGAACUGGAAUAUCACCGUCAAGCAAGCACCCUGUGGAGCAAUACCAAACAAUGUACAAUCCGGCUUUGCUAGGUGACACUGGAGGCUUUUUGAAAAGUGCUUCACGCUCACUUGCACAGAUUGAGCAUCCCCUCUGGAUAUUGCCCUCUCUGAUCGAGUCUGAGCACUCAAAUUUUGGUCCUCAGAGGGAGCUACAGUUUUCUCUCCACUAACCAACAAUUUUCUAAACUCAGCACCUAGUGUGAUCUUGAGCCAUAUCUAAAGCAGUUUGAAGUUCAAGUACUUGAGCCCUUGACAAUGGUUUUAAAAUUGGAACAUCUUGGAUUACUGCAGACUUGUACCCCUUGGUUUCAAAGUAAGGAAAGGUAUUGCUUGAGUACAAUUUGGAGGCAGCUUCUUCACCAAUUUUAUUUGGAGGCGAUUGGCAGCGGAUCCAGCUGCACGAAGACUAAACAAGUCAGAUGCAGUUUAUUUGUCCAAGCACAAAUUGCAUUUUGUCCUCAACUUUAAUAUUUAUUGAUGAGAAUCAAUACAGGUCCCUCAUUUGUUAUAGAAAGCUUUAUUGUAGUCUCACCAGUUAAUUCACAGGUCUAUAAUCAUCUUGCAAAGUUAAGGGCAUUUCUUUCGAUCUAAAGUCUUUGCAUCACCACCUCAUCACACGCCAAGCCAAUAUUCCAUUUACCUCUGCAACAAAAAGUUUUAAGUAAACAAUCCUAAUGCACGCAGCCAAAUAAAAUGCAGUAAGAAUAUUCAACUUAAAAAUCUGAAAGCCAACUUGGUGAAUUGCCUCCUUAGGUGAAGUUCCAUGCUUUACUAUAGUUGACAGAACUCAGCAAAAGCUUCCAUACAACAGAUUUUGAAAAUGAUGAUGCCAAUAGAUACUCAUUCAAUCCAUUGAAAAUCCAAAGGUUCAUUGUUAAUAGAAGUUUACAGAGUUUUGGUCAUCAAAUAGCUCAGACCUAAUCCCAAACAAAAAACGAGUGAAAAUUAGAUCACGAGCAGCUAAUUGUAAAUUCUAACUUAACUCUUCAUCUCCUUUGUAAACAAGAAACAAAAUGGAGACACGCAAAAUGAAUAUGGAGAAAAUUUGAACUCAAAUGAAAUGAGGGCACGAAAGCAAACAAAUGGCAUGCACAAAAAAACCAAGCCUCAAUCAAAAACUAAUUAACCAUUAAGAAAAAAAUUGGUCAGAGAAUGAACUCCAAAUUCAGGAGUCAAGCAAGAAGCUUUCAUCAUUUCAGAAGCUCCUGUACAAAAAAACCAAGCCUCAAUCAAAAGCUUUCAUUAAUAAGUUAUGCUCUUUGGAAGCAAACCUAAAUUCCAAGAGAAACAGAAGCCAAAAAAUUUGCAAUUAUACGCAAAGGAAGUGAAGCACAGGAUUCUAUCACACAUAGGAAUUGUAUAACAAGAGAUCGAUAUAUCGAAUUAGAAAACUCAAUUCGAAUUUGUGUGAAAAAUCAAAAUUAGAAGAUUUCACAUUUCGAGAGGAACAAGCAACAGAUGACGUUCAAAAUUUCAGCCAUAACAUGCUAAAAAUGCUACACUUAACGGUUCAUUUUCAUGGAUUUUCUCGGGAAACAAACAGAAAAUUACGGUUCAGAGAGUUGACUGACCUUUUGGCUUUUGAAAUUGAGAAGAUCGCGCGCCAAAUUGGAAGAGGGAAAGUGAAAGUGCGAGUUUUAAUAUGGGUAGAUAAGGAAAUUUUAUUAGGUUGCGAGGGUAAAAAAGGAAAGAGAUAUCAUUAUUUUAUCAUCGAUAAUUAUUAAAUUUUUUUCCAAAAAAAAGAACAAGCAAGGAUAUUUUAUUGUCAUUACUAAGUUAAAAAAAAUUGUUUCAAAAUUACUUGAGUCAUAUCCAAUGGACCAACAAAGUAAUCGUUUUUAUUUUUAUUGAUUUUUGCAGGAAAUUAAUAACUUAAAAAUACUGAAAGCUAUUGUAAAAAUUUUUAUUAUCAACCUCAUAGUUUUUUUUUUUUGGGGGAAGAGAAUUCAAACAUUUUUUUUUUAAAUUUCCAAGAAUUCUUGACACCCGUCUUAAUUAAAAGCUAUAUUUUUAUUCAAGAGUCAUGCUAUUCAUUCACUCACAGACCAAAGGCUUUCCGCAGCAAUAUUAUUAUUUAAAUUACAACAAAGGGGAAAUCAAAUACGUCAUACAGAAGCUUAAAGCUGAAUCAACAAAAUCUAGAGCUCUCAACUACAAAAAUUACACUUGAUGAUCCUCUACAAGAUGAAGCUUGUUCAAUAUCUUAUCCAAAGCUUGUAAAGUAACCUUGUAACGAUCUUGAGAUUGCCUGCCUUCCUCGACGACCUGCACGAUGCGUUUGUACAAAUCAUCAUACCUGUGCACCGGAUUUUUAAUAUCAACGCCACUGCAGCUGUGAUUAAGAAAAUAAGAGCGUUUAACAUCUUUUCUCCAUCGAGAAAGAAUGUACUGAGAUGGGAUCUCCUGCACGCCACUCUGGUUUAGAACACAAAGAAUGUGUCUGCAUAAAUAUCCUCUGAAAUUGAACAACCCACAAACGCAAAGCACCUCCAAGUUGGAGGCAUUGUACAAAACAUCGAAAGCCCUUGAGUCUUUCUCAUUGCUACCAACCUCGAAUUCUUCCUUCACUAUGUAUGUUAUAGGUCCAUCAGCACUAACAUGUUUUGUGCUAUAGCAAGAGUACAUAGCCUCCACCUCCGUCUGAAACUUCCUUAACAUUUCAUUUGUGUACAGUUUUGAGAGUUGAAAUUCAUAGUAACAUCUUGGUUUCUGGAUACAACUUGAAUUUCUUGAAUCCAUAUCUGCCAAGGCUUCCAGUUGAUAAUUCGCCCGCAGUGCUUGAUCAUACUUGUCUAAGAAUUCUUUCAAAGGAGUAUUCUUAUCAAGAUAUCCUUCAAAGUAUGAAGUAGAAACCUCAUUCUGCGGGAACGAAAACACUCCUGAUAAAAAAGCUUCCUUCAAAUAAAUAGGAGCCCACCUUUUACGAUCUUCAUAUAAAGUUUGAAUCCAUCCGUGAUCCUUUAUUCCAUGACGUUGAAUCAUGUCUUUCCAAGCUGCUUCAAAUUUCUCAGGCCUGAGAGAGUGAUAAAUUGCUCUAUGUAAUGCAGCUUUAAUAGCUUCAUAUUCAAACAAUCCUUGGAGUUUCACUGGAAUUUUUUGCAUGAUGCAUGACAAUGAAAAGCAACGAUAAGCUCUUGGGAAAACAUCGCCAACAGCAAUUUGCAAGAUUCUACAUUGGUCAGUGAUGAUUGUUUGUGGAGAGCGCCCUAACAUACAUGUAAGCCACGCCCUAAACAACCAUGUAUAUGAUUCUAUGGUCUCACUGGCAAGUAAACCACAACCCAACAACACUGAUUGUCCAUAAUGAUUCACCCCAAUGAAUGAAACCAGUGGUACAUCAUAUCUUUCAAUCAAGCACGUAGUAUCAAUUAAGACUACAUCACCAAAGUACCUAUAUGCAACUCUUGACCUGGUAUCAGUCCAGAACAGGUUUCUCAAGCAUCCCUUUUCAUUUAGAUCCACUACAUUAAAAAAGUUUGGAUCUGUCAACUGCAAACGACAAAAGAAACUCUGGACAGCUUGUGCAUCACCUGGUUUAAGCUUCAAUUGAUUUGAGCUAUUAACAUUAUUUCCAAAUACUCCAUUAACAUCUACAUUACCAUUUCCCUAGGCAUCAAUGAUAAGAGUUCGAAACAGUUUAAUUUUUUGAACUUCUUCAGCACUAUCUAAAUGCAAUGUUCUUUUGGUUCCAAUACCUAUGUGCUUAUGUGACUUGCAAAACUUUCCACUUCUUGGGCUUAACAAGUGGUUAUGCUCAAGCUCGACUUCAAUGAUUCUCCACCUUUUGGUUUCCAUCAACCUAAACUUUAUCAUUGCUGGACAGCCAGCUCUUGUUUCUGGUCUUGGACGGUUUGCCUCACUUUUCUUCUUGAAGCUUGCACUACUACAGCUCAGCUUUCCUCUAUACUUUUCUCUACUCUUUCAGUACCAGGUAUUGCUAACUCUAACACCAAAACCCUGUUCCUUGGCAUAGCAAUUGUAAAAGUAAUAUACAUCAUCGUACAUCUCAAACUCCAUUCCAACAGCAGGAGGCAAGGGAUUUUGGAUUAUCCCAGUUUGUCCAACAUAUUCAGUCAUCGCACAAUCUCCUACGACCUCAAAAUCAUCAGUGUCAUCAUCACCUAUUGGUUCGGUGUUGAGAGAAACUUCAUCCAUCUACAAUGGAUGUUCAAUGAAGUGAGCUUUAAGGAGAAAAAGCAAAAUCAGUUCAAGGAAUCAUAGUAUAAUCAUACAGUUACUUUCACAAAGCUUCAUAUUUCAUCACUGCUUUACCAACAUGCAACUGCCAGAGAACAAACAGACAUGUCAUAGACGCUUGAAUUAAGUAUUGGUACAAAUGAGCACACAUCAUGUGGGACAAAAUUUCAGUCACUAAACCCAAUACCACUUUUUACAUCAUACCAAGGAACAGAUUAAACCCGACACCUUCUUUUAAACCAUACCAAGGAACAGAUUAAAUCAUCAAUGAAAAAUUAAUCACAUAAUAACUUAACCAGACAAAUGAAGAGCCUGAAACAGCACAAAACUUGAAUCUGAUUAUGAUAAUUGUUGAGUCCUUGUAUCUACAGCUUUCCUUCAAUGAUAAGACAAUGAACAUAAACGAGACACAAAAAAUUUAUUUUAAACUGACAGCCCAUGAUAUAAAUCAAACAAAAUCAACUCCUUUUUUUACACAUCACAUCUCAUAUUCAUUUACAUUGAAACACAAAAAGGAAGCGGGAGUGGGAAAAAAACAACAGCAGAGGAACUUAUUUCCAUAAGGUUUACGAAAUAAGGAAUCUAUUAAAACCCAAAACUUGAGGUCACCACAAAGAAUUUGGUUCUCAUUAUUUUUUUCUUCAUUUUUCACCAAUUGAUGAACUUAAAAUACAAUCAUAAAUGAUAAAACCCCAUCUCAAUCUUUUUGAACUAGAGCUAAAGCAAAGCAUUUUAAGAUGUUUCAUCAUUUUUUUUUUAAAAAAAACCUCAAUAGUACAAUGUUUUUACUCUAAUAAUCUCUUAAUUAAGGAAGAUUAAGCUUCAGUUGUAAGCUAAAACAAAUUUCUUAAAUCAAGCCCCAAUGCUUUAUGCUAUUCAACAAGGGCUCAUAAAUGAUAAAACUACUUCUACAAAGAUACCCAUUUUCUAAAUUAAUUUCAAAAACUGAAAUCAAACUCCUGAAACGUAACGAGCAUUAAUAUAAUCAAACCCGAACAAGAAUUGAAAAAUGACACAUAAACUCGUUUACACAUUUCGACAGACACUUUGCAAUCAAUGAGCAAAAAAUUAAUGGAGAAGAUAAAAUUCAAACGAAACAUGCCUUACAUUGAUCAAUUAGAAGGGCAAAAGAAAUUUUAGUACGAUAUGGGAUCAGGGUCUUGCCACGGUGAUGUUAUUUGUGAUGUUCGAGCGACUCAGCGGCCUUCGAGGUUGAAAAUUUGAUUGACCAAAAGCUUCCCGUUUGUUGAUUCUCUAAUAGCAGAAACGAGACUGGCAGUAAACACAACAACUUCGCUGAUUUUAAAUUCCGUUGUUUGAGAUGGAAAACUUUUUGAAAAAAUUAAUGUGUUCGAUGAAUAUCAAAAUCUAAAAAACUUUUUGUUUUUCAUUUUUUUGGAAAAAACCAUUGAGAUCCUUACUAUUUUUUCUUAUAUCAUCUUGCUUAAUAAUUUGCAAAGUCUAUCGCAUAGCACCCAUGCAUGAUGUAUGCUGCGUAACUGCGUUGUAAUUUACAAAAUUGUAAAUUUGUUAAAAGAAAAUAAUAAUAACAAGUUAAAACUUUAAAAUUUUUAUCAUUCGAAGAAAUUUUAAUUUAGUUAAGUAGGUGACAUGAUAAUAAAUAGAUACGUAUAAUGUCCGAGAUUUUUUAUAAGAUUAAUAAAUAUGAUAAAUUUGGAUUAGUUCAAUUUUGACGUAAUUCAGAAUAAACACAUCUUCCUAAUCUAAAAAUAAUUACAAACAAUUUAAUUUGUGUUGUUUCUCUAAAAGUUUGAGACACAAAUGUUAUUGCAAAUUGAAACGCCAUGCACUAGUAGAAGGUAAGAGAAACCAAGGUUGAAGUUACUGUUCAUUUAUUUUUAUUUAUGAUUUUUUGUAAAAUGUAAGAAAUAUGUAGAAAUGUUGCCAGCAAUGAUUUUGGAACUUUGCAUAAAAUUUUUAUCAUUAUUGUUUUUGGUAUUAAGAAAUCCGAGGCGGUGAUUAGUCGUAUGUUGCAACAAUUAAGAAAUUUCUUAUUGGAGAUAAUUUGGUAGGUUGCAACAAUUAGAGAAUAAUUUUCCUGUCAGUUAAUCAAUCAAUAAUAAAUUUCAAAUUGCAGAAAAUAAAAUAAUACUGUCGCACUUAGAAUCAUCUUUUCUAUUUCUUUCAAUUGUGACAAUCAUUUGUAACAAAUAAAUCAAUUUGAUGCACAUCAUUUCCCCAAUUCAAAGUUCAAGUCACUGCUCAAUUGCAGGGUAGUUAGUAGACAUGCAUGCAUGUUUAAUUAAGUACUGCAUUGUAAUAUAGAAAAUCAUAACAUCUCACCAAGCCCGGAAGCAUAGCUCUUUAUCUUGUAAAUGUUGAAAUCUUAUGCAAACUAUGGGAAACAUGAUCUCACUCUCAGUGCCACUUGAUUCCAUUUUCUUUGUUGGGAAUGCUACGAAGUCUAAGCUUGAAGAUAAUCUCGAUGCCUUGCGGACUGCAAUGGAAAAAUAAGCGGAAACGAGAAAUGAUGUGAUAAAUUGUGAGCCAACAAUAGUGGGCAUGGUGUCGACUUUUGAGAAAGCCUGGAGAUGCCUUGAAGAAGAAUCAGUUGGAAUUAUUGGCCUGUAUGUUAAUGGGGGAGUUGGAAAAUAUUUACUCAAAUCAACAACAAGUUCCUUGAUGGUCCAAAUAAUUUUGAUGUUGCGAUCUGGGUAGUGGUCUGCCAAGAUUUACAACCCCAGAAGUUUCGGGAAAAGAUUGGGAAAAAGAAAGGCUUGUUCGAUGAGUCAUGGAAGAACUGAAGUUUUGAAGAGAAAGCACUCGACAUAUUCAAGAAUUUAAGCAAGACGAAGUUUGUAUUACUGCUGGAUGAUAUAUGGGAGCAGGUUGAUUUAAUUAAAAUUGGUGUCCCUCUUCCAAGCACAAAAAUUACAUUCAAGAUAGUCUUCACAACUCGUUUUAUUGACAUUUGUGGCCUCAUGGAAGCUCACAACAAGAUUAAAGUGGAGUGUUUAAAUGACGAAGAAGCAUGGGAAUUAUUCUGCAAGAAGGUUGGAGAAGAUGUGGCGACUCUGUCCAAGUGCUAAGGAGAUCAGCCUCAGAAUUUCUAGGUAUGUAAAAAUGAGUAUAUAUAUCCACUUUUGAAAUUCAGUUAUGAUAAUUUACCUAGCGAUAAAAUUAGAUCGAGUCUGUUAUACUGUAGUUUGUUUCUGGAAGACUUUCCAAUUAGCAAAACGGAAUUGAUACAUUGUUGGAUAAGCGAGGGCCUUUUGGAUGAAACUAAUAGUUCUGAGAUAUGAAAUCAAGGAUACUACAUUAUUGGUGUUCUUGUUCCUUUAUGUUUAUUGGAAGAAGAGGCUCCACUAUAUGUAAAAGUGCAUGAUGUGAUACGCGAUAUGCUUCUGUGGAUCGCAUGUGAAGUUUUUUUUUUCUUUUUGAUAGGGAUAGCAUGUGAAGUUGAGAAGGAGAAAGAGAAUUUUUUGGUUCGUGCAGGUGCAAGGAUUAACUGAAGUGCCAGACAUUUGGAAAUGGGAAGGGUUGAGAAGGGUGUCUUUCAUGAGCAACAAAACUGAGAAGUUAUCAGAAAUUCCUUCAGAUCCCCAUCUACCGACUUUGUUGCUUCAACGUAAUUAUUUAGAGAUGAUCAAUAAUGACUUCUUCCAAUCUAUGAAUUCCCUUAGAGUUUUGAACUUAUCAUGUAAUCAUUCUCUAAUUGAUAAUUUCAAAGUUAGUUUCCCUACAACAUCUUAAUUUAUCAAUGACUAACAUACGAGAGUUGCCGAAUGAGUUAAAGUUUGUAGUGAAUCUAAAGUUUUUGAAUGUGGAGUAUGCACGGUUUCUUCAUUCAAUUCCAGGGCAAGUGAUAUCCAGUUUUACGAUGUUACACGGUUUGAAGAUGUUUGGUUGUGGGAGGUCAUCUUCUGAUCAUGAGCCACACUAGAAGAUAGAGUUUUAUUUGAAGGCUGUAAACUUUUGAUUGUGGAGUUGUUUGGUUUGAGAGACAUCUAGAUGUGUUGACCAUCAUCCUAACAAGUUCCCUUGCUCUGAAAAGAUUUUUGAGCUACAACAAACUUCAAAGUCGUACUCAAUCUCUCUAUCUUAAAUGCUUUGAUUCAAAUCUUCUUGUUUUUUCCAUAAAACAUUGCCAUGAUAUGGAGGAAAUACUCAGUGUCGGAAAAUUAGGUGAAGAGAUGAUGUCAAAUCUGGAACCUCUUACAAAACUCCAAGUUCGUUGCUUGAAGAAGCUACCAAAUUUGAAGAGCGUCUACUGGAAGGCCUUGCCCUUGCCCAAUGUAUGCAUAAUUUUUGUAUCUAAAUGCCCAGAACUUAAGAAGCUGCCGCUGGAUUUUGAAAGGGCGGGCGAAGGUAAAAUUCUUAUCAAGUGAAAGGAAAAUCGAUGGAAACGACUUCAAUGGGAGGAUCAAGCAACUCAGAAUGCAUUGCUUCUGUUUUUCAAAUCUAGUGAUUGAAGGGGGCAACAUCAACAUCAUCAGCCUGGAUGGGGAGAUUCUGGAGCAGAUCAGUAGGGUUUGAAUCUACAUCAUUAACAUCAUCAGGGUCUGUAUUUCUAUUGCUGGUCUUAAUGCUUGCUUACUGUUGCUUGACAAAGUGAGCCAGUUUUUUGUUUAUUAAAUUUUGUCUUGUAGAGACAGUCACAAAGUAUGGGUUGUUCUAUGUGAGAGUGAUGUGAAUCAAUUUUUCAAUUAUAUAUUCUGUGGUCAUUGUGAAUUUUGUUUAGAGAUGCAAACUUAGAAUAUGGAAAAGUUCAUCGGCAAACAUUUUGUAAAAGCUUCCAACUGAAGUUUUCAUAAUUAAAUAAUAAAAAAAUAGGAAGUGACGAAAAAAUUAUCCUAGGUGUUACGAAAAAACAUGAGCUCCGAAAAUAUUGGAAGUGACGAAAACUUAGGGCUAGGGUUUGAGAACUCUAACCCGCCACCACUGCAAGAGGACAGGACGACUAAGAAGGCCCGGUUUCGGGCUGAGGGAAUUGAUGCUGAUAAUCCUCAUAAACCCUCUUGGAGAGAUAAGGCUAUGGAGGCAGUCACGGUGAUGGCAGGUCAGACAGGAAGGAUUGGAGAGUUGGGUUACGGCAGUGUAUGCUAGCCCUAUUCCAACAGUCCUGCGUGAAUUAUGGUAUCACCUUGCAAGUAUUGCUUCUCAAAUGUUGGAUCCGUGGUUGGUGGGCGGAGAUUUCAAUGCUAUCUUAUACGCACAUGAGAAGAAAGGGGGCUCGAACCGAAUAAGUGGCACUUGCAAUUUAUUUAAUCAUUGGUUUCAUUCUUGCAGGAUGCUUGAUCUAAAGUUCUCCGGCCCUCGCUUCACUUGGUCUAGGGGAAACCUUUCUAAACGAUUGGAUAGAGCGGUUUGCAAUAAUGGAUGGCUAAUAAAACAUGCAAAUAGUAGUGUCAUGCAUCUUCCAAAAAUUGAUUCCGAUCAUCGGCCUAUUCUAGUCAAGUUCCAGAACAUGGAUUCCAAGCAUGGGGGCCCGAGGCCAUUUCGAUUUUUGGCUGCAUGGCUCACAGAUGAGAGAUUUGGGAGUUUUAUGAAUGAUAGCUGGAAUAAGGGAGAGAAUUUUCUUGAGGCAGUGGCUGAUUUUACUCAACAAACUAGGUGGUGGAAUAAGGAAAUUUUUGAAAAUAUUAUUUAUCGGAAGCGGAAAUUGUUGGCUAGAAUAGGUGGGAUCCAAUGAAUUUUGGAAGCCAAGCCUAACCAUAGCCUUACUAGACUUGAAGUUAAGCUUCAGAAGGAGCUCGAAGAGGUUCUCACUCAGGAAGAAUUAUUGUGGCUUCAGAAAUCCAGGAGAGAUUGGACUUUGUAUGGUGACCGCAACACUGCUUAUUUCCAUAAAAAAAUGCUAACCAGGCAUCGCCAGAAUCGGAUUACUGCAAUUCAAAAUGAUACUGGGCAGUGGAUACACGACGUCGAGAUCAUUAAGCAACGUGCAGUCAAUUUCUUUUUGGAAUUAUACACGCCUGAACAAGGGGUGCAUAGAACAUAUAAUGUCAGGGGGUGUUUCCCUGAGACGUCAGAUGAUAUUUGUUUAAGUUUGAUGUCUGCGGUAACAGAUGAGGAAAUCAGACAUACUAUUUUCAGUAUGAGUCCUUUUAAAGCUCCUGGAGUUGAUGGCUUUCAUGCUAGUUUUUACCAAGCGCAAUGGAAUACAGUUGGUAUGUCUUUGAGCUCUUUAAUCAAAAAUAUUUUUAAUUCUAAUCAUAUCCCUGCAGAGAUCAACAGAACCUUGCUGGUGCUCAUUCCUAAAGUGUAUCAUCCAACAAGCCUCAAGAUGUUUCGGCCGAUCAGCCUUUGCACAAUUCCGUAUAAAACGGUGACGAAAAUUAUUGCAAAUAGGUUACAGGUUUUUCUUCCAGAUCUCAUUGGACCCCAACAAACCAGUUUUGUACCGGGUCGGCAUAUUACAGAGAAUAUUGUUAUUGCUCAAGAGGUAAUCCAUACAAUGAAGAAAAAUGUGGGGGGUAAAAGAAUGAUGGCGGUUAAAGUGGACUUGGAAAAGGCUUAUAACCGGUUGAGUUGGCGAUUUGUUCAGGAAACUUUACAGGAAGUUGGGCUACCGGAGCGAUUUAUUCACCUCAUAAUGGAGUGUUUGUCCACAGCCCAAAUGAAUGUUUUGUGGAAUGGAGAAAUGACUGAAGAUUUUCGGCCAGGGAGAGAAAUUCGACAAGGAGACCCUCUUUCGCCUUAUAUUUUUGUGCUUUGUAUUGAAAGAUUAAGUCAUGGGAUUAUCCAGGCGGUUAAUCAAGGUAGAUGGAAACACAUUUGACUGACUCGAACUGGCACUCCUCUAAGUCAUUUAUUUUUUGCGGAUGAUCUGCUUCUCUUUUUGGAAGCAAGUUACGGCCAAGUUGAUGUAUUGAAUGAUGUGGUGGAGAAUUUCUGUAGGAGCUCGGGCGCUAGAGUUAGUAAUCAAAAGACCCAAGUCUUCUUCUCCAAAAAUGUCCCGGUCACUUUAGCCAAUGGAAUUGGCAAGGCUUUAGGCUUCUCGGUUACAAAUAAUUUGGGAAGAUAUCUUGGCAUGCCUCUUCUUCACGAUCGGGUUUCUAAGAAAACGUAUCAGAGUAUCAUUGACAAAAUUGAUCAGCGGCUAUCAGGAUGGGCAGCAAAGCAAUUGUCUCUGGCAGGGAGAGUUACUCUCACUCAAUCGGUGCUUCAGGCAAUCCCGAUUUACGCUAUGCAAACCACGUACCUCCCAUCUAGUGUCAGAGUUAAAAUUGAUCAAUUAUGUAGAAGAUUCAUUUGGAGUGGGGCUGGUUCUCAACGCAAGUUAAGUUUGGUUAGCUGGGACAACAUUUGUAGGCCUAAGAGCAAUGGAGGGCUCGGUUUCAAGGACAUGGAACUUAUGAACAAAGCCUUACUAAUGAAAGUGGCUUGGGAUUUAUUCAUAAAUCCUAGCAAGCUGUGCUCCCAGGUUUUAAUUUCUAAUUAUGUUGCGCCUUGUGAUAUGAUUACUACUGAUGCUUCAUUUAAAAAUGGUUCCUAUUUAUGGCGCUCUAUGGGUAAGAUUUGGAAAGACUUCCAGAAGGGUUUGCGUUGGAGUAUUGGAAAUGGCCAACGGGUGAAGUUUUGGGAUGAUAUUUGGGCUACAAAUGGUGAUCCCUUAAUCAACUAUACGGUGGCUUCAAUUCCGGAUAGCAUGCGAAAUAUGUUGGUGGCGGAUUGUGUGGAUCAAAAUGGGAAUUGGUUGUGGAACAUAUUCAACUCUUUUUUGAAUAACCAUGCUGUUUUAAGGAUUGCUUCCAUGGCUCCUCCGUCGUCAAUGAGAGGCGAGGAUAGGAUGUAUUGAGGUGCAUCAAAUACUGGCAAUUUUACAGUCCAAUCAGCUUACCAAGUGCUUACGAAUUUUUGCCCCGCUGAAGACUGUCAAGACUGGCAACAUUUGUGGAAAUGGAAGAGGCCUCAAAGCGUAAGAAUUUUUCUAUGGUUAUUAUGCCAUGAUCAAUUGAAGACGGGAUGUGAGCUUGCUAGAAGGCAUCUGGACGUCGAGGCUUUAUGUGGGAGGUGCCAUGCAGACGUUUAGAAUUCUUUGCAUGCAAUUCGAGAUUGUGAUUAUUCGAGAGGUGUUUGGCGGAAGCUUGUUCCCGCGCUUAGACAACAUGACUUUUUUAGUUAUCCUCUUUGGCAAUGGAUCAUGACAAAUCUUAGGAGAAGAGUCUGUGAUAUGGGGAGCUUAUUUUGGCCGAUUAUGUUUGGUAUUGCGGCUUGGAGAAUUUGGUAUUGGAGGAACCAGGUGAUGUUCAACAACAAGAGCUGGAAUGGUGAUUUGAUCGUUCGAGAUAUUAAGGCAAGGACUGAGAGUAUUUGUUCUACUCUUUCAAGCAUAGGCUAUCGAAGAAAUGAAAGGAUUCAGAAAUGGAUUCGUUGGGCUCCUCCACCAUGGCCUUUCUUGUGCUUAAAUACGGAUGGUGCAAGGAAAGGAAAUGGAGAGGCGAGUGCAGGUGGGCUGCUGCGGGACUGUCAUGGUAAUUUUAUUCAUGGUUUCAGCGCACAUCUCGGAGUUUGUUCAGUUCUAAAGGCUGAACUUUGGGGUGUCUUGCAUGGGUUAAGAAUGGCAUGGGAUCUUGGCUAUAGACGUAUCCAAGUUGGAGUAGACAACUGUAGUGUGGUGCAAAUUAUAAGGGAAAAUAAUGCUCAUGUCAACGAAAUUUCGAAUAUAAUCGAGAUGAUUAGAGAACUCAUGAGGAGGGAUUGGAGGAUUCAAAUUGAUCACAUCUACCGCGAAGCAAACUCGGCAGCUGAUUUCCUUUCUACGCAUGCUUUGAGUUUACUUGUUGGAGUACAUUUUCUUCAUUCUGCACCUUUAGGUUUGAGAUCUAUUUUAUAUUUGGAUAUGUAUGGGGUGGCACACUCCCGGUUUGUGCCCCUUUAGCUCUUCUCUUUUAGAGCCUUUUGUUUAUCAAAAAAAAAAAAAAAGCUUCCAACUGAAAUAGGGAAUGCACUUACUACUAAGGACAGUUGGUGGCCACCUAAUGCAUUCAUUUUAUAUCAAUUCAUCAUUUUAAUUAUUGAAAACAAGUGGCUCAUCGCUUUUACUUUAGGUAAAAUUCGGAUAAUCUCUAUUAUGAAAUGAUAAUAUUCUCUUAAAUUAUUAUAAACCUCAGCCAAUCUUAAUUUUAUUUAAAAGAUAAAAGAAAAAUAGGUUAUGUUGGUGACUUUUUUCUUAUCUUUUUAAUAAAAAUAAAAUAAAUUGAUGUUUAUAAUUGUUUAAAAUACUUUAAAGAUUGUUAUUUUAUGAGAGAGUAAUAUUUUACUUUUUUAUUGUGAAAUGCUAAAAAGGACAAAGCAAGUGUCCCUGGUUUUUAUUUUAUUUGAAAUUGGUCAUCUCAUAUACUUUACGUUUCAACACUACAAUUUUUUUGGUUAUAUUUUUAUUAUUUUUUUCUUUCUUACACAUGCACGUAAAUUUUCUUUCUUUAAGCUCCUGAAUAUUUAAGACAAAUCAUGGAAGAGAUGAAAGUAUAACAAGAUGAUCAAAAUACGUAACAAAAAAUUUACAAGUGAAACAUACGUUAGAGUCGAAGUAAAACUCUGAAAAUAGAGAUAUUGAUUAAUUUAGAAGAGAUGCAAGCAAAAGAUUUUCUUAAAAAAAAGAAAAGCAAUUUGUCCCUUUCCAGGGCAAACUUGUUAGUCUCAAAAAGGUACAUUCUUUGAAUUGAUAGUUGCAGGAUUUUUGUCUUGUUUUUGUUGUUGUGCAUUAGUUGGAGAAGUCAAGCCUAGUGAAAAAUGUUAUGAAAGAGCAAAGGAUAUUUCUGACAGCUUUAUUUAAUUAUGUAUUCAUUUAAUGGAUGUAUUGUUAGAAGAUAUUUAAGUGCAUUAGUUCAUCCGUGUCUGUUGAUGUGCUUUUAGUGAUUUUUCCAGCUGUUUGUUGUAAAAGAUGAUUGUAAAUUGAAAUGAACUUGAUGUUGUAAUAUUUUCUCUUUUGUGGAAUCUCAGUUGUGUUGUCUAUAAUUUUAGUCAAAAUUAUUGUUAUUAUUUCUUACUAGAGGUAAAUUUUUUAUUAAACCUCAUUAACACAAUUCUUAAUUAAAAGUAUAGGUUAGUGUCGGUGCAGGAUUUGCAGCACCAGAUCCUGCCUAGCUACGUGUCAAAAAUACAAAAUAAAUGAAGAGAAAGCACAAAUACAUGACUUGGAUUAGGAUAGAAGGAAACUUAAAUCUUAAAGAAAAUGAUAGCUAUAUCCCACUAUUUGAAAAAAUGGUCAUGUAGAUUUUUAAGAUUUAAAUAAGGGACGGAGAUCUUCUUUUGACAAAUAAUAUCUUUUAGCUCUCUCAAGUAAAAAAAAAAUUAAAUAUUUUAUAAUAAAUAAAAAUAUAAUAUUAAAAUAUACGUGAUAAUAUAUACAUUUUAAAUAAUUUCAAUCCAAAAAAAUAGUUAUGUUUUAUCGAAUCUACCUAUGUUACAAUAGUAGUAUGGUACCACAAUAUUUGUUCUUAUCCAAUGUAAUCAUUGGAUGAUUUAGAGCUUAAUCUAACGGCUUAAAUUAUUUUUCUGAAUAUUUGAAGCAACAACUUGCAACCGUUGGAGCCGGUUGCAUAUUAAUUUAAUAUCAUUUGGGGAAGCGUACGGUCAGGAAGUUUCUUAGUAUGCCACCAAUGGAAUUUGAUUUCAUCUCAAAUCGAUCUGCAGGCAGCAAUUGGGAAAUUACACUCACGGUCUUCCUCUUCUUCACUUCCUCUCUACUCUUCACUUUUCUCACUCUCGCGAUGUUUACAGCAUGAUAAGUACAAUUACAAACCAGGAAAUGCCAUUAACAAUUUUCAUUUGUCUUAGUCGUUUUUUUUUUUUUUAGUAGAAAGCCAAAAAAGAAAACGGGUGGGAGGUUGGGGCGUCGUGAUGAAAUGGUUUUGAGUUUUUGACGGAAUGUUUGUUUUUGUGAUUCAUUUAGGGUUUGAAUUCAGGCUUGUACGAACUCGGAUCUAUUCGAGAUCCGUAUUGGCGCUGAAAUCAGAUCCUUUGAAGCCUUGGUUUGAAUUCAACCUUGAGAACUCCAAGCUUGUUAGAAUCUUCAUUGAUCUCUCCAGAAAUUACACGGAUCUUAUUACUAAACCCUACAUAUAGGGCUGCAAUGGAGUCCGAUUCUCUCACAAUUGAUGAAUCAAUAUUGAGACAGUUCGAAAAGGAAGUAAAAAAGAGAAUCAACUUGACUGGCUAAAUAAUUGCGGAGGCCAAAGAGUCUUUUGAUAAUCAAUUGAAGAUUUAGAAGUUAAAAGACACUAUUUUUACUAUGAACGAACAAUUGACUAAGGCGAAAAAGCAAGGAGCUUUUUUGAGUUUGAUUGCUGCGAAAUCGAUGCCUUAGAGUUUGCAUUGUUUGGCCAUGAGGUUGAUGAAAGAGCGAGUUGUUCAUCCGGAGAACUAUAAUGAAGAAGGGAAGCCCACACAUGCAGAAUUCGAGGAUCCCAAACUUUAUCAUAAUGCUAUUUUUUCUGGGUAAUAUGCUUGCAGCUUCGGUGGUGGUGAUUGGUGAAUUUAGCUGUUAAGAACUCGAAGGAGCCUUGGAAACAUGUGUUUCAUGUUGUGAUGGAUCAAAUGUUUAAAUUGAAGGAUUAUAAUGGAGCACAUUUAGGCACGAAGGCUGUUGAGGAUUAUAAGUUUUUGAAUUCUCACAUGUCCCUGUGUUAAGGCAGCCGGGGUUUGCUAAUUUGCAAAGGUUUUACUUCGGGAAGUAGCUUGAGAAUGCUACGAAAGAUGCUACUAACAUGAAGUUUAGGAAUCCCAAUUACUUGUUGAUACUGUAUCAUUUGAGGUUCUGGAUAAGAUUUCAAUGAUGGCCGCUUAAAACAAAUAAUAAAAAAAAAGAACUUGUACUGUAUUUGGAUCUUUACUUAUUUGAUAUAGUUUUCUGCAAUCUCUCCAUGCAACCGGUUACUUUAAUUAUCCACUAACUCAUCUCAACCGUUUGAUGGACUCACUUUAUAUCCAACGGCAGUUUUAAAUGAAGACAAAAAGUGUGGUAUGUUGCAAUUGUUGCAACAUAUGUGAGUCUUGUUUUACAAUCUAUUUAACAUAUUUUAUUAAAUUAAUAUAUUUCUAUGAUAUAGGAACAUAAUAUUAAAAUAAAUUUACAAAAAUUUAAAGAAUUUUGAAUGUAAAACAAUUUCAAUAUAUUAAUAAUGAGAUUUUUUUAUUAUUAUAAAAAUUAUUUAACCCAUAGAUUUUUUUAAAUCUUUACAAUAAGUAUAAAUAUAUUAUCUUCACUUAAAAAUAUUUAAAUAUUAUUAACCUAUAAUUAGGUUUGCAUUUAUUAGAAAAUUUUAAAGUCAAAUAUAUUGCACUUUUGCAUUAUUAGAAUCAUCACAGAGAAAGGAGCAUAUAUACUUUAUAACUUUAAAAAUUGGUUUCUUCUGGAAACAGAGAUGAUGAUUAUUAUAAGGAUGAAAAAAAAAAGAUAAAGAAUAUUAAUGAUUAACGAAAUCUCUAUGCAAAUUGAUUUUAGUAGGGAAAGAGUGAGAUGAAUAACUUCUUUUACAGCUAAAAACAGAGAUGAUGAUUAUUAUAAGGUUGAAAAAAAAAGAUAAAGAAUAUUAAUUAUUAAUGGAAUCUCUAUGCAAAUUGAUUUUAUAGGAAAAAAGCGAGCUAAAUGAUUUAGACAUUCAUAGUGUAUUUAUUUUUGAAUUGGUGAAUAAGAAUUAUUGACAACGCUAACUUCAUCUUCACCGUUGGCUAUCCAAUAGCGGCAAUUGUCGCCGAUUAUGAUAUCUCCAAUGAUGAUGACGGUUUUUUUAUUAUUAUUAUUGGUGACCCCUUGGAAAGUUAACUGCAACUGCCAAUCAGAGAAAAGUCGUCAUGCACAAUCCUCAAUCGAACCAAUCAUCUACGUUACAGAAUCUGAAACGUACACACUGUUAACAUAUAUGUUUCCAUAAUGUUGAUUUUGAUGAUAACAAACAAGAUUAAGAAUGAUUAAUCUUUUAAGCUCAAAUUAUUUUUAUGCAUUUUAAAUAAAUCAUUAUUUUUACAUUAUAAAGGUUCUAUAUUUAAUGGAAAAAUGAUUUUAUGAAAUUGAUUGUUUUUUAUUCUUUUUAAAUAAAUCAUUAUUUUCACAUUAUAAAUGUUUCAUAUUCAAUGGAAAAAUGAUUUUAUGAAAUUGGUUGUUUUUCAAAGUUUAUGGUUUAAUUGAAAGAAUUUUGAAAACUUUGAAAUAAACAAGUAUUGCUUGAAAUUUCAGAUUUGGACUUAUUUGAAACUAUUUAAAUGUUUUUAGGCUAUUCUAUAAUUUCACAAAGUUUGGGCGAAAUUAUAAUUUCAGAACGUUGUGGGAUUGACAAAGUAUUAUUCUAAAAUUCUGAAAUUGGACUUAUUUGUAAAUUUUCAUAACGUUUUGGGUUAUAGUAUAGUUUUAUAAAGUUUUGGGGUCAAAUUAUAAUUUCAGAAAAUAGUGCACUGUGCAGGUUACUGUGGCAUCCGGCUUACCGGAUAUAAAAAUCGGAAAACCGGAUACGGGGCAGAAUGUAUCCAGAAUGUAAACGGCUUACCGGAUUUCGUAACCAGCAAGCCGGAUAGGCAAAAUUCAAAUUUUUGCCUUAACGGUAACAUAAAUCCAGCUUAUCGGAUUCCAUAAAUGGCAAACCGGAUACGCCCAGAAUGUGAGUAACGGCUAGUUUUUGAGUUCAAACUAUAUAAACUCAAAACCAAUUCAUUUUUGGUAAUCCAAGCAAGAAAGAACAAGUGCACAUAACAUAUAUUGAGCUUCAAUUUCGUAACUCAUCAUUUAUUAAAUCAUCUUUGUUUUUCAAUUUGUAUAUCCACUCUUAAAGAGAGAUUCAUUGUUGUAUUUUUCAUUUCUCAUCAAAUUGUGAGUGUACAAGUGUGAGAAACACUUGGGGUGAAGAGAUUGGAGAGAUAAUCUCUUGUUGUAAAGGUUCAUUAACACAUUGAAGUCAAUUGUAAACGUUUGAAGCCUUGGAAAUGCUUGGAUAGUGAAAUCCUCAAGCCCGGUGUGCUUGGAAGCGUGGACGUAGGCGGAGAUUACCGAACCACGUAAAAAUCCUUGAGUUUGCUUUCUCUUCCCUUACUCUUUAAUUAUUGUGCUUUGAUUGAACUUAUUGCUUUCAAUUUUUAUUAAGACAUUAGAUUAAAUUGUUGUGUGGUUUGCCUAGGAUAAUUUUUAAAAUCUCAAUUCACCCCCCUCUUGAGUUGCCUAGUUAGUAUUUCACACACCCAAUGGGAAGCAGCACACGUGUUCUGAGGAGAGAGAGAAAAAACCGUGCAAAUGCAAGCAAUAGGUAUUGGCUACAGUUGGAUCUGUAAGUUACAGAAUCUGUAACUUAGCCAACUCCCUCAAUGAUCAAUAUUGUUUCCGAUAUUUAUAAAUUGGUGGCCCCUUGGAAAUUUAACUGGAAGUUUGCAAGUGUCAAUCAGAAAAAAAUCGUCAUCCAUUGUUUUUUUUUUUCUGCAUUCCCUUUCAUGUUCUUAAUAAUUGAGGACAGGUUGUUCAUAACAUUUAUACUUUUCAAAUGUGGAGCUGCAUUUAAUGUCGCUAUUUUAAUUUGGGAUUAAAUUAGGGGAACACUAACUUUUAUAUUUAUCUAAACUCCUUAAAUUUAAGACAGAUUAUGGCGUAAAUAAGAAUAUAAUAAUAACAAAGGAAUUAAAAAGUAUAAUGACGAUCUUGCAGAAAUAUAAAUAUUAGCGUUGAAUUAAAUAACAUAGAACACAUGAAUUGAAUAGUGAUUAUCAAGACGGUGUUACUUGCACUCCUAUUUAUAAAAAAUCUUGGUUCUGUUCCAUUAGAUUUUUUAUCUUCAAAAUCUUGCAAAGUUUUGACAACCCAAAGGCUCAGUUUGGUUGUUCUAUAUUUGUAUGAUAUGAAUUCAAAUUUUUGUGUUCUGUUUUUCUUAAUUCUGAACACGGAUUCUUCUCUUCUCGUGCAAACCAGAAAGAAAUGUUGUCUUACAAAAAAAAAAGGGGAAUAACUUCAUGAGAACAAAAAUUCAGAAAAAUAAUAUAAAGUUUAUAUUUAGACUUUUGUGGUAUAUUUUAAUUUUCAACAAUGAGUUAAAGAAAAUAAUAAAUAAAGUAAAUAAAAGUUUAGAGAUUCAAAUUUUUAGUAUUGGAUUCUUUAAUUCAAAUACCUCUCAUUAAUUAACACUUAAAAGAGAGUUCACUAUUAUAAUUUUAAGUUUUUUGAUUUAUUAUUGAUAUAUAAAUUAGGAGUUUAAGCUUACUUUUUUAUUUUUCCAUUUUUUUUCAAAUUUGAAAUUAUUAUUUAAAUUUAUAAUUUUUUUUAAAAAAAUAGAGGGCUUGAGCCUGGCUUGGGUAUUGUUUCCUAAACCCUUAUCCGGCCCUGGCUUUUUUGCCAGCCCCAAUGAUGAUGAUGAUGAUUAUUUUAUUAUUAUUAUUAAUGAUGAAAAGUAUUAUAAUUAAUUAAUAUAUUAUUGUAUUGUUAUUAAGAUUAACAAUAAUUAUUAAUGAUAACAAUUUUUUGAAUAAAAAUAAUCACAAUAAUUAAAAUAUAAAUUAAUAAUUAUAACAAUAGUUAAUUAAUGUAUUUUUAACAAUUUGUAAUAAUUUAACUCAUUCUAAUUUCGAUUAUUAUAGUUAAGUAAACAACUUAUUAUAAUUUUCAUUCUCCAUUUUAAUUUCAGCUCAUUUCGAUUUCAGUCUAUUCCAAUUUUCAUUUAAUAAACGUUCCAUUAAUGCUAUAGUAAUAUUUCAUAUAGAAAAAAAUAAAAGCUACAACUAAGGUUAAGGGAAAGGACUUCAAAACUCUCUUUUUGUCAUAAUACAUUUUUUCCUAAUUAACUUAAAGAGUUUGAAUCUAAUAUUUUAUAAUAAAUAAAAAUAUAUUCCAAAAGUAAAUAUAAUAUAUCUAUUUUAAACUAAUCUCAAUAUUUAAAAUAUAUUUAAUAUUUUACAAUCUAUUAGACAUAUUUUAUUAUAUUAAAAUAAAUUUUAUAAUAAAUAUGAACAUACUGUUAAAAUGAAUAUAUAAAAAACUUAGAGUAUUUUGAAUAUUAUAUAAAAUAAUUUUAGUAGAAUACGUGAGAUAUAUUUUAUUAAUGUAAAAUGCUAUUUAAUCUAAAGAUUCAUUUAUGAUAAAUUAAUAAUUAUAUUUUUAAAAUUAUUUUAAAAAUUAAAUUUUUUUAAUAUUAUUAAUCUAUUAGACAGAUAAAAUUAUUUAUAUUAUUUUGUAUUUAUUAAAAAAAUUUAAAGUCAAUUUUUUUAAUUACUAUUCAAAGGAUAUAAUAAUUAAAAAAAUCUUAGCGUUUUCAUUAAAAAUUUAAAAAUUUACAUGACUAUUUCUGUAAAUAUUUAAGGUAUAUAUGAACUACGGUAGAGAAGCUUCAUUUAAUAUUAUUGAUUUAAAUAAUAUCUCAAUUAAAAAUGUACAGAGAAUAUAUUUCGGUGGGUAUUUUAAUCUUUUUAGCAAUUAUCAUGGUUAGCCCUUGGCCUUGAAACGUCUGUCAGAAAGGUUUUCAAAUGCUUUAAUUGUUCUUAUUAAAAAAAAAAUCUUUAAUUGUUUUUUCACUUUUAACGUCAGCGGCCUUGAAAGUGCUUUUACUUUAUAACAAAUUAAUUAAUGCUGACGAGAAAAUAUCUCUUCCACAGCCCACAGCAGCUUCUGUUAAUCAAACUCAACCAAUUUUCUCUCUUAACAAAAUUCCAAAGAUGGGUAGCAUUUUUCAGAUCACAUGCGACGGCGCUUUUUUCAAUCGUUGCUUUGGAUUGCUUUCUUGGAAAAGCAGCAUACAUAAGCAACAUCCAAGAUAAUCUUGUAGCCUUGGAGACUGAACUGGGAAGACUAAUCGCAGCAAAGAACGAUGUGAUGAUGAGGGUUGUCAAUGCUGAACGACAACAAAUGAAAAGGCUGGGCCAAGUGGAAUGGUGCGUUUCGAGGGUGGAUGCUGUUAAAAUUGAAGCUGAUGAACUUAUCAGAGACGGCUCUCAAGAAAUUGACAAAUUAUGUGUUGGAGGCUACUGUUCUAAGAACUGCACGUCAAGCUACAAGUUCGGGAAACAAGUGGCUAAAAAGCUACGAGAUGUGGAGACUUUAAUCGCCGAAGGAGUUUUUGAGGCGGUGGCUACCGAGGUGGUGCCUGAGAGAGCUCCAGAGCCUGUAGCAGAUGAAAGACCUACCGAGCGAACAGUAGUAGGCUUGCAAUCACAACUUGAACAAGUCUGGAGAUGUCUUGCAGAAGAAUCAGUGGGAAUCAUUGGCCUAUAUGGUAUGGGCGGUGUUGGUAAAACUACAUUACUGACCCAUAUCAACAAUAAAUUUCUCGAGAGUCCAACCAACUUUGAUUGUGUGAUUUGGGUAGUAGUUUCAAAAGACCUGCGACUUGAAAAAAUUCAAGAAGAUAUUGGAAAAAAGAUAGGUUUGGUUGGUGAUUCGUGGAAGAGUAAAAGUGUAGAGGAGAAAGCUGUCGACAUCUUCCGGAGUUUAAGAGAGAAGAGAUUUGUAUUGUUGUUAGAUGAUAUAUGGGAGCGGGUUGAUUUAACAAAGGUGGGCGUUCCACUUCCCGGACCAAAAAAUACUACCUCAAAAGUUGUAUUCACAACCCGUUUCAUCGAUGUUUGUGGUAGCAUGGAAGCUGACAGGAAGUUCCAAGUGGCGUGCUUAUCAGAAAAGGAUGCUUGGGAACUGUUUCGAGAAAAAGUUGGGGAAGAAACUCUUCAGAGUCAUCAUGAUAUCGUUGAGCUAGCCCAAAUUGUGGCCAAAGAGUGUGGUGGUUUGCCACUCGCACUUAUUACUAUUGGUCGAGCUAUGGCCUGCAAAAGGACAGCCGAGGAGUGGAGACAAGCAGUUGAAGUGCUAAGAAGAUCAGCUUCUGAGUUUGCAGGUUUGGGAAAAGAGGUGUAUCCUCUUUUAAAGUUUAGCUAUGAUAGUUUGCAGAAUGAGACGAUUAGAUCUUGUUUCUUAUAUUGUUGUUUAUAUCCCGAAGAUUAUGGAAUUCUUAAAUGGGACUUGAUUGAUUGUUGGAUUGGUGAGGGAUUCUUAGAGGAAUCUGACAGGUUUAGUGCAGAAAACCAAGGAUACUACAUUGUGGGCACUCUUGUUCAAGCAUGUUUAUUAGAAGAGUUAGAAGAUGAUAAAGUAAAAAUGCAUGACGUUAUUCGUGAUAUGGCUCUAUGGAUAACCAUUGAAAUUGAGAAGCAGAAGAGAAACUUUUUGGUUCGUGCAGGUGCUGGAUUAAAAGAGGCACCGGCUGUUAAAGAAUGGGAAAAUGUGAGAAGAUUGUCAUUGAUGCAAAACCAAAUUAAAACUCUGUCAGAGGUUCCUUCAUGCCCUCAUCUCCAUACUCUAUUUCUUGCCUCUAAUGAUAAUUUGAGGAUGAUCACGGAUGGCUUCUUUCAAUUUAUGCCUUCUCUCAAAGUUUUGAAGAUGUCAAACUGUGUGGAUUGGCCAGUUUCGAAAUUACCUUUGGCGAUGUCAAAGUUGGGUUCACUACAACUUCUUGAUAUUUCACAUACCGGCAUAGAANNNNNNNNNNNNNNNNNNNNNNNNNNNNNNNNNNNNNNNNNNNNNNNNNNNNNNNNNNNNNNNNNNNNNNNNNNNNNNNNNNNNNNNNNNNNNNNNNNNNGAAGAGUUGAAGUUGUUGGUAAAUCUGAAAUGUUUGAAUUUGAGGUGGACAUUUGAGUUAAAUAAAAUUCCAUGGCAACUAAUAUCAAAAUUUUCAAGGUUACGUGUGUUGAGAAUGUUCGCUACUGGCUUUGCACGUUUUGAUGAAGCAUCAGAAGACAGCGUUUUAUUUGGUGGGGGUGAAGUUUUAGUACAGGAAUUGGUCGGUCUGAAAUAUUUAGAGGUAUUGGAGUUGACCUUGGGAUGUCAUCAUGCUCUCCAAAUUUUUUUGAGCUCAAAUAAGUUAAAAAGUUGUAUUCGAUCUCUUCUCCUCCAGUUGGCCGGAGAUACAACGUCGAUUAUUGAUGCUACGGCUUUCGCAGAUCUAAACCACCUCAAUGAAUUAUGCAUUGAUAGGGCUAAGGAGUUGGAAGAAUUGAAGAUUGAUUGUAAAGAAAUAGUACAAAAAAGGCGGGAACCUUUUGUUUUCCGCAGCCCUCACCGUGUUACUAUACAUAGCUGCCAGAAGUUGAAAGAUUUGACAUUCCUCGUUUUUGCUCCAAACCUCAAGUCUCUCGAUCUAGACCGUUGCGAUGCUAUGGAAGAAAUAAUCAGCGUCGGAAAAUUUGCUGAGACUCCUGAGAUGAUGGGACAUAUAAGCCCUUUUGAAAAUCUCCAAAUGCUUGAUUUAGAAGAUUUGCCUCAUUUGAAGAGCAUCUUCUGGAAGCCAUUGCCUUUCACUCAUCUGAAAGAAAUAUCUGUGGGUUAUUGCCGUAAUCUUAAAAUGCUUCCACUCGAUUCCAACAGUGCAAAGGAGCGUAAAUUUAUUAUUCGUGGAGAAGAAGACUGGUGGAACCGACUUCAAUGGGAGGAUGAAGCCACUCAAAUUGCUUUUCGUUCCUGUUUCCAAUCUCUUUUUGAUUAACUCUUAUACAUUUUCUCGUCGUUUGCUUCAUGCAAAAGACUACGUCUUUUGUUCUCUGUUUUUAUUUCAGUUUCGUUUUGUCUCCUGCAAAUCACAAUUAAAUGUUGAAUUAUAUGGAAGUAAUGCUUUAUAAAUUUGCCGGCACUGCCAUUUAUUUUUCCUCUUUUUUUUUUUGGGUCGAAUUGAUGCUCUGGCUUUUUUAUUUUUUGUCAUCGAAUUUUGCUCUGUUUUUCAAAUUGAUGCUUGAAUAUGUGAAUUCAAUUAAUGCUCACAUAAUUUUGUUUAGUUGCCGUAAAAGAAUAUAAUUAGACUGAAAUUCGCACUCCCAGAAUGAAUAGAAUCACAACAGAGAAAAUAUUAAGUAUGCUAGCCCUCUUUACAGAAAAUCAAAUGAAAAUAAAAUUUUUUGGAUAUUUGAUUUUCUAUGGUCUACUAUAUACACUUUAUAAAUUCUUCUGUUCUAAGGAUAACCAAGUAGGGGAUUGAUGAAGGCUCCUUUUUGGGAUUCUUCUUUUUCUAGGCUGCAAUUAGGAUAUGUACAUGAUAGACAAUCUUUUGUUGGUUUAGCAUAUCUUCGCUGAUUUUGUCUUUUAUUCCCCAAUUUUAUAAUUACACACCAUGAAUGUUGGGUGAUUGUAUAGAAAAUUUGUGUUAUAACAAAAACAUUGUGAAGGAGUUUCCGUGCUAAUAGUUAGUGGCUUCUGUUUUAUUGGUAUUGAUUGGGUAGAUUUCGUGUUACAGUGAUUCAAUUUGUGUUCCAAACUUUGCUUUAAUUUUCUGUUUUCCCCAACUAUUUAUGUCAAAUUUAAAUCCAGAAGCAUGUACUGAUUUUUUCUUUUUGUAUUAAUCUGUGAAGUUUACUUGGAAUGGAAGUAACUGGGUCGGGUCUAAUGGAUUAAAUUAUGACAUUGAGGGGAAGGCACUAAAAGGGUUUGCUUGACACAUUUGGUUCUGUAUUUACUCUGCAAGAAAUAGCUUUUGCUUAUUGCAAUGCAGGGGGAAAUCCCGAUUUGGCUGGUGAAUUUCUCUGCAACAAACAGGCAAACGCCUCAACCUCUUCUGUCCAUACUUCUGCUGGGGAGGCAAGGGGUAAAGAGUCUUCAAAAUCAUCAAAUAGUAACAUCUCUGAGAAUUCAUUUUAUGGAAAUGGAAAAUCUAGAGCUUCUAAUACAAAAUGGCAUCUGGUAUCAGGACGUACCGUUUCAAGUUUUCUUGGUAAAGAUUAUGUUAAACCUGCACAGCCAGCUAAUGGCACUGUUCUGGCAUCAAAGCCAUUGAAGUUGGAUCCAAGGGAGUUUCGCAUUUCUGCACUUUCAGAGUAGAAACUAAACCAAAACAAUCAAAGGAUGACCAUUUGCAGAAGGAUAUGGAAGAUUUUCUGUUUAAAUUGCUAGGAGAAGGGUUCCAGCUGUACAGGGAUGUGAUUCAGGAGGUUCAUGGAAACGUCUUAAAUAUAUUGAUGCCAAUUUAAUACAUAUUGUCCUUUUCAAUGUUCUUUCUUUCUUUCUCCUCUUUUUAUUCUUCUUCUUCUUCUUUUUUCUUUUCGUGUGCAUGUGAUCACUAAUUUGGUAUUAUUCUUAACUUGCAGAUAGUUGUGGAUAUGAUAUGCAAAAUAUCUUCUUGAUGCUGGCAGAUUCACUUGAUUCUUAUUAGUUUGUUUAGUGGCAAGGCAUAUAACCUGUAUUUCAAAGCCAAGUUGUGCUAUUGAUUAUGUUAACUUUAUUGUUAACAUAAAGUGAUAUGGAGGACAUAAUCAAUGUAGGAAAAUUAGGUGAAGAGAUGAUGUCAAAUCUUGAACCUCUUACAAAGCUCCAAGUUCUUUACUUGAAGAAGCUGCCAAAUUUGAAGAGCGUCUACUGGAAGGCAUUUCCAUUCCCAGAUGUAUGCAGAAUUUUUGUAUUAAUGCCCAGUUCUUAAGAAGCUGCCACUGGAUUUUCAAAGGGCGGGCCAAGGUGAAAUUCUUAUCAAGGGAAAGGAAGAUUGGUGGAAAGAACUUCAAUGGGAGGAUCAAGCAACUCAGAAUGCAUUGCUUCCAUUUUUCAAAUCAACUGACAAGUGAUUGAAGGGGGCAUCAUCAACAGAGAUGGAGAGAUUCUGGAGCAGAUCAACAGGGUUUGUAUAUGAUCUUUGGUGGUUGCUUUCUUUUGUGAUUUUUUUUUCUCAUUUUUUUUCCUUCCUGUCAUUUUAUCAUUUCUUUGUCUCUUUUUCUAUUGCUGAUGUUAGUGUAUGCUUACUGUUGCUUGACAAAGUUUGCUUGCUUCUUGUUUAUUAAAUUUUUUAUGGUCACAAAAUAUUACUUGUUCUAUUUGAGAGUGAUGUGAAUCAAUUUUCAAUUAUAUAUUUUGUGGUCAAUGUGAAUUCAAUUUCAUUUGUCUCCUGCAAUUAUGAAAAAAAUGCAGAGUCAUAAUAUGGAAAAGUCGACCGGCAAAAACUUUGUGAAAGCUUCGGAGUGAAACAGGGAAUUCACUUACUACUAAGGACAAUUGGUGGCGAGCUAUUCCAUUCAUUUUAUGUCCAUACAUCUAUUUAAUUAUUGAAGAUAAGUGGUCCAUUUGUAAAUUUCAGAUUGUCCCUCUCUCUUGAAAUAACGAUAUUUAAAAUAUUUCUUAAAUUAUUAUAAAUUUUAAUUUACUCUGGAUUUAAAAUGGAACAUGAUGAAAAUUUUUUUUUCUUCUUAAUAAAAUUGAAAUAAAUUGUGUUUGCAGUAGUUUGAAAUAUUUUAAAGAUUAUUAUUUUAUAAGGGAGUAAUAUGAAAUGAAAUUUACUUUUCAUGCGUGAAAUGUUGAAAAAGGACAAAGCAAGUGUCCCUGUUUUUAUUUUAUUUCAAAGUGGAGUCAUCUCACGUACUUUAGCUCUUAACAUUAUAAUUUUUCUGGUUACAUUUUUAUUAUUAUUUUUUUUUUUUACACAUGCAUGUGGGUUACUUUUCCGUAAGCUCCUUAAUAUAUAUUUAACACAAAUCAUGGAAGAGAUGGGAGUAUAUCAAGAUGAUCAAAGCAUGAAACAAAAAUAUUUAAGAAGUAAAACACUGAAAAUGGAGAAGAGAUGCAAGCAAAAGAUAUUCCAAAGAAAAGCAAUCUAUCCCCCUUUCGAGGGCAAACUUAUCAGGUUUAAGAAAAGUACAUGCUUUGGAUUGGUAGUUGCAGCCUUGCAGGAUAAUUGUUUUUGCCACUAUAUUAGUUGGAGGAGUUGAACCCAGCGAAGAAUGUUAUGGAAGAGCAAAGGAUUAUGUAGCCUGAAUGGAUGUCUUGUUGAAAGAUAUCUCAGUGCAUUAGUUCAUCCUUGUCUGUCAAUGUGUUUUUAAUGGUUUUUCCAAUUGUUUAUUAUUAUAGAUUGAUUGUAAAUUGAUAUGAAUUUAAUGUUGAAAUAUUUUCUCUUUAGUGGAAUGAAUUUAAAAGUGCAAAAGCUUAUUGCACACAGAGAAAUAAACAUAUAUGCUUUAUAGUAUAACUUUAGCAAUCGAUUCUUUUACAGCUGGAAACAGAGAUGGUGAUUAUCAUAGGGGUGAAGAAAAGGACAAAAAAUGUUAAUGAUUAACGAAAUUUCUAUGCAAAUUGAUUUUAGCAGGAAAAAAAGUGAGCUAAAUGAUCUUAAUGUUCCACAAAAGCAAAUCGUAAUAUUCCACAAGAAAAAGCAAGAUCUUAAUGUUCCACAAAAGCGUUAUUUUUUUUUUGGUGAGCCACGUGGAGCUCAAUUAUCAUUGUCUUUACUUUAAAAACGUUAUUUUAUUUUAUUUUAUUACAAAUUAAUGCUAAACAAGAAAAAGCAAGAUAUAAUAUUCCACAAAAGCAAAUCGUAAUAUUCCACAGAGGAAUAAGAUCCACAAAAGCAAACAACUAGCUGGAUUCUUUUACUGAAUUACAAAUUAAAGUGGAAUCUUUUAUUAAACAAUAAAUUAAAGUUCGAAUAUUUAAGUAGUAGUGCGUUAGAUGAUUAGGCUCUCUUAUUAAAGGCAAGUAUAAGGUAGUCCAGAAUCGAACAUCUCUAUUGUCUAGUCAUUUUUUUCAAUUCUUCUUUUAUUAUUUUUCAGAAUAGGUUUUGGUGAUUACUAUUGGGUUAUUAGUCAGAGUUAUUCUUAUCUUCCGGGGCAGUUUCUGUUCAUCGGAAUUGUUAAUUAAAAGAGUAAUGAUAUAGUCACAAACUCUUGUAUAAACUUAUUUUGUACAAACUGAUGUGGCAUGAUAAGAUUAGUUGAAUUAAAUAUCACUUAGGCCACAUGAUUUAUUUUUAUUAUUUUAUAUUUUCAUUCAACCAAUGAAUUAAUGCCACGUCAGUUUGUACAAGAGUUUGUGGCUGUAUCAUUACUCUAAUUAAAAUUUUAGAACUCUUGUGGGAAGAAUGUUUUUCUGUUAUCUUUUUUACAUUCUAAUUUCAACAAUAAGAAGGAGUCAUUUUAGAAUUCGGGUCUUGAAUCGAAUUUCAAUGCAUGAAUUAAUAUUUUAAAAAAAAAUUACUACACGCAGUUUAGGUUACAAACUAUUUUUUGCAAAGUUGACUAUGAAAUUGGAGAAAUUAAGUAAUUUAUAAUGUUUGCAAAGGAAGAGACUAACAUACUUCCAAUUACACUAUAUCUCUAUUAUCAUAAUGUUAAGACUAAACUAACUUAAAAUAAAUUUUAUUUGAAAAGUUAUAUCAAACACAGUCUAAUUUUAUUAACUUGAAGAGAUAAUAGUUAUAGAAAUGAUUGUUCUAACUUAAUUAGUACAAGUGGUAUAAAGGUUAAGUGUGCACUAAAUUUGUUUAAAUUUUUUCCAGAAUAACUAACAGAGGUCAUUAUUAGAAUUAUAAUUACUAGUCUAUUAGAUAGAAAAAAUUAUAUAUAUUGUUUUAUAUUUAUUAAAAAAAUUUAAAGUCAAUCUUUUUAAUUAUUAUUUAAAGGAUAUUAUAAUUUAAAAAAAUUUAAUGUCUUUAUUAAAAAUUUAAAAAUUUACAUGACCGUUCUAUAAAUAUUUAAAGUGUAACUGUCAUUUUCUCAUGUAUAUAUAUAUAAACCACGGUGGUGAAGCUUUAUUUAAUAUUAUUGAUUUAAAUAACAAUAUCGCAAUUAAAAAUGUAGAGAGAAGAAAUUUUGGUGGGUAUAUUAGUCUUUUACAAUUAUCAUGAUUAGCCCUUCCUCUUGUAACGUUGGUCAGAAAAGUUUUAAAAUGCCUUGAUUUCUUUUACUUUUAACGUUAGCGGCCUUCCUUAUAUUUUAUUACAAAUUAGUCCUAACAAGAAAAAGCGAGAUCAUAUUCCAAAAAAGCAAAAGUGACAAAAAAACCAGCUGUAUUCUUUUAUUAAACUACAAUUUAAAAUGAUUUUAAAGUGGAUUCUUUUGAAUACAGGUGGGGUAGUCGAAUAGUCUUUUUCAAAUUCUUGUUUUAUUAUUUUUCAAAACUAGUUUUUGGUAAUUACAAUCGGGUCAUUCAUUAGUCAUUAUUCAGAGUUAUUGUUAUCUUCGGGGGCAGUGGGUAAAAGGCUAAAUGAUAAUUACUAAGUGUUUUUCCUUCAAAAGUUAGUGGCUCGUGUUUUGCAAGUGUGUACGUGCGAUGCUCUUUGUCUAAAGGCAAUUACAGUGGGUCCCGAAUCGGACGUGCCUAAUAAAUCUUUUAAAAUUUUUUCUAAUAAAUAUUCCUAAAAUUUCUCUUCCACAGGCAAUUACAGCAGCUUCAGUUAAUCAAACUCAAUCAAUUUUCUUUCUUAACAAAAUUCCAAAGAUGUUUGGCUGUUUUCAGAUCACAUGCGAUGGUGCUCUUUUCAAUCGUUGCUUGGAUUGCUUUCUGGGAAAAACAGUAUACAUACGUAACCUCCCAGAUAAUCUUGUUGCCUUGGAGACUGAAUUGGGAAAUCUAAUCGCAGCAAAGAACGAUGUGACGAGGAGGGUUGACAAUGCUGAACGGCAACAAAUGAGAAGGCUGGACCGAGUGCAACGAUGGAUUUCGAGAGUGGAAGUUGUUGAAACUGAAGCCGAUGAAUUGAUAAGACAUGGCUCUCGAGAAAUUGAAAAAUUAUGUGUUGGAGGCUACUGUUCCAAGAACUGCAUGUCAAGCUACAAGUUCGGAAAACAAGUGGCUAAAAAGCUACGGGAUGUGCGGACUUUAAUCAGUGAAGGAGUUUUUGAGGUGGUGGCUGACAGAGCUCCAGAGCCUGUAGCAGAUGAAAGACCUACUGAGCCAACAAUAGUAGGCUUGCAAUCACAACUUGAACAAGUUUGGAGAUGUCUUGUAGUAGAAGAAUCAGUGGGAAUCAUUGGCCUAUAUGGUAUGGGCGGUGUUGGUAAAACCACACUAUUGACCCAUAUCAACAAUAAAUUUCUUGAGAAUCCAAUCAACUUUGAUUGUGUGAUUUGGGUUGUAGUUUCAAAAGACCUGCGACUUGAAAAAAUUCAAGAAGAUAUUGGGAAAAAGAUAGGUCUGUUUGAUGAUUCAUGGAAGAGUAAAAGUGUAGAGGAGAAAGCUGUCGACAUCUUCCGGAGUUUAAGAGAGAAGAGAUUUGUAUUGUUGUUAGAUGAUAUAUGGGAGCGGGUUGAUUUAACAAAGGUGGGCGUUCCACUUCCCGGACCACAAAAUACUACCUCAAAAGUCGUAUUCACAACCCGUUCCAUCGAUGUUUGUGGCAGCAUGGAAAGUCACAGGAAGUUCCCAGUAGCAUGCUUAUCAGAAGAGGAUGCUUGGGAGCUGUUUCGAGAAAAAGUAGGGCAAGAAACUCUUGAGAGUCAUCAUGAUAUCGUUGAGCUAGCCCAAACUGUGGCCAGAGAGUGUGAUGGUUUGCCACUCGCACUUCUUACUAUUGGUCGAGCUAUGGCCUGCAAAAGGACAGCAGAGGAGUGGAGACACGCAGUUGAAGUGCUAAGAAGAUCAGCUUCUGAGUUUGCAGGUUUGGGAGAAAAGGUGUACUCUCUUUUAAAAUUCAGCUAUGAUAGUUUGCAGAAUGAGACGAUUAAAUCUUGUUUCUUAUAUUGUUGUUUAUAUCCCGAAGAUUAUGGAAUUCUUAAAUGGGACUUGAUUGAUUGUUGGAUUGGUGAGGGAUUCUUAGAGCAAUCUGACAGGCUUAGUGCAGAAUACCAAGGAUACUACAUUGUGGGCACUCUUGUUCAAGCAUGUUUAUUAGAAGAGUUAGAAGAUGAUAAAGUAAAAAUGCAUGACGUUAUUCGUGAUAUGGCUCUAUGGAUAACCAGUGAAAUUGAGAAGGAGAAGAGAAACUUUUUGGUUCGUGCAGGUGCUGGAUUAAAAGAGGCACCGGCUGUUAAAGGAUGGGAAAAUGUGAGAAGAUUGUCACUGAUGCAAAACCAAAUUGAAACUCUGUCAGAGGUUCCUACAUGCCCUCAUCUCCUCACUUUAUUUCUUGACUUUAAUCAGGAGUUGGAGAUGAUCGCGGAUGGUUUCUUCCAAUUUAUGCCUUCUCUCAAAGUUUUGAAGAUAUCAAACUGUGGAAACAUUUUUCAAUUACCUGUUGGGAUGUCAAAGUUGGGUUCACUAGAACUUCUUGAUAUUUCACAUACCUUCAUAAAAGAGUUACCAGAAGAGUUAAAGAAGUUGGUAAAUCUGAAAUGUUUGAAUUUGAGGUGGACAAGGGAGUUAAAUAAAAUUCCACGGCAACUAAUAUCAAAUUCUUCAAGGUUACGUGUGUUGAGAAUGUUCGCUACUGGCUACAUACGAUUCGAUGAUGCACCAGAAGACGGCGUUUUAUUUGGUGGGGGUGAAGUUUUGAUACAGGAAUUGCUCGGUUUGAAAUAUUUAGAGGUAUUGGAGUUGACCUUGGGAAGUUAUCAUGCUCUCCAAAUUCUUUUGAGCUCAAAUAAGUUAAAAAGUUGUAUUCGAUCUCUUUACCUCGAGUUGACCGGAGAUACAACGUCAAUUAUUGAUGCUACGGCUUUCGCAGAUCUAAACCACCUCAAUGAAUUAUAUAUUAAUAAUGGUAUUGAGUUGGAAGAAUUGAAGAUUGAUUAUACGCAGAUAGUACGAAAAAGGCGGGAACCUUUUGUUUUCCGCAGCCUUCACCGUGUUACUGUUAUGGAUUGCCAUAAAUUGAAAGAUGUGACAUUCCUCGUUUUUGCUCCAAAC
Molecule: long non-coding RNA, 233962 nt
Filed under: Citrus x clementina
Lineage: Eukaryota; Viridiplantae; Streptophyta; Magnoliopsida; Sapindales; Rutaceae
Description: Citrus clementina (C. clementina) long non-coding RNA (CCLE_LNC001433)
Source: RNAcentral